AUUUAUUUUUUAUUUUUCUUUAAGACUGGUUGCAAAUAAGAAUGUUGAACAUUACAUGGUUAAACACAUCCAAUCCUCUCUUACAAAAAGUAACACACCCAAUCCUUGCAUCCCCCUUACCAGCCAAUAUCUUGAAUGCUCAAUAGCUCUUCAGAACUCUGGGAUGUCCCCCAGAUGGUAAUUAAGUAGCCUACAGCUAAUAGUUGCUUAAAACUGUUUUUCUCUUAUAAGCUAGUGAUGGCUUAUUGGGCUAUUAUUUGAUGCUCACAAGGUAAUGAUAAUAGGCAAAUUAUUAUUGUAUAAUUAUUUGCAAGGCUUGAGGAUUCUAACUUGGAACUAGUGAUUAUGCCAUGGUGCCAUACAGCCCUGCCUUUUCUUCCAAACAUGAACCUCGACUCCCUGUUCUUAUAACAUGUGACAUGUGACUGCACCCUGAUUCUUGAAACACGUGUAUUGGAGUCCAUUUACUAAAAGUGAGAUCAUUCCGGUAGGGGAGGUGGAGGAGAUCCUUGAGAUGGCUGUGGAGUUGGGUUGCAAGGUAGGUCAGCUGCCAUCAACUUACCUGGGGCUGCCUCUGGGUGCGCCCAAUAAGGCUGUGUGCGUGUGGGAUGGGGUGGAAGAAAGGAUGAGGUGGAAACUGGCUCUCUGGAAGCGGCAAUACAUAUCAAAGGGCGGAAGAAUUGCACUAAUAAAGAGUACCUUGGCUAGCAUGCCACUAUAUCGGAUGUCUCUUUUCCGUAUGCCUAGGGUAGUGGCAAGAAGACUAGAAAAGUUGCAAAGAGACUUUUUGUGGGGAGGGGGAAGUACGGAAAGAAAAGCUCACCUUGUCAAUUGGGAGAGGGUGUGCGUGGGUAAGGAGAAGGGGGGACUGGGGUUGAGGAAGUUAGUCCCUUUGAACAAAGCCCUUCUUGGAAAAUGGGUGUGGAGAUUUGCUCAUGCUAAGGAGGAGAUGUGGAAACGUGUCCUUGUGGCAAAAUAUGGGCAAGAGGAAUUUGGGUGGAGGACUAAAAAGGUAAAUGGGGCUUUUGGUGUUGGGGUUUGGAAGGAGAUUAUGAGAGAAGCUGAUUGGUGUUGGGACAAUAUGAAUUUUAAGGUCAGAAAAGGCACCAAAAUCAGGUUUUGGAAGGACCCUUGGUGUGGGGAGGUGGAGUUGGCUCGUAGGUUCCCUCAACUUUUCAAUGUGGCUGCCCAAAGGAGUGCCACUAUGGGGGAGUUAUGGGACCACAAUUCUGACCUAGGAAGUUGGAAUCUAAGGUUUUCUAGGGGCUUCAAUGAUUGGGAGCUGAACAUGGUUGAUGAAUUGCUUCAAAUCCUAAGGAGUCAAAGAAUCACCCUGGAGGAGGACUUGGCAUUAUGGAAGGGGGGGAAAAAUGGGAAGUUUGAAGUUAAGGAAGCGUAUGAGCUGCUGAUCAGCCAUAGUACCCUGCUUUUUCCCAAAAAGGGCAUUUGGGUGGAGAACGUCCCCUCCAAGCUAGCGUUUUUUGCGUGGGAAGCUACUUGGGGGAGGGUUCUUACGCUUGAUAGGCUCCAAAAGAGAGGGUGGCAGCUUCCUAAUCGCUGCUACUUAUGUGGUAUUGAUGAGGAAAACGUCAACCAUCUUCUUAUCCAUUGUACAGUGGCUAGUGUGUUAUAGGGGAUUGUUCUUGGCCUAUUUGGAGCCCAAUGGGUCUUUCCAGAAACUGUAAAGGAGGCGAUUGUCAGCUGGAAGGGUUCUUUUGUGGGAAAUAAGAGGGAGAAAAUUUGGAGAUCCAUACCGUUAUUUAUUUUUUGGACGGUUUGGAAGGAGAGGAAUAGAUUAGCAUUCAGGGGGGGGAGUUAGCUAUACAAAAAGUUAAGAAUUCUUUUGUUUGUAAUUUGUGGGGGUGGGCAAAAUUGUAUAGUGGUGCGGAGUCUCGCUCCCUUAUAGGUUUCCUGGAGUGGAUAGCCUCCAGUUAAGGGUUGGUAGGUUUCUUUGUUGUUUUUUUGGUAGCUUGUGAGGCCUCCGUCGCCUCGUAUACAUCCUGUAUGCUUUGCGGCGUUUUGCCUUUUGCUAAUAUAUGUGUUUACUUAUCAAAAAAAAAAAACUAGGCUUAAAAUUGACCAUUAGGCACUGUGAGUAUGUUUUAGAGAACGGUAAACAGUAUUGAAGUUUAUUUAGCUCAUUGGAAUUUUAAGUCUAUCUAGAAUUUCCAAUGAGAUAUUUAUUUCCUUUAAAUGUUCUUGUUACAAAUUAGGUUUUCCGUGGCUAGAUGGACAUGACGCAAUCUCAUAUCAUGGUUUAUAAUUUAAAUCUAUCUAUGUGGGUAAUAAAAGGUAGUGCCUGAAAUCUUUACUCAAACUAGUUGCAUCUUUUGUUUUGAUUACAAACCCAGUCAUGCAGCCAACAUCCUGUUUUUGUGGAGUCAGCAGCCAAAAUAACAUUUUUCCAUUGCUAGUCCAUGUUUCCAAGAGUCCAUUGGUAUUCUUUUAUGACACAACAGCUUCUAUAUGUGAAAAAAAAAAUUGAGGCAUAAGGUAUAUGAGCAAAACAAACCAUGCUGCAAGGAAGAGGUUGUUAGCAUUGAUACCUAGCAGCAGGAAGGGAAUUUGGCUCCUGAAUUUUCAGCAAUGAGGGCCUUAAAGAAAGGGGAAUUGGAGGAGUUGUUGUUAAAGGAAAAGGUGUUUUGGAGGGACAAAGCUAGGGUCAAAUGGAUAAGAAAAGGGGAUUGAAACUCUUUAGUAUUUCCAUAGGGUGGCCAAUAGUAGGCUAAAUAAGAAAUUUAUAAAGUUAUUGGUUUCAAAAGAAGGGGUAAUUCUAGAUAACAUCGAAAACAUUAUGGAGGAGAUGAUGCAUUUAUUUGGAAAAUUAUACUCAAAACCUUUGGGUGGUUUUUGGAGGUUAGAAGGAUUGGAUUUGUCUCCCUUUUCAACCGAGAGUGUUGCAUGGCUCAAUUGCCCUUUUUUAGAAGAAGAGAUUCAUAAGGUUGUAUUUCAAUUAAACAAGGAAAAGGCUCCUAGGCCUAAUGGAUUCACCAUUACAGUGUAUUAAAAGUGCUGGGAUGUGAUUAGGGACAAUCUUCUAAGAGUGUUCUUAGAGUUUCACAAUAAUGGGGUAAUAAAUCAAAGCACCAAUGUUAUCUUCAUUGCUCUUGUGCCAAAAGAGUCAAACCGGAAAAAUCUCAUAUUUUAGACCUAUUAGCCUAGUGAUGAGUUUGUACAUAUCAUAGCUAAGGUUUUAUCAAGGUGUACAAGGUGCUUUUGUUGGGGGGAGACAAAUUUUGAAUGCUAUUUUGAUUGCUAAUGAGUUGGGUGGAUGAGAAAAGGAGAUCAGGAGAGGAAGGGGUAAUCUUCAAAAUUGAUUUUGAAAAGACCUAUGACAUGUAGAUUGGGGUUUUUUGGACCAUGUGCUUGAGAGAAAAGGAUUUAGUUCAAUGGAGGUCUUGGAUGAGGGGAUGCUUGUCCUUAGUUAGUUUUGCGGUCUUAGUGAAUGCGAACACUAAAGGUUGGGUUAAGACAACUAUAUGCUUUAAGACAAGGAGAAAUAAGACUAGAGUGUCUCAUUUACAAUUUGUAGAUGACACCAUUUUUUUCUUUAGAGUUUCUUUGGUUGAUUUGCAAAAUCUCAAGCUAAUAUUAUUGGUUUUUAGGUUUGAUAAAAAAAUAUUAUUGGUUUUUAGGCACUUAUCGGAUCUUAUGAUCAAUUUAAACAAGAACACUCUUUUUGGUAUCAAUAUAAGUCAAGAACAGAUCUCCAGGUUGGCUUCGAUGCUUGAAUGUGUAGUCUCUGGUUGACCUUUAACGCAUGUGGGCUUCCAUUAGGGGAGAAUCCAAAAACAAAUACAUUUUGAGAUCCAGUAAUUGAUAGAAUCUCAAGGAGAUUGGAUGGGUGGAAAAAAGCUUUUUUGCUUUAGGGGGUAGAAUAACUUAAACUCUAAUUCAAUUUCACUUGUCUCAUAUCCUGAGCUAUUUAUAAGAGUUAGAAUAACCCUAAUUUUGCAAUAGCAUCAAACAUUGAAAAAUUUCAAAGAGAUUUUUUAUUGUCGAGGUUUGGGGGUGCCAAAAAGGAUUAUAUGAUCAAUUAGGAUCUAGUGUGUAGGCGUUAGGAGAUUGGAGGUUUGGGGUUUGGGAAGAUAUUUUUGAGGAAUUAUGCUCUAUUAUGGAAGUGACUUUGGAGGUUCCGUAGAGAAAGUUACGCCCUUUGGUUUUAGGUUAUUUUAAGUAUUUAUAGGUCACAUCCUACCAAUAAUAGUCCAAUUCAAAAAAAAGAAAUGACUGCUUCCUCGGAGGUGAGAGGAGGUUUGAAAGGUGGAAAGUGUUGGUUUGCAGUAGAAUCUAAGACCUUUGAAAUCUCCAUUGAAGUGGUCCGACGUAAGCCAAGAGGGAUUAUUUUGGAAAGGAGCAAAGACUUUUCCUCUUGGAUAAGAUUUGGAGAAAAGAGUUUGAGCUAUCUGUUGGAAGGUGUGGAAGCUUGGUGUAGAGGAGAGUCGAGUUAGAGGUGUCUAAAAGUUUGGGAAGAUGGAUGAAGAAAGUUUAGGCUAGAGUGUCGUUCAAAUGAAGCUGGUAGGUUUUUACUCUGUUCGGUGCGAGAUGUGGAAGCUAAGAAGUAUUGUCUUGUAUUUCCAGAGGGAAAAGGUUUAGUAGGGGGGUGGUUCUUGUUGGCUAAGAAGUUAAGGGCCCUAGGAGUCUCCACUCCAGCUUUGAGCAAAGCUUGUCCGGGUGUUUCCACCUCUGUAAAGGUGGGUGUAGUUUCAAAGGGAAAGAGAAAGGAAAAGGAACGUAUGCAGAAGUCACGAGAGUGAAGAUAGGGGAACCAGGGGAGUCUUUACAGAAGUGUUUCCACCUCUGUAAAGGGUGGGUGUAGUUUCAAAGGGAAAGAGAAAGGAAAAGGAACGUAUGCAGAAGUCACGAGAGUGAAGAUAGGGGAACUAGGGGAGUCUUUAUGGGUGCAUUUAGGGGAUCGAGAACUUCUUUGCAGGGAAGAGCAGCUAAGUCGUUGCUUGGUUGGCUGUUUUGGUGACAGUUUUGAAUCGGUUCCUCCUUUGUCAUCCUUGACGGGGUGAGCACUUGCAAGUUGGUUUCUAAGGGGAGGUUUAAAAAUCUCCAAGUUGGGUGGGGCCCUUGUGCUGUUUGAGCUUGAAAAUAAAUUUGAAGCUGAUUUGGUGCUUUUAAGGGGCAGUGGAUGUUUUAAGGAGAGAGAGUUUCUCUUGCAAAGAUGGGGACUUGAAGUGGGGUGUUUUUGGAAUGGGAGCCAUGCCAAGGAAGUAUGGGUGAGGGUUGCAGGACUUCCUCUUCACCUUUGGAGUAGAGAGGUGUUCACGAGAAUUAGAGAGCUGUGGGGGUUUUAUAGUUGUUAAUGAGGAAACAACUUUUUUUUCUCGGUUGCAAUGGGCUUGUAUCUUGGUGAGAGCCUCUGGGAAGAAUAUGCCAGGGGCAUUGCAGGUGGUGGCCAGGCAUACUUGCUAGGUGGUUCGCCUGUGGUGGGAAACACCUCCUUGGGUUUCUCAGGUAGUGCCGAGGUCUGCUUUUCACAAAAGAGCAAGGUGUGAGGUUGGGGAUGAAGGUGUGGGUGGUGCAUGCGCUGGUGAUAGCGUGCGGGAGACUCAAAUUGGUGAUCAGAAUUGGGGGUCAGAAGAGUAGGUUGAGUGUGGUAGAAGGAUUAGGGAUGCAGUUGGUGUAGUAGGUAGGCCGGCUAAAGGCUUUGAAUUGGACUCAACUUUAAGUGGGCAUGGGCCUGGGCCUGGGAUAGCAGGCUGGGAGCAAUUUAAAGGAAGAGAAAUGUUGGACUCAAGAGGUGGAGCGGGCUGGGCCGUGGGCUCAAAACCCUUCAGCCCCGUGGGAGCAGGCGUGGUUGAGAACUCUAAGGGGCCUUUUGGGCCCAUUUUAAAAGAGGCCCAUCCAUGCCUUUUUGGGUGGCUCUUCUCCUCUAGGGCUCCUCUUGAGUCCAUCGUGGGAGCUUUGGGGUUGGAACAAGUGGAGCUAGCCGACGAAGAUUUCAACGUUGGGGGGUCGCUUCCAGGUCGUUCAACGUUCACCGACAAAGCACUGAUGGAUGAAGCAUCCAGGUAUCCCGUUUAUCACAACCGCUUCUUUUUCUUUGGGGCUUCGGGGUGCUUCUUCUUCUACUCCUUUCUUAGGGACCAACAAAGCUUUGUUGGUAUCGGAGGGGGCUUCCAGUGGGUUGGAAGGCUCAACGGCAGGGGCGAUGGACUGGGAUCCUCUGCGAGUAGUGCCGAUUGAAGAUUUAUUGGUCCUCGAUGGUCGGAAAGAGCCUCCUCGGGGUUCGACUGGCAGUGUUAGUGCGACUGAGCUAGCGAUUGUCCCGGUUGGAUCGGGUUAUGCGAGUCCAAUCGUGGAGAGGAUUGACUUUCAAUUGGAAGAGGGAGGGGGGUGGGAUGAAGGGUGGAACUCUAGCUGUCUUGCGAAGUUCAGUCGAUGCCUUGGUAUGCUGACGAAAGAGUUAGUAGAGGAAAUUUUGUAUCUCUUGAGGAGGAUGAAGGGGAGAAUUGACCAAAAGGGGCAGGAUGGGGCGUCUAGAAAGACAAAAUUAAUGUCUUCAAAAUCUAGUAGGGAACUCAAGAAGUUGGAGUGGACAGUAAGCUAUUAAAAAGCUAGGUUUGAUACCAGUUUGGGUAUUUUUGGAGGGGCUUUUGUGUCGGGGUGCAAAUGAAAAUAAGAAUUUUAUCUUGGAAUGUGAGAGGGGCAAAUGACAGAGAUAAAAGAAAGAUUAUUAAGUCAGUGAUAAAAUCUCAAAGAGUGGACGUGGUUUGUUUGUAAGAAACCAAAAUUAAAGAAAUGACUACAGGGAUUGUUCGUAGUCUUGGGGUGGGAAGACAUCUAGAUUUAAGUGCAGUCAAUUCAAGGGGUGCAACUGGAGGCAUUCUGAUAUUUUGGGAUAACAGAGUAUUUGAGUUGGUNNNNNNNNNNNNNNNNNNNNNNNNNNNNNNNNNNNNNNNNNNNNNNNNNNNNNNNNNNNNNNNNNNNNNNNNNNNNNNNNNNNNNNNNNNNNNNNNNNNNGAGUGACCCUUGGUGUGUGGGAGGGGAUUUCAAUAUGAUCAGAUUUCCAGAGGAAUAUGGUAGGGGAGGUGGGCUUUCUGCAUCAAUGAGGAGAUUUUCAGAAGUGGUAGAGGAUUUGGAGUUGAGGGACUUUCCUUUGCAGGGGGGUCCUUUUACUUGGAGGGGCGGGUUGAAUAUCCAAUCCCAUUCUAGGCUUGAUCGGUUUUUAGUGAUAGAUAAUUGGGACAACUUGUUUAAUGGGGCUGUGCAGGGUGUUCUACCCAGACCAAUUUUUGAUCACUUUCCCAUUUUACUAGAAGGAGGCAUGAAUAGGGGACCUUUUCCUUUCAGAUUUGAGAACACGUGGUUGGAGGAGGAGGGGUUCAAAGAUCAGAUGAAGACGUGGUGGGGGAGCUUAAGUUUUACUAGGACCUCCAACUUUGUUUUAGACGCAAAAUUAAGAGAAGAUAUUUUGAAAACUUGGAAUAAAGAAGUGUUUGGUCUCAUUGAGACUAAAAAGGGAGAAGCUCUCGAACGGGUUGUGUAUUAGGAUGAAAAGGAGAAAUGUUCAGCUUUGAAUCUGGAAGAUUGUGAAGCCAGAAAGGAGGCUAGGGAGUCUUAUAAGACUUAGGUGUUGAGGGAAGAAAUCUCUUGGAGACAAAAGUCUAGGGAAGUGUGGUUGAAGGAGGGGGAUAAUAACACCAUAUUCUUUCAUAGGAUGGCGAAUGCUCAUUGUAGAAUAAACUGGUUGUUCAAGCUAAAAGUGAAUGGCUGCCGGCAUACUGAGGAGAAUGAUUUAAAAGAUAGUGUGGUGGGGGCAUUUCAUAACCUGUAUUCAGAGGAAGGGGGGUGGCGUCCUUGUAUUGAUGGGUUGUCUUUUAUGGGGCUAGCUAGCAGUGAGGCUGAGGGGCUGGAGAUUCAUUUUUUGGAAGAAGAGGUGUUUGCAACUCACUCAGAUCUAGGCAAGGACACAUCCCUUAGUCUGGAUGGCUUCACCAUGAUUUUUUGGCUUUUUUGUUGGGAUGUUGUGAAGGUAGAGAUUAUGGGUUUUUUUAGACUUUCAUGAGUGGGGUAGAUUUGUAAAGUCUUUGAAUGCUACUUUCUUGGUUUUAGUCCCAAAGAAGGGAAGUGCAGAAGAUUUGAAAGAUUUUAGGUUGAUUAGCCUUGUGGGCAGCCUCUAUAAGUUGUUGGCUAAUAAAAUUAAAAAGGUAAUGGGGAAAGUGAUUUCGGAGUCCCAAAAUGCCUUUGUGUAGGGUAGACAAAUUUUAGACACAGUUUUGAUUGCAAAUGAGGUUGUGGACUCAAGGUUGAAAGGCAACGAUGGGGGUAUGUUGUGUAAGUUGGAUAUAGAGAAGGGAUAUGAUCAUGUCAAUUGGAAGUUCUUGAUGGUAGCGCUUAGAUAGACGGGCUUUGGGGAGAAAUGGAUAAAGUGGAUAGAUUGGUGCAUCUCUAUUGUGAAAUUUUCUGUUUUAAUAAAUGGUUCUCCUUCCCUUUUUUUCCAAAGUUCAAGGGAAUUGAGACAAGGAGACCGACCCCCUCUCCCCUUAUUUGUUUGUGAUAGCCAUGGAGGUGUUUAGUUGUUUAUUGAGGAGGGCUACUAGUGGGGGCUACUUAUCUAGUUGGAGGGUGAGAGGUAGGAGUGGCGAGGGGAUUCUAAUCUCGGACUUGUUAUUUGCAGAUGAUACAUUGGUCUUUUGUGAGGCGUCUCAAGACCAGAUGACUUAUCUAAGCUGACUUCUCAUGUGGUUUGAGGCUUGUUUAAGGUUGAUAAUCAAUCUGGAGAAGAGCGAGUUAAUCCUGGUGGGCAGGGUGCAUGUUAUAGAGGACUUGGCAUUGGAGUUGGGGUGUAAAGUGGGUGGUCUUCCUUCCUGCUAUUUAGGUUUGCCUUUGGGGGCACCCUUCAAAUCAGCGGCCGUGUGGGAUGGAGUUGAAGAGCGUUUUCAAAAAAGGCUAGCAAUGUGGAAGAGACAAUAUAUUUCAAAAGGAGGGAGACUCACUCUAAUUCGAAGCACUUUAUCUAGCAUGCCUAUCUAUUUUAUGUCACUUUUUUGCUUGCUAAGAAAAGUGAGGUUGAGAUUGGAGAAGAUUCAGAGGAAUUGUCUGUGGGGUGGUGGAGCUCUUGCGUAGAAACCACAUCUUGUUAGGUGGAACAUGGUUUGCUUGGAAAAAAGGAAAGGUGGUUUGGGUGUGAGAAAUCUAGCUUUGAUGAAUAUAGCUCUCUUAAGUAGAAUUGGUGAUUUGCUAAUGAAAGAGAGGCUUUUUGGAAGCAAGUCAUCAAUCACAUGUAUGGUGAAGAGGAGGGGGGAUGGCGCUCCCGUACAAUAAGUGAGAGGUAUGGUGUGGGGUUGUGGAAAACAAUUAGGAAGGAGUGGAUGUAUUUGAGUGGUAGGUUGGCCUACCAGGUGGGUAAUGGGUAGAGAGUGAGAUUUUGGAUGGACAAGUGGUGUGGAAAUGAGCAACUUUGUGAGUCCUUUUUUUUUUUUUUUUUUUGAUAGAUAAAAGGAUGUACAUUAAAAAAAAAAGAGGAAGCACAAAAAAAAAUGUUCACAAAGUAUACAAGGAGUAUUCAAAAAUAGCCCAAAGACACACUCCGAGGGGGAAAGGAUAGAAACACACCACCUUUCCUUACUUAGAGCCUAACCAAUCUAAAAAACUUACAAGAGAAGAAGGGCUCAAAACUAUAGACAUCCUAACCUAAGACCAAAUAUUACAUACAAAAUAAUAUUUCAGUCUUUGAAGCGAAAGCUCCUCAUUCCUAAAAGUUAAUAAAUUUCUUUCCUUCCAGACUGACCAAAAUAUACAUAAGGGGGCCAUUUGCCAAGCCUUUUUUCGAGCUUUCCCCACAAACGCUCCAUGCCACCCAAUAAGAGUUUCCUUCACUGUACACGAGAGAGUUCAAUCCACACCAAAAAGGGAGAAAAGAAGAUUCCACAGAACCCACGUCUUUACACAAUGAAGUAAAAGGUGAUCCAUCGUCCCUACUUUAGAGAGGCAUAGAAAACACCUGUUUGCCAAUGAGUACUCCCUCCUUUGAAGUUGCUCCAAAGUUAAGACUUUACCCCAAGAGGUCUCCCAAGCGAAGAAGGCCACCUUAGGAGGCACACUCACCCUCCAAAUACUAUCACUAGGGAACAAAGAAGAACCUCUGGGCUCCAAAAUAGAAUAAAGAGACUUGAUUGAGAAAGUGCCAUACUUUGGUGUUGUCCAAAACCACUUUAUCUUCCUCCUCCCUUUGCACCCGGAAGACUUGGAUCUUAUGCAAAAAAUGCUCCACCAACUCAAUCUCCCAAUCAUUUAAAUGCCCUUACAAACAGAGGGGUCCAACCAUUCCCAUCACCAACGGGAUUCCAAACAUCCGAUACCCAAGCAUUCUUAGACAAAGAGAUGGAAAAUAGAGAAGGGAAGGACUCACAAAGUGGUGCAUCUCCACACCGUUUGUCCGUCCAGAAUCUCACUCUUUGCCCACUAUCCACUUGGUAGGCUAACCUACCAUUUAAAAACAACCACUCCUUCCUAAUUGCUUUCCAAAGCCCAACGCCGUAUCUCCCACUCACUGCCUGAGUGCGCCAUCCUCCCUCCUCUUCACCAUACUUAUGACUGAUGACUUACUUCCAAAAAGCCUCUCUUUCAUUGGCAAACCUCCAAUUCCACUUACUUAGGAGAGCGAUAUUCAUGAGAGCUAGAUCUCACACCUAACCCACCUUUCCUUUUAUCUAAGCAAACCAAGUUCCACCUAACAAGAUGCGGCUUUUGGACAAGAGCUCCCCCGCCCCACAGAAAAUCCCUUUGAAUCUUCUCCAAUCUCAACCUCACUUUUCUUGGCAAGUAAAAGAGAGACAUAAAGUAUAUAGGCAUGUUAGAUAGAGUGCUUCGGAUUAGAGUGAGUCCCUCCUUUUGAAAUAUACUGCCUUUUCCACAUUGCAAGCUUUUUUCGAAAUCGCUCUUCAACACCAUCCCACACAACCAUUGAUUUGAAGGGGGCCCCCAAAGGCAAACCCAAAUGGCAGGAAGGGAGCCCACCCACUUUACAACCCAACUCCAAGGCCAAGUCCUCGAUAACUUGCACCCUACCCAUCGGGAUUAACUCACUCUUCUUCAAAUUGAUCUUCAACCCUGAACACGCCUCAAACCACAUAAGAAGCCAACUUAGAUAAGUCAUUUGGUCUAGAGACUCCUCACAAAAUACCAACUUAUCAUCCGCAAAUAAUGAGUCCUUCCCUUCAUUAUUUUCCAUUUCUUUGUCUAAGGAAGCUUAGGUGUCGGAUGUUUGGAACCUUGAUGGUGAUGGGGGUGGUUGGACCCCUCUUUUCUCAAGGGUGUUUAAUGAUUGGGAGAUUGAGUUGGUGGAGCGUUUUUUGCAAAAGAUCCAAACCUUUAAGGUGCAAAGGGAGGAGGAAGAUAGAGUGAUUUGGACAACUUUGAAGUGUGACACCUUUACAGUCAAGUCUCUUUAUUCUAUUUUGAAGCCCAGAGAUUCUCCCUUGUUCCCUAGUGGUAGUAUUUGGAAGGCAAGUGUGCCUCGUAAGGUGACUUUCUUUGCUUGGGAGGCUUUUUAGGGUAAAGUCUUAACUUUGGAUCAACUUCAAAGGAGGGGGCACUCAUUGGCAAAUAGGUGUUUUCUAGGCCUCUCUAAAGUAGAGAUGGUGGAUCACCUUUUACUUCAUCAUGCAAAAGACUCGGGUUCUGUGAAAUUUUCUUUUCUCCCUUUUUGGUUUGGCUUAGAUACUCUUUUGUUCAGUGAAGGAAACUCUUCUUGGGUGGCACGGGGUGUUUGUGGGGAAAGCUCGUAAAAAGGCUUGGCAAAUGGUCCCCUUAUGUAUAUUUUGGUUAGUCUGAAAGAAAAGGAAUAUGUUAGCUUUUGGUAAUGAGGAGCUUUCGCUCCAAAGAUUGAAAAAUUCUUUUGUAUGUAAUCUUUGGUCUUGGGUUAGGAUGUCUAUAGUUUUAAGCCCUUCUUCUCUUGUAAGUUUCUUUGAUUGGUUAGGCUCUAAGUAAGGGCAAGUGAUGUUUUUUGUUUCUAUCCCUUCCCCUUUGGUUUGAGCCUUUGGGCUUCUUUUGUAUACUUUGAGGGCACGACUUUUGGUGCUUCCUCAUUUCGUUAUAUAUACAUCUUUUUAUCUAUAUAUAUAAAAAAAUCCUACCAAUAAUACAUUUAGAUGGUCACAUCAUUACCCUUGGAAGGCCAUUGCAUAGGUUCUCCUGUUUUUUUUUUUUUUUUUGCACACACUCGUUUUGUGGUGGGUGAUGGGAUAAGAAUUUUUUUUUUUUUUUUUUUUGGGGGGGGGAUUAAUCCUUAUGUUCACAAUUUUCAAGUCUUUAUAAAGUUGGCACAAUUAGAAGUAUCUCCAUUUCAGCUAUUCUUGGCAAUUCUUCCACUUUUUUUUCUGGGAACCUUUAUUUUUGUGACAACCUCAUCGAUUUGGAAAUUAAGGACCUCAAAAGACUCAUGGCCUCUCUUAUUCACAUACACUUGUCUCUAUCCGUCCCAAAUGCAAGAACCUGGGCACUAUCUUCUUCAAACUUACUCUUCGUAAAAUAUUUCUUCUUCACUUUGUCCAAUAUUUCAAAUUCAAUCUCAUUUAAUCCAACCAAAUUUGUAUGGAAAUCUAAAGUCCCAUUUAAGGUUAAGGCCUUUGCUUAGUUAGGGGCACACAAGGAGGUAAAUACCAAUGACAUGCUACAAUUGAGAAGACCUUUCAAAGCCCUUAGUCUUAAUUGGUGUGUCCUUUAUGGUGGGUGGGGGGGGGGUUGGAGAGAUGAUUAACCAUCUCUUUCUACAUUAUUCGAUUACUUUUGGGGCUAUGACACAGACUAUUUGGACAAGUUGAGGUGGAUUAGGUUGAGCCUAGGAGUUUAUCUGAUAUGUUGAUUAUUUUAUAUAUGGGUUUAGAGAACUCCAUCAGAGGCAAAACCUUGUGGAAGAUUGCUUGUCUCAUUUUGAUAUGGAUCAUAUGGUGAGAGAGAAAUCUUAGGAUCUUUGAGGAUAAAUGGAGGAUGUUAGGGAUGUUAUGGGAUUGACUUCACUUCUUUUCUUCUUUUUUGGCCUAUGUAUUGACGAAUUUAAAGAAAUUCCCUCUAAAUGUCAUUCAACUCAAUUGGCAUUUGAUGUGUACACCAAUAGAGUUGGACCACCAUUGAAAGGAGCUUAGCCUGGUUUGAGGAGUUGUAAUCUGUGUAUAUCCUUUUGUGAUCUAUCUUUUUACAUAUAUCUCAUUGUAUAGUGGAUUAUGGACUAUUUGGAAGGAAAGGAAUAGAAGAGCUUUCAAUGACAUUGAGCGGUUUGACCAAACUAUUAAAUCCAUUUUCAUGUAUACUUUUGUGAUUUGAACUAGAGUGUUUAUAGAGGAUCACAUGUUGUCUUUGAUAAAUUUUGUAGAUUGGUUCUUUGUUAGGUAAGGAGAUGGUUAUUUUAUUUUUAUAUAUUAUUAUUUUUUUUUUGUCUCCUUAUAUCCUUGCUAUUGUUGGACUUUGUGUGUACUUGUGUUGCUGUCUUUUAGGUACUUUUAAUACAAGCCCCUUUCUUUUGCCUAUCAAAAAAGGAAAAAAAAAAUCUCCUUGUAUAGUGGAGUUCUUUGUUUUGAUUAGGCUUGUGUAUUUGUGGGGAGGAUUCCUCAUCCUUCUCAUGAAGUUUUUCUUUAUUAUUAAUACAUCUCUUGUUUUUGAUUAAAAAAAAAAAACAUUCUGUAUGUGAUCUCAGAAGUUGGCAGCAGCCUAGGAAAACCUCAAAAAAGUGCUCAAUUUUUAUAAAAUAUUCUGUCUUUAAAAUGGGAACACCCAUCCUCCCGGACUGUUUUGAGGCACAGAGUAUUGUAGUGGCUCUUUAAUUUUUUUUUUCCUCUUGUUGCUAUAUUUUGGUUUUGCUUUUGCUUUUGUCUCAUCUCUCUCUCUCUCUCUCUCUCUCUCUCUCUCUAUAUAUAUAUAUAUAUAUAUAUAUAUAUAUAUAUAUAUAUAUAUAUAUAUAUGAAAUUGAUCCUCACUUCUUCUAAAACAACAGAAUUCUGCUCAACAUCUUCCUAAAAAUAGAGUGCCAAACAAACCCUUGAGACUUGGGUUAAGUGGUGAAGGGUUGGGGUAGGUUAUGGGAGGUUCUGGGUGUUGGAAAAUAAAAUCUUCUUAUUAUUUCUUUGAAAAAUUAGUAUAAAAAUAUAUAUACAUUCAAACUUGUACAAUAAAUAGAAAUAAAAUAAGACAAUUGACCUAUUCCUAAUAUUCUUCCUACAAAUCUUCUAAAUUACAACUUCCCUAAUUUACAUAGUCAACUAAUUUAAAUAUACAAAAAAUAUGCACAAAAUCAUAAAUAAAUCAAAUCAACUCCAUGAAGUUAGGAAUAAUUAUUAGAUUCCAACACUCCCUCUCAAGCUGGUUCAAAGAUAUCUUCCAUUCCCAGCUUGUUAACCAUAGAGUUGAAUGUAAGAUUCUGAACUCCUUUUGUAAAGACAUCAACUAGUUGUAGUUUGGAUGUAACAAGCAGAGUGGAAAUCAGUCCACUAUCAAUCUUUUCUUUAAUGAAAUGUCUAUCAAUCUCAACAGGUUGUACUGAGUUGUAAGCAAUACUGAUUGCAGCCUUGUUAUCACAAUACAGUCUCAUGGGAUUCUCAAGAUUGACUUGUAGUUCCCUCAAUAAACCCUUUAGCCAAAUGAGUUCACAAAUGCCAAGGGCCAUAACUCGAAACUUUGCUUUAGCACUAGACCGAACAACUAGAUAUUGCUUUUUGCUUCUCCAAGUAAUCAAGUUGUUGCCCACAAAUGUACAAUACCCUGAAGUAGAUCUUCUAUCAGUAAUAGAACCUACCCAAUCUGCAUUUGUGUAAGCUUCAACUCUAAGGUGAUUGUUCUUUGAGAACAAUAAGCCUUUUCCUGGAGUUGACUUUAGGUACCUUAAGAUUCUAAAAAAUGCAUUCAUAUGACAUUCUAAGGGGGAGUGCAUAGACUGACUUACCAUUCUAACAGCAUAUGCUAUAUCUCGUCUCGUGUGGGAUAAAUAAAUUAAGCUCCCAACAAGUCUUUGAUAUCUCCCUUUGUCAACUGGUAUUCCUUUAAUAGACUCCUAAUUGAUGAUUUUGAUCAAUAGGUGUGCUUGUAGGUUUGCAUCCUAGCAUCUCGGUUUCAUUUAUCAAAUCAAGGAUAUAUUUCCUUUGAGUAACAUAAAUUCCCCUUUUUGAUCUUGCCACCUCAAAGCCAAGAAAAUAUCUGAGAUUUCCAAGAUCUGAUUUCAAAUUCUUUUGCCAACUUCCCCUUAAAAUCUGCAUCUCUUCAACGUUAUCUCCAGUGAACAAUUAUGUCAUCUAUAUAAAUAAUAAGUCCAACAAUCUUCUUUUCAAGUGAUUGCUUGAUGAAAAGGGUAUGAUCUCUUUGGCUUUGGUGAUAGCUAAAUUUGAGUAGAGACUUAGCAAAUCUCUCAAACCAUGCUGAAGGAGACUGCUUCAAACCAUAUGAUGAUUUCUUCAAUUUACAAACCUUUCCAUUGCUGAAUUUUCCUUCAAAACUAGGAGGCAAAUCCAUAAAUACUUCUUCCAAGUUUCCAUGCAAAAAAGCAUUUUUUACAUCAAAUUGUUAUAGAGGCCAAUCAAGAUUUGCUGCUAAGGAUAAAAUAACUCUAAUGGAAUUCAUCUUUGCCACAGGUGCAAAAGUUUCUUGCUAGUCAAUUCCAUAGGUUUGUGUGUAUCCCUUUGUCACUAACCUAGCUUUAUACCUUUCAAUCGAACCAUCAGCUUUGUAUUUAAUAGUGAACAUCCACUUGCAUCCCAUUAAUUUUUUUUUUUUUUUGGGAAAUCAACAAUAUCCCAUGUUUCAUUUUUAUACAAGGCUUUCAUCUUCCACCUAGGAUCGCCUAGAGCCUCUUGUACGUUUUUAAGAACUGAAUCUGAGGACAAAUGAGUGGUAAAGGCCUUAUAUUGGUGGCAAAGUCUAUGAUAGGAUAGAAAGUUUGACAAAGGAUGUUUAGUACAACUUCUAACACCUUUGCAAAUAGCUCUAUGAAUAUCAAGAUCAGUGUCAAAAUUAUGAUUAAGAAGAGAGGGAUUAGAAGGAUUAGAUGUACCUAAUUUUGGAGUUGAUGAUUGGCUGUGUGCAAGAGAGAUUGGGUCUUGCUCUUGCAUUAGCCUUAGCCUCCUAGAGUAAACCAUCAAGCCUGAAUCAACAAUUUCUACUACUGCUGGUUUUAUGAUGUCAGUUUCUUUUCCUGCUGCUGGUUGUAUGUUGUCUAUCUCCUCAACAUCACCAUAUUCAGUAACAUGAUUCCAAAUUGGUAAAGGAAGUAUCGAAAACUGAUCUUCUUGCAAUAUUUUCUCCUCCCUGAAGAUCAGAUUUCUGGUAAUAGUGCUGGUCUUUAUCUUCUUCAGGAUUGCUUUCAGUCAAGUCUUUCUUUAUAGCCUUGUCCCAAGUGCCCGAUUUAUCUCCUUGUUUUCCUACUAAGUUUGUAUGGAAUUCUCAAGUCCCUUUCAAAGUCAAGUCCUUUGUCUGGUUAGUGGCACACAAGAAGGUAAACACUAAUGACUUGCUACAAUUGAGAAGACCCUACAAAGCUCUUAGUCCUGACAUUUGUAAGUUGUGCAUGAAGCAAGGAGAUUCGGUAGAUCAUCUUUUCCUACAUUGUUUCUUGUCCAUGGGGUUGUGGCAUAGAUUAUUUCAGCUAGCCAAGAUGGAUUAGGUUCCUCUAAGAAGCAUUUCAGACAUGAUGUUUAUCAAUUAUAAAGGUUUUGGCACUUCCAAAAGAGGGAUAGUUUUGUGGCAAAAUGCAUGCAUUGCUUUAAUUUGGGUUGUGUGGCGGGAAAGAAAUGUUAGGAUAUUUGAGGACAAAGGUAGGAAUUCCGAGAAUCUAUGGGAUUCCAUUCACUUCCUAGCUUCUCUUUGGGCUUAUUGUUCCAUGGUUUUUAAGGGCAUUCCCCUUAACGUGUUACAAUUAUAUUGGUUAGCAGUGUGUAGUUCCAACGAGAUGGUCUAGCCAAGAGAGCUGGUUCGUAGUUUUCAUAGUGUAGUUUCUUGUUCUUUUAUUGUGUUGUUUAGUUUUAUCUUUGGUGGGAGGAUUCCUCAUCCUUCUUUUGUAUUUCUUAUUCUUUCAAUAUAUUUGUUGUUUCCUAUCAAAAAAAAAAAAAAAAAAAUAGUGCUGGUUUUCAUAAAAAACUUACAUCUAUGGAGACAAAUUUCCUUUGUGUAGGUGGGUGAUAGCACUUGCAUCCUUUUUGUGUGGGGGAAUAGCCCAAACAAAAAAAAAUACACUUAGUGGCUUUGAGAUCAAGUUUGGAUCUAUUUUUGUUUGGAAUAUGGACAAAUAUAGCACAACCAAAGACUUUGGGUGGAAGGGAGCCAAGGCAAUUUAUGUGAGGUAGGUGUUGUUUUAGGAUGUCUAUUGGAGUCUUGGAGUUUAAGCUUUUUGUAGGCAUUCGAUCGAUAAGGUAGACAGCUGUAAGUAGUGUAUCUCCUAAAAAAACUUAGAAAAAUUUCUAGCAAACCUUAGGGCUCUAGCUACCUCCAACAAAUGUCUAUUCUUCCUUUCGGUUAUCCCAUUUUGUUGAGGAGUACCUAUACAAGAGGUUUGAUGAAUAAUCCUAUUCUCUAAGAAAUAAUUUCCAAGGGUUUGGUUUAAAUAUUCCCCUCCACACAACUUGCAAUUUUGCAUUAAAUUGGGUUAAGAUCAUUUGGUGGAAUUGUUUAAGGGUGAGGAUGGUAUCAAAGUUUUCUUUUAGGAGAUAGAUCCAUGUGGUUCGAGUACAAUCAUCAAUAAAACUUAUGAAUCAUUUUGCUUUUGAAUGACAAGGACUUGUGAAGGACCCUAAACAUUAGUGUGGAUGAGAGAAAAGAAUUUCACUUCUUUUACUGCUCAAAGGAUAAGAAAUUCAGUGGUUUUUUGAUAACUCACAAACUUCGCAUUGGAAUAUAGAAGGAUCUAGGUUGACACACAAUUUAGGGUACAAAGUUUUCAAAGAGAAAAAACUUGGAUGCCCUAAUCUUUCAUGUAUUAACCUAAGUUCUUUUUUUGUAUUUCCUUUUAUUUGAUGAGCUUGAAUUUUUCCUUUCUCCUUAGUAACCAAGUAAUAGAGACCCUCUCUCUUUAGCACUACCAAUUAUCUUCCUCGUAGUUAGGUCCUGAAACACAUAAUGAGUGGGAAAGAAAGUUACAAAACAAUUUUGAGGUUUUGUUAAUUUACUGAUGAACAAUAAGUUACAAGACAUAUUUAGGACAUGCAAAUAAGAUGAAAGAGUGAUAUAGGGAGUGACUGAAACAUUGCCUAUACCACUAAUAGGAGUCAAAGAUCUAUUAGCAACCUAUACUUUUUGGUUGCUAAAACAUGAAAUGUAGGAUAGAAAAACAUUAGACUCUUUAGUCAUGUGAUCAAUUACCCGUAAAUCAAUAAUCCAAGUGUUAGAAUGAAGAAUGCUAGAAGCACUAAGUACCUGACUGUGCAAAAGCACAAGAAGUGGGGGAAGAGGAAACCUUGGAUUUUCCCAUGAUCUUAUACAAGAGAUCUAGUUGUUCUUUUGUGAAAGGGAGUUUGAUUGAGGUUGAUGUUGAACCUAGUGUCUUUGCUGUUUCUAAAUUGCAUGUUACCCUUGUGGCUGUCCUUAGCCCUUGAUUGUGGCUUUCCAUGCAAUUUCCAGCAUGUCUCUCUAGUGUAUCUUGGCUUAUUGCAAUGAUGGCAAUAAAUAAGGGUUGAUGGCAAUAGAAGGUUGUGAAUAUGAUAGGUAAGGCUUGACAAUGAAGGCCAAGAAGAAGGAAAAAAAAAAACUACUAGAAACCUUUUUCCAACUCUAAUACCAUGUUGGAAAAUAAAAUCUUAUUAUUAUUUUUUUGAAAAAUUAAUGCAAAAACAUAUAUACAACUUUCAAACUUGUAUAAUAAAUGGAAAUAGAAUAAGACAAUUGACCUAUUCCUAAAAUUCUUCCGACAAAUCCUCUAAAUUACAACUUCCUUAAUUUACAUAGUCAACUAAUUUAAAUAUGUAGAAAAUAUGCACAAAAUCAGGAAUAAAUCAAAUAAACUCUAUAAAAUUAGGAAUAAUUAUUGGAUUUCAACACUAGGUUUGUGUUUUAGGAGAGAGAAAAAAGAAGUGCCAAAUAAUUAGAAGGCUGAUGAACAGCUGGACCAUCAAGAAAGAACUGGGCCACUAAGAUACUCAUGUUGGUGAUAGCAGCACAAGUUGGGUUCAGGCCCAUCUUAUUUGAUAUAUUGGUAUAAAAAUGUUACUUUACGUUAGUCAUGGGUAUACUGCAGGUUGUCAUGCACAAAAAGAUGAUUUAUAUCUUAACUGCACUUGUUUUUUCCCCCCAAUGGGAAACUGAAGUAUCAUUAGUAGGAAAGUAUGAAGAAGGAUGUGAGGUCCUUUAGAGGUGAUACGAAUGUAGGAAGAAGGGAAAAUAAAAACCACAACACUGGAAAACUUCUCCAGCCAAUAGAAAACCCCUCCAACUAAACCGAAGAAAAACUCAAAUGGGGAGAAAUUUCCUACAAACUCAAUGGGAGAGGAAGCUCCUUCUUGGCUAGAAAGUUGGUAUCUUGGUUAGCCAACCUAGACUUCCAUGCGAAGAAGCAACCUAUAUAGAUCUUAAAAGAUCCAGAAUACAGUGAACCCAAGGAGCAUAUUUCUAAGGUCCUUUCUUGUUCGAUGAUGCUCUAGAUGGAACUUCUGUGAAAUCCUGCUACAUUUAAAAGGUAAAAGUCCAUUAUGAGCUCUUCUUUCAGGUCUUCCAAUAGGGCAUAAAUCUUUGCCUGAAUAUCCAAGGCAAAACUAGCAGGCCUUGAGAAUGCUCUGACAAACCCACUUUUAUGAUCCUUGAUAAGGCCACCAGUACCCAUUUAAAGUUACACUGCAUGCAUUCAUCACUAUUAAGCUUAAUGCACCUGAAAGUUGGGUUGGAUUCUAAGCGACUCCCCUCCACUGAGAGAAGCAAAUCUAUUCGAAUCCUAAAAAAGAAUGCCAACAGUUUGGUGAGUCGGUGACAACCACCUAUUAUUUGUGCAUGAGUUGGUGACUCAUUAUAGGUCUAAUGUCAAAUGCUGCACCACCAUUUCGUUUGUUAGCUGUUAGUGGUUAAUUUUGCCCUAGCUGUCUGGUUCAAGUGGCAAAGGGUUGGGAGGGUUUGUGGGAGGUUUCUGGUUCAAGUUCCAAUGGGCACAAAAAUUGACCUACCAAUUCUUUUUUUUAUUUUUGUUUUUUAUUAAUUAGCAUCAUAUUACAGCUCAAUGAAACUGCAAUGCCCUGGCUUUCUUUUCAUCUUCAUGUGAAUGAUAUUUUCAUAUCUAACCUGAUUAUUUUCCUUUUUGACAGUCUUUCCUAUGUUAAAUCGUUUGGAUACUGCUCUUAUUUAUUCUCAAUGUUUUGUUUACUUGUUUUCAAUUUGACUUUACCAUUUAUUAAAGUUUAUUGACAUCUUGCAGGAGAGGUUUAUCUGAAUCAGAAAUAAACUUUCUUAAGGAGGUAUUUUCCAGAUUCUUUCUGGCCUUUUAUGUUCAAAUAUCUGUUAUGGUCUUUCAGUUCUUUGAAUGUUCAUGUCUUGUAAUCCUUCUCUCCAUUUAGUAAUCUUGGUAAUUCUACCAGUUUUGAUGUGCUUUGACCAAAUUAUCAGUUUGUUUACCUUUGAAGUAUUAAUAGUUGCUUCUUAGAUUUUUCUGGGUGCUUUAUAAGCUUUUGUAGAAUCAGCAUUAAAGGGCUUCUUUUUCUGAACAGAAUAAGGACUUGCAAACAAAAAUUCUUCAGUCAGGAACUAUUCCAGAAAGUGUUCUUGGUGAGGAAGACAUCCACUCUUAGUUUCUUAUAUUAUUUUGAAUCAGAUGUUGGACAAUUAUGCCAAGUAUAUUAAAAAUUAGAACUACUCUAAAAACAAAAUAUUUUGCCAGCUCUUGAAAAGAUUAAGAGACCCCUGUACGAAAAGCAUCCAAUGGAGAAGUUUGCUUGGACAAUAACUGAAGACACUGAUACGGUCAGUAUACUUUUUGUUUGCAUUAUUGAAAAUAGAAAAAAUGAUGAUCUUAUUAUCAUUGCUUCUUAUUUGAGUUGUUGUUACCUUUUAAUUUAUUGUUAUUUUUCAAAUUUAAAAGAGAAACAAAGACCUUUGUAGAAGGGCUGAGAAUUACAGAAAGAGGAAGGGAAUUCCUUCAAAGAGAAGUAUAAUUUGUUAUUGAUAUUUGAGAUAGUUUGUGUUUGAAGAAGCAAAGUUAUUUUGGGCCUCUUUGCUUAUCCAAAAAAGAAGCAAGGAUAUUACUUCUUCAUCUCUAUGCAGCAAGAUUUGUGGAGGCUUAUUGAACACAAAGAUGAAUUGAGAAUGAAUUUCUGAUUCAUUCAUCUACCAUGUACAUACAGUCAUAUUUAUAGAUACAAUGGUCUAAAUCCAUUUAAGGGAGUGGCCUAUUUACAGGAAAUAAUUCAAAGAAUAAAAUAUUCUGAAAUAUUCUAAAGAAUAAAAUAUUUUAAAAUAUUCUCAAGAUGGAUGAUACUUCCAAAAUUUCAGUAGUGAAUCUCCAAUCUUUCCAUACUCAUUAUGUGAUCUAUUUGGCAAUGUAUCAAAAGUUCUGGUGUCAAAGAGGAAGUCCCAUAAAUAGAAAAAAAAAAAAAAAAAAAAAAAGAAGAGAAAAUAGAGGCAAUGCCUAUAAUUUGCGUCGGUAGAGAGUAUAUCUUAUUGAAAAGAUUGCUAGGGGAGGAUAUUUCUCCUAUAUUAUCACCUGUUCUUUAAUUUUCAGAACCAAUCAUAUCUGAGCAACUCAGCAUCAGGAAAGGCGCAAUGUUCCAUUUCUGAUGAGUUCCUCAGUUAAUGUAGAAGAGAAAAAAUCAUACAGAAUAGAAACCUGAAAAUGCAGAAAAAAAUUCAAGUUGUUUUGAUUUAUCUCAGCCAUCUAAUUUCACUCUAAUUCAGUGUGUGCUAGACAUGUGUAUACUACUGAUAAAGAGAAAAUUUUAAAGCUUAAUGAAUGAUACUAGAUUCUUGUUGCAAACCUACUCAAUGGAACUGAUUAGAUGGUGGAUCAUAUGCUACUGAAUGGUUGCAACAAAUUAACUGUUUAUCAAUCAUGGAGAGUAUGUCCAUUAGAAACAAAUUCCUAUAGAAGUGAUUUAACUGUCUAAUUCCUUAGGCGGAAGAAUAACUCUAAUUUAGUCCUACUUGUCUCGCAUUCCUAACUAUUUUUUCUCUCUUUUUAAGAUUCCAUCUUUAGUCCCAUCUAAGAUUGAGAAAUUUAAUAGGGAUUUUCUUUGAUCAAAGGGAUGAGAGAGGAUAAGAGAGACCGCCUCAUCAACUUAGACCUAGUAUGCAAGCCAAAGAUGGAAGGGGGUUUGGGCCUUGGGAGGAUUUCUUUGAGGAAUUAUGUCCUUUUAGGGAAGUAACUUUAGAGGCUCCCAAGAGAAAGUUCUACCCUUUGACCAAGUUAUUUUGACCAUCUAUGGAACACAACCCUACGGUUGGGACACCAACAUUCUAGUCAGGUGGUCACAUCAAUCUCCUUGAAAAGUUAUUGCAUAGGUUUUUUAGGAUUUUUCUAGAUUCACCCAUUUUGUGGUAGGUGAUGGUGUAAGAAUUUGUUUUUGGGAAGAUUUGUGAUGGAGGGAUCACAGUUAGAAAUCUUUCUAUCCUAUCUAUCCUUGGAGCUAAAUUUUGGCCACAACCUAAAUGACUUGGAGAUAGAGGAUCUUGAAAGACUCAUAUUUUGUCUCACCCAUGCACCUUGUCACCAUCCAUUCUAGAUGCCAGAAAUCUUUCUAUACUUUAGACACAAUUCCGUUCUUUGUAGCUAAAUUUCUAUGGAAAUUUAAAGUCUCAUCUAAGGUCAAAACCUUUGCUUGGCUAGUGGGGGGUACAUAAAAAGAUAAACACCAUUGACAUGUUACAAUUACAAACAUCUUACAAAGCCCUUAGACUUGAAUGGUGCAUUUUGUGCUAAAGGGGUGGAGAAACAAUUGAUCAUUUUUUUUUUUUUUACAUUGAAUGGUGACUUUAUGCCUAUGCCUAUGGCAAAGGCUAUUCAAAUUAGCCAAGAUUGAAUUCCACCAAGGAGCAUAUGUGAUAUGAUAACUAUUUCAUAUAGGGGUUUGGAGAGCUCCAUUAGAGGUAAAGCCCUAUGGCAAAUCACUUGUCUUUUGUUGAUAUGGUUUGUGUAGAGGGAAAUAAAUGUUAGAAUUUUUGAGAAGUGAAGGGUUUCAGAGACAAUUUGGAAUCUAAUUCAUUUCUAUUCAUCUCUUUGGGCCUCUUAUAUCAUGACAUUCAAGGGCGUCCCUCUCGAUGUUGUUCAGCUCAACUGAUAGUCGAUGUGUAGAUCAUAAGGGAUUGAAAAAUGAAGAUACGAGAGUUGCUUUGAUCCUAUUUGAUCGAGAUGAUGUUAUUUCUCAUGGAUGCUAAGAUGUAUAAAUUUUUUAUGGUUCUACAUGGAUAUAUAGGUCUUAUUAGUAUAUGAAAUAGUCAAAUCUUUUUUUUUUUUGUUUAACUUUUAUAAGUUUGGGGAGGAUUUCUCAUUCUUCUCAUGUUUUUACUUUAUCCAUUUCUAUUACAUUCUUGUUUAUGAUUGAAAAAAAGAAAAAAGAAAAAAGAUUGUUUCUCUCUUUUAAUGUCUAGUAACCAGUCAUAACUUGUUGUAGCAUCACAAGAGGAUCAGGACCACUAACCCAUGGAAAAUCUUUUUGGUUGAUCAAUCUUUCAGGAUUGUUUUAUUUGUUUCUCCUUCCCUUUUAGUCUCUAUCAAAUUCCUUAAUCGUGGAAGCAAAUGAUAUUUGAAAAAAGGGGAAUGAAAUUCUGAUAGUUGAUGGCUAGAUUUCAUCAAAUGAUGGCAAUUUAUUUGUUCACAAUUUAACUACUAGGGUCCAUCAGAUGAUUUAUCUAUAUGCAUCUUUACUGAUGAUCCUCACUAUGCGAUUGAUUCAACUUCUGUGAUUCAAUUUCUAUAACUCUGUUGGAUAUUCAAAAAUACCUCUGAUGUAUGUAAAUGUAAAUGAUAAUGAAGUGGAGAGUAUUGAAGUCCUAGAAAACUUAAAAAAUGCUAAACCCCCUAUGCGAACUCCAUCUUCCAUUCUGUUAGAAUACAGAAUUUUCCUGUGGUGGCAGUUAUGAUGAGAGGUAUAUUUCAUUAAUUUUUUUGAAAAUCCACCAAGCACAAAGUCUGCUUUUUCUAUUGUAAAAAUCAGAGUAUUGAGUGUUUUAGUCUGCCAUUAUAAAAAUUUUCAGGUAGAAUGGUCCAAUAUUUGCCUAGAUGCAUUGAAUAAUGUAGAUCGGUUUUAUCAAGGAAAGGACACUGCUGAUAUCAUUCAUGGCAAAGUUAUACAAGUAUGUUUUUCUGUCUCUCUUUUUUUGGAUAUGAGAUGGGUCUUUGGAAGUUUAACUUAUUUUAUAGAUGUUCUUAUUUUUCCUUUAUAUUCCAAGAUAUUGAAAGGAAAGAAUGAAGAUAUGAAACAGCUAUUUGGAAAAGAAUUAAAAUCUGGGGACUUAAGUGGUAUCCAUGCAGAGUGUCUUACGGAUACAUGGAUUGGAAAGGACAGGUUCUCUCUGUCUCUCUCUCUCUCUCUCUCUCUCUCUCUCUCUCACACACACACACACACACACACACACAAACUUACACCAUAUGCUUGGCAGGGCUUAAUCUCACUACAAUCUGUAACAGAUGGGCAUUUAUUGAUUUAAGUGCAGGCCCUUUCUCUUGGGGCCCUGCUGUUGGUGGAGAAGGUGUGCGCACGGAACUUAGUUUACCAAAUGUGAAAAAAACCAUUGGUGCUGUUGCAGGUACUACUCAUGGUUUCAUUUCCCAUCAAUGAUUGCAUUUCCUUGCUGUGCAAAUGAAUGUCUGUUAUAUCGGUGAUGAUUGCAGUGUGCCAGUUAAUAGUAUGAAUUUGAUGUUAGAAUGUUGUUAAGAAGACUUGAUGUGUUAUUUAUUACCAAAGAACAUUGUACUAUAUGUCAGUACAAGUGGUGUGGCUGUCAAGGUAUUUAAUUCUUUGCUUGUUUGCAUUUUCUAUAAAACAUGAUCUCAUUUCACGUUGCUGCAGAAAAUGUGGGGAAUCUUUCCUUGAUUUAAUUUUUUCAAUAUCUACUUAACAUUUGCAUGUUCUGUUAGAAAAAUGAUUAUAGUUUUUGUUUCCCCUCAACCCACUAAAUACUUAUUUUCAUCUACCAGGAUUUGGUCCAGUUGAGACACUCUUUUGAUGGUUUACUAGUAUUGACUUUACAUGUUUUUGAAUCAUGCAGUACUGUGUUCUCUAUUCAAGCUAUUUUAUUGUUUCUACCCACAUUAAGUUUUAUUUUCUUCAUGGCAUCCAGAGAUUUCAGAAGAUGAAGCUGAAGAUCGCUUGCAAGAUGCAAUUCAGGAAAAAUUUGCCGCUUUUGGUGAUGUAUGUGCUUUAUGAUGAAAUAAUAAUUAAUUAUGCAUUUUGAUAUUGUUUAUUGGAACUUAUAAAUGACAAAAUCAUGGGUUGUGUUUGAAAUCAUGUGCUUCUUCAUAUUGCAGUCGCUUCUUGAUUUUCUUCUUUAUGAUUUUGUAAAAUGUCUCUGGUGAAAGACAACUCUAGAAUGAUUGACUAAAAUCAAAUAGGUGGGCUAGGACUUUAAUCUUUUAGGAUUUAAGGAGAGGAAUGAUAAACUAAGAUUAUAAAAAUGGGAAAAAAAAUAUAUAGAACAAGAAAAAAAUAAAGAACUAAGCCCCAACGAGUUAGAUGCUUUAUAAAAUUCAUAAAGAUCAAAGAUUGGGCUUCUAAAAAGUAGUGGCUAUAACCCAAGUAUUCUCGAAGGUGGUUUCUUUCACCAUUUUGUAAAAAAAUUUUGGUUUCCGCCUCCUUGAUGAGUUUAUAUAAUUUGAUCUUCAAGGCGAUAAUCUUAUAACUUGGCUUAUAAUGAGGUGGUGGUUGAAUAUCUAUGUCCAAACUUACAUUGUCUUGAUACCAUGAUAAGCAGACAAAUCUUCCACAUUAGAUAUAUUUUUUUGAUAGGUAAACAAGAAAUGCAUUAAAAGCGCCAAAAAGAGUGCACCAUAGUACACAAGAUGCAUACAACGACCGCUAAAAGAUGGCCAAACAAUAGGGAAGGGAAAAACAAAAAACUACUCCCUCCCUCAGUGAGAACCCAACCCAAUCAAUGAAAUCACAUGAGGACAUUGAGCCUACAACCAAGUACAACUUGGUCCAAGAAAACAAGUUAUAGAGGAACAAGUUCCACAUUAAAUAUCAAAUUGGAACACAAUUAUGAGGUAAGUUCUAUCAAAUUAGCAUUUUCACACAAGGGCUUUAUUACUCAGAAUGGUUCGUCUUUCUUCAAAUGAAGCUUUGAACAAGGCUCUCCUUAGUAAGUGGAGAAUUUUGGGAAAGAAGAGGGGGGUGGUUGUUCUAUGGAGGUGAGGAAGUGGUAUGGUUUAGUGUUGUGGAAGGCAAUAAGGAGACAAUGGGGAAUUUUCAAAAGUAAAAUUUAUGAUGUAGUUAGUUGAUGGAGGGUAAACAUUUGGAACAACAUAUGGUGUGAGGAUUUGUUUUUGAGGGUUUCUUUCACAAUUGUUGUAUGCUAUAUCUAGCUUAAGGUUGCUUGGGUAGUUGAUGCAUGGGAAUGGGCUGGCUGGUGAGGGGAGGGGGGUUGGGGGUUGCCGCAUUGGGCUCCAUGUUUCUCAAGAUAGCUCCAUGACUAGGAGUUGGAUGGUGUUGAAGCAUUCUUUCUGAGUUUCUGUAAGAAGGGAGGUUGAGGAUUGGGUGACAUGGAUGGUCCUAAAGAGUGAUAACUUUGCAAUUAAAUCCUAUUAUUCUUGGUUGGAGCAUGGGAGAUCGGUCUUUUUCUAGUGGAUGUUGAAAUCCUUGGGUUUCAACAAAAGUGAGCUUUAUGCUUGGGAAGCAGGUUGGAAAGGAAGCUUGACUUGAGAAAAAUUAAAGAUGGAGGGGAUGGACAUUGAUGAAUAAGUGUGUUAUGUGAAAAGGCGAGGAAGAAUUUGUUGAGCAUGCACUCCUUUACUAUUUCAAGGCAAGACUUCUAUGAUAGCUAGCCUUUCCCUUGUUUGGGAUAAUAUGGGUGCUAAAUUCAUCGCUUAAAACAACUCUACUAAGUUAGCAUGGACUUUUUGUUAGGAAGAUGUAAAAGAAAGCAUGGAAACCUGCAUAUUUGUAUUUUUUUUUUUUGGGACUAUUUGGAAAGAGAGAAAUAGGAGGGGUUUUGACGAUGCAAAUCUAUUAGAUCAAGAGAUUAAAUCCUUUUUUUUUUAUGAAAAAUCUUUUGGAGUAGGUCAAAGGGGGUUUAGAGGAUGUGUGCAUGUUUAUGGGAGAUUUUGUCAAUUGGUUAUGAUGCAAGUAAGGGGAAGGAGUGUUUUUUAUUUUAUUUUUCAUCUUGUUUUUUGCCUUGCUUUCCUUGCCUUAAAAAAAAAAAGAAACUUAUGAAAGAUGAAAUUUUACUUGAAACUCAAGACAGUGACUUUUUGUCUAUUAUAUAUGGGGAAUGGUGAAUCUAUGUAUAUAUAUAAUUACUUCUGGGGGCAGAGCCAGAUGGCUGUUGACACACCAAUACAUCACCAAAAUUUAAUUAUUAAAAGAUUAAGUAUUUUGGAGCUUCUGCUCCUAUAUUGGUUGAAUCUUGUCUGUAGAACUUCUUCCCUUUUCUUUUUCAUCUUGUCUUUAAUAAUUUUAUAUCUGUAUCAGUCUAUGUAAAAGAUUUUCAAAAUUGGAAAAAAAAGGAACAAAAUUAGGUUAUCCCUGUUAUACAAACAGGACUUGUGACAUGCUAUUGAGGAUUCUUUAGGAGUUUGGAUUAACUUAGGACAACAAAAUGGGCACAUUCUUCUUAUCNNNNNNNNNNNNNNNNNNNNNNNNNNNNNNNNNNNNNNNNNNNNNNNNNNNNNNNNNNNNNNNNNNNNNNNNNNNNNNNNNNNNNNNNNNNNNNNNNAAAAAAGUGAGAAAGUAGUUUCAUUUUAUUGUUUAGAAAGUUUUUGCUAACCAUUAAAAUUUGUGUUAUUUUCUCUAAAUCUUUGAAGAAUUCUAUAGUUUUCUGGUGAGAAUUAAUGUGCACAGAGGCAUCAACUUUGGUAAGAAUUGGUUUCCCUAUCAAAGUCGAUGUAAACAAUAGUGAGGAUUGGACAGUUAAUAUAACUUUUUUUGGCUUGUUCUUUUAACUUUGUUUGAACUGUGAUGUUUUUAUUAUUGUGACUAUAAUAUGACAUUUAAAUGUUGCAGAAAGAUCACCAGGCUAUUGAUAUCCUUCUAGCAGAGAUUGAUAUAUAUGAGCUUUUUGCUUUCAAACAUUGCAAGGGAAGGAAAGUUAAGCUUGCUCUUUGUGAGGGUAAUUUCUUCUUCAAGCUAAGAAAAUUCUUUGGAAAAAUUAUACUUAGAGUCGGGGGGCGGGGGCAACUGGUUUGGUGCAGCAUAAGAUUGAGAACCAAACUGAUCAUCAUACUUUUUUUCAGUUCAAUUCCUUAAGCAGUUUGGUCAGAGUACUGGAUUCCUAAACUAGGAACCAAGUUUUGGUUGAUUUUGUUCUAGAAUUGUGUUAAUUGGUUUGAACCAAAAAUGCCCCAGAACCUAAAUUUACUGAAGUAAAUAGGGUUUAUAGCCUUUUUCCAUUGCCGCUUACUUUGAAUUCAUAGAUUGAGUGGUUCUUUAUGUAUAUCUGUGUAUUAGGUUUGGCCCCUUUUGGCCCUUUUAUUUAAUAGGCAAGUAAAAAUUGUAUUAAACCGAAAUACAGGAAGUUAUACACAAUGAAUACAAAGCGUCCAAAAGACCAAAAAAAGGUGCGAAGACACAAAAACCAACAACCAUGCCCUACAUAGAGCCUAACGAUUCAUAAAGUCUAUCAACGACAAAGGAUCAUUCCCAAUAUACACUCUAACGCAAUCCCAAAAAAGAUACAAGAAAGAAUUUUUAAUUGUUUGGUCCAUAAAACAUACAUCUUUUAUUAUUUGGCACUUUAAAUAUGCAUCUUUUAUUGUCCAUAAAACAAAUUGCUUAUUUUGAAAAUUUGAAACUUAGAACCUUGCUCUAAAAAUGUGACAUAUUUUGGUUUGCUGAUACUAACUCAAAUUUCUUUUAAUUGUUGAAUCCAGUGAUGGCAAGUGCUGUCAUCAUUUAUUUCAGUUGAAUUUUUUAGCCUUGGUUGAGUUAGUUAAUCAAAAAAUCAUUAUAAGCCUAAUUUUAUCUUUUCUAAAAUUGAAAAAAGUAGGACUAUAAUAGUUAUUUUUGUUUCUCAACAAGUCAAAUAAAGGUAAGAGUGUUUUCUCAUAGCAAACUUUCGGGAUCUUUAAUAAUUUUUCUAACUGAAUGUGAUGGUAAGGGAGGUGCAUAAUCAUGUAGCAAACAGAAGAGAGGAUACUGUUUAAAAUGUCAGAGGAGAUAUGUGAAACCCAAACCCAUAAGGUUUUAUUACAAGUUGAAGCUUUUUUUUUCCUUGUGAAGGUGAAGUCUGAUCAUAUUUUUCUUGUGGAAUUAGUUUGUAUAAGAAGCUUAUCAGAAAAUUUAGUUCUAUGAGAAAUAUAGCUAAAAGCAUAAAAGUAUGCAUGCUCUUAAAAUCCUUCAAUUUUACAGUUGUGUGUAUAUGUGUAUGGCUUUUAGUUUACUUACAACAGAGGGGCUUUCUUUUUUUUUUUUUUCUGUGUUUUUUUUUUUUUUAAGUUGGAUGCCUUUAUUGAUGAUUUCAGAGCUUGAUGAGAGAAUGCGGGAUUUAAAAAAUGAGCUCCAGUCUUUUGAAGGUGGAGAAUAUGAUGAAAGCCAUAGAAGAAAGGCUGUAGAUGCAUUAAAUCGAAUGGAGAGCUGGAAUUUGUUUAGUGAUACUCAUGAGGUAUGCCACUUGAUUCAUAUAGAUUUUAAUUUUUCUUGCCCUUUAUUACUCUUAAUGCAUAUCCAUUUUAUCCAUAUAACAAUUUCCAGAAAAGGUAUAUAACAAUUUCAAGAAAAGGACAUGCCUCUGGAUUAGAAAGGAAAAAGGUUUCUCUCAACAUGAUAACAAUUUUCCUCUACAGGAGUUCCAGAACUACACAGUUGCACGUGAUACUUUUCUUGCCCAUUUAGGUGCAACAUUGUGGGGCUCUAUGAGACACAUUAUAUCACCUUCCAUUGCUGAUGGGGCUUUCCAUUUUUAUGACAAGAUAUCUUUUCAGUUGUUUUUUAUCACUCAGGAGGUAUGAUGUUUAACUUAUGAGUUUGAGGGGAUUCCAUAAGCUUGAUGGUGUAAAGUGAAAAGGGAUAUUCAGUCUAAAUUUAUUGAUGCAGAAAGUUAGACACAUCAAACAAUUGCCAGUGGAUCUCAAGGCGCUCACAGAAGGGCUUUCCUCUUUGUUGUUACCUUCUCAGAAAGCUAUGUUUAGUCAGCACAUGUAUGAGUUCUGCAUUGUUGCUUUAUUUCUUUUAUUUUUCUAGUAUACUGAUAGGUCCUUACAUUAUUUGGCUACUAUAUUUUUCUUUCCUGAUGCCUGUGAUCUUCUGUGGGAUUUUAUUUUUAUUUUGGUCUUAUGCUGCCAUCUGUCAGCAUUAAAAUUUCAUUUUGUGAUCUUGUUAUUCUAUUGAUUUUUUUAAAUGAUUAUAUGCUGACAUAUAAGGGUGUUCAUUCUUCUUAAUUUAUAAAUUGCUUCAAGCCUUAUUGAUGUUGCUAAGUUUUGUAGGUUACCACUUUCAGAGGAUCCUGCUUUGGCUAUGGCCUUUUCAGUGGCACGGCGAGCUGCAGCUGUCCCACUUUUGCUUGUUAAUGGAACAUAUAGGAAAACAAUUCGGACCUAUCUUGAUUCCUCCAUCCUCCAGCACCAGUUGCAGAGGCUCAAUGAUCAUGGUUCUCUUAAAGGUUGCCUGCAGCUUUAUGUUCCUUUUUUUAAUUUAUCUAUCUUUUAAUUUUCCUCUUCCCCCAAAUUGUCAAAAUGAUUUUCGUUUUCUUUCAUAUUUCAUCUUCUAAGAGGUGUUAGAGCUUUAGCUCAAUCCAUGUUAAUAUAAUUGUUAGCUCAUUAUCCAAAAAUUUAAGUUUCUUGAUUAAUUUAUGUCUUAAUAUGGUAUUAGAGCCCUUCUUUACGAGAGACCUAUCAAAAAAAAAGAGCCCUUCUUUAUGGGAGAUCAUUAGUUCAAAGUUCACUGAUGUUUUUUUCCCCUAUUGUUGAGGCCAUGUCAACACCCAAUGAAAGCUGCUUGUGAAGCCAGGUGUUACAGUUUUAGCCCUAGUCAGCUUGAUAUACAUUGUUUGCCCAUUAGCAUUGGAGUUAAUUGGUAACUUAACAGGGGUAUGCGGUGACUCUUAUUGAUGGAUUAUAUCUCAUGAACCAGAUGUUGACUAGUUUGCAUCAUGAAUAUAGAAUUUUCCCUCUACUCCAGUUAAUAAAAUCACAGUUCAAUUUUUGGUACUGAAAGUUAAACUUGUGUUUGUGCCAACAGGUAUAAAACCUUUGAAUUAUGGACAUAAUAAGAGGACAAGAAUGGAAUGCCACGUGAAAUUACUUUAUUCUUUUUAUCACCAUAGUUUACAAACUGUAUUUUAUCUCAUUCAUUUGUGCAACUUGGGCUGAUACUCAAUAAAAUCCGUCUAAUGGGUAGGGAAUGUGAGGUGCACACACAUUUUGGCUAUGAAAACGGAUUACAUUUUAGUGGAUGACCAUAAAAUAUACAUUGUUGGAUGAUUCAUUUGUAAAUUAAGUGUGCUAUUUCUGUUGAAGGCAUUAUACUUAUCCAAAUUAUGCAUCAUUGUCUUUACACCAUUCACUGCACCAGGUAAAUAGGGUUUAUAAGCCCAGAUGCUUUGUAUAUUCUGGAAGAAAUAACAAAAUGUUUUUAAUAAUGCAGGGAUGCACGCCCAUAGCAGGUCCACGCUGGAAGUUCCAAUUUUUUGGUUUCUUCAUAGUGAACCGUUAUUAGUUGACAAGCAUUAUCAGGCAAAGGCACUUUCUGACAUGGUUAUUGUUGUCCAGUCAGAGACAUCAUCCUGGGAAAGCCAUCUGCAGUGUAAUGGGAAAUCACUUCUUUGGGAUUUGAGGUUGCAAUUUCUGGCAAUUUAGUGUUGAGUUUUUAAUAAGUUAUUCUUUGUUCUUUAGCUUUCUUGGUCUGGUGUAAUUUUAGCCUAGGAAUUUCCAGCAGAUGCAGCUUUGUAAUGUUUAGUCAAGGAUGACAUGUUAUAGAUUUGUUAGAUAUUUGUGCAAAACCACUAUUUCUCAAAUCAUCUAGCAAGUUUGAUCCAAUCAUGCUUUAAACCUGACAAAUAAAAUGGCAGCACCUAUAUGGACUGCCUUCUGGCUUAGGAAGUAAUGAUAAUCUUGCUAAAUUCAGGCAAGAUCCAUUUAUAUGCCUCUUUCUCUACUAUGUUAAGUAAUCUUGCUUAUAUCCGUGUUUUUUGGAACUACCAAUCCCCUAUGUAUUAGGUUUGAGUUGUGAUCUAUGGCAUCUGAAUUUUGGAAUCAGGUGAUAGAACUUUCAAGUUGUACCAUGUUAUUUUUUUUCUUUUAUCAGAACAGAAUAUAUCUAUACAGUAUGCCUUUUUUACUUGAUUGCAAAUAAAUAGGCAACUCCAUAUAAAAUGCUUGUCUAGAUACAAACAUGUGGGGUAUCCACCUGCAUGUUCUGAUUUUUGUGCUUAUCAUUAAUUAUGUUUUCUGGAUAAACUUGCAAUUGCUAUCCAGUUAAAAUAAUCAAGGUGGAUAUCAUGGAAAUCACUGUUGCUCUCUAAGAUUUAAUGGCAUUUUGUUAAUGAGGAUAUUUCUAUAUCUAUUUUUUACUUGAAAAAUGAUAUUUGAAUUAAACACCGGCAUUUUCUUUCUACUUUACCCAAAACAUGGCAGGUGGUUUACAAAUACUUUACCAUGUCUAGUCUGAUGGAGCAAAAUCAUAUAGAUUACUGUUCUAUUUUUCUCUGUUUUUUCUGAUUAAGUUACCUUUUCUAUUGGGUGUUACAUGGAAUCUUAUCUGGAACCUCCCCAUCUCCACCCUAACCCCUUCCCAAUUUAAAAUGCUGUUUUAAUUAAACUCAUUGUGAAGAAAGUUCCUGUUUUAUCCACGUAUGAAAAGUGUCACCAAUCAUAAGACUUAAUAGUGGUGUUUUUUUUUCUUCACCAGGAGGCCCAUUAAAGCUGCACUGGCUGCUGCUUCUGAACAUCUUGCUGGUCUGCUUCCCCUGCAUCUUGUUUACAGUCAAGCUCAUGAAACUGCAAUUGAGGUAUGUCAUUUCAUUUGCCUUCCAAAAUGGUAUCUCAGUAAGUGUUUUCUAAAGCUAUGUUUCUCAUGAAAUAUUUUCUAAUUUUUUUGGGGUUCAAACAUGAUAAGAGAGGCAAUUGGGGUGGAAUAUUUCAAUAAUUUCCUCCCCAACUGUGUUCCAGGAUUAUUCUUGGAUCCCUUUUGUUCAAGCCAGGUAAGAAUUUAUGGGAUUUGAAAACCAUGUAAAAACCUGUAGUAAUGUGAGUGCUGUUAGGCUUGAUAUUUUAAAACUAUAUGAUGUUCCCUGACCUGUGGAAGUGGUCCCUUCAAAGAUUGAACUAUUCAACUCUACCCAUAAUUGUCUGCUACAUAAAACAUAAGUAAUGAAAUGAAAAUUUUGUCCAUGAUGAGUCCUCACUCAUAUUUAUUGCUUUAUCUCAAAUUUUAUACCUUUUUUUUGUCACAAUUUUACAACAUCUACUUGUCAUCAUAUUUCUCAAACUCUAGGUUCCAUCCUGUAAAUUCAGCAAAAGAUAAAGUAAUGGACCAUCAAAGUAGAGGGAGAAUGUCAGUGAAGUUUAGCUGAUCUAGACAGAGCACCAAAAUUUUGAUAGCUGAAUCAUUAAGCCAUGAGGUAUUCAGUGAAAAAUAAAGUAAUGGACCAUCAAAGUAGAGGGAUCAGUCAAAUUUAGUUCAUCCAGAGAGAGCACCAAAUUUUUUAUAGCUGAGUCAUUAAGCCAUGAGGUAUCAUAUAAAGAAAUUUUUAUAUGAAGCUAUUAUAGGACCCUCCAUUUAAGAACAAGGCACAUUUCUUGGGAUCAAGAUUUCAUGAAUUCACUGAAGAGAGCAGCCUCUGUCAAUGAAAAACAUGAUUACGUGCUAAAACUUUAAAAAUUAUGGUAAUGUAGUUCAGUAGGACAUAUCCUUUGAAAGCUCUAAUCUAUGUGACAUGGACACUUCAAAUAUAUGAGAAUUAUUGUGCUGGACGUGCCAGGCGAUGGGUGUGCAAUGUGUUUCUGGUACAAUUUCCUGGUGAACAUGUCUCUGAUGAAUUUAUGUGUGUGUCUGGGUUUGUUUUUGUUUUGUGUUUUGUGUGUGUACUUUUAAGUUGAUUUAUUUGUUUUUUCUGUGAUAUAAAGGAGAACAUAUUUCCACUGUAUGACUCCCUCAUCAUCAUGGCUCUUUCUUUUCUGUAUAGUUCUAUAUGCAUGGAGUUACCUAUGUCAUACAUCUUAUGUUACAUUUACGAUUCAUUUUUCUGUAGAAUUGGAGGUUAGACAAAUCCAACUCCUACACAUACCAAACCUGAUACCUGUAUCUCAGUCACUGUGAUAUAGACUGUAACAUUAUGUUUGUGUGUCUACAUGUAAAAAAAAUGGUUGCCUGUUCCGGUGGUUAAACUUUCUCUAGUCUACGCCGACUCAAAUUGGAAUUGUCAAGUCAUCCAUAACUGAUUUAACCAAUUCGAUGAAUUACGCCUAAAGGAUUUAUUUGUUACUAAUAUAGUCUAGCCUCUGUUCUUCUUUAGAUCCCUUGUUUCACUUCGAUAGUUUCAUAAAUUGGGUAGGUGCAAAGAACCAACCAGACUGACCUAGUGGAUAAAUUAGGAAUACAAAAACAAAAACAGCAAUUGAAACAGAGAAUGCGAUUGAGCCAUUGCGACACCCAUUAAAGGAGUAGUUCCCCGUUGAAUGCCCUAGUGUGACCUUAGGUCUGGUCAAGGGUCCAUUAGACCAUUGAAUCUGGUUAUUGCUGCUUCAGUUUAUUUUUGUGUAUGUCGCAUAUGUUUAUUUGUGUUUGCUUUAUCUAGAAAAAUACUCUUCUCCAAGUCAAUUAUCUCAUGGUUGGUUUCUAAACAAUGUUCGCUUAAUUUAAAAUUUGCUUAGAAUGAAAUUUGUGGCAAGGUAUUUUGAGAAUUUAAAUCUUAUAUUCUUUUAUUUAUCCAUAUCUUCUGAAGCUGGUAGAGGACUUUAUGAUAUCUGUUGGUGCCAAUCUUUCUUUUUUCUGUCUAGGUUGACACCCGUUUAUAUGUAUCAAAUUAUGAUUAUCAUUUCUUUUAUUUUUCUCUUUUCAUUCACACACACAUGCACGAACAUGAACAUGUGAUGCACACAUGUGAAUUGCAUGUUAUAAUAUUGCUUAGCCGCCAAGUAUUGAGUGAAGUGCUUUCUGUUGCUAAGACAUGUACAUGCAUCGUGACAGGACUGGGCAUGGUCAGUGGGAUGCAACCCUCUGUCUAUCACAUCUCAAGGCUGGCAUAUUUCACAGUUUCAGUCUGAUACAGUUGCUCGGAGCUAUAUCAUCACAACCCUUGAGGAGUCGAUACAACUUGUCAAUUCAGCCAUUCAUCGUCUUGUCAUGGAGCAUACAAGUAUCCUCACAUAUUAAUGUUAAGCACAUGGACUAAUUUAAGAGAUUUAUCAAACAUUACUUAAACUAGGAAUAUCAAGACGGGAAAUAAUAUAUGGUAGUAUGGGCUCCAGUGAAUGAUGUCAUGCUCAGUGAAUGGUGGCAUGCGCAAUAUGUAGGCUUUACCAGCCUUGCGGGCCAUACUACAGGACAAAAAUGUACCUAUCCGGAAAAAAAAUUGUAGGCUUUAGCUUGGACAUUAAGUGCUUGUUACUAAAUGCCUUGGAUUUUUGGCCUCACUAUUCAAACAGCACUAUUUCCACUUAUCCUCUGUAAAAAGCAUACACAGAAACCUAUGAAAUUGACAUUCUGACACAACCUUUCUCACAUAAAUUGUGCUGUCUUAAGUAACUGCUUCAAGGAUUGAUUGUGUCUAGCAUUUGUUAUGGCUACUGGAAUUGAAAUUUCUCUUGAUGGGGCCUUAACAAAACGCAGCUGAACAAACUUUUAAGCUCUUCCAAUCCCAGGAGCGUGAUCUAGUUAACAAGUAUAACCAUGUUGUUGGACUGUGGAGAAGAGUGAGUAGAUGUGUUCAAUACCUCUUUUCAAUAAUUACUGUUUUCCCUUUUCAGAUCCGUUUGUUCUUAGAAACUAUGUUGUUUAUACUGAGUGCUAGUAACAAACUUUGGUCUCUUUUUCAGAUUGCAACCGUAACUGGAGAACUUCGUUAUGUGGAUGCCAUGAGACUGCUAUAUACCCUGGAGGAUGCAUCCAAAGGGUUAGGCAUUCAUGAAUUCUCUUCAUUGCUUACAUGACUUAUGCAGUAUUUAUAUUUAUCAAAAUCUCCAUACACCAGAUAUUAAGUUCAGUGCAAUCUGUACCUCAUUUUUAUUCACAUUCGUGACAAACAUAAAAAGUACAAACAAUCUGCUAAUUUUGCACAAGAGAGAACUGGUUCAUGUGAUGCAAAUAUUUCUGCUAUUUUCACUGUGUUCAUGUGUAACCAUAACUCCAAGUAUGGAAUGAUUGAAAUCCCUCAAAUUCUCUUUGAAUUAAAUUUUAGCUGCCCAUAUUACCUUUUUUCCAUGGACUCUUAAUCAGUAAAUUACUGACAUUGUGGCAGAUAAAACAUACUUGUAACUUUGGUGCUUGCUGGCUGUCUCCACAAAAGCUAGCCACAUUUACAGCUCUUUCCUCAUUAGAUCUUAAUGCAAUUGUCUUGGAGAAAACCAGUUUAUCAAUAUGUUCAUGUAGAUUGGGGUGUUAGGGCAGGGAGGAGAGAUCAUCUCAUUGAUUGGAUCAAAGUAUGAGCCUAUGAGAGAAGGAGGUUUCAGUUUAGGGAACAUUUCUUCGAGGAACAGAAAACUUUUAGGGAAGUGGCUGUGGAAAUUUCUAGGGAGGAUUUCAGUUUAGUGGAUAGAGACAUCUUGUGUAUGUACAACGACUCUAAUGGUUAGGAUGCCAAUGUGGUUGUUAGACAGUGACACCGGUGCCCUUAGAUGACUAUUCUCGAGGUUUUAUCUGUUUUGUCUUGUUAUACUCAUUUUUUUUGUUGGUGGUGGCAUGAAGAUUUGUUUUUGGGAUGAUAUGGGGUGCAUCAAUUGAGAGAGAAGGGGGAGGUUCUUUGGAGCGGGGAGUGGGUGCGUUGGAAGUAGGGGCUGAUGUUGUGAAGGGGCCUCUUUCUAUGGUGUUUAAAGAUGGUUCAGCUGUUGUCUUUCCUGACAAUUUUAAUCCCUUUCAAGAAAAAGGGGCUGUGUCCGGGGGUAGUGGGGUUUCAGCCUCUUCGCUUGAGGGGAGUGACAGUGGCCUGGUUGGUGAAGACCAUUUUUUAGAAAAGGAUUUCUCAAAGCUUACCGAAUUUAGUAGAUUUUUGGGAAUGCCGGUUGAGUGGUUCAAAGAAGAAAUCUGGCCGAUGUUGAGAAAGCUAAGGAAGAAGGCUGGAGGUGGGACCCCUAGUAAAGGGAAUAAAGAAGAAAUCUGUGUUUUCUUCUCGUUUCGAAAGGAAACGUAGGAGAUUGGACUGUUCAGUAAGUUAUGGAGGUUCUUCUUUGGCGUCCAGAAGGAGAGGUAAGAACAAUUGAGAACUGAUUCUUGUUGAUUGAUGAAGAUUAAAAUACUUUCAUGGAAUGUUAGAGGACUCGAUGACGGGGAGAAGUGGAAGUUAAUUAAAUAAGUGAUUAGGUCCUAGAAGGCAAAUUUGGUUGUUUUCUUGAGACUAAGAUGCAAGAGAUGUCAAAAAAGGUAGUGAAAAUCUUGGGUGUUGGAAGGUUUUUGAAUUGGGGAAUAGUUGAUGCUACAGGAGCAUUAGGAGGCAUUAUUCCUUUUUAGGACAAUAGAGUUUUAGGUCUUUUGGAGUUGGAGCGAGGAGGUUUCUCCAUUUUUGGUCAUUUUAAAAAUAUUGAGGAUGGCUUUGUUUGGGUGUUCACAAGUGUCUAUGGUCCUAUCUUGGGGAGAGAAAAAGGAUUUUUGGGAUUUUUGGGUGCAAUUAGGGGUCUGCAGGAUGAUCCUUGGUGUGUAAGUGGGGAUUUCAACUCUGUUAGAUUCCUAAGGGAAAGAAGGAAUGAUUUCAAAUUCACAGCAGAAAUGAAGAGGUUUACAGAAGUCAUUGAGUAGUUGAGAUUGAAGGACCUUCCUCUAUCCAAAAGUCAGUUCGUGUGGUGUGGAGGCAUUAAUUCUUAGGUAGCUUCAAGGUUGGAUUGCUUCUUAGUCUCUGAUGAGUGAAAGGACCAUUUCUCGGGAUCUUUCAACUUGCCCUCCCUAGUAUAGUUUUUGAUCAUUGUCCUAUUGUUCUUGAGGGUGGAGGGGUUAAAAGGGCAUGACCCCUUUUAGAUUCGAGAAUAUGUAGCUCUUGACAGACGGUUUCAAAGAGUUAGUGGGAAAAUGGUGGACUAAGUAUAUGGUUACAUGCACCAUUAGUCAUUGCCUUGCUGAAAAGGUGAAGGCUCUUAAAAAGGAUCUAAGAGAGUGGAAUAAAGAACUUUUUGGCAAUGUCUCUGUUAGCAAAUCAGAAGCCUUUGCUCACGUUUAGUUUUGGGAUUCAAAGGAGAGUGUCAACCCUCUUUCUCUUAAGGAGGCAAAGGCCAAAAAAAGGGCUUUGGAGGAUUACAAGAAAUGGGUAUUGUUGGAAGAAACUUAGUAAAGACAUAAGUCUAGGGAAAUCUGGUUAAAGGAGGGAGACAAGAACACCGGGUUUUUUCAUAAGAUAGCCAAUGCCCUGUGUGAGGAGGAAAUUAUUAACCAAGGUGAAAAUCAGUGGGGUUACACUAACCAAUGAGGAUGAGAUUAAGGCUGGGGUGUUGUUGGAAUCAAGGGAUUGGAAACCAAGUGUAAGGGGGUUAUAGUUCGAAGUGUUAGGGGAAGAAAGGUCCAAAAGGUUAGAGCCGCCUUUUUUGGAAGAGGAAGUUUUUUAAGCCCUUGGCCCAGACGGUUUCACCUUGGCCUUUUGGCAUUUUUGUUGGGAGUUCACCAAAUCUAAGAUUUUGGCUUUUUUCAAAGAGUUCUUUAGUCGUGGCACUUCCAAAGGAGCCUAAAUUCCACUUUCCUAGUUCCGAUUCCAAAAAGAGGGGGAGCUGUGGAUUUGAAAGAUUUCAGAUUGAUCAGUUUGGUUGGGGGUUUGUACAAGUUGUUAGCCAAGGUGUUGACAAAUAGGCUAAAGAUGGUCGUGGGGGAGAUGGUUUCGGAGAAUCAACAUCCUUUUAUUCAGUGUAGACAGAUCUUAGAUGCAGUUCUCAUUGUCAGUGAGGCUGUUGACUCGAGAUUAAAGAGCAAUAUCCCGGGUUUCCUCUUAAAAAUGGACAUUGAGAAGGCGUACGACCAUGUCAACUAGGACUUUCUUCUUUCUGUUAUGUCUAAAAUGGACUUUGGGGAAAAGUGGAUUAGUUGGAUCAAGUAGUGCAUUUCCACGGCUAGUUUAUCAGUUCUAAUCAAUGGGACUCCUUUGGGGGCUUGAGACAAGGUGACCUGUUGUCUCCCUACCUUUUCAUUCUAGUCAUGGAGGCACUCAGUCAGUUGCUGUUCAGAUCCAAAAGUGGGGGCUUUAUUUUGGCGUUAGGUAGGGAGAAGAAAUGGAAAGGAGCGGGAUGUCUCCCAUUUGUUCUUUGUUGACAACACCCUAAUUUUUUGUGAGGCCAAUAGUGACCAAUUGAGAUAUUUAAGUUGGGUGUUAUGUGGUUUGAGGUGCUUUUUGGUUUAAAAGUGAAAAUAGAUAAAAAGUGAGGUUAUUCUUGUUGGAAGGAUAGAGAAUUUGGAGGAGGUAGCUUUGGGGAUGGGGUGUAGAGUAGGGAAGCUUCCCACUUCUUAUUUGGGUCUUCCUUUGAGUGCCUCUUUCAAAUCCCUAAGGGUGUGGGAUGUAGUGGAAGAGAGAGUUAGAAAAAGAUUGUCUAUGUGGAAGAGACUUUAUAUCUCUAAGGGUGGGAGGCUUACCUUGAUCAAAAGCACCCUAUCUAGCCUUCUGAUUUAUUUCAUGUCUAUCUUUGUCAUUUCCUAGAAGGUGAGUGCAAGACUUGAAAAGAUCCAAAGGGACUUUCUUUGGAACGGUGGAGCUUUAGAGAAAAGGCCUUAUUUGGUGAAGUGGAAAGUUGUUUGUGUUGAUAAGGAGGACUAGGAAUUCGUAGUCUUGUAGUUGUUAACAAAGCUUUGCUUGGGAAGUGGAGUUGGAGAUUUGCAGAAGAAAGGGAGUCCCUUUGGAAACAAGUUAUCAUCGACAAGUUUGGUUUGGAAGAAGGGGGGUGGUGUUAGAGAGUAGGGAGAGGAAGCUUUGGCGUGGGGGUGUGGAAAGCCAUUAGAAGAGAAUAAGAGGGCAUAUGAAGUAGAUCCCGCCUUUUAGUAGGGAAUGGGAAAAGGGUUCAUUUUUGGAAGGACUUGUGGUGUGAGGAUCAAACAUUGAAAGAAGUUUUGCCUAAUUUAUUCCUUUUGGCUGUUGAUAAAGAUGGUUGGGUUUCAAAAGCUUGGGAGGAGGGCGGGAAGAUGGGUUGUUGGAGUCCUCGCUUCUCAAGAUACCUUAAUGAUUGGGAGAUGGGAGAGGUGGAGUCUUUGUUUCGAAAGCUUCAACCUUGGUUGUUAGAAGAAAUGUGGAGGACACUUUGAGCUGGAGAGAAAGUAGGAAUGACUGUUUUUCCGUUAGUUCCCUCUACCGUUCCUACAUAAGGGCUUCUAGUGAUCCUUUCCCUUGGUGCAUAAUUUAGAGGUCUUGGGCUCCAGUGAGAUUGAGUUUUUUUGCUUGAGAAGCAUCUUGGAAUAGAAUUUUGACCACCAACCAGCUGAAAAGGAGACGGACUUUGCCGAAUAGAUGUUUUUUGUGUAAAGAAGAAGAGGAACCAAUGACCACCUUUUUCUGUUUUGUAACAAGGCUAGCAUGUUGUGGAAUCUGAUCUUCUCCCUUUUCGGUGUGCAUUGGGUUUUGCAUUCCACCGUGAGGGGAAACUUGCUUGGGUGGAAUGGAGCUUUUGUGGGUAAAAGAAGGGAGAAGGCAUGGAGGGUUGUCCCUUUAUGCCUAAUGUGGACUUUAUGGAAGGAACAAUGUCGAACGGCCAACCAAGCUAUCAAAUAUUCUUUUUUGUAUAAUUUUGUGAAUUGGGCUAGGGUGUAUAUAGAGGAUCUCACUUUGUCUUUGGUUAACUUUAUAGAUUGGCUGUUUGUUAAGGGAUUGGCUCUUUUGUUUUUGUGCUGCCUAGUUUUUUGGGCAUUUAGUGUAUACUUAAUGUGUGCUGUUUUCACUAUUUCUAAGUGUUUCUAAUACAUGCUCUUAUUUACCUAUCAAAAAAAAAAAAAAAAACUCAAUCCAUUUGUGCUUAAAUUCCAAACUGUUUAGAAUAGCGAGAUCUAAAAUUCUCCUACUUCAUGCAUUUUGGUUUUCUUCUCUUCCUUUAUGUCUUGUGACUUUAAUUUUCUCUACAACCUUUCUGGUUUGAAAAUGUAGGAACUUGAAGUUCUCUUAUCCACCUUUAUCUGUAUCUACUUGUUGCCUUCAUCCCAGAUGUAAGGGUUUGGUCUUGGACUUUCUCAAAGACCUUUGCAUGCCUCAUGGUCAAUAAGAAUGUCAAAGACUAAUGAUUUACUAGAAGUUAGGAUGCCUUUUUUGGUUUGGAAUUGAAUGUUUGAUGUUGGGGGUUGGUCCACCACUUCCCAUAUCGAACAUUCAGUUCCAAACUGAAAAAGGCAUCCUUACUUCUAGUAAAUAGACCAACCCCCAGGAGGGUCCUUCCCUUUGGGGAAGUCAAACAAAACCUCUUUGCCUCUGCACCAGUAAGAGAACAGAAGAUGAACCUCCCUGCCCAUUUGAACAAUGCUCCAGCCUAAUUGUACUAGGCUUAUAGCUACUGGGAGAAUCUAUACUAACAAGUUCUUACAGUUGACCAGGCCAUUUAAAGCCCAGUGUUUGGAUAAUGAGGGAGCAAUAUAUCUUGUUUUCCUUUAUUAUCCUGCAAUAAUUGAAUUAUAAUGGAGAUAUUUCAAACUUGUUGUCUUGGCAUGGUUCCCUCAUGGGGAGAUGGCUGAUAUGAUGGUGAUAGCAUUUUGCUGAUUUGGUGCCAAUGCCAAGAGCAGGGUCCCAUGAAUGUCGCCACAUGUUCCUUAUUUGGAUGAUCUAGUUGGACAGGAAUGUUGAAAUCUUUGAAAAGGAAUGGAAUUUGUUGGAUUCAAUUUAUGAUAUAGUGUGUUUAUUGGGCUCCUUAUGGGUGUGAGUCUCUCCAGAACUAUUUAUGUACUCUACUUUGUGUGAUUUUGCUGGAUUGACAAACUGCUUUGUUAUCAGUGUGCACUUUGCCGAAGUGCUAUCUGGGUGGUUUCUUCUCCUUCACUGGUACAUCUGAAGCUUUAUUUUAAUUGUUGUUCUGUGGGGUAUGUAGGCUAGAUUGGUACUGGUGAUGUUUUAUAUGACCAUAGGGAAGUUCUGAUUAGAGCUUAUCCCAUCCUAGUUCAAGUUAUUUUACCAUAGAGGUAAGGUUGCUUGCACUUUGGGAACCAGUAACAAGUAAAAUUCCUGGGCUUAAACAACUUCUUGGUGUAGGUUGACUUAGCCCCAGUUAAUUGCUUGAGUUUUGCAGCAUAGAAGAGGUCGUUGGAAAUUGGAAGGUUAACAUGGAAGAUAUAUGAUCUUUCCACAAGUUGGGAUGCUCCUCCUAGUGGAGGCUAUACUGUCCAACCAAUUAGCAAACAUACAUGCAAAUCAUGGUUCUUCUAAAUUUAGAAAUUUUUUUUUUCCUGCCCUAUUGUUUGGUUGAAGCUGGACUCAUUCUGCCUCUCCUGCAUAACAUGUAUUUCAUAAAAUUUUCAGGUGGUUUGGCCGCCCUACUUUUCAAAAUAUAACCAAAAUCUGUUUCUCUCAUCAGAUUUUCUUAAAUAAAUAUAAAGAGAUUGAUUUGUUGAAAAAAUGCUAUAGGUGCAAAAUUAGGAGAUAUGUCAGGUGUUUAAUGUUUCCAGUAUUACAGUAUCUUAAAGAAAAUGUUAAGACCUUUAUCGACUUGGGGAGGUCUCCAUGUUGCUCUUUUUGUUUGCUGAACUGCACCAUCAUAUCUUUGGUUUUCUUAAUGGAACUGUGUUCUUUCUGACUGUUCUGCUAAAUUUGCUGAAGAGGCUGAGCCUGGAUUUUGGUUUGGGUGGUGGGUUUGGGUUUUGUAGGGCUGGCACAAUUAAGUGUAGGCAAAUUUAACCUUUUUUCAUGUUGACCACCAACAGGACUCCUGUUUGUGCACUUACAGACUAUAUUCUUUUAGGGCAACCACUUUUAAUGUGGUAUUGUGUUUGCAGUUAUUCAAAGAACAUAUAUGUUUUAUUGUAUUUUAUAUUCUUACUUAUUUCUUGUGGGUGGGGGGCUGAUUUGUGUGUGGAUGGGGGAGAGAAAAAUGUAAGCAGGUAAAGAUAGAAUCAAGCUUAGUAUGGGGAUCUCUAAUCUUUAGUAUGUUGAGACAUUCUGAGAUUUUGUGGUGAUUAUUUGCCCCCCCCGUAGCUGAUCUGUGAAAUUGUUUUGUGGUGCAGGUUUGUUGGUCAGGUGAAUGCCAGUAUAACCCUUCUCCACCCGAUCCACUGCACCAGACAGAGGAAAGUUGACGUGGAGUUUGAUAUGACAACUAUUCCUGCAUUCCUGAUUGUCCUGGGUGUUCUCUGGUUGGUGUUGCGGCCAAGACGUCCCAAGCCUAAGAUUAAUUGACAAUAUCACUAGGACACCAUGGUUGGUACUUCAGUUAGAAGAGUAGCAGCCUUCUGGAGAUUAUGUGUGAGGGAGGUGCGGCAUGGCAUUUUUUGUAUUCUAUCUCCAUGUUCAGGGCAGCAAAGUGCCUUAAAAUGAAAGUUGAUCAAAGAACAGGUAGGACAGGAAAAAAAGAAAAAGAAAAAGGGUGGUGGGACGACCCACUUAGCCAAAUACGAUGAGAUGAGGAUGAAUGUGAAUGCAGAUGUUGUAGAUUUACCAGAGUUAUUUUUUGUUGAGUACAUCGGAAGGUCAUUUUCCUAUUAAUUAGGCAUUCUUGAAACUUCUUUUACGCCGUUAAAAUGUUUCAGCUAACGUUCCUCAGAAGCAUUACAUGGAGAGAAAAGAAGAAAAAGAAGGAAAAUAAAAUACCCAGGUAACUAAUUGUCAUAUGAAGGACUGGCGUCAGCUCAUAAACUGCAAAUAUCUACUGAAAUGAGAUAUCAAUUAAGAUUUAGGAACCUGUAGAAAAUGAUUCAAUAAAUGAAUAGUUUUAUACACAGGGAUUCAAGUAACAUGCAUAUAUGAGCUAUUAGUUGACCAAAACUAGCAUCUAUGCUGAACAAUUUAUCCAGAACAAUCAGUCAAAUUUUGAUUAGAGCUAAUUCCUUUCUAAUUUCAAUGAACCUAUCUUUACUUGGGGAUUUAGCAAAUAUAUCAUCUAAUUGUACUAACAAAUUCUAUUGCCAUCUUUUUGUGCAUGAUAUCUAAGAAAUCAUGUCUAAUUUCAAUAUACUUAGCAAGAUUCUUUAAGAUACUAAUGAUACUUGUAUUAUCACACUUAAGGGUCACAUGAGUGUAAGACAUAGAAGUUCUUUGAAGUUUGUUUCAUUCACUAAAUUUGUGUACAACAAAGGCCGAUUGCAUUAUAUUCCACUUCCACUAUUGAGAAUGCAACUAAGUUUUGUUUGUCAUUAUGGCUAGAAACUAAGGAAUGUCUAGGAAGUGACAUGUUCCUCUAGUGCUUUUCUAUAUACCUUACAACCUGCAAAGUUUGCAUCAAAUUAGCUAAUUAGGAGUUAAUUAGUGCUCUUAGGAUACCAAAGUUCUAGGUCAAUUGAGCCUUUUAAGAUACCUAAAAAUUCUUGUAGCCAUACUUAAAUGAGAUUCAUAAUGACAUGAUUGAAAUUUGGUACACAAACAAAGAACUUAUCAUACCUUUAUAAGAGUAGGGUUAAUAGGUUUACUCAUCCUAAGCUUGAUGGAUGAGAUCAUUGGAGUUCCUAUAGUCUUGGCAGCCUCCAUCUUGAAUUUCUUGAAAAGGUCUCUUAUGUACUUAAUUACUGAAGAUGUCUUUCUUUGUUUGCUUAAUUUGAAGCCGAACAAAGAAAUUAAGCUUCCUCAUCUUGCUUCACAUAGUAAAAUAGUAAUAGCCCAAAUAUAAUAUCAACAUGUAUAUAGACCUAGAGCAUGUCAUCAUUUUUUAUUUUAAUGAAAUAAGUUGUGUCAAUAUUGCAUUUUAAAACCAUUAUCUAGCCUUAAUCUGUCAUACCAUGUUGUAAGUUUGAAAACAUGGUUUGGAAAAUCAACAUUUAUAAAACUGAGAGGUUGUUCAAGAUAAACUCACUCCAUAAUGUAACUAUUUACAAAUGCACUCUUGACAUCUAUUUAUUCCUUCUUUUUGAAUGAAAUUUUAGGUUGCUAGUCUAACUUUAUUUCUAACGAUUAUUUCUAAAUACCCAUUUAGUAUUAAUUAAAGAUUGAUUAGAUGACCUAGAUACUAAUUCUCACACUUCAUUCAUUUCAAAUUAAUAUAGUUCCUCUUACAUGAUUUUAUCCAAUUUUCAUCAUUUUCAACUUCUUGACAUUUUUAAGAGAGGAUUUAGUUUUUGCUAUUUCUGGCCUAAAAACAUUUCAAAUAUUUCAGAAAAUCAUCUUCAUUGAACAUGGUUCUUGCUAUUUCUUGUAGAAUAUAGUUUUUCCUUUCUACAAUCCUAUCUAGUUGAGGUGUUCUAGGAAUUAAAAAAAAUUAUGUUCAAUCCUAUGCUCAUUGCAAAAUGAUUCAAAUAAUAGUUUUUAAAUUUUCUUCCAUGAUAAUUUCUAAUGCAAGUAAUUGUAAAAUUUUAAAAAGUAAGAAAACUUCAUUCCCGUAACUAAACAAAUCUAUAAAAAAAAAAAUCCAUAAUCACAUAUGCAUAGUAUUUUUCUCCAAGACUAAAAGUCCUAGAGGGAUUAAACAAAUUCAUAUGAAACAAUUUCAAAUGUGUAGAAAUAGUGUAUUGUUUAUAAAAUAGUUUUUUUUUUCUUCACAUGCUCACAAACUCUUAUCUUUUUAAAAAAUAAUUUUGGAAAGGCCCUUUACAAGUUCAUGUCAUUUGAGUUAUAUAAUGAGGUUCAUGUUUACAAGUCCUAACCUCCCAUGCCACAACAAAUCAUGCAUGAAAAAAAAACACAUUUAUUAUGACUAUUAUAUCCUUCAAUAUCAAUUAUAUAAACAAUUUCAUUUGUGUGACCCAUGAAAAUGGUUUAGUCAUUUUGAAUAUCUUCAAUGAUGUAACAAGAUAGUUCAAAAAUGACUUUAAAACUUUUAUCAUACAAUUGACUAAUGUUUUAAAAAACCAUGCUUUGAACCAUCAACAAGAAUGACGUAUAUUUUCAAUAAAAGAAAAUGCACCAUUACCAACAUGUCUUUGCCUAUUAAUUCUCUCCUUUGCAUUGUCUCCAAAAAUUCACUUUUGACUUGCUAGAAUCAUGUCAAGAGAGGAAUCAAACAUUCAUUCUUUUCUUUCUUUCCUUUUUUUUUUCCAAAAUUUUCAAAAGAUGCUUUUCCCUUUUUAGUGCUUUGAAUUUUUUUGAGUUUAUUUUCAAGAGGAAAAAAAUCUUUUCUUUUAUUUUUAUUUUUUUUAGAGAAAUCUAUUUUUCAAACGAAGUUUUUCAAAAUCAAAAUACAAUUCCUCAAAAUCAUAUUGUAAUUCAUCAUAAUUUGGAAAAGAAUUUAUCUCAUCUUCAUGAUCCUCUAAGGCCAUCAAGCAUUGCCUACUCCAUUCUUACAAUUUUCUUUGGUGAAGUCUUCAACAAUAUCGCUCCAUGUUGUUAACAUUGCUUUUUUUUCCUUUUCUUUGCCUCAUUUAUGUGAAGGAUACAUUCAUGCUUGAUGUGGCCCAACUUUUUACACUUGUAGCAUAUUAGUUCAUUUUUCUAUUUCUCCAUGCUUGAAGCUUCAUUCUUAUCAUGAAGCCAUCUUCCUAUGUGUUUUUCAAAUUUGAUGAACUUUUUAAAUUUUCUUGCAAUGAGAGCAAGUUCUUCAUUCUUGUUAUUUUAUUUGUCUUCUUCAUUGUAAAUGGUUGAAGCUUGAAGUAAAUUGUUUUUCUUCUUUGUUUUCAACUUCUUGAUCACUUUUCAUAAAUAAUCUCAUAAGUUUUAUAUAAGUGACCCAAUGAGUUCUUCAAGAGGAUGUUUGUGUGAUUCUUAGUUUCUUGUAUAGCGGUGACUUUGGCUUCCCCUUACUUUGAUAAAGAUCUUGGUAUAUUCAUCACCUGUUUCAAUUUUGUCUAGACUUUUCCUAAUACUUAAGGCCAUUGAUGAUAUCCAUGAACCUAGUAAGCAUCUUAACAAUAAUCUCAUUAUUCUUUAUAUUGAACAAGUUACAACUAUUCACAAGCAUGCUUAUCUUGGAUUCUUUUCCUUGAUUGGUUCCUUCACAAGUUAUUUUUAAGUCUCCAUAUAUCCUUAACUAGUUUAUAUUAUAUCCUAUUGUAUUUAUUUUUAUCUAUGAUCUUAAUUGAGCUUUUCUUUUAUUUAGCUCAUGUCACUUUUAGCUUAGCUUAGGAAUAGCCAUCCCAUUAUCUAUAUUGAUAUGCACAUGAGAGUCAUUUUAAAUGGCAUUCCAAUGAUCAUAAUCAAUAGAUUUUAGAAACCAUGUAAUUCUAGUAGUCCAAUAUGAAUAAUUACUACCCAUAAAGAGUGAGGGUCUAUUAAUUAAGAAAAACUUUCCAUGUGUGAUAAACUUGAUGGAUUAGAUUAUCCUUUUAGAGAAUUGAAUCCUAAAUAGGAGGCCUUGCUUUGAUAUCAACUAUGAAGUUUUUGCUAAUCCAGCUUAAGAAGACACUCAAAAGGGAGGGUGAAUUAGGAGUUGUCCAUUUUUAUUUUUUUAUUUUUUUUAUUUUUAACAAAGAUGAAUUCAAAUGAGAAAAAGUAUAUAAAAUAUAUAGAAUAAGAGAGAUGGUAAACUAUUUAUAUUGAUUCAAUACAAUUUGAUCUAUAUCCAUAUUAAGAUAAAACCCAUGGUUUUGAAAACCAAACUAGACUGGUUGGUUUCACUAGUUCAAUUUUCGAUCAAUGGCAUUUCUUGUCGGGUUCACUAUAUUGAACCACCUAAUCAUUAGACCGAUUACAAACCACUUAAACCGGCGGUUUGACUGGUAAACUAAACAAACCAAGUAGGUCUUGAUGAACCAAACGAUUUAAUGAUGAGCCCCCUUUUUAUCCUUCAAGCCCACCACUGGGCCUUUUUUUAUCAUUCAAGCCCACCACUUUCCACAUUUAUUUUUGGCAAAAAACCCAGCCCUACAAGCCCAUAGACCACCUUACCUUAAGCCAAUUGUUAGCUUGCAUCUUGGGCCCACAAGAAGGACAUGCCUUUAUGUGUUGUUUUUAUAGACUUUUUAAUCUUAUCAAGAUCCAUGUGAGAUUGAUGAUAUUAAUUAAUGAAAAACAAUCACAAACUACCAAACCCACCUAAAAGGACUUGAACCCUUGACUUCAAGUUAAGGAAAAGGCAUACGGCACUACUCAACUACACACUAUUGGGUUAGUCUAAGAUGUCAUGUACCUAUCUUAAAGAAGAGAGGACUUGGUUGCAAAAUUGGUGCACUUAAAAAAAUCACUUAAGUUGUGGACUCUCCUUCAUCAACUAAGUUUAUGCACCCAAGAACCCAAAGAAAGUGGAGCACCUAAAAAAAUCACAAAAGUUGCAAAUCCUCUUUCAUUAACUAAGUUUGUGCAUCCUAUAAUCCAAAGGAAAGUGGCACAUCAAUAAACCCAAAGAGAAGAUAAAAUUUGCUCACCUCUGAAUGUUGUUUAUGUUGUACAACUAAAUUAGGAUAAAAUGUAAUGUACCAUAAAGUUGCACACCUCCCUUCCAAUUGAACAUUUAAGUGAUGCACCUCUAAAGAAAAGUAAGUUGGCAAAUCUUAUCCGUCACUCCUAAGCAUGUAAGUAGCAUACCCAUCCUCUAGGACCCAUGUUGUACACCUGUUCUUUCUAUGCAAAAGUGGUACACUUGUAGACAUUUUUCCAUGAUUAACGUACUUGCUUUAAUAAUCUAUAUGUGCGCCAAAACCUAAAAUCCAUCAAAUCCAUCAUUUAAUUGACCAAUACCAUACCUUUGCCUAUAGUUUCUACUCCAUAGAUAUAUAGCCAUCAUGAGAAAAAGGGAGCAUAAAUUUAGAAGAAAAAAGGUUACCUUCAUGCUAAUUGGUAAGAAGAAAGGUGCAACUACAACUUUAUUCACCUAAUUGAGUUGACAAUGAUAAGAAAAAAAAGGUUGUAUUGAGAAGCAGGUGGCCACAAAAAAGCUCAAGCAUGGGGAUUAGAAAAUGCAAUUAAAAGGGAAUGAUUGGAAAGGUCCAACAACAAAGCAAGGGAAGAAAAAGUGAUUUUUUAUCCCUAUACACAAGGGAAUGUGUAAAGUUUAAGGAGAUCCUUUUUUUUUCUUUUCUUUUUGUACUCUUCUUCUAAAUUUUUCUUAGACGGUUCUCUAAGGAUAACUUCAAGCUUUCUAGAAUAGUGUUAUAAGUCUCUCUAAGAAGUUAACUAUGAAAAACAAUUGACUAAAAACUUAUAUUCAAUUUCCAUAAAUCAACACAAUCAACCCAACUAAAAUAUUUAUUUUAUUUUGUUUUGUCUUUCUUUUUUCCUUUUAUUGUGUUGAAACUUUGAAACAACUAUGUAUCAAAGUAUUGUGGAGAGGUUAAGGAGGAAGUAUUUACAACUCACACUCUAGUUAUAAGUAUUCAAAGUGUAAUGGGAAGGAUAAUUGAAGCCUUUGGUUAUAGCAAAUGAAGGUUGCAAGACUAUGAAGGUCACAAGCUAAACAAUCUUGGGAGUAUGUUUAAAUCUAAAUGUGUGGCUUGCCCUCCCUUAUCACAAGACCUAGAAAGGCUAAGUUGAUUAAUAUUGUAACAAAUGUUUGUUGUAAGAGUGUGAAGACUAUAAGUGAAGCAACCUUAGGAGUAAGUUUGAGAAAUAUUGAAAUAUCUUAGUUGUACCUAGUAUUUUAGUUCCCCUAAGAUUAAAUGGCUACCAAGAUGAUCUAUUUUGAGGGAAGAAAACUAUAGUAGAUGAUUAAAUACCUUCUCAUUCAUAUCUCCCAUAAAAUUGCUUUUCAAUUAGUUAAACUUAACCUACCUUCAAACUAACACCUUUAAUGUCUUUGGCAAUAGGAUUUUCUUGGUUUGUCUGAUACUUCUCUAUGAAAAACAUUAAUUCCCUGUGGAGACAACCUAACCACUAUACUAGUUGUUAGUUCUUUAUAAGUUUCUAGUUAGAAACUAGUAAUUUCAAUGACAACUCUAGUUUAACCUCUUAAGUGAAUUUUGAAUUAUUGAUAGAGAUCACAAAUCAAAGAGCAACAAAAAAAUAGGCACCAUUGUCAAGAAAUUAAUUUGUUUCUCAAUUUCAGGUCGACCUAUACAAAUGACCCAUGCAUAUACCAUCUUUUUAUCUUCUUUGUUUUUUUUUUUAUUUGUUUAUGAUUGGUUGGACUAGAAAUACUAUAGGCAAACUUAUGAAUUUAAAAUCAUACUCAUUUGAGGGUUAUAAAAGGAGUCAAAGCCCUGUAGUUGAACUAUAAUUCACUUCCUUAGCUUACAUCACUCAUUUUUCCCAACUUGUGAUUUUCAAAUUUUCUUAAUUUUGAAAACAUGGACUAUUCUUGCAAAUUCUAAAUUAAUGGGAUUAAUUCUAGCCCUUAUGGGCCUUUUCCCAUGCUCAUUAGAGGGCUAAAACGUUGAUUUGUCCUUGGAAAUUAAUUUAAGCUUAUCUCAAAGCCCAUAUAUCUUGCUUAUUAAGAUUUGACUCUUUAAUGCUUUAUUUUUAACCCCCAAAGUGUUUUAAAAAAUCUAGAUUAUUUGUCUUGUUCUAAAAUCUUUGAGGUUUGGGUUGUGUUUUGAACUUCUUAAAUGGGUCGGAGAUUUUUUAUUUAUUUUUUGUUAAACAAACCUUUCCAAGUUGGUUGAAUAAUCCAGUUUUUUCAAGUGACUCUCUAUUGCGUUGUUCUGCAUGUUAAAAUGUUUUUUCAAAUCAAUCCCAAUUAUUUGGUUUUUAAUUAAUUUUGAGAUUUUUUUCUAUAUUCUAGACAUCUUAAAUAAACCUAGGAGCUUUGGCCUUGUUACAAAAUCCUUUCUUAUACUUGUUAAUUAAAUCAACCUUUGCAUGCUUGUUGUGUUGUCUUGAUUUUGAGUUGUGAGAUGUUCUUUAAAAUAUACAUAUAUAUCAUAUGAUGCAUGUUUGCGCUUCUUGGGCUAAUUAAUCAAUUAGAACCCAUUUUGGGCUAAAUUGAGUGACUCAAUCUCUUAGUGGAGUCAAAUCACUUAAACUCAUUAGGGAACCCUAUAAAUACCCCCUUUAGGGAUUAAGGUUUCCAUAACUUUUCAAUAGACUUGUCAUCUUCCACCUCUAAUGUGGAAAAGAGCCAAAGUCUUUACCAUAUUUUCCUUUCCAUUGAAAGUAUGCCAAAAUCAAGGAAGAGUCACCGGACAGAAGAUUGUGAGUCUACGAGACUUCCUACGACAAUGAUCUUCAUCUUCAUCGUGUGGAAUAGAUUUGGGAAUAUCCAAAUCUCAGGUAUGAUUUUUUCUUGCACAUUCUAAAUUCGUUUUGUAUAAAAUUGUGUUUGUUUCCGUUGUGCAUAGGAUUUAGAAAGCCUAGGAAAGUUUUCACAUGCACAUAACCUAAUCUGGGUAUAAGGAACAGAGAGAUCCGAGAUUCCCUACAGCAAUAAAUCCAUAUUUGUUACAUUAUGUCAUGUUUUUAAGUGCUCUAUUCUAACACCAAAUGAUAAAGGGAUAUACCAAAGACUUGUAAGGAGAUUGAUGUCUUUGCACACACAAGGUCGAAGCUUUCUUAUGCAUCAAGUGUUGUAGUUAUGCACAUUUUGAGAGCAACAUAUGAAUAUGGUUAUGCACCUUUUGAGGUCUUUGAAGUUUGGUCUUAGAAAGGGAAUCUUAUUCGCUAAAAAUGCGGAUUGUUAAAGUGUGGAUGCAUAUGUUGAUGUUGAUUGGACUAGAGCAAUAGAUGACAUGCAAUCUACUUCAAGUUACUUCACCUUUGUAAGUGGUAAUCUCGUCACAUGAAGAUGCAAAAAAUAGAAUGUUGUUGCAUUAUCAAGUGUAGAAGCUAAAUUUAGGAAUACAUCACUUGGGCUUUGUGAAGCAUUAUGGUUAAGACUUCUCUUGCAAAAUUUAGGCUAUUCAUUUAAACAACUAAUUUGACUAUAUUAUGACAAUAAGCAACAUGUGACAUUGUUGAUAAUCUUGUUUAACAUGAUCGUACAAAGCAUGUCAAGGUAGAUGAAUUCUUCAUUAAGGAAAAGUUGGAUGUAAAAAGAGUAGAGUUGCCUAAGAUUUGAUUAGAGGAUUAGUUGGCCAAUAUCCUCACCAAAGCAAUCUCAAAUUGAGUGUUCUCAAAGUUCUUACGCAAAUUGGCAUGUGUAACAUCUAUGCACCAACUCAAGAGCGAGUGUUAAAAUUGUCAACGAUUCUUAUAAUCUCCUUUGUAAUUCUUUCUUAAUUUAAAGACAAUAUAGAUGUACAAUAGGUGUGAAUAGAUUAAUUAGGCUUGAUUAUAAUGAUUGAUUUUAGGUUUCUUGAUUGUAAUUCCUCUUCAUAUAAUAUUAUACAUAUUCGUCAAAAAAUAUAAAUGAAAAAUAUUCUUCCUUAUCUAUUUCGAUACUCUAUCCUACUUUUCGUUUUAAGUUGGGAAGGAGUUGCAAGAUAUUUUCUUUCAGCAAGAGUAGGGUAGCAUUCCUUACCCUUAAUCAACUCCAUUGGCAUCCAUACUCUUCCUUGUUCCUUCUUCCCUAGCAGAAGGAACAACAAAAAUGGCAUUCAAAACUGUCUCUAUUCAUCCAAACAAUUUUCAUUUUCAAUUAAAGAAAAAAAAAUAAGGAUGUGUAAGAAAAUUGAGUAUGAGAUGGUAGUUGUCACACCCUCGAAAAUCACCCUAAAAUUUUCACCUGGUGCGCGGUGCUAAGGACCCUUCCUCAGCCAACCUUCCUUCCCAGCCUUCUCAAAACGCACACAAACAAUAGCAAACCAAAGGAAAUAGGGACACAACGAGGUUACAGGAAAUCCUUCCCAACUUGUAUUAAUCUCAACUACAAGAUACAAAAUUGUUUCCCUGAGUCAGAGAGCAAUACUUACAUCCCAAGCAUUCAAAGACUACUUUCCCUCUUCUCUCUUCCUCCGAGUCAGAGAGUAAUGCUUACAUCCCAAGCAUUCAGAGACUACAUCCCUUUUCUCCCUCUCUCCCUCUCAAGGCUGCAGGAGCCCUUUUAAAAGACUCACCCUGCAGUUUUUCCCUUGGUGGUUAUGCAACCGCCCAUAACUGCCCUGAAUCGCUUGCACAACCACCCACUACCCAGAUGGUGGUUUGCUGAGAAACCACCCACUUGUGGGAUCCUCCCUAAAACCUACCACGUGGCUUCCUCUUUCUUGGACACGCAGACGUCCCCCUUUCGACGCGUGACAUCACUCAUUCCACCCGGACGGGAAUCAUAGCUCAUUCCACCCGGGGUAGGAAUUCUGUCUGGCCGACGUUCCACCUUCUCCUGAUAUUUCACAUCCGGAAUUCUGUCCGGCCGACGUUCCACCUUAUCCGGAUAUCUCACAUCCGGAAUCUUGUCCGCCGACGUUCCAUCCACCCGGAUAUAUCACAUUCGGAAUCCUGUCUGCCGACGUUCCAUCCACCCGGAUAUCUCACAUCCGAUGCCUAUCGUCGGAUGGAAGAGGAGGACGAUUCAACUUCCCCAGGCAGACAUGUCUGGAUCCUUCGGUAACGCUUAUCCGGAGAACAUCCGUGGUCAACGAUUCAGAUUCCCCGGAUAGCUUGGCUUGCUCGCGGUGCGCGCGCGGUGCACGCUUGACUUGUCCGCGAUCCCCACACUUAGCUCCUAGGGUUUGAAUCGCCAAACCUUCAGGCUUUCCUUGCUUUCCGUCUAGGCUCUCAUGGGUGCAAGGCUUACCUAUGAGGCUUAUUUCUCCGGAUCUAAAUCAAGUUGCUAAGAGGCUGACAGUAGCCAAAUAUACUUCAUGAGCAACCCAUAGGCCGGCAUACUUGGCAGUACAAAGUAUCAAACACCUUAUCUUUGACCAAUUGAAUUGAUUUAUUUUUAUCCUAAUCCUAAAAAAAAAAGAAAUCAAUAAAAUGAGAUUCAUGAACCGAAUAAAUGGCUUUUUAUUUUUAUUUUUUUAUUGAUCACGUGUUGAGGAAAAAGAAGGGUGUGGGGAUGGGGAAAGUGUGGGUAAUGGGCCCCACUGGUCUCCCUUCCAAGAAACCAAAGGCAAAGGGAAAAGGAGGGAGGACCGAGGCGAGGGGGAGGCGGAAGCGCAUUCAAUAAUAAUAAUAAUGUAAAUUUAGAGAAGUUAUAUAUGGUUAUUAGAAAAAUUAGGUCAAAGCGACCGGAAACUUCCGGAAGAACACGGUGAAUAAAAAGGAACCAUCUCUCUAGUUUCUUCUCCACAUUGUGGUCACAAAUUCCUCCUCCUCUUGGUUGGACUUGGGGGGUUUCUGACGACUGCCUUGCCUUUUGCCUUGAGAUCUGCUGGAGGAAUCAUGGAGGGAGCGGUUUCAGAGAAACAGGCGUCCUCUUCCUACACCUAUUGGGUUAGAGAAGCGAGGGAAGAUGCAGCUCCUCUCCCAGUUCCUCGGAAGCUCACCCAGGAUGAUCUUCUUUCCCAACAAUCUCACACGUCUGCCCUCGGUUCCGUCUGGAAUAAAGUAAGACUCUUGGGAUUCCGAUCCCUUUAUCCUCAAUUUCCACCAACUCUUUCUCGCAUCUCGUCUUGAUUUAUUCAUGCGUUCUUGCUUGCUAACGCCGUGCCUCUGCCUUCAAUGCAUGUUCAUCUUGUCCUUCAUUCUGUAAUUCACUUGAUGAUUUAAUGGAAUUCCGUCCCUGUUUUGUUCCCAAAUCUGCGACUCAUAUUAGGUUAUGGUUUCUCUUGGAUUUAUAGCAGACAUGGACAUCCCUGGCAUUCCCUCCUGUACCUUAAGAAAAUCACCCCAGUGCAUGGCUGAUAGUUUCAAUCUUUAAUGACACAACUAGGCAUCUUUUGGAAAGAGAAAUGAUGAAUGAGCUGAUAAAAUACAUCUUUAGCUUCACCGUAUAAGCAUCCGCUUGUCGGUUUCAAAUUCUUGCACCUUACAAUUGUUGGCACUUUAUUCCUCCGCAUUCUUUUGAGUGGCUUCUAUUUAGUUCUAUGUUAUUAUUUACUCCUUGGUUGGAACAUUAACAACUUAUUUGUCUAACAUAAAUAUGUACAUACAUACAUGCAUGCUUCUUAAUGUCUUUCAAUCCACUUGUCCUUUUCUUUUUUUUUUUGUUGUGUUUGAUGUAGCAAUGCCAUGAGUUUAUUUUGAUUAAGUGGUGUUUAUACCUGCAUAUGCCAAUGAGAGGAGGUUGACCACGUCGAUGGUGAGAUGGUGAAGUGGUGAGGUGUUCUGAAUUGAAGGGAGAGUGGAGUGGCUUGAGAGUUGAGAGGGGUUGGAGAAAGAAUGACAAUACAUUCUUGAGAGCAAAUCCCUUCAAGAGCAAAAUUUUCAUCUCUUUACAAUGGUGAUCCUUCAGGCCUAAUCUUAGGGAAUUUUAGAUAAAAACUAAUUUUAUGUCAUCGCAUGUGCCUAUAAAAUGUUUCCAUAUGUAUAUGAAUCAACAAGAUGAUGUCAUGUGAAUAUGGACAAACAAUAUGCCAGCACUUAUCUGUUCAAGUGAGUGAUUGUAGAACCAUGUGGUAGUAGCAGCAACACGUGUUCUGCAAAGUUAUCCCCCCUUCCUGUCAAUUUGACCAAAAUGGGCUUAGUAGUAUUUGGGCCAAUUUCACCUUGAUAGACUUCUAGUUCUAGCCAUCAAACCAAGAAUCUCAAACCAUUCCAUAUACUUAAUGGUAGGGCAAGCCAAGACCACCACCAAGGGGCAUUGGGCUCCAUUAGCCUUGCUUUUGACUUAGGUAGGCAAAAAGCAUAUGAGUGAAGUAUUAACUUAGGCAACUACCCUCAUGAAUGAGGGUGAUGGCAAUUAUUUGAAAUGCUCCUUUAAUUAUCUGAGAAGGGUUAAUGAAACUAAUAAAUGAAGAUGGGGAUGCGACCUCUCAUCACCCACCUAAGCAUGUUAGGGAUAACUCAUUCUUUCAUCCAUGGUACCAAGUGGAUGCUUCCACCUUGAGGUGAGAAAGAGACAUGGAUUGACAUCUACCCAAGGGUAGGUAUGGCAAAAUAAGGUAAUUAAGAUCAAAGUUUUAAGAAAUCCAUGUGAAAGCAAAGCAAUAGAUCACCCUCAAAGACUUCGUGUAGAGAGAACCCUUUAGUAUCACGACCUUAAGAGAAAUAUAUACAUAUUUACCCUUGUGCAUCAUUAUAGAUAUAUGCAUAUUCUUAUAUAUCCAAUUGGUAAUACAAAGCUCAGAUAUUGGGUUCAUAUUUAGUCUUCAAAUGCUUUGACCAACUUAUCAUUUGUCUUUACAUCAACCUUGGUGUCUUGGUGGAUGUCUAAUACCCAUGUCAUAUAUGACACUUCAAGUUAACUGUGUCAUAUUAUUGUUAAACCAUGCACUACUCUUAAGUUGGUCAGGCUCCUUUGUAGGGAAGAAAAGUAAAAAGGUGUGGAACGUUGUUCCUCUUUGUAUUUUUUAGAAAAUUUGGAGGGAAUGGAAUCAAAGAGCCUUUGAAGAUAAGGAACAAAAUGACCAAUUGUUAAAACUCUCGUUCCUUUGUAAUCUCUCGUCUUGGGUUAGUAUAUACUUAAGGCAAGACUCAAUGCCCUUGUUUGAUUUUGUAGAGUGGGUGGGGUCUUGUUGAGUGCCAAGAUGUUUUUUGGUGCUCUUUUUUGAGGGCUUGCUUUAGGUGUUCCUUGUAUACAUUUUGUGUUCAUUGGUAUGCUUUGUUCUUUUACUAAAGUAGUUUUUGUACGAGUUAUGAGCUACAAAGCCAAUCUUAUGACCAUAUUGCUUUAAGCCAAAGGCACCUCUAAAUGGGGCCCCAUAGAGGGGUAGCUUAUAAUGUUAUAACUAUUUGUACCUAAGAAAGGAUAACAAUAUCUAAGGUCACUAUGUCUCAAGGGCAGUUUGACCUGGUAUUUAGGCCCUUCACUUUUUGUCCAUACUUCCUAUUACUAGGGAUUGCCUCCCUUUAUAGCACUCUCUAUCAUACAAUAUUUUCUUAUCAAGGCCAAAAUACACCCCAAUACCAUCCUUUCAAGUCCUGCUGGCUGAUCUGCUCAAGGCCCCUCUAACUUUGUGAAUUGCAACAUCAUCAAACACCUCUUUACUCUGCUUUUUAAAGUCUCUCUUAAGAGCCAUCAACUUCUGAGCAAGAAUGAAGCCAAGUUCCCUGGCCCCCCCUCCCCUUUUUCCCCUCUCAAUCUUUACUAGACAAUAACUAUCAAUACACUAUAAAAUUACUCCAAAUUCUAAUGCUUCCUAAAUAUGCAGGGUAAGUUGGAUAUUUGGAGAUGUAAAGCUUUUAGCUUAUUUCACUUUCCCCCUUGGUUUAGAGGUUAUUUUGGAUCUUGGUACAUCCUCCUUUGUUUUGAUAGGUAAAUUUUUUUCCCCAUCCGGAGUUAUGAGCUUAGAAUCAACUUCCCAUAAACACCACCCCACCACCCAUCACGUCUCUAUUGACAUUCGAAUUCCAAUCAAUUAUGCCAUGAAGCAAGUCCAAAGUCCCAAAUUCAUCAAAUGCCAGAAUCAUGUGGUAAAUAGAACAUACCUUUUACUUCUGAUAAAAAAAUAAAAUAAAAUAAAAAAAGACACAACAACAUACCUUUUACAGUGACCAUAACAUGUGAGCUUCCAAAUUGGUCUUUNNNNNNNNNNNNNNNNNNNNNNNNNNNNNNNNNNNNNNNNNNNNNNNNNNNNNNNNNNNNNNNNNNNNNNNNNNNNNNNNNNNNNNNNNNNNNNNNNNNNAAAAAAAAAAAAAAACCCUUUGCCAGUUAAGCUAGGCCUUAAGAGAUUCAAUCUCCUCUGCCCUUACACCUUAUGAAUAGAUUUUACUUCUUGUGAAUAGAUUUUACUUGUCAUUGUUCUCUUUUCUCUCUCUCUCUCUCCCUCCCUCCCUCUUUACUCUGUUUUGGGUGUUUAUGCCUUUUUAUGUGUCUGUGCGUUGAUACAUGUAUUUGUGAGGUUUUUAACUUGUGAGAGCUCAGAAGCUAUGAUAUUACAAUAACAUUCCAGUUUCUCAUUAAUUAUGAGCACAGCUUGAAACAUCAGUUUUAGAUGCUCCUUUGAGCUGAUUUUAAAAUGGCUGGCUGAAUAGACACCCAGCUUCACUCAAAUAUAUAUUUUAUUUUAUUUUAUUUUCUCUCUUUUUAUAAUCGAGGAACCUUCCAUGACAGAUUCUUUAGGACUCUCCACGGGGACCCAAACUAACCAGCUGUAGGAUUUGACCAUGCACCUCUACCACACAUCCCAACAUUUUUGCCUACCCAACUAGGCCACCUUGGUGGGCUAGCUUCACUCGAAUGGAUUGUUUCCACUUUCCAUUUAAGCUGAUUGAUGUGAGAUGCAAAUGAGUCUAUCAUAAUAAUUUUCUGUUCACAGCAGAACCUCUUCCUUUAGUAAUACACUGAUGUUGUCCCAAUAUAUUGAGUUUUGGAUAUGUUUGAGGGAAAACAAUAUAAUACCUAUAGUUUCAAAGCAGACCAGAACCAUUGGCCUUCAUAUUUUGUUCUGGGUUCCAUGUUCUACGCUUCUACUAGUCCAAUGAUAAUACAGUCAUCACAUCUAGAGUCUUGCACACUCAUAGCUGCUUAUUGUUAUGUGUUUGGGAAAGAAACAAUGGGGAUCAUCACCCUAAAGGCCUGGUUACAUUUCUAUGUUUUUUUUUAUCAGAUUUGGUAAAUUUUCUAUUGGUUGCUUAUUUCUGACUGUAUGAUAUUUAUUUUAAAUAGGCUGGGACAUGGGAGGAGAAGAACCUUAAUAAAUGGGCAAGCAACAGAAUCAAGGUCUGUUUCUGUACAAACUUCUGAAUAUUUGGCUUAUCUUGUAGAAUAUGCUGGAUAUUUUGGACAUCUCAUUAUCUAUAUAGUAUUCUCCUGGGCCCACUUAUUAAGUGGUUCAAUUGGAUUCAAUACCAUGUGAAUUAUAAUUAAAAUGUUUGUUUUGUACCAUGUUAGUUGUCACUGGAGCAUUGCUAAUGCUCCUUUACGCCCUAAAAUAUUUUCCCUUGUGGGUGGGAGUCAUGUUGCUGGACUGCUAGUGGCCUAGUAAAUAUCCCUGCACACAUGCUUGCAGCACACACACGCAGAUGUUUGUGCAUUUGUGCAUAUAUACAUGAAAGUGCACACACAUACACACAAAUGUUCUUUUGUUCUUUCAAAAUUUCCUUCUGAAUUUGGUCUUGAAUUGUAGGAGUUGCUGAUUUCAGUCGGCUCCUUGGUGCUCUCUGGUGGUAAAGCAGAAAUUACUGAAGUAUCAAAAUGUUCAGGCGAUGUGAGUUCUUAUAACAAUCAUGUGACAUUUCUUAUAACAAUCAUUUGACAUAUAAGGCCUCAUGCAUGUAUAGAUUUUUUGAGUUUCCUGGACUCUUGUUGCAUAGUGCAUAUGAAUAGGCACAUGUUUUGCGUCAGAGUAACCAUUUACCAGUAUGGCAUUUCUGUGGUUAUUUUGUAUCUUUGACAUCACCCACUGGAGUACUUUUUUCAACCCUUAAGUUCACAAAAGAUUUUAGGAAAAUAAAGAAGAUAAAAGUGGUGCAUGCAUAUUUAAUCCUUCUGAGAAAACCUGGAAAUUAUUCUUCCAUGCUGUUAACAUAUCAUUUUAAGGUUUGUUUGAUCGUGAGUUGAAGAAAUUAGAGUGGUCCAUCAAUUACAAAGGGGCGAGGAAGGAGAAAUCUCUGGUUAGAGAUGGUGGGGACAGAAUCUCGAACCUUAGAUGAAGAUAAAGAUCAUAUCUUGGAAUAUAAGAAGGGCCAAUGAUAGGGAUAAAAGGAAAGUUAUUAAGGCUUUGAUCAGGUCGCAAAGAGCGGAUUUGGUGUGUCUACAGGAGACCAAAAUUCAAGAUAUAUCCAGAGGGAUUGUUCACAGUCUUGGAGUGGGAAGAUUCUUAGGUUGGGGUGCUAUGAGUGCAAGGGGGGCAGCCGGUGGGGUAGUAGUGUUUUGGGAUAACAAGGUUUUGGAGUUAAUGGGCAUGGAGGUGGGCCUUUUCUCAGUUUCCUAUCGCUUUAAAAAUUGUGAAGAUGGCUUCUUGUGGACCUUCACGGGUAUAUAUGGACCCACUAUGAAACGGCAUAGAGAGUUGCUUUGGGAAGAGCUAGGAGCCAUUCGAGGGUUGUGGUCUGACCCUUGGUGUAUUGGCGGGGAUUUUAACGUGGUCAGAUUUCCUAGCGAGCGCAGUAGAGAAGGAAGACUGACUGGUUCUAUGAGAAGAUUUUCGGAGGUAAUUGAGGAGUUGGCUUUAAAAUAUUUGCCUCUCCAUGGGGGGUUAUUCACGUGGAGUGGAGGGCUGAAUGGUCUUUCAAGGUCCAGACUGGACCGUUUUCUGAUUUCGGAGGAUUGGGAGAAUCAUUUCAGUGGGGCGUCUCAGUGUUCUCUCCCAAGACCGGUAUCCGAUCACUUCCCAAUCCUAUUAGAUGGGGGUGGGACGAGGAGAGGUCCAAUUCCAUUUCGGUUCGAGAAUAUGUGGUUGAAGGAGGAGGGGUUUAAGGAGUUGUUGAAGGGCUGGUGGCAAGGAUUUAAUUAUAGUGGGUCCUAUGGUUUCAUCUUGACAGAAAAAUUGAAGGCCCUGAAAAUUAAGCUGAAGGAAUGGAACUCGGAAGUCUUUGGCAAAGUGGGGGUGAACAAAGGGCUGGCUCUGGAUAAAGUAUCCUACUGGGAUAAUCAAGAGCAACUUAGAGCUUUAAAUGAGCAGGAGCUAGAGGCGAGAAAGGAGGCUAGGGAGGAAUUUAAGAAAUGGGUUCUAAUGGAGGAGACUUCAUGGAGACAAAAAUCGAGAGAAAUUUGGCUGAAGGAAGGCGAUAAGAACACGGGAUUCUUCCACAAGAUGGCAAAUUCGAACAGAAGGAGGAACUGUUUGAAAAAAAUCAAAAUCAAUGGAACCUGGCUUUCAGAAGAGCAUGACAUUCAAAGGGGAGUGGUGAGGGCCUUUAAGGACCUUUUAUCAGAUCCUGGAGGAUGGCGUCCUUGCUGCAACAAUAUUGAGUUUGACAGCAUUGGGGAUGAAGAGGCAGCCAGGCUGGAGGUGAGUUUUUCUGGGGAUGAGGUGUUCUUGGCCCUUUCAGAUCUGAAUGGGGACAAGGCCCCUGGUCCGGACGGGUUUUCCCUUGCAUUUUGGCAAUUCUGUUGGGAUUUUGUCAAAGAUGAGGUCUUGGGUUUCUUCAAGGAGUUUUAUGAGAGGGGAAAAUUCGUUAGAAGCCUGAACACCACCUUCUUAGUUUUAAUUCCAAAGAAGUGUGGGGCCGAAGACUUGAGUGAUUUCAGACCCAUCAGUUUGGUGGGGGGUCUCUAUAAGCUGCUUGCUAAGGUCUUAUCCAAUAGAUUGAAAAAGGUGGUGGGAAAAGUGGUGUCCUCUUCCCAAAAUGCCUUUGUUGAAGGUAGGCAAAUUCUUGAUGCUGCAUUAGUUGCUAAUGAGGUCAUAGACUCCGUGCUGAAAAGAAAGGAAAGUGGGGUCUUGUGUAAAUUGGACUUAGAGAAGGCCUAUGAUCGGAUUAAUUGGGAUUUUCUGCUAUCAGUGAUGCAAAGAAUGGGUUUUGGGGAGAAAUGGAUUGGGUGGAUUAGAUGGUGCAUAUCCACUGCCUCGUUUUCGGUUUUGGUCAAUGGUUCUCCUACCGGUUUUUUCCGGAGCUCCAAGGGGUUAAGGCAAGGAGAUCCACUCUCUCCUUACCUUUUCGUCUUAGGAAUGGAGGCCUUAAGUAGUCUCAUCAACAGAGCAGUGAGAGGGGGCUUUCUUUCAGGCUGCAGGAUAGGGGGGAGGGAAGGUGUCGGGAUCCAAGUUACGCACCUGCUGUUUGCCGAUGAUACUUUGGUCUUCUGUGAUGACUCUCAAGAGCAAUUGGCUUUUCUAAGUUGGUUAUUAAUGUGGUUUGAAGCCACUUCCGGACUGCGCAUUAAUUUGAACAAAAAUGAGAUUUUGCCGGUGGGUUGUGUGGUGAAUGCUGAGUUACUGGCAGCUGAGCUGGGCUGCAAGGUGGGAUCUCUCCCUUCCACCUAUUUGGGGCUCCCUUUGGGAGCUUCGCAUAAGUCUGUGAAGGUUUGGGACGGAGUGGAAGAGCGGAUGAGGAAGAAACUUGCCUUGUGGAAGAGGCAAUUCAUUUCUAAGGGAGGAAGACUCACUCUCAUCCGGAGUACUUUGGCGAGUAUGCCAACUUACCUUAUGUCAUUAUUGCGCAUGCCAAGAGUGGUUAAAUUAAGACUUGAGAAAAUACAAAGGGUCUUUCUUUGGGGAGGGGGAGCAUUGGAGAAGAGGCCCCAUCUUGUUAAGUGGGUUGUUGUUUGUACUCACAAAAAGAUGGGUGGAUUGGGGAUUAGAAAUCUCUCCAUUCUUAAUAGAGCCCUCUUGUGCAAAUGGAGUUGGCAUUAUGCGGUUGAAAGAGACUCAUAUUGGAAGCUUAUUAUUAGUACGAAGUAUGGGGUUGAAAGAGGAGGGUGGAGCACGUGUGGGGCUAGGGAGGGCCAUGGGGUUGGGCUUUGGAAGGAAAUCAGCAAGGAAGGUUUGCUACUGCUCAAUAAUGUAUCUUUCUCGGUGGGGGAUGGUAAAAGGGUGAGGUUUUGGAAAGACAUUUGGUGCGGGAACACCCCCCUUUGUGAGGUUUUUCCCUCUUUGUUUGAUUUAGCGGGUUCUAAAGAUGCGUGGGUUGGACUAUUGGGAUCCAAUGGGGGAAGUGGGAGGGUGGACUCCACUUUUCCUUAGACCUUUCAACGAUUGGGAGGUGGAGGAGGUGGAGAGACUCCUAUCGUCCAUUCAAGGGAAGAGGUUGGAUGCUGAUGGGGAGGAUAGGAUGCUGUGGAGAGGGACGAAAAAUGAGAUUUUCACUGUAAAAUCUCUUUACAAGUCUCUUGAUCAUAGCUGUGCAGUCUCGUUUCCGGGUAAUAUUAUUUGGAGUCCGUAUGUUCCUUCAAAGGUGAGUCUUUUUGCUUGGGAAGCUUCUUGGGAGAAGGUCCUUACUCAAGAUCAACUUAAGAGGAGGGGCUGGAUUCUAGCCAAUAGAUGUUGCUUGUAUUGCGUUGAAGAGGAAACGAUAAAUCAUAUCCUUGUUCAUUGUUCUAAGACGAAGAUUUUGUGGGAUCUUUUGCUUUCUCUUUUUGGGGUCAAUUGGGUGUUGCCGUUUUCAGUGAGAGACACUCUAUCAAGUUGGCAUGUCUCUUUUAAGGACAAGAAUCAUAGAAAGGUUUGGCGGGCAGCUCCUCUCUGUUUAUUUUGGACAAUUUGGAAGGAAAGGAAUAGGAUAGUCUUCGAUAACGAGGCUUUGUCGACUCAAAGAUUGAAAAACUCAUUUGUUUGUAAUCUCUUAUCCUGGGCUAAUUCUUCUAUAAUUGUAGGCCCUUUAUCUUUGUUUAACUUUGUGGAUUGGUUGGGUUUUUGUUGAGGGCCGGUGAGUGCUUGUGUUUUUGUUGCUUGUUUUAGGUGUCUCUUGUAUACUCCCUGUAUGCUCUGGGUUGCCUUUCAAGCUCCCUUUCUCUAAUAUAUUUUUGUGCUUUUGCCUAUCAAAAAAAAAAACAUAUCAUUUUAAGGUUUGUUUAGGUUGUGUUGCAUCAUUGAACUUGGUGGUAGUUUCUUUGAAGGCUCCAUGCAGGAGUGGACACCACCUAUUAAUCAUGUCACUAUUCUAUCAUGUCUUGGAACAUCUUAUGUUCUGUUCUGGUUAUUAUCCACUUUUGAGGGUUCUGGUAUCUUUAUCUGGUGAGUUUUUCUGAGUUCUGAACAGGCAUACUUGGUAACUGUGCGAAACAAGAAACGUGUUGGCUACACUUAUGAGUUAACAUUGAAAUUCCAAGGCAAGUUGUUUUGGUCUAAAAUGGGAAGCCCUUUUAUUUUUUACCUUUUCUAGUCCUGUUCAUCUGAAUUGAUUGAAGUGGGAUGCUACUGUAAUUAGGGGAGUGGAUCAUCAGAGAGGAGAAAAAAAUGAUCAAGGGUCAUGUGGAUAUCCCUGAAUUCUCGUUUGGUGAGCUGGAUGAUUUGCAGGUAUGUCUUAUAUUCCCAUUUGAAUGCCUUUGAGAAUGAAAAAGGAAAAUGAUGAAUAAGCAACUGGGUAAAAAUUCUGGAUUUAACUAUCUAUACAUACACAUUUUUAGCUAUCAACAUAUGAUGCAUUGCAUGCCAAACAUACCUUUUGGACAACAAUUCAUAUUUACAUUUUAUAUUUUAUUUAUUUAUUUAUUUUUGAUAAGUAUAUUUUAUCACAAACAAACAAUUGAUUGAUAUAAAUUUUUGAAGUAUGAGUGAAGGAUGAGAAAUCCUUCCAAAAAUAUGAAGGAUGAUUUAAACCCAAAAAAGAAAAAAAAAAAAAAAAAAAAAAAGGAGGGGGAAUAUACUGAACAAGAUCUGCAAGAUAGCUAUACAAAUCAAAGAUGAAACAAGAACAUGAGCAAAGUAUCGAAACAGUGUACAACUCAAGGGGGUAAAAAUUCCUUCACAAAAGAAGCCAUUUGCUUGGCUUCAUUUUUUGCUAAUCAAUCUGCAAUAUGAUUAGCUAAAUUUGGGGACUAAGAAAGUUCUGAACAUUGUGCCAUGGUGAUCUCUAAUUACAACCUCAAUUGAAGUUUAACUUAGUCAUGCCCAUUGGAGGCACUGUCCCUACUAAAAGCAACUCAUUAUCUAUACUCUUUGGCCCACAAACAUUGUUCCAAUCUGAGUUUUAAAAUGGUCAAAGAAGUAACUUACAAUAGUUUUAGGAAUAAAAGCCUAGGUCAAGGAACAGAAGUGUAUCAAAUCCUAAAUAAACUCCAUUCAUCCUUAAACAAUCCUUACAUCUGUUUCCCUCCUAUUAUCCAUAACAAAGUGACCCAAUGAACAUGCCAAAUCAUCUCUCAGCACCCUAAAAUCCCCUAAAAGAAAAAUAAUAAUCAUAAUCAUAAUCAUCAUAUUUAGUGAUGACUAUGGGGCCAGUAUUUUUGUGCACUUGCCUCGCCCCAUCCUUAAUAAGAUUGGUUUAGGAGAGCUAUAAAUGGUUAUAUAUAUAUAUAUAUAUAUAUAUUUUGAAAAUUGCCUUGCACCACCCCACCUUCAUAUAAUUUAAUUUUUUUUCAUUUUUCUAUAAAUUUACUUCUCAUGAAAAUAAAAUAUAAAGAUUUGUGAAAAUUUAUUUAUUGAAAUAUUGUAUUUAUUUGAAUAUAACUAAAACUUUUUAAAAAAUAACAAAAAGAAUUUUAAAUGAAGUGGGGCAAGGUAGGUACAGUAAAACUUCGAUAAAUUAAUAAACUUGUUUGAAUAAUAAAAUCUUUUAAUCUCAACUUGAGUUAGUGUAUUAAAUUAGUAAUUUAGCUAUAUGCAUAAAAUAACACUUUUUUUAGGUAUGCUUAAGGGCCCAAGGAAAUAUAAAUUGAUGAUUGAUGAUCGAUGAAGUACAUAAAAAAAUAGUAAACAAAAAUUCAUAAUACAGUAUUAAGUAACUUUUUACAACUAUUUUCUUAAUUCAAUUUCAUGUACAAGUAUUGUAAUAGAAACAUAAUAUUUUCUCUAAAUUAAUAAAUACUCAUUUAUCAAAAAAUUAAUAAAUAAUUCAUUUAUUGAUAAAUUAAUAACCUUGUUAAGAUAAUGUCUUUUGGUCCUAAGAAUCUUAUUUAACUAAGGUUUACAAUAUGUGAAAUUUCUUUACCCCCCUUGCCUUGCCCUAAUAAGAGCUUGAGACAAAACCCAACUCAAAUCCGUCCUAUUGAUGCCCCUAAUAAUCUUUGUCACGCUCUAGAGGAGACCCUAUCUAUUUUAAACAAGGCUAAUUGGUUUAUGCCAAAAACUCAAAGUCAUUGGGCAAUGUAAAAAAAGAUGAUCAAUCAAUUUUCUAUUCCUUAGAAUUAGUAACAUAACAUUUGGGUUGAGAACUUUGAAGGGCCUCCUCAUCUACAAUACAUCAGUGGUGUUGACUUUCUUAUUAGACACCAACCAUGUAAAAAUCUUAAACUUAGAUGAGGCUUUAGAUUCCUAAAUGAAAUUAGCAUGGGAAAGAGGUUUAAGUGUCAAGGAUUAAAAAGUGCUAAGAAGAAAGACUCUACAGAAAUUAAGUUUGAUGAAGUUAAUGAUAACUCUCACAUUCAUGGAGAUAAACUCACGAGGGUAAGAGAUGCCAUGAGAAGAUUGAGCUCUUUAGAUUUUGGAUCAGUGAGGUUGUAACAAUAAUUAAAGUUCCAAGCCAAAGGGGAAGAAGAAAAUCUAGAAUAGAUGAAAUUGAGGAGCCUCUAACUCUUAAAACUCUGAAGAAAUUCGGAGAUUGAGUGCAAAGUGGUUGAACUCUGUACCUAAAUCUUCCCAAAAAUGAAGCUUUGCACUAUCACCAAUAGGAAAAAAAAAACUAUAACUAGAAAAAUCAUAAAAAUAUUGUAAAUUGGAUUUCCAAGGGCAACAAUGGGACCAUCUAACUGCAUUAAUGACAUCUCAACCAUUAGAAUGUGACUCAUAAGGCUCAAGCUAACCAUAUACCAUAAAACAUGAAUGUCCCUUGAGAACCUUCAUAGGCACUUUCUUAAGAGGACUUUGUUUCUAAAAGAGAUCUUUCCCAAACCCAACCCCACUUCAUCCUAGCUCACACACUCAGUCCCAACUUAUGAAGGGGUCUCUUCUUCCUUCUCUAACACCCCACCAAAGAAAAUCCCUAUGUGAUAUAUUAAUUCUAUAUGCUAUUUUGGAAGGGAUCUUAAACAUUAAAAGGACGAAAAUGGGUAUUUGGAAAAAAUAAGGCUACACCAAGGUUAUUCCAAGGCCUUAGAAGAAGGCUUUCUUCCCUUCUGUGACAUGCCCAAAUAACUGACUCAUUCUUUGCCUUGUAAUGAGAGGACAUGAUCAGGGGUAUUUAUCGGUAUCCUCUUUUUUGUCUUCCUAAGGUUUGUAUUUCAAUACAGUUGGUAUUUUAUUACUCAUGAACAAUUUAAUGUAGCCAGAUGUUAACCCUAAUAUACCUAUGAACAACCUGAGUUUGCCCUCAAGUUAAUCACACCUGAACCACCUUUAGUCACACCAUCAUUUUCAUUGCAAACAAAAUAAUGGCUCGUCCACCUCAAUUUCCAUUUGGCUAGCAAUGGAACUAGUUAAAGCUGAUAAAAAAUUAAUUGUGAAUCUAUAUUUAUCAUGUACCUUGUAGAUUGAAGUGAGACUCGGUGAAGAGAAGGACCUUUUGCAUCAAGAUAAGCUGCAAAUUAGCCAGGAUUUGAAGCAGUUUUUGCAGCCAGUCCGUGAAAAGUUGCUUCAAUUUGAAGAGGAGCUCAAAGACAGGUAGAAGGGGACCUGUCUGGCCUCGUCUCUAUUGAAGCUUUGUGACAGUUAAAUUAAUUGUAGGUUACAAUUUAUGAGACUAUUUAGGAUACAAAGUUUUUCUUGCUGCCACUAGUAGGAUUUGGCAUAAACUUUAUUGGUUGCAUCCUGCAUUUGAUAAGGGAAUCGACAGGGUCUUACACAUUGUUGUAGUUCUAUAUGAUGAAGAUAUUGGUGGCAGUUUUGUAAACUUUGUUGUAUGUGUCAGAAGAUGGAAUUGAGCAACUGGCUUGCUGUUUCUUUUAAUUUAGUAUUUUCUGCUGGCUGUACAUGCCAACAUUGAAACACAGAUUAGAGAGCCCCUAUCUUUGGCUGCCGGAUUAUGCAAUAUCCUAAGUCCUAGCCUAGGGUGGAAAUGACAAGUAUAUUUUCCUGUUUGUUUGGCAACAAGCUGGGAUAGUGAAAUUUUUAAUUAAUUUCUGGAUUUUCAAUUUGAGGAAAAGAUUUAUAUUCUAAUUUUUAUUUUUAAAAUUAAUUGAAAUUAUUAAUUGUACUAAAUAUUUAAACGUUUAAAUUAGUUUUUGGAGUUCCAAUUGAAAAAAACUUUAUUGGAAUGGAUGAUAUAGCUCGCCUAUUUAGGUUUUGUUGUAUUGUAAGAGUGGUAAAUUUAUUUCUUAUAAAAAAUUUAUGAAUUUAAUGUUAUUAUUUUUAUUUUUGAAUAAAGAAUUUAUAGAAUUUAAUUUGCUUUAAAAUUAGAUGAGCUAUGAGAUGAAAAUUGGGAGUGUAUGUGGGUGAGGGUGGGAACUAUUUUUUAAAAUAGUUUUUUGUUCUCUAAAAUAAAAAAAUACAAAAAACAUAUUUGGUAAUUAAACUAUUUUUUGUUUUUUGUUAUUAAGAAAAGAAAAUAGUGUGUUUUUAAAUAAUAUUUUUAGUUGUUUUCAUCUAUUUUAUGAGAGUUGUUUUAAAAAGUAAAAUGUUAGAUAUAAAAAUUAUUUUUAAAACAUUAAAAACAAGCUAAAAAGAUUUUAGGUUUUGGAACAAAUUUUUUGUAGAAAUAGUUUUUAAAAAUUAUUUUUUAGAAUUAUUUUUUUAAAACAGCUACCAAACGCUUAAAUUUAAGUUUUGGUUUUAAAACUUUUUAGAUUUAUUUUAUAUUUAUGUCUUAAAUUUUAUUUUUGAGUAAAAUUUAAUGAAAUUUUUUUGAAUUUAAAAGGUAUAUUUAAUCUUUAUUUUGUGUAUUUGAUGAUGUUUUUUUAAAACAAUUAUUAAAAAUAUAUUUUAGAAUUUUUUUAACUCUUUAAAUAAAUAAAAUUUUAUUUGGAAAUUCAAAUAUGAAAAACAAUUUUUUUUUCCUUAUAUAUAGAAAAGGUUCAUAAAAAUAUUUUUCAUAUGUAAAAAAAUAAUUAAAAAUAUUUCAAAUUUGUUUAACAUACAAGAAUAAUUUAUUAAAAAAAUCUGAGAAUUCUCAAAAAAGUAUUCUUUUUGUUUUCUUUUAUGAUGUGGAGAUGUCCGCGCUUGUUUGAAAUGGGCGUGUCUCCGAGGACGUCGUCCCAUCUAUUUCAUUGGCCACCUUUAAAUGCCAACUUUGACUGUAGCUUUCUUUCCUGGAAGGAACACAUCUGCUUGACUCAUUCUCCCUCUCUUAAACAAAUUCAUUUACAGACAGGGCCUUAAUUCAUUAUAUUCCAAAUGAAGGUGCCAAAAUCGUGCUUUAGAUGAGGAACAUAAGGUGAAAAAUUGUACCCUGCCUGUCAAGAAACCUGCAGGUGGGGAAUCAAUUCCAGAGUCUCAGGAUUCUGUCCUUCUCCACUUGAAUGCUUCCCCAAAAGGAAAACAGACAAACUUGAAACAAGGUAAAAAGGAAAAGAAAAGAAAAGAAAAUACUUCACCAUAUAUUUACAUGCACCUUCCUUCCACUCUUCUCACACUUCAUGGCCUCUCUUCCAUCUCUCGUUGGAUUUCUCCUUUUGGGUGCCUUGCUUGUGUCCUCAACAGCUCAGAAUAUGACCCCGGGCAUGGAAGCUGGAGAGUUUUUGGGGUUGUCUGAAGUGAUGGGUGCUCUUCUGGACAACCCCAACUGGACCCAAAUGCAUCCGCAUCCAUGCACCCACACCCCAUGGCCUGGUAUUCGGUGUGACGUUAUUCAUCAUGGACAUGAUAGCCUACCGAUUCUCCAUGUUACCAAGCUCCAUAUUGGCCCAGAUGUGGCCAACCCACCAGUUUGCAAAACCACUGCGUAUUUGUCUGCUUCAUUGCUCAAGUUGCCUCACCAUAAUUCUCUCUCUAUCGUAGGCUGUUUCCGUAUGUCGAGGGUCUUCCUUCCUGCACCCAUCUUUGGUUCCUUCUCUUCCUUAGAACAACUUGUCGUCAAAUCCAAUCCUGGCUUAUACGGAGAAAUCCCUCUCACUUUGGCAGACACUACUACCCUAAGAGUUCUCAGCCUGUCACAGAACAGCCUGCAUGGACAAGUCCCCAAAGGGCUUGGUAGGUUGAGAAAGCUGGAGCAGUUGGACUUGAGCUACAACAAUCUAACCGGUAAGAUCCCUCAAGAGAUUGGUGGGCUCAAGAGUUUGACAAUCCUUGACAUGAGCUACAAUGGUCUUCAAGGGCGCUUGCCUUAUUCUCUAGGGCAGCUUCAGACCCUACAGAAAAUAGACUUGAGCCAUAACAGGCUUGUUGGAAGAAUACCUAGUGUUAUUGGGAGGUUGAAGCAAUUGGUUUUUUUGGAUUUGAGCCACAAUAACCUGACGGGGCCAAUACCUGACACCCUCUCUGGCUUGAAGCGUUUAGAGUACUUGUUGGUGGAAAACAACCCUCUAAACACCAAACUGCCUUGGUUUAUGGGGACACUUGUCAAUCUGACUGUUCUGAGUCUCUCCACGUGUGGACUCGUGGGAACAAUACCACCAUCUUUUUGUUGGUUGGAUCAGCUCAUUGUUCUUUAUCUGGACAGAAACAAUCUCCAUGGAACGGUUCCUCCAAAAUUAGGGGCGCUUCCUAACCUUUGUCAGCUAAAUUUGAGUCAAAAUCAGCUGAGUGGUGAGUUGUACUUUUCAUCUGAAUUCGUCCAACGACUCGGCAAAAAAUUAGAUGCGAGUGGUAACGAUGGGUUGUGCACAGGCCACCAGUUCAAUGAACAAGUUUCCCAGUAUUUAGGCAUUCCUCCUUGUGCGGAUCAAACUGCCAAAUCCAGUAACACUUCUGACCAUGAAAAUUCAAACCCAUACUGGACUGACGCCUCAAAUGCAAUUAUUAAGGAACCAAUGCUUCUUUAUCUUAUAUGCUGUAAUCUAAUUGGGUUUCUUUGAAAUUUUAGCCUAAGCUAUGAUAUCUUCGCCAUCUUCUCAUAACCAAAUUAGUUCUGAUCCAUGGCUUAGAAUUUCAACUUGCCCAGUUUGUAUAACACAGUGCUUUCUAAUGUUGUUCUGUCACUUGAUAUUUAAGGUAAUUAAGACCAUUAUCUUUGUAUUUCAAUGCUUGUGCCAAGCAUCAUCCACCUUCGAAAUUUUAACUCAAACAAAUUCACAGCACAUCAGAAAUGAUGAUAUGGCUCCUGUCUUAAUUUUAUACACAAGUUAUAUGUUAAGAGUUUGGUGACCCAAAUUCUACUUAGUCUGAUUCGAAAAGCUCACGGUGUGACCUAUAUGGUAAAGUUAUAAAGGUUUGCGGCUUGAUCCCCUAGCCCGGUUUGUUAAUUACUCACACACACACACACACACACACACAUAUAUAUAUAUAUAUAUAUAUAUAUAUAUAUAUAUAUAUAUAUAUAUAUAUAUAUACAUCUCCUCUCAUGUGAUUACGAUGAUCAUAGCGGCUCGCAACUUCUCUCUCUUGUACCAAUCUUUUGAUAUAGCAGAUUUCCUUCUCCUCUACUCGUGGUUUUUACCAUUUAGGAUUUUUCAUGUAAAUCUCUGUAUUUUUAUUUUACAUUUUUAUCACCUAUUCUCGUUUUUGAGGAGAUCGUAUGGAGACUAAGGACUCGUUCUAUUUCAUUUAUUCCAUCACAAUUAAAUUUUCACCUGAAUUUGGUUGGAUUUAUUCUCAAAAGGAAUUUUAUUAAUGAUGCAUGCUUAGGAAUAAGAAAUGGAAAGGAAAAGCUUUCUUUUCAUGGAAGUAUUGUAGUUUAAAGUGGUAACAUAUAUUUAGUUGUACAUUUAGGAAGCACUUGUGGAUGUGUUCAAUCAAUAGCACCCAAGUUACUAAACUAAAUUACUUAACUAUUUUAAUCUCCUUAUGAAUUAUUUAUAACCCAAACGAUCUCAAUCAAAAUAGAAAUGGUUAAUUAGCUUUCUAGCAACCUUUUCCAUAAUUCCAAAAGGAUGAGGUUUGCCCUAGUCCUACUAGGUCUAUGAAAUAUACUUCAUUCCUCCCAUUAGAAGUAAUAGAAAAUGGGUAUUUGAUGGCAAUUUCUAAUGGGCUGGGCUUUACUCAGUCCAAUGGCUAGUUAGGCUACAUCUUAAAAUAAUAAGGUGUGGGGGCCUACCCAAGGCCUGGUUAUUUAGGCUCCAUCAAACAAAUAAGUUUUCAUGAGUUGGGUUUGUCAUUUAGGCUCAGGCCACCUAGUUACAUUAAAUAGGGACUAGGCCCAAUUGAGGUCCUUAUUAGAGUCUAAUUUUAUGAUCUUUCAUAAACCGAGCACUACCAAUUGGAAAUAUUGGAAACCAAGAUAGAAACGACCAUCAGAAUCCCACUAACUGGGUUAAGUACUACAGGAUUGUAUAAAUAAUAAGGGUGCACAUAUAUCUUAGGGUAAUGUUUUCGGUCAUUUCAUUAUUUAAGAAGGUAUUUCCUUUCUCCGUUUUAGCAAAAAUAUUUUAUUUCACCUUGAAAAGUCAUUGCAAAGCUUGAAAUAAUGCAAACUUCUCUGCAAUUUCCAUUAUCAUUUAUUGGAAAUGAAUUCAAAUCAUUUAAAAUAAGUGAAAUAAGUUUAAAGUAGUAUAUAAAAAUAAUUUAUUAAUUUUAAAUCUAUUUUUAUUUUACUUCAUUUUUUCUUUCCUUAUAAUUUUCUUCAUUAUUUUCUUUUCCUCAUGUUUUGUGCGAACCAACAUAGCUUAAGGUUAUGUUUGCUUCUUGAAAAGUAUUAAGAACAAAAUUAAAGAAAAUGAUUUUAUCAUAUUUGGUUGUAUUGUAGAAAAUAUAAAAUAAAAGAAAAUAUAAUAAAAAAAAUGAUUAGAAACUUAUGCAUUUUCAAAUCUGUCAUCUUUAUAUCGAAGAAUUAAAAUAAUUGAAACAAGUUCAAAGUAACAUAUAAAAAUAAUUUAUUCACUUUAAUUAAUUUUAUAUUUUUCUUCAUUUUUUUCUUUUCUUUUAAUUUUCCUCUCUACUUUCUUCUCCUUUCAUUUUCCCUCUAAUUUUUUUGGGAACCAAACAUAGCAUAAAAGUAUCAUACACCUUUCAUUUUCCCUCAAAUUUUUUUGAGAACCAAACAUAGCAUAAAAGUUUUUUUUUUUUUUUCUUUUUUUUUGUGUGUGUGUGUAUGUGUUGUAAGACAAUUUUACAAUACUUAUGAAACUAUAUUAAUAUUAUACAUGUAAGUAUUUAUUGAUAAUCAAGUUAAUUAAUUCAUAGAAAAAAAAGUUUUCAAUUACUUAUGAAAAUAUUAGUUAUAUCAAACAUCUUGUGCAUGCUUGAUGCAUUUUAUUAAAACUUAAAAAUUGAAAGGAUGACUUAGACUACUUUAUAUCAAAUUUAAUGAUAUUACAAAAGAAAAGUAACUAAUGAGAAGAAAUUGUUGGUUAAUCUUACCUUUAAUUUAAUAACAAAAGAUCAUAAGUUUUUUUACCAAGUUAAUAAAGUACCUUGCACUAGUUGAAAGCUUUCCAAACUAUUGUGGCUUAGAUCUAGCACUUUCAACUUUCUCAAACUAGCUAAUUCUACAUCAAAUAUGAAUAAAAAAAGAGAUGAAAUUGUUGGCUAAUAUUAUUAAUUUAAUAACAAAAUAUCAUAAGUUUUUUUAGCAAGUCAAUGAAGUACCUUGCACUAGUUGAAAGCUUUCCAAAUCAUUAUAGCUUAGAUCCAACACUUUCAAAUUUCUCAAACUAGCUAAUUCUGCAACAAACAUGAAUCAAAAGAGAGAUUAACUAAGGAACAUUAAAAGUUAGAAAUAUACUAUACUUAAUUUUGAAGAAACAAUGUAGACAUAUAACAUGCCUUGAAUGGGAAAAGAUCCAUCCCAUCCCAUGCUACAAAGAGCCAAUGUCUUGAGUGAUGAUAUUGCACCCAAUGAUUUUAAGUCACUUUUGUCAAACUCAUUACCACUUAUGUCCAAGAUCUCCAAUUUCUUUAAACUUGAUAACCCUUUAAAUCCUGUAAAAUAUAGUAAUAUAAUUUUAAUUAGAAGCAUGUAAUUACAAGUUGAGAUCUUCAUACUUAAAUCUAUAAGCUUACAUGUCUUUAAUAUAAGAAUAUGUAUCCAAAUUUCUAAUUCAAAUUUGUGAUUUUUGUGUUUAAAUGUUAGAAAUAAAAAAAAGUCCAUAGAGCUUCAAAGAGCUUUUGUGAUCUUUGUGAAUUUAAACAUGAAAAUUUUCAUGUUUUGUGCCCCUAUAAUCUGAAUCCUAACUAAAUAAAGGAAAUUAUGUUUUGAAUUAAAGUUUUUAUAUUCGUUUUAACAUUGUAUGUAGAAUCCAUCUAAUAGGUUUAAUUAAUUAAAUUAUGUCCCUGACAAUGGGUUAUGGAUGGGUGGAAUUUGGAAAUGUGUAGAUGGUCAUGGGUUGGGCUUUACCUUGUUCAUUGUUAAACCAACCUGACAUCAGCUUAAAACAAUAAGGCCUGGGCCCUACCUAAGGCUACGUUAUUUUUUUUUAAUGUUUUUUCUUUUUUUUUUGGUAAAUGUGAAAUUCUAAAGAUGGUGAUUCCUCAUUUGAAAGCAAUAGUCAAAUUUUGUGAUCACCUUUCUUUAACUAAUCUCUUUGGAAUAUAAUAAUCAAGCUUUUUUAGGAAUGGAAGAUAAUGAAAGACAAUUUAGCAAAAGGAAUAAGGAUAUGGGAGCCUAAGUGUUCCAAUUAAUUAAUAAUUGUGAAAUUGCUCACUCUUAGUUGAAUCCCACUUAUUGGGUUGAGUGUGAGAUGAUGACAUAAAUAACAAGUAUGCUUAUAUAUAUAAGGCUAAUGUAAUCUACAAUAUUCUAAAAUAAUAAUUUUUUAUUGUUCUAUUUAAAUUUUAAUUUACAUUAUAAAUUUUAAUAAUUAGUAAUUGCUCUUAUAUUAAAUUCAAUAGUUACUAGUGACCAUUUGGUCUCCACCUGAACACUUUUGAGAACAUAUGCUAGUAGUUCCUUUAGAAUGUUUGGAGUAUAAGUGAAAAGAAAUUUUAAAGGUGAGAGGUAACAUACCUUCAUUCUCAAGAAACCCAUCAAAUGAGUUUGCAGACAAAUUUAGAUGGUGAAGUUCUUCAAAAUGCAGGAAUAGGGAGACAUUUAGUAACCAAAAUUUGACAUUUUCAUAAUAGUACCAAUCGAAUUCCAAUAAAUUUUGUUGUUGCCUUAUAUCAUUGAGGAAAAGCUUUUUAACUCGACCUGUGGUAGGAUUGCAAAUAACCCGCUCCCAAUUACAACAUUCACUAGUGUUGUUAUCUAUCCAUGAAGGGAGAAGAAAAUUUGCAUGCUCAUCAUUCAAUUUAAGAAAAGCCUUGAAUUCAAGCAAACCCAUCUUCUCUUCUUCGAUGCAACCUUUGCAUCCACAUAUUUGAACCAAGAGUAGUAUAAAAACCCACAUCAAAUAUUUAGAUGACAAACUCUCCAUUGAAAGUUCAAACAUGAGGUACAUAAGAAAGACACUACUAAAUUGCUCUUGAUAUGCAAAUAGAUGAAGAGUAUUUAAUUUAGUUGGUUUAUCGUUCUUGCCUACAAAUUGUCUUCACUAGUAGUUUGAUAGGGCCCACCAUGCAUGCUAAAGUCUAUAUUCUAUUCAAAAAGGCUAUUCAUUAGGAAAUAAAUUGCGAUCGAUACAAAUUAUAGGGGAGAUUUGGUCUCACUUUAAUAUAUGACACAUGUUUAAAGGAUGAAAUCUUUCAAACUAAAAUUUUCUUGUGAGAUUCAAUGAAGUCGUGAUGUUCAUGUUAAUAUCAAAUCUAAGAGUCUUCAUUUACCAAUUUAACGGUAACAAAAUUAAACUAACUUAAUUCAAUUGUUUAAUUUGUUGAUUUUAUUUCUAUUUCUUUUACAAAAUAAAAAUAUUGAAGUGAAAAAUAAACAAUAAAAAAAAUUUAAUGGAUGUAAAAAUGUAUUUAAAUAGAAAAAAUAAAUAAAUUAAUUUCAUAUCAAAUACUUUCUUGAUUUUGAAUGUCUUUUUAAGUAUGUUAACUUCUUUUAAUAUUAAAAUAUUUUACAAAUAUCAAUUAUUAAUUCAAAUAAAAUACUAAAUUAAAUAAAAAAAAACUAAAUUUUUUUCAACUGCAUAUAUUUUAUAAUUGUCUUUUAACAAAUAAGUUCUUAUUUAUUGAAAUGAUAAUUUAGUAAAAAAAAACUCAAUUAAUAAUUUUGCAUCUAUAACAAUAUAUUGUACAAAACUUUAGCAUAUAAUAAAUAAAUUAUUUAUAUUUUGUAGUAAACAAAAAAAAAACAAAAACAAAAACUUCUCCAAAUAUUGUCAUCUAAGACCUCAUACAAUAUGGUGAGACUAUACUUUCAAGUGAAGACUAUAUAUAUUAAAUUAAUAAUAUUUUUUAAAAAAGUUCUUAACUUUGGCUAUAUUUCCAAUAUCUUAGCGGCCUUUAAGAAAAUGAUUAACUUCCAACACCACAAUUAUCAUUUUUACGGGAAAAAACGAAAAGAGAAACAUACAAGUAAGCAAGACAGAUAGCAAUUAGCAGGCACUGAAAAAUUGUCUGAAGCUUCAACCUUCUAAUAAACUACGGAUAUGUUGUUUGUGUGGUUCAAGGCUAACUCUGGCUGUGGCUCAUGUAUUGGUUGUAAAAGACAGAUACCAUGUCCCCAAUUGCCACGUGGCAACAAAGCCUUGGGGUCCUUGUUAUGAUGCAAACUAUGUUGUUGGACAAAUCUGCAGCCUUGUUUCAAUCCACCAACCCAACAUUUUCUUUUAUUCUAUUCAUCCUCAUAUGGAGAGAGACAUAAAGACGCGUAACGGGCUUUCUCUUAGUUUGAUUUAUGGCUAAUUUUACUGUUUAUGAUGAAUGAGAAGAAGGAAAAGAGGGCUGUUGAAUGGUGCAGAUAAAGACGGGAAGCACAAGAAUGUUGUUGAAGCCCUUCAAGGUCAUCUCACUUCUCUCUCUUCUAUUCUUUCACUUGUGGUUUUGCUUAUUGUGGAUUUGUAAAUUGAGAUUAUCCAGUGUUUGCGUUUUUGUUUAACAUGUUGACUUUGGAAUCUAACAGCUUAAUCUUUCAAUUUUGACAGUGUUGACGAGAAUUGAGCUGUCACCUGAGCACCAUGAAUCUCCAUACUAUCAUGUCCUUGAACCAAAUGGAUAAUCUGAAGAAAGUGAUGCAAACCCAUUACUCUGUUCCCUCCCGGGUACCUAAUUUCUUGGGUGCUGAAUCAGUUGGUGAAUACUCAUUGUAUGGAAAAGAGUCACCUGCAGGUAUUCCUCCAUGUAUACAAAGAGAACAAGUCCUCAAUUCCCUUGCACAACUGAGUCUGUUUAAACACCAUAUUUUGAAUACAAGCCCUGUGUCCCACAAACCUUUCCCUAUGGGAUCUUAUGUCAUGAAUCCACAUGCCAUGUCUACUCAGUCUUCUAUGUUCCCUGCCGCUUUAUAUUCUCCAUCUUCGACCAGCUUUGAGACCCAUCAGCACCUUGGAAAUCCACACUUUCUUCCACAAUAUCCCCCGUGCGUUUCUCCUGCUAAUUCAUCAGAAUCUCCCCUGCUUUUGGGUGACGAUGUAGCUGAUAAAUAUGACAAAGAGAAUUCAGGGGACUUGAUGAAGGACUUCUUUGGCAUCCCGGAGGAAAGUUCUGAUCAAAGCUUGCAAGGUUUGGAUGCUGAGAAGGACAGUUUGACAUUAAUGGACCUGUUGGAUCUGCGAUAUUUGUCUGAAGAGCUAGACAUACCUGUAAGCAAGAAAGGGGAAAAUCCCAGUGUUGAUGUGAGUACUAUUUUCCUGAUUUUGAUUUGUUCUUUAAUAGGUAUUGUCAUUGUAAAGGACCUCCCAGGUAUCUCAUUCUCUGCUUGCUUGGACAAAAUUUACAUGUUCAACAAAUCUAUAUACGCAGUUGAGUUUUAGAUGGCAUGUGUUGAUUGUUAUCAUGUCAUGCAUCCAAAUAUGAAUAUACCAAAUUGGACAUUUCAUCGGAUGUUAAUUGGUGUUCAUUUGGUGUAGGAAAUAUGCCAAGCACCAAACGUUUCAUCAAUCCCUCCCCAAAGCCACCCACACGCUUUGGUCCCGCCUAUGGAUAAUCAAGUUCCCGAGGCUGCAGCUGCCCAGAAGCAAAGAAUAAGGUGGACACCCGAGCUCCAUGAGCUUUUCUUAGAUGCAGUCAGCAAACUUGGUGGCCCUGACAGUGAGUCCAUCACCUUUGAAUCUUUUGUGAAAUCCAUCUUUUCCAAGGCUAACAAUCUUGUGUGAAAUUCAGAGGCAACUCCAAAGGGUAUAUUGAGGCUUAUGAAUGUUGAAGGUUUAAACAUCUGCCAUGUGAAGAGCCACUUGCAGGUAAUUUUUAUUCUCAAAAAUAUGGAUUAGAUCUUUGAGCGAGCUACAUCUCUGUUUCAACUUACAAUGUUAUAUGGACCUAUAAAUUUGCAGAAAUACCGACUAGCCAAGGCUGUGCAGAUGAAACAAGGUAAAAGAUAUAAUAAUACUAGAUGAAGGAAGCUCAUCAAUAGCAUAGCAGUAAUAUCUUACCUUAGUUACUAUAUUUUUGCAGCAGCCUGAUUCCUUACCUAUCCUAGUAGGUUUAAGACAAAACACAUGAAAAGUUCGAUAAGUAGGUUGUAAUGAAAUUCAACCAUUUCAAACCCCUGUUAGCUUCUGAAUUUAGAGUUCGUUUGAUACUAAUUUUAGAAAAUAUUUCUAGACUUUCUAAUAUUUGAAUAAUAAAAAUUUUGAAGUAUGAGAAAUAUUAAAAACGUUUCCUAAAAUCACAGUCAAAUGAGCUCUUAAUCUACAUACUCAACAAAAAUAAUUCAAGGCAUGCACAAAACUCGAGAUAUAGGUAGAACAUCUCCCCUACAAAAAUUACAUUUCUUUUGGGGUAAAAAUUAGAGGCUUAGGCUACUUCCCAUCAAUCCAUCCAUCCUUUCAUCCAUACACACACUCCAAUUCCACAAUGAUCCCCCAAACUACAUAAUCUUAUUACUCACUAUCUUAUUGAUGAAUUAGAUACAAAUUAUUAAAAUUUAUUAAAGAUAUUUUGAAAUUAUUUUUGAUUGUUUGGAUAGAAUGUGAAGUAUGAUUUUAAUUUAAGAGAGCUUUUGCAUGGUAUUGUUAUUUUUAUGAUCAUCCUUAUCACUUAACAAAUAAAAAUUUGACUUAAAAUUAAUAUAAUAUUUCAAAAUAGUGAAUAAGUUUGGAGUAUGAUUUGAGCCUCAGUGUAAAUUAAUUUUAACAAUUAGGGGGAAAAAACUUGUUAUAAGAUGGGUGAAUUAAGUUAACUUUAAGUUGUUGAUUCAAAACUUAUCAUUUAAUUUUUAUUUAAGUAUUAAAGUUGUUUUGUAAAAUUAACUUAAAAUUUAUUCUAAAUCAUCAAAUUUACCUAUCUACCCUCAUAUUUAAAAUAUUAUGGAUGCAUAAUAUAACCACAAAAAUAUUUAUUAUGAAAGAUAAGUUGUGAAUAUAAAAUUAUGGUUGUAAAAUAUAUUCUCAUUUAACAUGAAUAGAUGAAAUAAAAAUAAAUAUUUGAAAUUAAAAAUAAAUAAAUUAUUUUAAUUUUGAUUUAUCAAACCAUCUGUGGCUAAUUAGGACUGCAACUUGGGUAGAUUGGUUAGGUUGAUGGUUAACCUAUGCCCAACCCAAAUUAAGAAACAAUUAAUUUAAGUUCAACCCAACCUGGUCUCUAAUCUUAGAUAUUCAACCCAAGCUAAACCCAAUCUCAUUUUUCUAAACUUAGUUUGAUUGAGUUAAACUCGGAUUGGUUAGGUUAAACUUGCAUUUGUGAGGUUAAUUAGGUUACAUGAUUCAAAAUCUAUUAAUAGUGAGUUUAUAUAUAUAUAUAUAGUACCAAAAUUUAAAUAAUAAAUAAGAAAAAAUUUCAAGAUAAUAAUCAAAGUAAAAAACAAACUUAUAUAUUUUUUUAAAAUAAAAAAUAAAAAAAGUAUAUGAUAUAAUUAUAAUUUUAUAUUUUUUUUCUCUAAAAUCUAAAAAGAAGAUGAAUAUAUCAUAUAUGGUAUAAACAGUAGCCUCAAGUUAUUCGAAUCUUAGUUAAGUCCAAUCCAAAUUAAGUUUGGGUUGAGAAAACUUAACUCAAAGUCAACCUAAAUAUUCAAAACAAUUUGUCUAAGUCCAUCCAAAUAUGGUAUUGGGUCGGGCUAACUACUCCAAGUGGGUUGGGCUAAUUACUCCAAGUUGCAGGCCUAUGGCACAUUCGAAGUAUUAGUUAUCAAAGAGGGUCCUGAGGGGCUCUUUUAUGAUUUGGUGGAGCUCUCUCUUUUACAAUCUUGACCAUGCAAUUAUCAUUAUAUCUGGCUGCUGCUUUUAAUGAUUGCGAGGGUGGACACGAUUGAGUAUUUAUAAAUUACAAUGUUGUCACUUUUCAAAGACAAGAAGGCUUCCAGCUCUGAAGAAAGGAAGGUAGCUACAAAGACUGAUGAGAGGGAGACGCCUAUAGAAAGGUAAACCCGGAGCAUAAUUGGCGUCUACUCCUUUAAAAUGCUUACUUCAUGCUAAUGAUAGUUGGAUGGCAGGGCAAUGCAUGUCACAGAAGCUUUGCGCGUACAAGUCGAAGUUCAGAAAACACUUCAUGAACAGCUCAAGGUUUAUUUCUUCACAUUGCUUCGAUCCAUGGCUUGUUGAUUGGUUAGGCUUAUUUUUCAUUUCUACUGUACUUUUAUUUUGGCUUCUGCAGCUUCAAAAGGUCAUCCAGCUCAAUUUGGAGCAAAACGGAGAGUACUUGCGAAGGAUUUUGGAAGACCAACAUAAAGCUGGUGUGGCCUUGCCAUCAUUGAUGGGCUCCCAUUCGAACCCUCAACCGAUAACUCUUUCUUCAUCCGAUGGUGCAUCCUCACCAAAACAAUACGACUUUGAAGUUGACUGCUUUCCAUCGCUACUGUCAAAGCAUAAAGCCUCUCACACUACUGAAUCAGAGCAGCCAAGAUGUCAUAAAAAACCCCGGCGAUCAAGCAGUGUGGAAAUAAUUUCCAUCGAUUCUCCGGCCGAAAGUGUGGAAGGCUGAUAGUUCACUACCCAUAAAAUCUCUAUAUCAUGAUUGAAACCCUUUGUGAUUAUUUGCAAGUAUCGGCUUGUAUAUAUGCCUUUAUUCUGGAGCCAAGAAUCAGGAUUGCCUUGGGCUUCUUAUCCCUUUUGGCUGGAAUAUGCCAUCCUAGCUUUAAGUCUCUGCAUUCCUUAAUCACUUUUUUUUCCUUGACGACGCUUUUUGCUCAAUCUUGUUUCCAAGGAGGGGUGCCUGGUAGUGUUUGUGAGAGUCGAUAUGAUGCUACUUGUGACUCCAUAAAAACUUGGAUGGGCAUCAAAAUCGAUUUGAAAGUAAAUGAGGGAAGGCUAUUGGCAUCGUGUGAGUGUUAUAACUCAAUCAAGAUGAAUACCCUAAUUUCAUAUAUACUAGAAUAUUUAACAAGGUGAAUACCCUAACUUCAUAUAUACUGGAAUAUUUAACAAGGUGAAUAUACCAUAAUUUAUAUAUACUGGAAUCUCCUGAUUAAAAACAAUGAGUAGAAAAAUAAUAGCGGAAGCAUACCUGAAUCCAUUGAAGGAGAAACCUUAUAGGAAGAAAACCCUUUGAGAUGGUCUUCCAAUUCUAGCCACUAGAUUCUGUGUUAAUUUCUCUCUGAGAGGAUUUUCAGAAAUUGGAAUACGUAGUCGUAGAAUGGGGACCAUAACCCUAUUUAUAAACCGUUAGGGCAGUUUUAAUUUUAUCACAAUUAUAUUUCUGCCCCUCAUAGAAAUAAUAAUUGUCUAAUGGUAUCUACACAAUAAUCUCAUGACAAUUAUACCCUUAAGCCAAUUAAUCAAUUAUUAAUUAGAUCACUAUAUUUAGGCUUAAUUAAAUGAUAGCACAUACAUUUUAAUUAUUUACAUGUGUGGCCCAAAUUAUAGAUUAAUUACAAAAAAUUAAUCUAACAAUCUCCCACUGGGCCACAUGCAUAUGUAAUCAAAUAAAUGUGCUUAACCUUAUGAGCUCAAAAUUUGCUAUCAUGUCCUUAGGGUAUAUCCGAACAAUCUCGUCCAUUAACUAUACUGACAUAGGAUCAAGGUGGCCUUUGUUACAUCAAUCGUUACUAGACCAAUCAAUGGUCACAUAUAUCUGCACAGCUAAAUGACAUAGAUCAAUCAUGAGUGCAUAGCAUGGAAAUUACAUGCAAUGUGAUCUAUUCAUGCCUAUUUCCAACUGGUCCUACUUAACUUUAUUGAGAUCAAAUCUUUAGCAUAAUUUAACAGAGUGCAAUAAAAUGAAUACUUUAUUUCUGCAGAACACAAUCCAAAUUUAUAGAUAAAGUCUAAACAUAACAUAGAGCAAUAUACAAUGAAUAAUAUAAACUCCCACUAAAUUUGGAUAUCCUCAAAUGAGACAACACCCAUAUGAGCAGUGUGCUUAUGAAAGACCUUGGGUGGUAAUCCCUUUGUAAGCGGAUCCGCUAUCAUGGAGUUUGUUCCAAUAUGCUCUAUGGAUAUCUGUCCACUCUGUACUUUUUCUUUUACAACUAGGAACUUGAUAUCAUUGUAUUUUGAUUUUGUAGAACUCCUGUUGUUAUUGGAAUAUAAAACUGCUAAUUUAUUGUCACAAAAUAUCUUCAGUGGUCUUUCAAUACCAUCCAGAACACGCAGCCCAGUGACAAAAUUUCGUAGCCAUAUUCCUUGAUUGGAUGCCUCAUAACAUGCUACAAACUCUGCUUCCAUGGUGGAUGAAGUUAUGAGUGUCUGUUUGGCAGACCUCCAUGAAAUUGCUCCACCAGCCAACAGAUAAAUAUAGCCUGAUGUGGAUCUUCUGCUGUCUUGGCAUCCAGCAAAGUCGGAGUCGGAAUACCCAAUGAACUCUAACUGAUCCAAUCUCCUAUAUGUAAGCAUGUACUCUUUUGUUCUCUAUAAAUAUCUCAUAACCCUCUUGGCUGCUCUCCAAUGAUCCAUUCCAGGGUUACUUAGAUAUCUGCCUAACAUGCCAACAAUGUACGUAAUAUCCGGACGUGUACAUACCUGAGCAUACAUUAGACUCCCCACAGCCGAAGCGUAAGGAAUCUUCUACAUUUCUUGACUUUCUAAACUAUUUUUAGGGCAUUGAUUAAGACUGAAUUUGUCUCCUUUAGCGACAGGGGUAUCACCUGGUUUGCUAUUUUGCAUGCCAUACCUUUGGAGGACUUUAUCAAUAUAGGUCCUUUAUGAUAAUCCUAAAAUACCCCUAGAACGAUCUCGGUGUAUGUGGAUUCCUAAGACAAAGGAGGCAUCACCAAGAUCUUUCAUCCCAAAAUGUUUUGAUAAAAAUCUCUUGGUGUCGUGCAAUAUGCUAAUAUCAUUUGUGGCUAGCAAUAUGUCAUCGACAUAUAAAACCAAGAAAAUAUACUUACUCCCACUGAAUUUGUGAUACACACAUUCAUCCAUAAGAUUUGCCUCAAAACCAUAUGAGACAAUAAUUUGAUGAAACUUGAAGUACCACUGACGAGAAGCUUGCUUGAGCCCAUAAAUGGAUUUAGUUAAUUUACAAACCAUAUUCUUUGAGUCUUCGGACACAAAAUUUUCUGGUUGUACCAUAUAAAUUGUUUCAUCAAUGUCACCAUUGAGAAACGCUGUUUUAACAUCCAUUUGAUGUAACUCAAGAUCAUAAUGUGCAACUAGUGCCAUGAUUAUCCUGAAAGAGUCCUUCGUAGAAACUGGAGAGAAGGUCUCUUUGAAGUCCAUUCCUUCUUUUUGAGUAAAGCCUUUAGCUACAAGACGUGCUUUAUAUCUUUCUACAUUACCAUUUGAAUCCCGCUUGGUUUUAAAUAUCCAUUUACAACCAAUGGGCUUCGUACCAACUGGUAAUGGGACAAGUUCCCAAACUUUAUUGUCUUGCAUAGAUUUGUACUCUUCAUUCAUGGCUUCAAUCCAUUUCUGAGAGUUUGAACUUUUCAUGGCUUCCUGGAAGUUGAUUGGAUCAUCUUCCAUCAUUCCACUUUCUACCUCACGUUCCUGAGAUAUACGAUAUAAUCGUCCGAAAUUGCAUUUCUCCUCUCUCUAGUGGAUCUCCUUAAUGACAUAUUUUCUUGAGGUUGUUGAGUUUGUUCUUCAGGAGCAAUGUCCUCAUUUGCAAUUAAGGGUUGAACAAUAUUGUCUGUUGGUUGAGGAUCCAAAUUUACUUCUUGAUCAAUGAUAGGUAGUGAAACUUGUACAUUAUCAAAAGCAAUAGAAGAUCCCUCUUCCUCCUCAAAGACAAUAUUCCUAGCUUGAUUUCUCCCCCCAAACUCAACAUCCUCAAAAAAUGUUGCAGUUCCCGUCUCAAAAAUUGACCUAAUAGCAGGAUCAUAAAAUUUAAAACCCCUUGAUCGCUCUGCAUAGCCAAUAAAGUAGCUGCUAACUGUUUUAGAGUCCAAUUUCUUUUCAUGAGGCUUAUAAGGUCUCGCUUCAGCUGGACAUCCCCAAAUAUGAAAAUGCUUUAAACUGGGCUUUCGACCCGUCCAAAGCUCAUACGGCGUUUUAGCAGCCGCUUUAGUUGGCACCCGAUUUAGGAUAUAAGCUGCCGUUUUGAGUGCUUCACCCCAGAGUUUUUCGGGUAAAGUAGAAUGACUAAUCAUACUCCUUACCAUGUCAUUAAGAGUUCGGUUUCGUCUUUCUGCUACACCAUUCAUGCUAGGUGAUCCUGGCAUGGUGUAUUGAGGGACGAUCCCACAUUCCUCUAGGUAUUUAGCAAAUGGUCCUGGACGUUGUUCACCUGAUCCGUCAUAUCUACCAUAGUAUUCACCACCACAGUCAGAUCUGACGCUCUUUAUUCUUUUGUUGAGUUGUAACUCAACUUCUGCUUUAAAUGUUUUGAACACGUCCAACGAUUGUGAUUUCUCAUGUAUAAGAAAUAGGUAGCCAUAUCUUGAAUAGUCGUCUAUGAAUGUUAUAAAGUACUGUUGACCAUUCCAAGAUGCCGUAGGGUAUGGUCCACAGAUAUCUGUAUGAAUUAAUUCUAAGACGUCUGUAGCUCUAUUGGCACCUAAUUUCUUUGUUUUGGUAUGUUUUCCUUUAAUACACUCAACACAAAUAUCAAAAUCUGAAAAGUCAAGUGAAUCCAAAAUCCCAUCGGACACAAGUCGCUCAACUCUAGAUUUAGAGAUAUGACCUAGGUGUUUGUGCCACAAUGAGGCCGAAUUAUCUUUAUUCAAUUUACGUUUAGUACCUCGUGAUUCCACAUGCAAGGUUUCAUUAUAGGACGGAACAGUUUCCAACAAAUAUAGAUUAUCAUAAACAUUAAGUAAACUGGUUCCUACAGCAUUUGAAUUAAUAGAUAAUGUAAAUCUAUUGUUUCCAAAUGAACAACAAUAACCUGAUUUGUCCAAAAUAGAAACUGAAAUUAAAUUCCGUCUGAAAGACGGUACAAUAAAAGUAUCUAUUAAAUCCAAAAACUAACCAGAUUUCAAUAAUAAUCUAAAGUGCCCUAUUGCCUCUACUUCUACCGACUGACCGUCUCCGACAUAGAUGCAUCUUUCAGCAUCACUUGGUUUUCGGUAACUCAGGCAACCCUGCAUAGAAACACAAAUGUGAGUAGUAGCACCAGAAUCUAACCACCAUGUGUUUCUAGAUACUGAAGCUAAAUUAACUUCAGAACAGACCAAAGUAAGAAAUAUACCUUUCUUAACACGCCAAGCAGCAUACUUGGUACAUUCCUUCUUAGUAUGUCCAGGCUUAUUACAGAAGAAACAUGUUACCUCAACUUUCUGUUUCUUUUGUUCUAGACCAUUAGAAGCAGCAACCUUAUUAUCCUUAUUCUUUCGUUUGCCCUUAUCCUUGGAAGUGCUAGCCAGAUGAGCACUUUCGGUCUUGUCUUGCUUCAAUCUCUUUUCCUCUUGCACACAUAAUGAAAUGAGCUCAUUAAGAGUCCAUUUAUCUUUUUGACAGUUAUAACUGACCUUGAAUUGAUUAAAUUGUGGAGGAAGAGAGAUGAGAACCAAAUGCACGAGUAAAUCAUCAGAUAACUCGAGUUUCAAAGCCUUAAGUUUUGAAGCAAGAUGAGACAUCUCCAUGAUGUACUCCCAAACAUUACCCUUGCCUUUAUACUUCAUUGAAAUCAAGCUUGCUAAAAGCGUGCUCGUUUCAGCCUUAUCGUUUUUGGCAAAACGUUUCUGAAUUUCCGCAAGGAAGUCACUGGCAUUAGUAACCUCAUCGGUUACCGCACCCCUGAAAGCUUCUGGAAUGCCGCGCUUCAUGAUCAUAAGACUUAGCCUAUUUGAACGUUCCCACUUACCCCAAUAAACCUCAUCCUCUUGAGUACUUUGCUCAUUGAGUUCAUUGGGUUUGGGCAUUCUCAAGGCUAAGUCUAUAUCCAUGCAGCCUAAGAGAAUUAUCAUAUUCUCUUUCCAGUCCUUAAAAUUAGUCCCAUUUAACAUAGGGACAUUAUUGAUGUUGGCAGAUAUAGAAGUAGUUGAUAUAAAAGCUGAAUCGAGAACAAAAUAAAAUGAAUCAAAUAAACCAUCAUGCUCACAUAAAAUAAAUUAAACACAUAAUCUUUAAAUUUAAAAGCAAAUUAUGACAUUUCAAGAUACUUAGCACAACAUUAAUAUCAAGUCUUUGGACAGUAAUAUUAACUGUAAGUGGUACUCUUGUUGUAGUGAUCAAACAUUGAUGAUAAGUUAUGUCAAAUAAUAAAUCUAUCUUUGGAUUGAUUUAUUAUUCACAUUAAGUUACCUUUAUAAUCAUCACAUAUUUAUCACCACAGGUAUGUAUGCAAUUUGACCAAAUAUUAACUUUCCUUUGGGCCAGCCAAUACCCGCAUGAAUCACAUACACACAAAUAUCUAACACCCCGAACAGACUAAUCUACACGAAAGAUGUCACUUUGGUGAUUUUCCGCUUUAAUUAGCCUAUUUAAAAUGCUAGAUCAAUAACUUAAAUAUUAAUAUCAUAAAAUGCUAUUAAAUAAUAAUAAUAAUAAUAAUAAUAGUAAUAAAAAAAAUUUAUCAACUCAAUAUUUCAUAAAUCUUAAUCCAUUGACAUAUAUAUAUAUAUAUAUAUUAAAAUAAUAACUCAAAGAAUUAAUCAAGGAGUAGGCUCUGAUGCCACUUGUUAUACUUAACUUGUUAAAAUCAAUCAAGAUGAAUACCCUAAUUUCAUAUAUACUGGAAUAUUUAACAAGGUGAAUACCCUAACUUCAUAUAUACUGGAAUAUUUAACAAGGUGAAUACCCUAAUUUAUAUAUACUGGAAUCUCCUGAUUAAAAACAAUGAGUAGAAAAAUAAUAGCGGAAGCAUACCUGAAUCCAUUGAAGGAGAAACCUUAUAGGAAGAAAACCCUUUGAGAUGGUCUUCCAAUUCUAGCCACUAGAUUCUGUGUCAAUUUCUCUCUGAGAGGAUUUUCAGAAAUUGGAAUACGUAGUCGUAGAAUGGGGACCAUAACCCUAUUUAUAAACCGCUAGGGCAGUUUUAAUUUUAUCACAAUUAUAUUUCUGCCCCUCAUAGAAAUAAUAAUUGUCUAAUGGUAUCUACACAAUAAUCUCAUGACAAUUAUACCCUUAAGCCAAUUAAUCAAUUAUUAAUUAGAUCACUAUAUUUAGGCUUAAUUAAAUGAUAGCACACACAUUUUAAUUAUUUACAUGUGUGGCCCAAAUUAUAGAUUAAUUACAAAAAAUUAAUCUAACAGUGAGGAGAUGAGGGAAGAGGGGAGUCAGUUAUUUGGAUUUUCAAAAGUUUUUAUAAACAUAAAAACCAAUCUUUUUGCUCCUGCUUAUUUUGGAGAACAAAUUCAAACGUGGAAUUACCUCAUUUUAAAUUAGCAAAAAACAUACAAGAUAAUAAAAAUUAAAACCUUUAUUCCAACUCUUAUUUUAUUUUAUUUUACUUUAUGCUUUGAAAUUAUUGUAAACCUUGUUGAAAUUUUCACACAAAAUAAUCUUUCAUGCUAUUUUUGGUAUCUAAAAAGCACUAAAGAAAGAAAAAAAUGUUUAGGAAAAUGAUUUUCUUAUAUUUGGUUUCACUAUAAAAAAAUACAAAAGAAAAUCAAAUAUAAUUAAAAUUAAUUAGAAAUUUAUGCAAGUUGAAAUUAUUUAAUCUUAAUACAAUGAAGAAAAAUAAGUUAAAUAAGUUUAAAGAAAUAUAUAAAAAUAGUUUAUUAUUUUUUAAUCUAUUUUUUAUUUUCCUUUACUUUUUUUUUCUUAACCUUUUCCUCUCUUUUUUCUUUCCCUCACAUUUUUUGGGAACAAAACAUAGCCUAAACAUUGUCCUUCUCAACCUUCAACAACAUAUUACUCAUAUUGAAUAUAUUUUAAUUCUUACUUACCUUUUGUAUGAUAAAAAUAAAAUUAUAAUUUGGAUAAAUACCUAUGGAAAAUAUUUGUACCUUGAAUUAUGCUCUCUAAUUCCGUAGCUUCUUUCUUCAAAGAACUACUAAAGUUUCUUAGUAAUGCACUCUUUAGGUUUUAGGUGUAGAUGGAUACCAUGAAGAACUUGAUUGGGAGAAAAUAGUGGAUGCAAAGAAGCUCAAAUACUCUAAAAAACAAAUUAUUGAACUCACCAAUAAUUGUAUUAUUUGUUGGUACAUUAGGCUAUGUAUUUUAAAGUUGGCAAUUUUGUUCAAAAUAUUAUAGCUUAGGGCGUUUCUAGAUUGUGUCUUACUCUCUUAUGAUGAUUUAAGGUUGUUGCAUGAUCAAUUGUUGCCACUAUUUUUUUUUUUUUCUCAUUUGUCAUCCCAUGAUUUCUAUUUUUUUUUUUUUUAUUUACGGUUGAUGGAUGUGACAGACGAGGUGUCAUCUUACUGAUCAUGGAAAUCCAAUGAGAGAGCAUCACUGUAGAGAAGUGUGACUAAUGUUGUUUAAUUGCGAUGGACUAAUCCCCAUGACGUAUUUGUUCAACGGUGGAUGGCUAACAGUAACGGUAUACCAUUGUCACCACAAUUUUAUCAUUUUUCUUGUUAUUAAUUUGAGCUCAAGUCACUAGUGGUUUUUCUUCUUUUUUUUCAGACAUCUGGCCAAGAGAUCCAUGUUGAUCUUGUCAAUCGAGAGUACAGGAAUGUGAUUGAUGGAGAGGAGGUCACAAUCACGAACCUAGAAGCUAAAUUUGUACCCAGAGGCUGAGAUUGUUCCUUUUGGAUUUGUCCUUUAUGGUUGUUAUUUGGAUCUUCUUUUAGAAAUUUUGGAUGUUUGGGUAUUUUGGAUGUCUUGUUAGGAUGUUUAUGUGUGGAUGUUAUUAUGGAUAUUUGGAUGUUUAUAUGUGGAUGCUAUGGACGUUUGGAUAUUUAUGACAUUGACAAUGUAAAAUAUGAUUGAAAAAAAAAGUUUGAUAACAUUUUUCAAAUUUUCUAAAGACACUAACAAUGUAAUUUUUUGUUUUUUUUUAUACCUUUUGCUAUUAAGUUAAUAAAAUCUGGUCUUUGCAAGCAUAUCUAUAACCAUGUAACCAACAUGUAGAUUUUAAAUUUUCAAUUUAUUUUACAAUGGGCAUUAAAAUAACAUUUUAAGGAAAUAAUAUAAUAGUAAAUAUUGUCAAUAUUAGCAUUAGCAAUCAAGACAGAAAACUCAAACACCCAUUUUUUCAGUUUAAAAAUGAAUAAAAUUGUGAAAUUAUUGGAAUUUCAAAGAUAAUUAAGGUAUAAUAGAAGAUAACAAAGAUGCUCAAGGCUAACUAACUAAAGUGGUGGAAUAUAGGUAUUGCAUACAUGUAAAUAUGUCCUCAGAGAGGUUUGGCUUUUGACUUUGAUUGAAAAGGGUGUCUAUAUUGCGUGAGUAGAGAGGUCUGGCUCUGCAGCCAACCCUUAUUUGUUUCUUUCCUUCCCUUUCAUUUGUGCGAUCUCGUUGCAUGAAACCAAUGCUUUCUAAUAUGGUGGAUAAAUAUUGUUUUCUCUCAUUAUUAGGGUGGGUAAGAGUUCCUUUCCUUCAAUUACUUCUACAAAUGGAGACUCUAGUUAUUGUUAAAGUGGAAUGGAAGGCAUGACUUCAUUUUUCCCUUCUCCUAUAAAUAGAGAUGAGGAAUAAUCUCAUUGUAUCAAUUCCACUGUUAUUCACAAAAGGUAAAACAAAAAAAGAAAUAUGCCAAAGGUUAGGUUAGUUGUAUCAGCCGAUAUGAGGAAUAUUGUCGUUCUUCAACCUCGGGCUAGUAGUGAUGAUACAACCAUCAACUACUUCCAAAUGAAAAUUUUGAGUAUUGUUUUGAUUUAACAUUGAUGUUGUUUUGUAUUUUAAUUAUUUGUUUGUUACAUUGAAUGUGGAGUGUGAACAAUGUGGUUAGGUUUCCGUGGAGGAAGUUUGUGUUUCUUUGAGAGUCGAAGAAAAGCGCAUUACAGGGAGCAGGAUAAGGAAUUAUAACAAUGCAUCUCUUAGAGUGGGUUAUAUUUCUUACGUUUUUGUUGUUUUCUUUGCUAUUGCCACUUUUUUUUUUCUCAUUUUUCUGCCCAUGAUUUCUAUUCUUUUUUUCUUUUCUUUUUUGCAGUUGAUGGAUGUGACAGACAAGGUGUCAUCUCAAUGCUGCCAAGCCAUGGAAAUCCACUGAGAGAGCAUCACUUUAGAGAGGUGGGACUGUGUUGUUUAAUUGCGAUGGGCUUAUCCCUGUGACUUAUAUGUUCAAUGGUGGAUAGUUAGCAGUGACGGUAUACCAUUGUCACAAUAAUUUUAUCAUUUUUUUUUUGUUAUUAAUUUGAUCUCAAGUCACUAGUAGUUUUUUUUUUUUUUUAGACAUCUGGCCAAAAGAUCCAUGUUGGUCUUGUUCGUUGAGAGUACAGGAACAUGAUUGAUGGAAAAAAAGUCACAAUCACAAACCUGGAAGCUAAAUUUGUGCCCAGUGGCUGAGAUUGUUCCUUUUAGAUCUGUCUUUUAUGGUUGUUAUUUGGAUAUUCUUUUAGACAUUUUGGAUGCUUGGGAUAUUAUGGAUGUCUUGUUAGGAUGUUUAUGUGUGGAUGUUAUUAUGGAUAUUUAGAUGUUUAUAUGCGGAUGUUACGGAUGUUUUGAUGUUAUGACAUUGACAGUGUAAAAUAUGAUUGGAAAAAAAAAAGUUUCAUAACAUUUUGCAAAUUUUCUGAUGACACUAAUAAGAACGUAAUUUUUUUUAUAUACCUUUUGUUAUUAAAUUAGUAAAACUUGUCCAUUGCAAUCAUAUCUAUAACCAUGUGACCAACAUGUAGAUAUUAAAAUUUCAACUUAUUUUACAAUGGGCAUUAAAAUAACAUUUUAAGAAAAUAAUAUAAUAGUAAAUAUUGUCAAUAUUAGCAUUAGCAAUCAAAAUAGAAAACUCAAACACCCAUUUUUUCGGUUUUAAAAUUAAUAAAAUUGUUAAAUUAUUGGAAGCUCGGAGAUAAUUAAGGUAUAAUAGAAGAUAACAAAGAUGUUCAAGGCUAACUGGCUAAAGUGGUGGAAGAUAGGUACUGCAUACAUGUAGAUAUGUCCUUAGAAAGGCCUGGUUUUUUACUUUGAUUGAAAAGGGUAUCUCUAUUGCAUUUGCAAAGAAGCCUAGCUCUGUAGCCAACCCUUAUUUGUUUCCUUCCUUCCCUUUCAUCCAUGCGAUCUCCUUGCACGAAACCAAUGCUUUCUACUAUGGUAGAUAACCAUUGUUUUCUCUCAUUAUUAGGGUAGGUAAGAAUUCAUUUCCUUCAAUUACUUCUACGAAUGGAGACUCUAGUUAUUGUUCAAGUGGAAUGGAAGGCAUGGCUUCAUUUUGCCCUUCUCCUAUAAAUAGAGAUGAUGAAUAUUCUCAUUGUAUCAAUUACAUUGUUAUUCACAAAAAGUAAAACAAAUAAAAGAAAGAUGUCAAAUGUUAGGUUGGUUGUAUCAGCUGAUAUGAGGAAUAUUGUCGUUCUUCAACCUCGGGCUAGUAGUGAUAAUACAACCAUCAACUACUUCUUCCAAAUAGAAAUUUUGAGUAUUGUUUUGAUUUAACACUGAUGUUAUUUUGUAUUUUAAUUAUUUGUUUGAUACAUUGAAGGUGGAGUGUGAACAGUGUGAUUGGGUUUCCGUGGAGGAAGUUUGUGUUUCUUUGGGAGUCGAAGAAAAAUGCACUACAGGGAGCAAGAGAAGGAAUUAUAACAAUGCAUCUCUUAGAAUGGGUUAUUUUACUUAAGCUUAUGUUGUUUUCUUUGUUAUUACCACUGUUUGUUUUUUUUUUCCUCAUUUGUCUGCCCAUGAUUUCUGUUCCUUUUUUUUUUUUUUUUUUGCAGUUGAUGGGUGUGACAAAUGAAGUGUCAUCUUAUUGAUCCUAGGCCAUGGAAAUCCACUGAGAGAGCAUCACUUUAGAGAGAUGGGACUAAUGUUGUUUAAUUGUAAUGGGCUUAUCAUUUUUCUUGUUAUUAAUUUGAGCUCAAGUCACUAGUGGUUUUUUUUUUUUUUUUUUUUUAGACAUCUGGCCAUGAGAUCCAUGUUGAUCUUGUUGGUCGAGAGUAUAGGAACGUGAUUGACGGAGAGAAUGUCACAAUCAGAAACCUGGAAGCUAAAUUUGUGCCCAAGGGCUAAGAUUGUUCCUUUUGGAUCUGUCCUUUAUGGUUGUUCUUCGGAUCUUCUUUUAGACAUUUUGAAUGCUUGGGAUAUUAUGGAUGUCUUAUUAGGAUGUUUAUGUGUGGAUGUUAUCAUGGAUAUUUGGAUGUUUAUAACACUGACAAUGUAAAAUAUGAUUGAAAAAAAAAAGUUUCAUAACAUUUUGCAAAUUUUCUGAUGACACUAACAACGUAAUUUUUUUUUAUACCUUUUGCUAUUAUUAAAUUAGUAAAAGUUGGUCAUUGCAAGCAUAUCUAUAACCAUGUGAUAACAUGUAGAUAUUAAAAUUUCAAUUUAUUUUACAAUGGGCAUUAAAAUAACAUUUUAAGGAAAUAAUAUAAUAGUAAAUAAUGUGGAUAUUAGCAUUAGCAAUCAAGACAAAAAACUCAAACACCCAUUUUUUCGGUUCAAAAAUGAAUGAAAUUGUUAAAUUAUUGGAAGCUAAUAGAUAAUUAAGGUAUAAUAGAAAAUAACAAAAAUGUUCAAGGCUAACUGGCUAAAGUGGUGGAAGAUAGGUACUGCAUACAUGUAGAUAUGUCCUUAGAGAGGCCUAACUUUUGACUUUGAUUGAAAAUGGUGUCUUUGUUGCGUGAGUAGAGAGGCUUGGCUCUCCAGCUAACCUUUGUUUCCUUCUUUUCUUCUCUUUCAUUCAUACGAUCUCGUUGCACGAAACCAAUGCUUUCUACUAUAGUGGAUAACCAUUAUUUUCUCUCAUUAUUAGGGUGGGUAAGAGUUUUUUUCCUUUUAUUACUUCUACAAAUGCAGACUCUAGUUAUUGUUCAAGUGGAAUGGAAGGCAUGGCUUCAUUUUGCCCUUCUCCUAUAAAUAGAAAUGAGGAAUAGCCUCAUUGUAUUAAUUCCACUGUUAUUCACAAAAGGUAAAACAAAGAAAAAAAAAUGUCAAAUGUUAUGUUGGUUGUAUCAGCCGAGAUGAGGAAUAUUGCCCUUCUUCAACCUCGGGCUGGUAGUGAUAAUACAACCAUAAACUACUUCCAAAUAAAAAUUUUGAGUAUUGUUUUGAUUUAACACAUAUGUUGUUUUGUAUUUUAACUAUUUGUUUGUUACAUUGAAGGUGGAGUGUGAACAGUGUGGUUAGGUUUCCCUGGAGGAAGUUUGUGUUUCUUUGAGAGUCAAAGAAAAGCCCACUGCAAGGAAUAUGAGAAGGAAUUAUAAUUAUGCAUCUCUUAGAAUGGGUUAUAUUACUUAAGCUUUUGUAGUUUUCUUUGCUAUUGCCACUAUUUUUUUUUCUCGAUCGUCUGCCUAUUAUUUUUGUUCUUUUUUUUUUUCACGAUUGAUGGAUGUGACAGACGAGGUGUCAUCUCACUAAUCCCAUGCCAUGGAAAUCUACUGAGAGAGCAUCACUUUAAAGAAGUGGAACUGAUGCUAUUUAAUUGCGAUAGGCUUAUCCCUGUGACCUAUUUAUUCAACGGUGGAUGACUAACAGUGAAGGUAUACCAUUGUCACCAUAAUUUUAUCCUUUUUUUGUUAUUAAUUUGAGCUCAAGUCACUAAUCAUGCUUCAAUUUUUUUUUUUUCCAGACAUCUGGCCAAGAGAUCCAUGUUGACCUUGUUGGUCGAGAGUACAGGAAUGUGUUUGAUGGAAAGUAGGUAACAAUCACAAACCUGGAAGCUAAAUUUGUGCCUAGAGGCUAAGAUUGUUCCUUUUGGAUCUGUCAUCUAUGGUUGUUAUUUGGAUCUUCUUUUAGACAUUUUGGAAUAUUGGGAUAUUAUGGAUGUAUUGUUAGGAUGUUUGUGUGUGGAUGUUAUUAUGGAUAUUUGGAUGUUUGUAUGUGGAUGCUACGAAUGUUUGGAUGUUUAUGUGUGGAUGUUUAUGACAUUGACAAUGUAAAAUAUGAUUGGAAAAAAAAAAGUUUCAUAACAUUUGCAAUUUUUCUGAUGACACUAACAACGUUUUUUUUUUAAUAGCUUUUGCUAUUAAAUUAAUAAAAGUUGGCCAUUGCAAGCACAUCUAUAACCAUGUGACCAACAUGUAGAUAUUAAAAUUUCAGUUUAUUUUACAAUGGGCAUUAAAAUAACAUUCUAAGGAAACAAUAUAAUAGUAAAUAUUGUCAAUAUUAGCAUUAGCAAUCAAGAUAGAAAACUCAAACACCCAUUUUUUUUUCAGUUUAAAAAUGAAUAAAAUUGUUAAAUUAUUGGAAGCUUAGAGAUAAUUAAGGUAUAAUGGAAGACAACAAAUAUGCUCAAGGCUAACUGGUUAAGGUGGUGGAGUGUAGGUACUGGAUACAUGUACAUAUGUCCUCAGAGAGGCCUAACUUUUGACUUUGAUUGAAAAUGAUGUCUCUAUUACAUGAGUAGAAAGGCCUGACUCUGCAACCAACCCUUGUUUCCUUCCUUUUCUUCCUUUCAUCCAUGCGAUCUUGUUGCACGAAACCAAUGCUUUCUGCUAUGGUGGAUAACCAUUAUUUUCUCUCAUUAUUAAGGUGGGUAAGAGUUUCUUUUCUUCAAUUACUUACUUCUACAAAUGUUGACUCUAGUUAUUGUUCAAGAUGAAUGGGAGACAUAACUUCAUUUUGCCCUUCUCCUAUAAAUGGAGAUGAGGAAUAGCCUCAUUGUAUCAAUUCCAUUAUUAUUCACAAUGAGAAUACGCUUGAGAGUAUCAGCCGAGAUGAGGAAUAUUGCCCUUCUUCAACCUCGGGCUGGUAGGGAUGAUAGAAUCAUCAACUAAUUUUUCCAAAAAAAAAAAAAAUGAGUAUCGUUUUGAUUUAACACCGAUGUUGUUCCGUGUUUUAACUAUUUGUUUGUUACAUUGAAGGUAGAGUGUGAAUAGUGUGGUUGGAUUUCCCUGGAGGAAGUUUGUGUUUUUUUGGAAGUCAAAGAAAAGCUCACUACAUGAAGCAGGAGAAUGAAUUAUAACAAUGCAUCUCUUAGAGUGGGUUGUAUUACUUAAGCUUCUGUUGUUUUCUUUGUUAUUGCCACUUUUUUUUUCUCAUUCGUUUUCCCAUGAUUUCUGGACUUUUUUUUUUUUUUUUUGCGAUUGAUGGAUGUGACAAACGAGAUGUCAUCUCACUAUCCUAGGCCAUGGAAAUCCUAUGAGUGGGUAUCACUAUAGAGAGGUGGGACUGAUGUUGUUUAAUUACGAUGGGCUUAUCUAUGUGACCUAUUUGUUCAACGGUGGAUAGCUAGCGGUGAUGGUAUACCAUUGUCACCAUAAUUUUAUCGUUUUUAUUGCUAUUAAUUUGAGCUUAAGUCACUAGUGGUUUUUCUAUUUUAUUUUUUUUUUCAAACAUCUGGCCAAGAGAUCCAUGUUGAUCUUGUUGGUCGAGAGUACAGGAAUGUGAUUGAUGGAGAAAAGGUUACAAUCAUGAACCUGGAAGCUAAAUUUGUGCCCAAGGGCUAAGAUUGUUCCUUUUGGAUCUGUCCUUUAUGAUUGUUAUUUGGAUCUAGACAUUUUGGAUGCUUGGGAUAUUUUGGAUGUCUUGUUAGGAUGUUUAUGUGUGGAUGUUAUUAUGGAUAUUUGAAUGUUUAUAUGUGGAUGCUAUGGAUGUUUGGAUGUUUGGAUGUUUAUGUGUGAAUGUUUAUGACACUACCAAUGUAAAAUAUGAUUGAAAAAAAAAAAGUUUGACAACAUUUUGCAAAUUUUCUUAUGACAUUGACAAUGUAAUUUUUUUUCUUUUUUUUUUAUACUUUUUGCUAUUAAAUUAAUAAAAGUUGGUCAUUGCAAGCACAUCUAUAACCAUGUGACCAACAUGUAGAUUUUAAAUUUUCAAUUUAUUUUACAAUGGGCAUUAAAAUAAUAUUUUAAGGAAAUAAUAUAAUAGUAAAUAUUGUCAAUAUUAGCAUUAGCAAUCAAGACAGAAAACUCAAACACCCAUUUUUUUCGAUUUAAAAAUGAAUGAAAUUGUUAAAUUAUUGGAAGCUCAUAGAUAAUUAAGGUAUAAUAGAAGAUAACAAAGAUGCUUAAGGCUAACUGGUUAAGGUGGUGGAGUAUAGGUACUGGAUAUAUGUACAUAUGUCCUCAAAGAGGCCUGAUUUUUUACUUUGAUUUAAAAGGGUGUCUCUGUUGUGUGAGUAAAAAGGUCUGACUCUGCAGCCAACCCUUGUUUCCUUCCUUCCCUCCCUUUCAUCCAUGCGAUCUCGUUGCAUGAAACCAAUGCUUUCUGCUAUGGUGGAUAACCAUUGUUUUCUCUCAUUAUUAAGGUGGGUAAGAGUUUCUUUUCUUCAAUUACUUACUUCUACAAAUGCUAACUCUAGUUAUCGUUCAAGAUGAAUGGGAGGCAUGACUUCAUUUUGCCCUUCUCCUAUAAAUGGAGAUGAGGAAUAACCUCAUUGUAUCAAUUCCAUUGUUAUUCACAAAAGGUAAAACAAAGAAAAGAAAUAUGUCAAGGGUUAUGUUGGUUGUAUCAGCCGAGAUGAGGAAUAUUGCCCUUCUUCAACCUCGGGCUGGUAGUUAUGAUACAACCAUCAACUACUUCUUCCAAAUAAAAAUUUUGUGUACUGUUUUGAUUUAAAACUAAUGUUGUUCUGUAUUUUAACUUUUUUUUUUUUACAUUGAAGGUAGAGUGUGAACGGUGUGGUUGGGUUUCCCUGGAGGAAGUUUAUGUUUCUUUGAGAGUCAAAGAAAAGCCCACUACAAGGAAUAUGAGAAGGAAUUAUAAUUAUGCAUCUCUUAGAGUGGGUUAUAUUACUUAAGCUUCUGUUGUUUUCUUUGCUAUUGCCACUGUUUUUUUUUUUCUCAUUUAUUUUCCUAUGAUUUCUGUUCUUGUUUUUGUAGUGCGGUUGAUGUGACAGACGAUGAGUCAUCUCACUGAUAUCAAGUCAUGGAAAUCCACUGAGCGAGCAUCACUAUAGAGAGAUGGGACUCAUGUUGCUUAAUUGCAAUGGGCUUAUCCUUGUGACCUAUUUGUUCAACGGUGGAUGGUUAGCGGUGACAAUAUACCAUUGUCACCAUAAUUUUAUCAUUUUUCUUGUUAUUAAUUUGAGCUCAAGUCACUAAUCAUGUUUCUAUUUUUUUUUUCAGACAUCUGGCCAGGAGAUCCAUGUUGACCUUGUUGGUCGAGAGUACAGGAACGUGAUUGAUGGAGAGGAGGUCACAAUCAUGAACUUGGAAGCUAAAUUUGUGCCUAAGGGUUGAGAUUGUUCCUUUUGGAUUUGUCCUUUAUGGUUGUUAUUUGGAUCUUCUUUUAGACAUUUUGGAUGCUUGGGAUAUUUUGGAUGUCUUGCUAAGAUAGUUAUGUGUGGAUGUUAUUAUGGAUAUUUGGAUGUUUAUGUGUGGAUGCUAUGGAUGUUUGGAUGUUUAUGUAUGGAUGUUUAUGACACUGACAGUGUAAAAUAUGAUUGAAAAAAACAAUGUUUGAUAACAUUUUGCAAAUUUUCUAAUGACACUAACAAUGUAAUUUUUUUUUUAUAACUUUUGUUAUUAAAUUAAUAGUCUUAAUAAAAUAAGAUUGAAGUGAGAUAAAAUUCUACCAAAUUUCAUGUAACUUCUUUAACAUUUUUAGUUUAUAGAAAAAAUAGUUAUUGAGCAUGAUUCAACAAGUAACAUAUUUAAAAUCAAACAAAUAUCUUAUAGUUCCAUAACAAAGCCUGCACAGUGAGUCUCGAAAAGAAAAAUCAUAAAUGUCUAAAAUCAAUUUUAAGAAGUCUAAUUUAUAGAAAAAAAAUGUCCAAAGAAAUUAAAAAUAUUAUUUAAUAAUUCGAUUUUAUGAACCAAGUUCGAAACAAUGUAAGAACUAAGCAUGUUGAAAGCAUAACUUUUAUCCCUUAUUUGAAAAAUUAUUUAUGACUCAAACAAGAUCCUACUGACAUAUUUAAGAAGUUUAGAGCAAUAUCAAAGCAUUGGAAUAAUUUUGGGGAGCUAUAAGUGAUUGGAUUCUAAUUUACAAAUUCAAAGGUGCAAAGGACAUUUAAGAAUGUCAAUAGAAAAUUAAUUUUGGGAAAAACUUUGUACGUAGUGAUUUACUAAAUCUCUUUCUAAUAUCUAUGAAUUCAUCCAUAAUUCCUUACCUCAAAUGAUCAUUAUAAGCUCAACAAGGCUAAGAGUGACACCAUUAAUCAGAGUUAUGGAAUUAAUUCGUGUAUAUUCAAAAUCAAAAUUCAUUUUAAAAACCUUUUCAAAUAUGCAUACCGAAAAUAACGUAGCCUAGCUUUUCGAAAAUUAAUUUGCAUACCUAAUGACUUAAGAUUAGUUUUAAAAUAAAGUUAGAAGAUUGAUUAGACUAUGAAAAAGGUUGAAAACAAUUUUUUUAAAAAAAAAAAUCUUAAAAUACAUAAAAUUUCAAACACAAACCAUCAAAGAAAAGUGUAAGUGUAUAUACAUGAAUUCUUUAGUGUACCAAGAUGAAACUCAAGUGCCCUAAAUAUGAAAAUAAGACAUAGCUACAUUUAAGACUAAUUGUGUCCUAAUUUAGGUUUUAAAUUAUGAUAAAAAAAAAAAAAAGUAUCCUAAGUGUGUGCCUAAUCAAGCCUAAACAUGUGAUCAUCCAUUGUUGUCAAAUAUGUGUGAAUUGUGAUAAGUAAAAAGCGUAUAUUAAUUGAAAACAUAAAAUUAAGGAGACAUGAAUUCAAAUUAAUAUAGUCAUUUAAAGCCAAUUAUCAUACAAUCAUCCAAUGGCUUAUUUAGGCAAAAGAAUGUGUUGAAAAAAAAAUUACCCUAAUCACAAUCUUAACUCAUCAAACAACCAAUAUUCUAUCAAACAAUUCCCUAAAUGUCAAUUCUAAUAACACUCUUGUGUGGUCGGGUUUGUCCACACCUAAACCAGAUUCAAUAUAUCAAAAUAAAUCAUGCAAUUGAGGAAAAAUUAGGAAAAGGAAAGCAAGAUAAUAUAAAAGAUAAAAAUCAAAGAUAGAAAAUUCAAUAACUUACCUAAGGAUCUUCCAAAAUUCGACAAUGUGUUGGUGUUCUUUCAAGCCAUGUUCAGCUCAUCUUCAUUAUGCAACCAACUUUAUCGCUUUUUCUUCACUGAUUUUCAGCCAUAAGUCUCCCACAUGACCACCGAAAUCCACCAUUUCUCCAUGGGAAUUUAGCCAUUAAAAUUCUAUUACCUGAACUAUAAUGCCCUAAACCAAUUUAGGGGUAAAAUCGUAAUUUAGAAAUUAUUAAUUAAUUAAAAUAAUUUAAUAAGGGUAAAAAGGUCUUUUCGUAUUUAAAAUCCCUAAUUAUAAAUUAGAUUUUUUCAAUCUUCUCUAUUCAGAAAACCCUUUUACACAUAGAUCAGAAAGAUCAAAUAACAUAGGGUUGAAGAUUUUGAGGUUUAGGGUUUGAAGAUCAAUUUUUCAGGUAUGAUUUUAAUCCUUAAAUUAAUAUUUUAUAUUUGUUAAUUAGUUUUAAAAACUAUAGAUAUUCUUUGGAAGAUCUCAAUCUAGAUUAGGGUUUGUUAAAUUAAUUUUUAGAUCAAAAGACUAGAAAUUUAUGAAUGUAGAUUAAUUUGGGAUGAAAAUAGGAAAAUUUAGAAAAUUUCAAUUAAAUAGAAAACAAAAUCAAUGGAAGAGAAGAAAUUUUAGAUUUAUAAAAUAAAUAAAUAAAUCGUUUGUGUACGCUUUAGAUUUGGAAAAAAAACGUGUAGAUAUAUGAACUGUGUGAAAAAUAAAAAUGUGGGAUUUAAAAAAAAAUAUUGGAGUACACGUGUGUUGCCAAAGGUGUUGACUUAGGCAUUGGAAAAUAUUGUAUAUGUAAAUAUACUAUUAUAAUAAUAAAUAAUGAGAAGAAACAUGAGGCUUACUGUUUUAUUCUUAGGGCUUCGUAUGUGUAAUGAAGAUAGGAGGGUAAUGGAUUGGUUAUGUAUUGAAUUUGAAAAUUAAUAAAAAUUAAAUAUAUUUAGUGUUAAGCUAACAAAUGAAAUAUUAAUAAUAAUAAUAAUUUCUUGUAUAGGUUUUAAUUUAAUUUAAGUAUAUAAAGAAAUAAAUAGUGAUGGUAAGAUUAGGAAAGAAAAUGAAUUUUACAAUAAUUUGGAAACUCACUAAAUUAAUUUAUUAUUGUUUAGUAAGUUGAAAAUUAAUAUUGGGUAGUAAUAAUAUUAGCAUGAAAAAUUAAUUAGGAUCCCUAAUACUAAAUAAAAUAUUUUUAGGAUUUUCAAAUUUAUAUAUUUAGAUAAAUAAUUAAUAAUCAAUAUUGUGUAUGAUAUUAUGUUAGGUGAGGAGGAAAUUUUUCAGAGUUAAAUACUUCUAGAUUUUGAAUGCUUAUUCAAGGUAAGGGAAAUUAAUGCAUAUUUUUAUAAAAGAAAAUAAUUUUAUUUUUAUAUUGUAUUUUGAAAUGUGUAAAAAUAUUGUUUUUAUCUUUUCGCAUGGAUCAAAUAUGUGUUUUGUAUGGAAAGUAUAUUUGAGAAUUUUCUUUGUUUAUGAAAAGUGAAAAAUUGAGGAGAUAUGAUAUUUUGUUUUAUAAGUUUGAAUUAAUAAAAUAAAGUGUUUGACUAUAGAUUAUAUGGACCUAGUCAACAAGUUAUAAUUAUUGACAUUUGCGGCCCUAAUCAACGGGUUAUAAUAGUUGAUAUUAUAUGACCCUAGUCAAUGGGUUAUAAUUGUUGACAUUUGGUUUUGUUCACCUUAACUAGAACAAAUUUGAAACUAGUCACUUAUUUGUAAAGUCUCGCCUAAUUGGGCACCAUUUGUUAUUUGAUAACCAGAGUAAAGAUAUUUUGAAUGCAUUUGUUUUGGUUUUGAUGAGAAAUUGUUUUGAAAUGGAUAUGAGAAAGUUUAGUUGAAAAGUUUGAAUGUAUUACUAUUUUGAACUCAAAAGUUUUUAUGAAAAUAAAUAUAUGUUCUAUUUCCUAUUUGCAAGCAUGAUUGAAAAUGUUUGAUCCAUGAAACUGCAUUGAUGUUCCUUAUUGAGCUUUAAGUUUAUGCCCCUUCGUUGAUAAUUUUUCAGAUACUCUCAGUUCGGGCAAGGAAUGAUGGCUAGGCUGGGGAAUUUUUCUUUGUUAGGAUUUUGGUUCAAACUUUAUUUUGGACAUUGUUUAGAUGUUAAAAUUUAACUCUCGUUUAAAUUAUUUAAAUUUGGAGUUAUUUGGAUAAUAACAUUCUAGUUGAUGUGUUAGUUUUUUUUUAAAGUUGAUACUUGGAGAUUUUAGAAUUUUUUUCCUACUACUCUGAAUAUGAAUUUGGUAAUUAAUAAAUUUUCAGUUACAAUAUGAAUGUUUGUGUCGUUUCCUCUUUUAGCCUUUGGGCUUGAGAUGUGAAAUGACCAUCAUACCCUUAGAGUGGGUUUUGGGGUGUGACAUGAACACCUUUCUCUCACCAUAAAAUAUUCAAUCGCCAAAGCACUAACUACUCCAUUCAUGGCCACAUACCCAACAGCCACAUUCAUGCUCAUGCAGCCACCAAAACACCAUUUUUUUACCAUAAAAUUCAACCACCGAAUCUUGCUUUUUCUAUUGAAAAUUUCAGCUACAAUGCCUUCAUUAUUCUUUUCGAAUUUCAAGCAUUAAAAUUCAGCCAUAAACUCUUAAGCAUUUUGGUGCUUCAAUUCCAUUAAUCGACAUGCAACUCUCCCACUAAAAUUAAACAGUUGUCAUUCUCCAUGAACACGCACUAUAAUCGACAUGCAACUCUCCCACUAAAAUUAAACAAUUGUCAUUCUCCAUGAACACGCACUAUAAGAAGAUAAGAUUUUUGUUGUGGCCACCAACCUCGACGAAAAGGAAGAUUAAGUGCGAUUCUAGGAUACGAGUGUGAACAAAAGAGACUGCAACAAGGCGUAGUCAUAAGGGGAAUAGAGAAAUGUUAUAGCUGCGACCACAUGUAAAAGCAUGACUAAAAUUAUUGAAACAAUAGUCGCCAAAAAAUCUGGUAGAAGAAAAAUUAGUAAAUAUCGAAAAAAAAAAAUUGUUGAUAUAUCACAAUGUUUUUAAAACCGGAUCAGUCAUUAAAUAGAAAAAGUUAUCAGUUCACGGUUCACUGGUUGAACCGCGCUCAAACCGGUGAUGUCAUAAAUAUAUAAUUUAUAAAUUAUUAAAAUUUAAAAUAAUUAUAAAAAUAAAAAUAAUAAUUAUAUAUUAUUUAAAAAUUAAAUUUUAUUUGAAAAUUAGAAAAUUAGUUUCAAAUUAUAAAUUUAACUUAAAAUCAUAAUUUAAAUUUAAAUUUAAAAAAUUUAAAAUUCAUUUUAAAAUUAAAAAAAAAACUCAUUUUAAAAUCAAGAAUUUAUUUAAAAUUGUAAUAUUUUCAUUAAUUUAAAUUAAAAGCAUAAGUUUUAAAUGUCAUAAAAUGAAAAAAAUAAUAAUAAAUAUAAAAGGAAAUAAAUAGGAAUGAGAUAAGGUAAAAAAUAAUUAAAAGAAUCUGGAAGAAUUGAAGAAGAGAGGAGAGGAGUAGGCAGUGGGGCUUUGGAGGGUGGGUUUCCACUUCCAACGCCGGGUGGGGGGCUUCCGACAGGCACUUCCAGCAUCGAGUGGGGGGUUUCUGACGGGCAAAAAGGGGAAAUUUUUUCGGCUUUUCCAGCGCAAGGGGUUCCAACACAAGGGAGGGGGGUGGUUUCUAACGCAGGGGGUUCCGACGAGCAAGAAAAACUUUUCCAGCUCGUGCGCAAGCAGGGGGUGGUGGUGUUCUAGCGGGGUGUAGACCCCCCUCCCCCGAGGAGCUGGAGCUAGCUAGGAUGAUUAUUUUUGUUGUUUUUCUGAGGGCCUCUGAAGUAGGCUGCUUUUGGGGGCGGCAGAUGGGACGGGGUACGGGGAGGGCUUGCGGAGGAAGAGAGGAACAGAGGAGAAAAGAAAGGAAAAGCUGGCUGGAGAGGGGGACGGUUUUGGAGUUGGAUUUUUAGAGGGAAAGCUGGCUGGAGAAGGGGAGUUUGAGCUGGAUUUUUAGAGAGGAAGCUGAGGAGAGGAUAGAAGAUUUUUCGGGGAAAAAACAGAGGAAACGAGGAGAAGGGAGAGGUAUGAUAUUUACCAUGGCUCUUGAACUCAUUUGAUGUAUAUGAUCUCCUUAUUUUUCUCUUAAUAGUUUCGAGUAAAUAUCCUCCGAGCAUAUGUUUUAUUUCAUGGUUCAUAGUUAUGGUUUAGAUGCUGCUAUCUCUUUCAUUUUUUUGGGUUUGUUUGGAGAGCAAUGAAGCUCUGUUUUAACCCCACAUUCCAUGCACGGCCGCCACCCUCACCCAUCUUCCCCAUCACUUUUUCUCUCUCUAGCCGCCGUACUCCUCCCUCACCCACAUGAGCGGAACUUGGUAGACUUGGCUGCCCACCAUGUCCACGUUCAGCUCGCCUCCACAGGAACCCCCAAAGCUGCCCGUCUACACGCGCGUGUCCCAUGCAUGCAAGUCGCCCCAUCCCUCAUUUUUUUGUUGCGUACGUGGUGCCAACAAGGCCCCUGCUCCUCACCAGUCGCCAUCACCUGCUCCGGCCAAGGGACUGCCGCCGCUGCCCAUCUCUCCAUGGUGCUGCCGGCGUUGGGAGCCUCCAUCUGAAGAGGAUAUCCAGGCGGAGGGGCAGGCCAUAAGCACCAGGCCCAAGCUUUGAAGAAGAUGAUGCCUUGGGCUUAAGUUAAAGCACCAGGCCCAAGCUUUGAAGAAGAUGAUGUCUUGGGCUUAAGUUAAAGCACCAGGCCCAAGCUUUGAUGGAGAUGAUGCUAUGGGCUUAAGUUAAAGCACCAGGCCCAAGCCUUGAUGGAGAUAGAGCCCAAGCUUUCUUUUAAUGGAUGGACGUGGGCUUGAUGGAGAUGGAGCCCAAGGCUUCUUUUAAUGAAUGGAUAUGGGCUUGAUGGAGAUGGAGCCCAAGGUAUUUUUAAUUGAAUGGAUGUGGGCUUGGGCUUAUGGAAUGGGGUUAUGAGAGAGAUGGAAUCCAAAGCCCUUUUAAAACCCUAUUAUCACUAUUGUUAUUAUUAUUUUAAAUCUUACUAUUAUUAUUAUUAAUUCAACUUUUCAAAUAUUAUUAUUAUUAUUAUUAUUAUUAAUUCAACUUUUAAAAUAUUAUUAUUAUCAUUAUUAUUAAUUCAACUUUUAAAAUAUUACUAUUAUUAUUAUUAGUUCAACUUUUAAAAUAUUAUUAUUAUCAUUAUUAUUAAUUCAAUUUUUAAAAUAUUAUUAUUAUUAUUGUUAUUAACUCAACUUUUAAAAUAUUAUUCUUAUUAUUGCUAUUAAUGCAACUUUCAAAACCUUAUUAUUAUUAUUAUUAUUAUUUCAAAAUAUUAUUAUUAUUAUUAUUAUUUCAAAAUCUUAUUAUUAUUAUUUUUUUCGUUAAUUCAACUUUUAAAAUAUUAUUAUUAUUAUCAUCAUUAAUUCAACUUUUAAAAUAUUAUUGUUAUCAUUAUUAUUACUUCAACUUUUAAAAUAUUAUUAUUAUUGUUAUUAACUCAACUUUUAAAAUAUUAUUCUUAUUAUUGCUAUUAAUGUAACUUUCAAAACCUUAUUAUUAUUAUUAUUAUUAUUAUUAUUAUUUCAAAAUCUUAUUAUUAUUAUUUUUUGUUGUUAAUUCAAUUUUUAAAGUAUUAUUAUUAUUAUUAUUAUUUCAACUUUUAAAAUAUUGUUAUUAUUAUUGCUAUUAAUUCAACUUUCAAAAUUUUGGUAUUAUUAUUAUUAUUUCAAAGCCUUAUUGUUAUUAUUAUUAUUAUUAUUAUUAUUAAAAAUCCAUAUCCUCGUAAUUUAAUUUCCUAAAGUUCAUUUCUUAUUAUUAUUAUUAUUAUUAUUAAAAAUCUAUACUCUAGUCGUUCAAUUUCCCGAAGUUCAUUUCUUAUUAUUAUAAUUAUUAUUAUUAUUAUUAUUAUUAAAAAUCUAUAUUCUCGCAGUUCAAUUUCCUAAAGUUCAUUCCUUAUUAUUAUUAUUAUUACAAAUUCAACUUUCAAAACCCAUGUUCUCGCAGAUCAAUUUCCUAAAGUUCGCUUCUCAUUUUCUUUAACAAAUUUCAAUUUAAUUAUUGGAACUCUAAUCUUUCAAAUUUAAUUCCAAAUACUCCAAUUUUCAAAUAAACUCCAAGAAUCCAGUUUUCACUCGAAUAGUUUUAAUCCCAUUUCAGUUCCUAAAUAAUCUUUUAAUCUUCUUGAGUUUACAUAAGCAAUAGUAAUUCCUUCAUAAUUUUGAAACGCGGGAUUUGUGAGAAUAGUUCAUGAACAAUAAAUCGGGCUUUGUUGGGGGCCCUAUGUUUGACCCCUUUUGACUGUCAAUUAUCGUGCUUACUGUAUUUUGCUUGAGCUUCGCUUUGUACUCCGAUACGUAUGAGCUAUGUUUUGUAUUCAUUAAUUGUGCACUAAUCCCGUUUCUUGGUAGCGCAUUGCGGCUCGUGGCCGAGGUAUGCAUCCACUCCCUUUCUAGUCAAUCUCUAUUGCGUGUUUUGAUUCUCAUAUUGUGCAUGAUUUAGGUGAAUAUCCAUUGACUUUCUCGUUGAUUGCCACAUCAGUUUUACUGUAUUAGUAGAGACCCGACUUUAGGGGCUUAGAGGGGUGCUACGGUCUUUACCGUACCUUCCCGAUGAGUAACCUGACCCCCGACCCGAUCCGGUUUUCACAGACCACCUUUUCCAAAACAAGGAGUCACACUUAGGGUUUUUCUUUCUUAUUUUGUUUACCAUUUAAAAAUAAAACAAAAAUAAGUGGCGACUCCAAGUCAUUUCUUUUUAAUAAAUAAAAAUCAUUUUUCAAAUCAAAAUCGAGUUUCGCCAUUGAGUGGGAAACGCAUUGAGCCGAAAUGCGGGGUCCACACGGGGUCAUGGGCUGGCUUUGCAAAGUUGGUGGGGGUCCUUUUGGCAAGGCUUUUCCGACGUGGGGACAGGGAAGGUUCUAGCGGGGUUGUUGGGAGGGUUUCGACGAAGAAAAAGAGUUUUUCCAGCGGGGUGGGGGUCUCGCCGGAGAGGAACGGUGACAAUGGAGGAAAAUAAAAUAAAAAAUUGAACCGAACGGUUCGGAAGGAACUGUCCAGUUCAUCCGGUUCGUCGAUUGGACCACCAAUUUAACUAGUCCAAUUCCGAUCUGACCAUUUUCCAACCCAUUUGACUGAACCGGAACCGUGACCGGCCGACAGUCAAACCGACUAGUCCAGUUCAGUUUUUAAAACCAUGAUAUAUCAACAAUAUAUCAGCAGAAGGCAAUAAAUCAUCGAUUUUUCUAAAUAAUCUGUUGAUAUAGCAUAAAAUCGUCAAUAUAUCGACGAUAAAUCGCUAAUUUUUUUAGAAAAAUCAAUGUCCUUGUUGAACGUGAUAUGAUGGCCCAGAUCACGUCGAAGUGCAACGGUCAUGUUGCCAGUCCAUUAGACGCUCCAAAUUUAAUCUAGGUUUGAUUCAAUGGUUGGGAUGACAUUCCAAUGGUUAUUUGAUAAUCCAACUGUCAGAUUUCACUCAGAUUUUAUUCCAACUAGCAAAAAUGUUUUUCAACAAUUAUUUUGGUCAAAAAUUUUCCUAUAAAUAACUCAUUUUACAUCCAUUUGAUCCACAUUUCAUUGCAUUCUUCAUUUGAUCUCUUAUUGCUCAUAAUUUUUCUAAAGUUGCUCAUUUAUUUAAUUAUUUUAAGGUAUGUUUGUUUGAAAUUUUAAUUAAUUUUGUUUUCAAUUGUAAAUAAUUAAUAUAUUUUCAAUUAAUUAGUAUAUUUUGCAAUAUAGAUGAUUUAAUGUUUUUUUUACAUUCAAUUGUAAUUAAUUUGUAUAUUUCCCAUUAAUUAAUUUGGCUUAAUUUGGUCAUUUAAUUUUAGAUGAAUAUGUUAAUUUUAGAUGAUUAUUUAAUUUCAUUUUUAUAUUCAAUUUAUAGUGAGAUUUAGAUUUAGUAAAUUAACUUAGCUAAAUUAUUUAAUUAAUUUAAUUAACAACAAUUAGUAUAUUUAGAAUAUGUUCAUUUUAAAAGAGUAUAUAUGAAUAUUUACCAAUUUAUAAACCGAAGUGGCUAAAUAGCUCAGUUGUUUCUUUCCUCACCACCUUUUAUGCCAAGUUCUCUUUUAUUAACGAGAAAAUAUGUGCCACAUCAGAAAAUGACAAAGCAAAUCUGAUGGUGGGCCUUGGAGGGUAGUAGGGGAGCGUAACGUGGCCUAGUUAGGGUGUUGGUCAAACAUGGGUUACCCUAUUCUGAAGAAUUUGACUUGGAAUUAUGACUGUAGAGAUGAUAUUAAAGCUUCCUUAGGGAUGAUUUCUACUUUUGUUUCCCCAUGUGGUUAAAGCGUUUUUAUUUUAUAUUAAAAUUAUUUUGAUAAUAAUUUUAAAAAAUAUUUUUAAUAUAAUAAUAUUUAAAAAAUUAUUUUUUAAAUAUUAAAAAAUUAAAAACACUUUCUAAAAUCACUGUCAAAUAUUUUUUUUUUUAAAUCUUAAAAAUGGUUUAUCAUUUGUAUUCCCCUAUCUAUACCUAUAUCUUUUAUCAAUUGUAUCUGUGGGAUCCUCCCCAAAAAUUGCCACAUGGCUCCCUCUCCCUUGGCCGCGCAAACGGCCCCCCUUUCGACGCGUGGAAUCAUAGCUCAUUCCACCCAGGUAGGAAUUCCGUCUGGCUGGCGCCACUUUACUCCUGACGUCUCACAUCCGGAAUUCUGUCCGGCCAACGUUCUACCUUAUCCGGAUGUCUCACAGCCGUAAUUCUAUCCGGCCGACAUCCCACUUUCUCCAAAUAUCUCACAGCCGCAAUUCUAUGCGGCCGACGUUCCAUCUUCUUCUGAUAUUUCACAUCCGGGGCCUGUCGCCGGAUGGGAGAGGAGGACGAUUCAACUUCCCCGGGCAGACAUGUCCGGAUCCUUCGAUAUGGCUUAUCCGGAUAACAUCUGUGGCCAAUGAUUCAGAUUCCCCGGAUAGCUUGGCUCGUCAGAUACUCGCGAUCCGCCGGAUCCAUUUUCGCCCACAAUCAAAAAACAAACUCUUACAAUACUGACAACCAAGUCUCCUGAACUGUCACUCAUCUUUAAUGCAAGAUAUGCUCGACAAAAUAUUCCCAAAUCUUCUCAGGUCUCCUGACACAUCCCUAAUAUUUAAAGUCAUAAAUUGAGGCAACAUCCACCGCCUAACUAAAUAUCCUCCUGACAGCCGCCAUCUUGGACCAGAAAUGUCAUGAUUACUUCGCCACCUUAUGAGCCACAAUCAUGAUGAUGGGACCCGCUAGCACAACGAGGCCAUACAUUCUUACUCGUAUAUAAACUCUAAGGAGGCUCUCAGAGAGAUAAGCCAUAAGCGAUAAGCAACAAGAAAGAAAGGGAUAAACAUCCUGCUAAGGGAUAAGCAUCCUUGACGAAAUUCAAGGGGCAACACUCCCAAAGGAAAACUCUAUUUUCCAACAACUUCCAAAAGACUAACUUAAUCAUCGGAGGGUGUGUCCGGACAACCCAUCCGGACAUAUUUUUUGCAGGAGGAAGGAGGAAUUACUACAAUGCGUUGAUCGAGAUUCCGUUGUCGGUGAUUACUAUUGCAGUAGGGGAAUUUUGCCAUCAACAUUGGCGCCGUAGGUGGGAACGUCUUUUCUUCUCAGUAAAUCCUAUACCUUCCAACUGUAAAGAUGACUUCACCCUCAAGAAGGCAUUCUUCCGCCAGAGAUGACGAAAGUUACUUCGAAUGGCAAGACAGCAUGGAGAGACGACAGCGAAAAAACGAACGGCAUAUGCAAAUUCUACUCCAAGAAACAAGGAAACUCAGGGAAGAAAACAAUGUCUUGAGGAUCCGAAGCUCUUCCCAACCUCAGCACUAUCAGCGGAUGCAGGACCCCUGUCACAACCAGGGAGCUCCAUUCCCCCGAGGGGCGAGCCCAACCCUCAAGGCGCAUGAAGCAUGGCCUAGCGAAACCCCGGUGCACGCUCAUCAUGUCCGACGAGACGAAAGUUCAGGCUCCACUCAAGUCUCGUCUAAGCGACAGCGUGAGAAAAGGCCCCAAAUAUCUGACGCAACGUGCACGCGUCUGGGACCCCAAACACCUUGCAAAAACAGGCCUCAUACUGCCAUAUCACUGGAUGCACUCUCCGAGCCUUCAAGCUCACCUACUUUACAGGGACAUGCCUCCCGCCCACUUGUGGCGCGGGUUGGUAAAGAUCCCUCGCACACGGCCCCUCCGGGCUCUAUCAGCAGACGCCACUCUGGGUCGCUUUGGCACCAGAGCCAAAAAUUGGGUCGCUUUGGCACCGAUACAAAUGGAGACAAGACGUCACUCUGGGUCGCUUUGGAACCGAUACAAAUGGAGACAAGACGCCACUCUGAGUCGCUUUGGCACCAGAGCCAAAAAUCGGGUUGCUUUGGCACCGAUACAAAUGGUGGCAAGACGUCACUCUAGGUCGCUUUGGUACCAGAGCCAAAAAUCGGGUCGUUUUGGCACCGAUACAAAUGGAGACAAGACAUCACUCUGGGUCACUUUGGCACUAGAGCCAAAAAUCAGGUCGCUUUGGCACCGAUACAAAUGGUGGCAAGACGUCACUUUGGGUCGCUUUGGCACCAGAGCCAAAAAUCGGGUCGCUUUGGCACCGAUACAAAUGGAGAUAAGACGCCACUCUGGGUCGCUUUGGCACCAGAGCCAAAAAUCGGGUUGUUUUGGCACCGAUACAAAUGGUGGCAAGACGUCACUCUGUGUCGCUUUGGCACCGAUACAAAUGGUGCCAAGACGUCACUCUGGGUCACUUUGGCACCAGAGCCAAAAAUCGAGUCGCUUUGGCACUGAUACAAAUAGUGGCAACACCCAAAUGUUGCAGAAAAGGCCGAUGUUUUUGUUGCCUAGAAUGGUACCAGGAGGGCAACGCGCUGGGGUAAGAGCAUUGCCACCCAAGGUCGAAUCCUGGGGAGGCCACUCUGAUCCUGGCCCAUUCCGGCUGUGAUGCCCCCGUCUGGCACAGUUUGGUGGUACGGCUGGUUAAAGCCAAAAAUUCCAAGAGGGAAACAAUAAGGGGUAAGAGCAUUGCCACCCAAGGUCGAAUCCUGGGAAGGUCACUCUGGUCCUGGCCCAUUCUGGCUGUGAUGGCCCCGUCUAGCACAGUUCAGUGGUACGGCUGGUCAAAGCCAACUCUGGUCCAAUCCCGGAUAAAGCAAAUGACGUCCCAACACGGCGGACAAAGAUCCCCCGGCAUCAGACCCACUAGAAGCUAUACAGAUAUCAGAGGGAGGUGAAUGUUUCACAUGCGUCAGUACUCUCCUCCCGCCAGCCAAAAGGUUCGAGCUUCAAAAGGUGCUCCAACAAAAUUGCGAUAUCUUCGCUUGGAUCCCAAACAAAGAAUCGACUCCGGAUGAUUGGUGGUCUCUGCAUGUUGAUGGGGCCUCCCGCUCGUCCGGAUCAGGAGUCGAACUCCUCCUCAAAGCACCAACCGGCGAACAGGUGGAACAAUCCAUCCGUCUGGAUUUUCUCGCUUCAAACAAUGAAGCUGAAUAUGAGGCCAUCCUAUCCGGACUGGGCCUUGCGACCACUCUAAACGCCUCAAAAUAGUACGAGGCCAAAGACUAGCGCAUGGCCAAACACUUAUUGAAAAUACAAGAAUUACUCAGCCGGUUGGAAGAGUGGGGCAUUGCCUGAAGAUCCCAAGCGCGCCUCACUAGCUCCCACAACAAGAAAGCACCACGUGCCAUUGUUGUCCAUAUGAAAGAGAAAUUUUGUAAAGGUAGCAUUUUUAUCCCGCCUUUUCUGACCAGGCCAGACAGGCGAUAUAAAAAGGGGGGCAUUGUGGGAUCCUCCCCAAAAAUUGCCACGUGGCUCCCUCUCCCUUGGCCGCGCAGACGGCUCCCUUUUCGACACGUGGAAUCAUAGCUCAUUCCACCCGGAUGGGAAUCAUAGCUCAUUCCACCCGGGUAGGAAUUACGUCCGGCUGGCGCCACUUUACUCCGGACAUCUCACAUCCGGAAUUAUGUCCGGCCAACGUUCUACCUUAUCCGGAUGUCUCACAGCAGCAAUUCUAUCCGACCGACAUCCCACUUUCUCCGGAUAUCUCACAGCCGCAAUUCUAUCCGGCCGACGUUCCAUCUUCUCCUGAUAUUUCACCUCCGGCGCCUGUCGCCGGAUGGGAGAGAAGGACGAUUCAACUUCCCAGGCCAGACAUGUUCGGAUCCUUCGAUAUCGCUUAUCUGGAUAACAUCUGUGGCCAACGAUUCAGAUUCCCCGGAUAGCUUGGCUCGUCAGAUACUCGCGAUCCGCUGGAUCCAUUUCCGCCCACAAUAAAAAAGCAAACUCCGACAAUACUGACGACCAAGUCUCCUGAAUUGUCACUCAUCUUUAAUGCAAGAUGUGCUCGACAAGAUAUUCCCAAAUCUUCUCAGGUCUCCUGACACAUCCCCGAUAUUUAAAGUCAUAAAUUGAGGCGACAUCCACCGCCUAACUAAAUAUCCUCCUGACAGCCGCCAUCUUGGACCAGAAAUGUCAUGAUUACUUCGCCACCUUAUGAGCCGCAAUCAUGACGAUGGGACCUACUAGCACAGCGAGGCCAUACUUUCUGACUCGUAUAUAAACUCUAAGGAGGCUCUCAGAUAGGUAAGCCAUAAGCGAUAAGCAACAAGAAAGAAAGGGAUAAACAUCCUGCUAAGGGAUAAGCAUCCUUGACGAAACUCAAGGGGCAACACUCAAAAAGGAAAACUCUAUUUUCCAACAACUUCCAAAAGACUAACUUAGUCAUCGAAGGGUAUGUCCGGACAACCUAUCUAGACAUUUUUUUUGUAGGAGGAAGGAGGAAUUACUACAACGCGUUGAUCGAGAUUCCAUUGCUGGUGAUUACUAUUGCAGCAGGGGAAUUUUGCCAUCAACAGUAUCGUUUUUCAUGUGAGUUAAAGUUUAUGGUUUUUUGGUUUUUUGGUUUUUUCAAACAUCUGGGAGGAGAAUGAAUAAUUUUGAGCUUUAUGGGGCAUGUGGAUGCUACGAAGCUGAAAUUGAUGGGAAGCAUGGAAGCCAAGUUCUUGCCCUACAGUAGUAGAUAGUCAAUGGAUUUUAUAAUUUCCGAUCAAUUUUCCUUUUGUCCAGUAAUCUUCAUAACUGUUAUCAUUAUCUUCAUUAACAAACCAAGUGAGACUGAGAGUGAGAGAGGAAUUAAAAAGUGUACAGUCAUUCUCUCCGCCACGUUCUCUCACCGCCACCGCCAGCCCACCGACACCCACACCUUCAUCGCCGGAGAUAGCCCCGCCGUGAUCUCCCUUUCCCUCCAAUGCACCUUCACCCAUCGCCGCCCUUCCCUUCUCUCAUGCCGACGCAACCCUUUCCACCAUGCCUACAUCGCACCUGUUCCCAUGGUACUCGGGCGCAUUGGACUCAUUCAUUAUUGAUAUUGGGUUUCCAUUAUUGAUAUUUGGGUUUGUUGAUAUUUGUUUUGGGCCUUUGCUUGAAGCUUUGUUUGUGGGUUGCAGCGAUUUUAUUUUCAUUUGGGCCUUAGGGCAUUGUUAUACAAUUAACGUGUGGUUUUUGGUUGUAUACAUUUAUUUAAUUUGACUAAUUAUUAUUAUGUUAGGCUUAUUUUAUUACUUAAUGGAGAAGUGAAAUUCUAUUUUUUUAAAUAAGGAUCAAAUUUGAAUUUUUUUAAAAAAAAAUAAAAUUAUGAAAAUUUUACCUUUUCUAAAAAAAUGAAUGAAAGACAUUUUGUUACCAAAGUUUAUAAAAAUUUGGUUCAUAGAAAUUUGAAAAAAUAUAUAUAAAGGAAAAAAAAAAGGAUAAAAACUAAAAAAUAAUAAUUAAAAGAUUUAAAUUUAAUAAAUGAUUUGUAUAUGUUACUUGAAACUCAAUAUUUUAUAAAAAGAUUAAAUAAUUUUAAAUUGCAUGAAUUUUUAAUUAAUUUUAAUUAUAUUUGAUUUUUGUUUUACAAUUUUAUAAUAAAAUUAAAUAGAAAAAAAUUAGUUUUUUUAAUAUUUUUCCUUGGCAUUUUUCUUAAACAAAACAUACUAUUAAAAAUUACGAAUUUUUAAUUUUUAAUAUUUUUCCCUGGCAAUUUUUUAUUUUGUAUAAAAUCAAAAUUUGUUUGAAUAUAUUCUAACUUUUUUAAAAAAUAAUUUUUAAGAAUAAAAUUCAAUUUAGAAACUAAAAUAUAAGAACAACAUUCUUGGAGCAUACAUACCAAUUACUGAAUUUGGAAUUGCGAUAAAAUUAUUUUAGUAAAUUACAAAUUUUAAUUCGAUGUUUUGAAAUAGGAAAUAGUAACAUGGGAUGGAACAAAAAUCAUUGAUUGCGAAUGCCCCGAAAAGGAAAGUCUUAAAGCAUGUUUGUUAACUUACAUUAAAAUUAUUAUUAUUAUUAUUAUUUAAAAGAAUGAUAAUAUUUUAAACUAUUAAUAAGGAAUAAUAUUAUUUUAAAUUUUUAAAUAAAUUUUAAUUUAUUUAAAAAAUGGAUAUUAUAUUAAAAUAAUUAUAGAAAGACAUAUUGAUAAGUAUCUUGAGUUUACUCCCCACCAGGGAAGUUGCUCGAACCAAUUUGCUGUCGAAGGCAUGGCGAAAGCUAUCUGCUUUUUCCUCUCUCCCAGUUUUGAUGUUCGAGUCUGCGGAUUUUCUCGCUUCACCUCGCAAAGACACUAACGUCUCCUCCUUUAUCAAUGUCGUCGAUUCCUACCUAAAACUCCGUCAGAAAGACGCAAGUCUUGCGAAACUCCGGCUCCAUCUGCAUCUCAAUGACGUCGAAUCGCGUUCGCUGAUAGACUCGUGGAUCGACGCGGCACUUGAGAGGAAGGUGAAGGAGCUGGAUCUAUUUAUGCUACCCAGGGGAAGGGCGAGAGGAAAACCUUACAGCUUCCCGGCUAAAAUUUUUGCUGCCACAACAAUUACUGUUCUCAGUUUACGGCGUGUCAUAUUGGAAAUCUGUGGUGAUAUAGAUCUUCCGGCGCUACGAAAGUUGUAUUUAGGAGAAAUCCGGUGUGAUGAACAACCAAUUCAGAAACUGAUAUCAAGUUGCCCUUUGAUCGAUUGUUUGCACAUCGAAUCUUGCCACGGGUUACAAAAGCUUCAUGUUUCGGGGCUUGCUAAUCUACGUAGGCUGGAAGUAAUUUGGUGUUAUGAAUUGAAAAGGAUUGAAAUCAAUGCGCCAAGCCUUCAAUAUCUCAGCUAUCAACAAGGAAAAUGCCCGUGUGACGUGGUCUUGAGGGCCUGUGAAUUUCUCAGAGAGUUAACAUUUUGGUACUCAAUUCCAAAAUUGUCUCUGGACUUCCGAACCUUGAGGGAUUGGGGAUAAGGUGCACUCAAUUGCAAAGGAUUGAGAUUUCGCAUCAUCAGCUCAAGCGAUUAGACCUAAGUCUAACUGAAAACCAGAGCAACGCGAAACUCAAGAUUGAUACCCCAAAUCUCCAGUCAUUCAAGUAUGGUGGCCAUAGAAUGCCUUUAGCCUCUCUCAUAUCAUCUAUGAACACUUCAUCUCUACAGGAAGCUGAGAUUCAUUUUCUCAGCUUUGAUAAUUAUAGCCAUCUCAAUUGAAAGAAUUUUUUGAAAAAUUGAAGCAUUGUCAAGUUAUAAAACUACUCAUAAAAUCCAAACGGGUAAAUUUCCCUUCAUCUCAUUGAUGAAAAUUUAAACAGUAUAGGAUCACAUGUUGACAUUUAAGCAUGCAUUGAACGGCAAAAACGGAAACGUUCACCUUGGUUAAUUCCGUGAAAGGCCAUUUCUUUCUCUUUUCUGGUAUUCAGGAAGCUCCUCCAGUGCUUGAUGGUGCGAGAAUUACGGGUUAAUGAGCUCUUCCCUUCUACACCUAGAUUCAGUCCAAAACGAGAGUGCGUGCUCUCUUUCAGCCAGCGAGAGAAGCCCCUUUUUAUUCUUUUAUAUAUAUAUAUAUAUAUAUAUAUAUAUAUAUAUAUAUAUAUAUAUAUAUAUAUCACACACAUUAUUUGGACCACCACUUGACUUAAUGGGCCAGUCAAGUGAAUUAGGAUGAGCCCAUAAAAAAAUCAAGCAACAAUAUGUGUCCAGUCCCAUUAUGGACUACAAUGCAAAAAUAAAUAAUACUGAUUUAUGACAUUAUUAAAUUGAUUAUGUAAGUUCACACAUAAAAAUUCCAACAAUCUCCCACUUGGACUACAUAAUCAAACAUUACAACAUACACAUAAUCAUAAAUCAAUGUCCCAUAGAAUCUCAUCAUAAAUAAAUAAUCAAAAGCAAUCAUAUAUGCUUCAUUGCUUGAUUCAUAGGGAAAUGUACAAUAAUAGCAAUCCUUUCAACAAUAACAUAGUAUUACAAUACCAAAAAUGGCUCCCACUAACUUAAUAUAACCUAGGCUUCCAACAACCCCAUUUGAGAUACAUGUUCCUGAAACGCAAUUAUGGGUAAGCCUUUUGUUAAUGGAUCCGCCAACAUAUUUUUUGUGAACAUGUGUUCAAUAUCAAUAAGAGACUCUGCCACUUUCUCCUUAACAAAAUAGAACUUUACAUCAAUAUGUUUGGAGCGAGAAAUACUCCUAGUGUUCUUGGAGAAAGCAACAGCUGCAGAAUUAUCACAAAAUAAUUUCAGCGGUCUAGAAAUGGAGUCAACAACUCCCAAAGCUGAAAUAAAAUUCUGCAUCCACAUAACAUGACAACAAGCCUCAUAACAUGUCACAUACUCUGCCUCCAUAGUUGAGGAUGUUGUAAGUGUCUGCUUGAUACUUUUCCAAGAUACAGCUCCUCCUGCCAUCAUAAAAAUAUAGCCCGUAGUGGAUUUCUUAUCAUCUAUGCAGUCAGCAAAAUCAGCAUCACAAAACCCAACUACAUGCUGAUAUGUCAACAUUAAGUUCUUAGUUCCUUGCAAAUACCUAAGGACCUUCUUAGCUGCUUUCCAAUGUUGACUCCCAGGAUUGCUCAAGUACCUUCCCAACAUGCCCACAACAAAAGCAAUAUCAGGACGUGUACAUACUUGAGCAUACAUAAGGCUGUCCACCACAGAUGAAUAAGGAAUGGUCUUCAUUUCCUCUCUCUCAUCAUCAUUUUGAGGACACUGAGCCUUUGAAAAUUUAUCACCCUUCACAAUUGGCGCUUUAGUAGAUUUACAGUUGUUCAUAUUGAACCUCUUCAAUAUCCUUUCAAUAUAGGCUCUUUGAGACAAUUUAAGCACUCCAUUAGCCCUAUCACGAAGAAUCUUUAUGCCCAAGACAUAAGAAGCCUCACCAAGAUCCUUCAUGUCAAAAUGGGUUGACAACAUGUGCUUUGUCUCAAUCAACAAGUCAGGAUCAUUUGAUGCGAGUAGUAUAUCUUCAACAUAUAAAACAAGAAAUAUGUAACUACUCCCACUAACCCUCAAAUAUAUGUAUCUGUCAACUGUAUUCUCUUUAAAACCAUUUUGGGUGAUAAUACUAUCAAACUUCAGAUACCACUAGAUCUUUCAUCAACAGAGCUCACAUCUUCAAAAUAUACAACCUUGUCUAACUCAAUGAUCCUGGUGGUAUGAGAUGGACAAUAAAAUCUGGAACCCCUUGAUCCAAUGCAAUAACCAACAAAGAAACCACUGAUGGUUUUAGGAUCAAGUUUCUUUGACUGUGGAUUAUAUGGCCUAACCUCAGCCUUACAUCCCCAAACAUGGAAAUGAUGAAGGCUUGGUUUCUUCCCUGACCAUAGCUCAUAAGGUGUCUUAAGCACAGAUUUACUGGGCACUUGAUUCAAAAUAUAUGCUGCAGUCCUUAAGGCUUCACCCCACAGAAAUUCUAGUAAAGAGGAAUUGGACAACAUGCACCUCACCAUAUCUAACAAUGUGUGAUUCCUCCUUUCUGCAACCCCAUUCUGUUGAGGAGUGCCUGACAAUGUAUAUCUCGCAUCAAUGCCACAUUCCAACAGAAACUUAGCGAAUGGUCCAAAAUUCCAUCCAGUCUCAUCAUAUCUCCCAUAAUACUCACCAUCUCUAACCAAUCUCUCUAAUCUUUGCCUAGAAAAAUGACCUAGGCGUUUGUGCCACAAUAUGGAAGAACUCAAAUUUACUUGGCUUAUCAACUCUCAAAGCCCAGUCCAAAAUGUGCAUAGCCAUAUGCACAUUGAAAGACUCAAAACAUUCCUCAAAAUUAUUCCAGUAAGAGGUUUGAUGGCAGACAAUUGCAGAGUAAUACCAGGAUUGCUAGUAGCUGGAAAAUAGCAAAAUUAAGCAAUAUGCAUGUUACUACAAAAUCAUGCAUUUGCUAGUUUCCAAAAUUUCUCAAUUUAGCAACAGCUUGGAAUUUUGAAAAUUCCACGGCGGUAAGGACAACUAAUUAAAUAUCACAACCAAGAUGCACUAAUUUUAUUACCGAAAGGGCAAAGAAAAUUAGUACGAUUCAUAAUAUAAAAUUAAUUUCCUUCACCAAUCCAAGCAUCCUACCAAAUAUUAUAAUCAUCGAUAGGACAAUCACAAUACCCGUAUGCACCUUAGUUAUCACAAUAAUAAAACAAUCAAAAGAGGGAGAUAAAAUAUCUCAACAAAGACAAUUUGACAUAUAUAAGAUCACGAUAGGCAACCACACAUAUGUUCACAAUUGUCAUGAAUAAAAUUCAAAAUAUCUUAAUUUUCACAAUUUGACACACUUGGAAUUGCGAUAGGCAAUCACACAAGUGUGCUUCAUUGCCUCAAUAAAUUGAAAUAUUUAACAAAAUUGACAUAGGACAACAUUAUUGAUAUAAGGAAAAAAAUUAUACCAUAAAGAACAAUAAUAAUAAUAAUUGUCCCAAUAAAGUCAAAUUUAACAAAUGCAUAAUAAUUCUAGCAUAUGCACAAUCAAUCCAAGAAUACCAAGGCAACAAACAAAAAAAAAAAAAAAAUUUGUUUUGUUUUGUUUGUUUGUUUUUUUUUUUUUUUUUUUGACGUCAUCACGUCACUAUUCAUCUCCUUCUCCAGCUGAACACGGCUUGGUGCAGGAGAAAAAAAAAUUUUCCUUUUUCGGCCAAAAUUUUGGGCAUUUUUCGACAAAAACCGCUUAGAUUUCCAUCCUCAAACAUCAAACCUUCAAUCUAAUCCCAAAAUUUGCACAAAAAACGCAUAAUAGGAAGAACCAAAGCAAGCCCUAAUUCUCGAAAUCCCACCAAACAAGCUCCAAAAAUCAAAUAAAAUGAUGGGUUUUGCUCCAAAAAAUAUUCUCUACAAGUUUCCAACAACAAUCGGGCUUGAAAACAGAGAAUCAACAUCAAACGAGAAAUAAAAUUCCAAAAAAAAUGGCUUCCACAAUAGGAAACGGGAAACCCAAAAAUUAACCCAAAAUUGCAGCUCAAAUGUCAUCCAUGCUAGCUCUGAUACCAAUUGAUGAAAAUUUAAACAGCAUAGGAUCACAUGUUGACAUUUAAGCAUGCAUUGAACGGCAAAAACGGAAAUGUUCACCUUGGUUAAUUUCGUGAAAGGCCAUUUAUUUCUCUUUUCUGGUAUUCAGGAAGCUCCUCCAGUGCUUGAUGGUGCGAGAAUUAUGGGAUAAUGAGUUCUUCCCUUCUACACCCAGAUUCAGUCCAAAACGAGAGUGCGUGCUCUCUUUCAGCCAAAGGAGGAAGGAGCAGGGAGCCAGUCAGCGAGUGAAGCCCUUUUUAUUCUUUUAUAUAUAUAUAUAUAUAUAUAUAUAUAUAUAUAUAUAUAUAUAUCACACACAUUAUUUGGACCACCACUUGACUUAAUGGGCCAGUCAAGUAAAUUAGGGUGAGCCCAUAAAAAAAUCAAGCAACAAUAUGUGUCCAGUCCCAUUAUGGACCACAAUGCAAAAAUAAAUAACACUGAUUUAUGACAUUAUUAAAUUGAUUAUGUAAGUCCACACAUAAAAAUUCCAACACUCAUCUCAUCUCUCUCUCUUUUCUGUCAAAAAUCUUUCUUAUGAAUCAUUGCUUAUUUCGGCUUGCUUGAUUGAAGGAGCUCAUUCUUCCCAAAAAGUUGAGGCCAAUUUUAUCUCCCCCUGUUUAUGAUAUCAAGCAUCUAAACAUAAUAGUAAAUUACCGUUGUAGAUACCAGUACAUCAUAAAUUGCUUGAUUUGGAUGUAUCACCCUCAAACUUUAUCCAUUUCAUCAAGGACCAACCCCAAGUCUUUAAAUGUAAUAAAUUUUCUUCCUUAAUGUUAAUUUAAAUUCGGCUUUAUUUGAAUUAAUUUAUAUAGAAAGUUAAAUAAUUUUUUUAAGCGUUGUGAAAAUUAUAUCAUUAGAAACUUUUAUUUAGCUUAAGACAGAGCUUUUGAUUUCUUAGAAAUCGAUCCAAACAAGGGCCUUAGUCUAACUAUGAUGUUAAAAUGUGAUUACAAUGCAAGUCAUAUAUAACAAGUUUAACAACAAAGAAGAGCACCCCAAGUGUUGCACAACUUGUACCACCAAAUGUUGGCGACAUUAUUUGGAAGAUGUUCAAAUUGAUGGUGAUGAAAGCAGAUUGGAAAUUAACGAAAUUACUGCGAUGCCAGAGUCAUCUACAUUUAUGAAUUGUGAAGUUAGGUUUAGAUUAAAAUGGAGAUCUCAACUACUAUACAAUAUUAGACUUCUUUACACUCUUUAUAUAAAUUGAUGGGAUUUGCAUAAGACUUGAUAUUUGGACAGCUCCUUAUGAAUGUCCCUGUCAUAAGGUUUAUAAGCCUUCAAAAUGCAUGUGGAGAUUAAAUUUUUUGACUUCCCAUACUUUAUGGGAGCAUUAGUUGUAGUGUUUGGCAUGUCCUCUUUUAUAAAAUUUCACCUAUCCCUGUAUAUGGUUGUCCAGAAUGCCUCAAUGCCUUUAACCAUGCUUCAACACUGAUUUCUUAUUCUUCAUUUAGUUUUUGGUUCCUUAUAAAUCAUUCAGUGGUCAAGAUAUUCUGGCCAUCCUUAUGAUAAAAAAAGUUGCUCCAUGCAUUUGAUAACUGAUUUUUCUAACAAAAUUUUUAAAAAACAUAUUUUAAUUAAAAAACACUUCUAAUGAAAACAUUCCUACUUUUGGAGAUAUCAAACAUGAUUACUUUUGAAGGAUGUUUGAAGGAUCUAACAUAGUAGUUGGCCAUUGCAAGCAUGUCUAUAACCACAUGACCAAUGAAUGUACUUCCAAAUUUUAAAUUUUCAAUUUAUUUUACAAUGGACAUUACAUAAUAAAACUGCAAAAUAACCUUGUAAAGAAAUAUUAGCAUUAACAAUAUAAACAGAAAACCGAGGCACCCAUAUUUUCAGGCUAUGGCUCAAGGGUAAGGUGGUGGAAAAUAGGUAGGCAGAUAGGCUAUCAAUUGGUGCAUGAGAGGCUAUCAAGUUGGUAAGCUGGCGAAUGGAAGUAAAUUAUAAUAAAAAUUGGUAUAUAUAAAAGGAUGAAAAUAUCAGCGAUUAUGGAUAUAUCGGAAAUAUCAAAAAAAUAUCGAUGGAUAUUUUUUUUCACAAAUAUCGAUGGAGCGAAAAUUAUUUAAAAUUCAUAGGAAUGCUUGGAAAAACUCUAAAAAAUGAUAAAAUAAGUAAGAAUACACAUUUUUAAAGUUAUUUUGUAAUUGUAAUUGACAUAAAUAUAAUCAAGAAGAAAAACAUCGGUAGACAGAAAUAUAUCGAUAGAUUCGAUAUUUGAAUUUUAAGAAUAAUAAAUAUGAAUUUUGAAAAUGUAUAAAGUUAAAAUUGAGUUAAGAAAUAUUUGAUUUUAUUGAAUAAAAAUAAUUUAUACAUAAAUAUAAUACAUAUCAUAUUGCAAUAAUCCUUAGUAUAAAAAAAAAAAUCGAUGUUGUUUUAUCAUAUUGUUACACGAAGGAAACUCAUGUUAUUGAAGAUAAUAUUUAUUUAAAAAAUUUUAAAAUACUUUUUUAACAACAUGUUUUAUUAAAUUUUAAAUAAAAAAUUAAAUUAAUUUAUAUAAAAUAUUUUAUUUAAAAUUUUAUUAAAAAUAUGUGAUAAUAAUUUUUUCUAUUAAUAUUAAUUUAUUUAAAUAAUUAAAAUUAGUAAUAAUUUAUUUUAUCACAUCAAUUUUAAUUUAUUAAAUAUCACGAUAAAAAUCGAAAUUUCAAUCCUAGUAGUGAUUUAAUAAAAAUAAAGAUGGAUAAUUAAUAAUUAUUUAUAGCAAGAGAGAGAGAGGAAUAUUGUUCUUAUAUGAUUUGUUUCUUCUUUUUUUUUUUAAAUCUCUACUAAAACUAAAAAUCAAGAGGGCCACCCACUUCUCUCACUCGGUCAUCAAGAAGCCCUUUUCUGAAGUUGCCAUCCAGAGCAGAGAAUCCCUAAAAAGGGCCUAUUUUCCUCUGCCACUCUCAAUCCUCGCAGGUACUAAUCUAAUCAUGUUUUUAUUUUUUUUUGCCCCCGUUUGAUUCCCAAGAAAAUCCACCCCCCAUUCGAUUUCCGGGAAAAUUCAUCAUCGUUUGAUUCCCGAGAAAAUCCAUGGAAAACCCCCAAGGAAAACCAAAAAAUUUGUUUUUUUUUGCUCCCUGUGUUUUCUGGAUCUGUUCCAGGGGUCUCUUUGCUUUUGUGCCAUUGGAUUUCAAUUUCACGAACCCUAAAUCCACGAUUUUUGAGCCGGGCUGAAAAACACAACCUGUGCGCGGGCUGGACUGAUAGGAAAUAUCGGGAAAAUUCCCGAAAAUUUUCCCGAAAAAUCUGUAAAAAUACUUGUGUCAAAUAGGUUGCCGAAAAUUUUCGACAUUUCAAUCCUUGCAGUACAUAUAUUAGAGGUUGUCAACUGUCAAUGUUCUGGAAUUGGGACUGGAAGAGUUGGUUGCUGUAAGCUUUUGAUUUUUCCGAUGUUAUCACCAGGCUAUGUCAAUUGUCACGGUGGUGCUGCCACUAUGGAUAAAAAUAGUUUUCUGUCAUUACUUCUUAGUAGGUAAAAGUUGCUCUCUAUCAUUACCUCUACCCAGUUUCAGCAGCAGAACGGGGGAAUCAAAUUAGCUAACCCGUGUAACUAUAACUAUGGUCAGUUAGUAACUACAGUUAGUUGGUAACCAGAGUUAUAGCUAACCCGUGUAACUAUAACUAUGGUCAGUUAGUAACUACAGUUAGUUGGUAACCAGAGUUAAAUUCUAGAAGUUUUGAUAUAAAAACAUAUGUAAAUCAAUCAGGUGAUCAGGUGAGUGGAAGUGAAGAACACGUUUCCAGAAUUUCUUUUCUCUUCUUUACUCUUUUAUUUUUUCUUCACCAAGAAUGGUAUCAGAUAUUCCACCCAACUACAGUUCAGAAAAGAAAGAAGGAAAAAUGCUGAGGGUUGUGCUUCUUGCAUCAGCUCAUUUGCAUAAGAGGGUGGCACCGAUGAUGAGGAAAUGAACUAUUUCUUUAAAGUAAACAUUCAAUAUUGUUCAUCAUUUGUUGUUUGAUUUAACAUUGAUGUGGUUUUGUAGUUUAAUAUUUUAGUUUCUCUUACCUUGCUGGGAACAAUGUGGAUGGGUUUCUCAGAAGUAUAUCCGUUAACAUCGGAGUUCAAGAAAAAGCCUCCGGGGAAGUAGGAGAAAAACCAAGUGAACAUAUCUCCUACAGUGGGUAGUAUAAGCGUCAUCCUCUAUUAUUUCUACUCUUUCUCUCCUUGCUUCUAUUAUUGUUUGUUUCUUGGUUUUGUAGUGUGAUAGGUGCGAGCGGUAGGGGAUUAUCUCACUGGUCCUGGACAUAGACGCCCACCGAGGGGAGAUGAUUUUAUAGGCGUGCCAUUGAUGGUGUUCGAUUAUGAUGGAAUCCUCUCAAUGACACAUCUGUAAAAUCAUCUUCCCUCAGCGGGUGUCCAUGUCCUGGGACCAGUGAGAUAGUCCUCUACCUCUCGCACCCUUCACACUGCAAAACCAAGAAACAAGCAAUAACACAAGCAAUGCUAUCGUUGAUGGGGAGUAUAUUGAAAUCAACAUGCGAGAAGCUCGCCAAGUUCGAACCCUACAAUGGAUGACAGAAUGCUUGGUUUUUAGUUUAGGCAUUUUAUGUUGGUUUUUAGUUAACCAGGUCGUUUCUGUUUUUUCUUUUUGUUCUGUUUCAUUUUCGUUUUCUCUCUGUUUGUAAUCCCUUUUCUAUUAUCAGUAUCAAACAUUUCGAUUCCUUAUGACUGAAACUUGUCGUUCCAAUCCAAGAGAGCCCUAGUGGAGUGAGCAAUAAAAUAAAAACCAGGAAAAUUUGUCCCACUAAAAAAAUAUAAAUUUAAUUUUAACAAAUAAAAAUAAUGACAACUAAAUAUUAUUAUAAAAAAAAAUCAUCAUUAAUUAAUUACGAAUAUUUUAUACUAUUUCAAUAUUCAAUAUUCUCGGGCUUGAAUUUGUUUGGCCAAAAUGGGUGCAUGGGCCACCAAUCACCCGCAUCUUUUGUGUGGGCAAACCGCAAUAUAAAGGUAUUUUAUUCCUGGUACCAUUCUGGAUCAACCUAGGAAACUGGGAGAACAAAAUAGAACAUGGUCCCAUAACCUUAAGGUUAAACUGUCAGGAUAACACUACUAUGCUAUUUAUUUCUUUAUGUAAACAUUUUCAUGUUAGGUAAAAAAAAUUCCUCCCAAAAUUUUUAUAAUAAUAAAAAUGCAAAUAAUUUAAAGUAACAUGAUAUAAUUUUUUUUAAACUUAUAAAACAAUAAGAUAUAUAAAUUUUAAUAUAUAUAUAUGAAUUAAAUAAAUUUUAACAAAUAACUUCACAUUUAAAUAUUAUAUAUAUUUUAUUUAAUAAAAUGUUAAAAUGUUAAUGUAUCUAUAUCUUAAUAUGAUAAUAUUAAAAAUACAAAAAAAAUAAAUAUUACUAAUUUUUAAUUUCUUUACAUACUAAAACUUUUUUAUAAAUGUUUUAAAUUGUAAUAAUAUAUAAAUUAUGUAUUUAUGACAUGAUCGAUUCAACCAUCGAUAUAACCAAUAAACCAUAAAAUGAUAACUUUUCCAGUUCUUUGAUUAGUUCGAUUAUGAAAAUACUAAAAUAAUAAAUCAAAUACUAUAGUAAGAAAAAAAAAAUUAUUGUGAUAUAGACUAUCGCACAAAGACCAUAUUAGAGAUACAAUUAUCAUAUUCAAAUGGGAAAAGACAUAAUCAUCAUAUUCACUAAUUGAUUAAUCAAGAAAGAGGACUAUAAUAUUUUAAUUUAUUAUAUAGUUAAUAAAUCAAAUAUUACAGUAAAGAAAAAGAUUAUUGUGUUAUAGACUAUCACACAAAGAUCAUAUGAGAGAUACGAUUAUCAUAUUCGGAUGAAAAAAAUACAAUUAUCAUAUUCACUAAUUUAUUAAUCAAUAAAGAGGACUAUACUACUUUAAUUUAUUAUAUAUAACUAUAUAAUAAACUAUCUUUUAUAUUUAAAUUCUAAAAUAAGAUUUUGGUGUUAAAAGCAUUUAAGAAUAAUUUUUAAAUUUUACUUUUUAACAAUUAUUUUCAAAAAUAUUAUCAAACUAAUUUUUAUAUAAGUAUUUUUUUUUAAAUGAAAAUAUGAUAGUUGUUACUUUAGUGUAUUUUGGUAAGGAAAAAAAAAAGGCAUAUUCUUAACAUCACAUUCCACUUCUAUGAAAUGACACCGUUUCAAAGCUGCAAAACAUUACACCCAGUUCAUACUAAAAGCUAUUAUUUUUCAAACAUCCAUUACCUCCCUCACCCAAAUCCUCAUCCAUGGCCUCUCACUUCAAACCCGCCUUAUGUCCUAGUUGAUCAGCCUCAAUUCAAUUGAUUAUACUCGUUUCAUCCUUGAUCAAACCCUUUCUUCUUGAUCAAAGCCUACACCCUCCACGACUCUCCACAAAAUUCCCUAUUUCUCUAUCUCUAAAUACUUUAGAAUAGUGCUAAACAAAGUAAUUUCACAUAUCCAUUUGUCCUAAAAGCUUGUUCCAUCCUUGGUCAGGUGCUUGACGAUGAACAAAUUCAUAGUCUCUCCUACCCCUUCUAUGGAUAACAGUCUCAGCUUUAUGGGUCUUUGAAACGUCCCUUCAAACCCAUAUUUUUCAGCUAAAUAAAAGGGCAAGUGAUCAGUGCAAGGAGGAACCAAAAAAGAACCAUUCAACAAACCAUUAAUCCUUGCAAUUGAAUUAUAAGGAGAAUCGGAUUAAUGGGACAUGGGAUAGAGAGAGAGAGAGAGAGAGAGAGAGAGAGAGAGAGAAAGAGAGAGGUUGUCGUUGAGAAUUGUAACAAACGUGGCAUACCAUAUCACAUGUUCCAAGAUCACGACCCAAUAUGUUAGCAUCAAGAUAUAUGCGACAUCUGUCAAUGAUUACCUAGCUAGUUGUCUUUGCUUUAAGGUUGUUGAGAACAACCUAUUUAAAGGUGGGAUUAAUCAAUACAAACAUCAACAAAUAGUAUUCUAUUUUGACACGAAGUAAAAUUAAUAAAUAUUAAUAUUAAUAAUAUAAUUAAUAAAAUUUAUUUAUUUUAAUUUUAUGUGUAUACUUUUUGGUUUAACUUGUGAUACUAUCUUUUUUUUCAAAUAGAAAAUCCAGUAUCAAAGCCGCUUAUUUUGAUUGUAUGUUUAGAAAAUCAAAAUCGUUAAACAACAUUUAAAAAUACUAUUAGGCUCUGGUAGUGAUAUCCAUCGAACAAAAACUUCAAAUUGUUAAAAUAUAAUUCGUUGACCAAGAGUACAAUCAAAUGAGCCCAAAGCAAUUAUGAUACCAUCAAUAAAUCUUAAAAAUAAAUACCUAAUUGAUCAUUUUUAUUUUUAUUUUUGUUAAUUAGAUGGUUACUGCGGAUCAGUUUAUCAAAUUACAAAAACAUUCUAAAAAGAAUGUCACCUAGCUUGAAUUUUUUUUUUCCCCUCAAUUCAUAUAUUCAACUCUCUCAACUAAAGACCAAGGAUACAACAAUAAAACCAUACACACAAUCAAAUUGGCAUUCAAAAGAAUCAAUAUAACACAUUAAGUGAUGAUGAAGGUCCAACUACCUAAAUAGGAUGGCCACAAACACAAACAUAAAUUGAAACCGAGUCCAUUUCCUUCUCUACCUACAUAUUUCACAAGCUGACACAACGAAAAAAAUAAUACACCAUUUUUUUUUAGACUUUCAACAUCUAUGCUAAAAAAGGAUGAAGACAAAUAAAGGAAAUCCAUCAUCUAAAUCUAAAACGUGGAAAAUAAGAUAAAGGCGUGAAUUUUUUAAAUUUUCAUACUUCUAAGAUCCAUGUAAUCCCAAUCAAACACAUAUACAUCUCAAAACAACAACACCAACUUCCUAAAAUUGAACACGAAACUUUGAAAGAAACCUAUAAAUAUUCAAACUUUAGGGCAUCAUAGAUCCAAAGAAGCCCUAGAACAUAGAGAAGGUUUCACAACAAGAGACUGACCUCUCAAUUAAAAGGAAUAAAACAAAAAUUACAUGAUGAUUCACAUUUAAAAACUUGGUUAGCUUGAAAUCCUGAAAUAGUCUCCUACAUUCAACUUCUGUCAUCAAAUCAACCAACCCACUUCCUUAAAACCAGUGACAUACACAAAAACUAAUUCAAAAUUUGAACAACCCAAAUUUCUUAGUUUGCUCUACCAUAGGAAAGGAAAAAAUAAACUCAAAUCGAUAAACAUACUCAUCAGAAAUACAAAUCCAAUUAAAUAAACACUUCAAAUUGCGAAAAACUUUGCUCCAUAAAUCAUUCUCGUCUCAAUGUAAAAACCUAUAUGCCAAAAUUUGAGACACAACUAGUUGAGAAAAAAAGCUAGACAAAUAGGAGAUUUGAGUGAAUGUGAAAGCAAAUGUAAGAGAAAGAAGGAAUGGGUUACCUCGAGGGAGAAAAUUUGAGCCUUCAACCCCACAAAAGCGACUCCCUCUAUCACUCACUCCUCUCAAUGUCUAGCAAAAAUGUGUCUUUCAUACUCCAAAACACUCACUAUAUGUCUCCACAAAUCUUAGAGAAAAAAUGGUGUGAUGACAGCAAAAGAGAGUAGUGUAAGAAAAGACCCAAAUGAUGGACCUGACGAGGAUGUGGUUGGCUGGAAACAUAGUGGGGUUAGGGCAAACUGAAAGCAUGAAGUUUUGGGAAAAUUGGUAUGAUCAGGUUCAGAUGGUCAAAUUUUGAUUUUUGUGUUUUUCAAUGGUUCAGUUUUGCUUUGUGCUGACAUGGACUCGAGGAUGUUGCUGGCUUGGAGACCUGGAAGGCCAAUCUCGGCACAAAAAAUGGAGCCAACUCAAAGUGCAUAAAAAAAUAUAUUACUUUCCACAUUAAAAGUUGGUUCUCAUAUUUCAUAAAGUUGGGUUCCAAAAACCAUAUAUUUCCCAAAUGGCCGCAUUAAAACACAAGUUUCCCUUGAAUUUAACUUGGGACAAUCAUUUUCAAUACUUUAAUUGGAAUGAGUUUGAAUCAAUUUGAGACGAUCAUUUUCAAAACUUUAGUUUUUGUAAUUCACAGCCAAUUUGGGUUGAGUUUGAGUCAAAGUUCAAAUGACUUGAGCCUAACUUGAACCCAAUUUAAUAUAUUAUCAUAUAUAAUAAUACUCAUUUUCAUAUUAGAUUUUUUUUAAAAUAUUAAAUUUUAUUAUAACAUAUACUCUUUCAUUUGUUAGAAAAAUACAUAAAUUCAUUUUUAUUAUUUUAAAAUAUUUUCCUAUUUACUAUUUAAAAAUUUAUAUAAAUAUAUAAAAAAUGUUUUUUUUAAAUAAAUUAUAAAUAGAUUUGAAUAAUGUAAUUUGGUUAAAUGUCUAACUCGAACAAUCCGCGGUUAACUCGUUUCGUUCCAACUUAAUAUGAGAAUUAGUUGGAUUCAACUUAAGUUGAAAACCUGUCUGAGUGAAAGUCCGAUUGGGUUGGGCUCUCGGGUUACCGAUCAUCUCGGACAUUUUGCAGCCCCUUUUUAGGCGUUGCCCCAGUCUCUUGCGUUCAUCCUAAUUCCGGUACCCACUGAAACCCUUGCUUGAAAAACAGAGACCAGUCGUUACUCUGAUAGCCGGUGGUCGCUGCAGUCUCUGGCUCCACUAUCCCCGACAGGUACACCUCACUGCAAUCACCUCCACAGCCGUUCCUAGCCGCUUCUAGCUGCUCUCAUAUCCACCAUCGUCAUUCAUCUCCGGCAAGGCGCCAACGAGAAUAGCUUUCGUUUUCUGGUGCCUUUGGAUAUACCAUCACGACUGUCAUCUCACCGACGGCCACCGCUUCCCUGCCAUCAUUACUCUUUCUGUUCCAUAGUUCUGGCACCAGCAGCACCAUUGCAGUCAAUGACUACCAACAAUAAGCAACAUUAUUUCAGGUUUAUAUAAUUCCCUGCUCCAUUUAGUUUUCUCAUCAUGACUCUUCGGUUUUUUCAUUGCCUUUCAUCUGGUUUUCACUCUCUGAUUUCUCGCCUAUCAUCUGUGUUUAUUUUUAUUUUUUAUUUUUUGUUGCCUUUCAUCUGAUUUUCACUCUCCCAUUUUCUCUGAUUUUCACUCGCUUUUUCACUCUCCGAUUUUCUCUGAUUUCUUGCCUAUCAUCUGGUUUUUUUAGGGCAUUCCUCAGAGAAUUUAGAGGCAGAUUUUAGGGUUCGACUGUUGCCAGGUAUGACUUCUACAUAUUUUGCUCUUUACAACACCUAUUUUGGUGUCGUGUUCAAGUUGAUUGAGUGUUAGGCAUUUAGUAUUCAAUCGAUUUCCCCACUUCUUUUCUAAUUUCUUCUGUUUUUUCUGGUAGGGUUUUGAGUUGUCAAUAUUCAGACGUUCCUUAAACGAUUUGCUUAAGCAUAGUGUGCAGAGAAGACUUCUCUUAUUCAUUUUUUUUAAAUGAUUUGCUUUGCAAUCAGUGAGACUCUUGUGACCACUCACCCCACUUAAAAAAAAAAUACCCUAACGCAUGUUUUAAUAUAUUCAUAAAAAAUGGAAUAUUAAAUGCAACUGAUUAUUAAAAUUUAUUUAACUGAUUAUUAAAAAUAUAAAAAACCAUAGUAAAAAUCAUGUUAAUGAGUUUUUUUAAAUAUAUUUUUAUAAUAAUUAAAUAUAAAAGAGACAUAAACUUAUAAAUAUUUUUGAGCCCAUCAAGGUAACCUAGUUGAUCCAGGCGAAUGUUGGGAAGUGUGGUCCUAGUAAGAGGCAUAUGGUCCCGAGUUUGAAUUCUGCCAUUGAUGAUAUCUUGAUUUACCCCAUGUUGGUUGUUUCGGGUGUGGUCAGCACCCUAAGUUCUACUAUUAUUACCUUAUGUCACAAACCUUUUUGAUAAGUACCCUAUGCCACAAAUUUUGUCAUAUAUUUAUAAAAUUGUUUUAUUACCCUACUAAUAAAUGGUAUCGGCUUAACUCAACUGAUUUAAAUAGCCAUGUCAUGUGUAGUUCAGUAUGGUUCUAUUUUCUUAGGUUUAGAAUAGUGAAAAUUUUUUAGGUUUUACUUGUAUUUCUUCUUUCCCUACAUUUUCCUAGCAACCAAGCGGAGCCUAAAUAUUAAUAUAAAUCCAACCCAACUCUAGAGUGAACCUUUUAUAACAACAUUAUACUUAUUAAAUGAUCAAAGUAAAACAUCAAAUUAAUUCCAGUUGGGAGAGUUGCUAAUGUGGAGGGAUCAACUUUUGUGUUGGGCUGUUAGGCGGGGAAUCUAACCAAUAAAUACUUAGGCCUGCCUUUUGGGGGGCUCCUUACAAAACAAUUAAGGGUUUGGAACAUGGUGGAGGAGAGGUUUAAAGAAGGCUUGGUGCAUGAAAAAGGCUAUAGAUACAUAUGUGUGUGUGUGUGUGUAUCAAAAGGAGGGAUACUUUGAUCAAAAGUAUGCUGUUUAGCCUACCUAGUUAUUUCAUGUCUCAGUUCAUCAUUUUGAAAAAGAUGAGCUUAAGAUUGGAGUAAAUUCAAAGAGAUUUCCUUUGAGGUCCACACUUGUGAAAAAACCCCAUUGAGUGAAUUGGUUUUUUGUCAACUCAAACAAAAAGAAUGGGGGCCUGGUUUUUUGCCAGCUCGAAUGAAAAGAAUGGGGGCUUUGACAUUAGAAAUCCAUUCACUUUAAACAAGGCUCUCCUUGGUAAGUGGAGUUGUAGAUUCACAAUUAAGAGAGAAUCCCUUGGAAAUAAGCUAAAAUAAAAUAUUUUGGGGAAGAAGGGGGAUGGUGCUCAAGGGGUGUGAGGGAUGGUUCUAGGGUGGGGUUAUGGGAGACAAUAGAAACAGGUGGGAGGUCUUUAAAAGUAAAUCUCACUUCAUAGCUGGUAAUAGAAGAAGGGUUAAAUUUUGGAUAGAUAGAUGGUGUGGAGACUUAUAUUUGGAAGUCUUUACCAACAUUAUUCUCUAUGACAUCCUAAAGAUCCAUGCAUAGCAAAGAUGUGGGAGCAAGUUAGGGAGGGAGUUUGGUGGAGUCCUUGCUUCUCAAGAUAGUUCUAGGACUGGGAAUUGAAAGAGUGACACAUUUCUUAUGAAGAUUGCAAAUGAACUUAGUUAAGAGAUAUGAGAAGAUAGAAUGAGUUAGAAGGAAUCUAAGUGUGUCGAAUAGAUGCUUUAUGUGCAAAGAUGAGGAAAAUCAAUUGAUCAUAUGCUUCUUUAUUUGCGCUAAAGCAAGUAUUAGAUGGUAGCUGGUUUUUUCUCUAUUAAGUGUGGUUUGGGUGAUGCACUUUACAGCAGAGGAUUCUUUUGAGUUGACAUGGAUCAUUCAUUCAUGAGAAAAAAUGGAAAAAAGCUUGGAGGGCCGAUGGAAGAAAAAGAAGGUCAUUGGAAGAUGUUGAAUUGUUGGAUUAGGCAAUUAAAUCUUUUCUAGGAGAUAAUCAUUCAUUGACCAUGAUAAACUUUGUUGAUUGGUUUAGCUUUGAGAAGGAAUUGGUUUUUUUUUUUUUUUGGUUUUCUCUCUUCUAUGGGCUUGCUUAUUGUAUAUAUCAUUUGUACUUUGCUACACUCUUUGCUUUGGUGUUGUAUAUAUAUUUGCUGUGUCUAUAAAAAAGGAAAAUAAUCAAAGCUAAAAAUUGAAAGAGUAACCCUAAAAAAACCAAUGGGACCAGGAGUAUCCAAUUCCUCCCCAUCUACCCAUGUUGACACAUGGGUAUGGGUGUGGGAUCCUUGUUGGACAUUCCUCAGUUUUGAGUAUUUGAUUUGGUUGAUUUACCUUUUAUUUUCAAGUUCUUUGAUAGAUAAUUACAUAAAAAAACCUUUUAUUUUCAAGUUCUUUGAUAGAUUAUUACAUUAAAAAAAGAAAAAGAAAAAGAAAGUUAAGAAGGGAUAAGAAAGUGGGGUGAAUGAGGUUUCUCUACCGGAGGUUUCCAUUAAGGUGAAUGAGGUUUUCGACGAGGGAAAAAGUGGGGUGUCUAAAGGUUUAAGGUUGGAAGGAAAGGAGCUUUUUGGCGGAGGAAGGAUCUCUGAGGGUGGACAGCUUGGUCUAAAGACCAGGUGGGUAGGGUUGGUGACUAAAAGGCCAUUGGGUGGGCCUGCUAGCACAUGGAAGCUGUCACACACGCAAUUUCUAGGUUGAGUUUUUGCGUUUGUGCAGCGUCUAGGCACACCCUAGACUAGCCUUUCCUCAAGCCACAAAGCACACAAUAUUUACAGGGCUCUCCCCAACUUGAAUCUCAUUGAUUUCCAACAGAUUACAAGGGCUCUCUGCAAGGACUCCCACAAUCUCACUGGGUAGUUCACUUGCCUUUAGGAGGCACGAGGCUCUCCUUUUAUAGAGGCUGCAACAAGCAGUCCUAAUCCCACUAGGUAACUGACAUUUGAGUCCUAGUCUGACUCUGAUUCCAAGCUCAACAGACACCACCUUGAGUAGAACUCGGAGUCCUAUUCAAUCUCAAACUCCCAAGCCACAACCUGCUGCAUCAAGACUCAGUCUUCCAAUCUGAUUUAUAGUCUUUGUGUGUUUGGAGUCCCUCUCCUCCUGCAUCAGGUCUCUGUCUCCCACUUUGACUAGAAGUCCCAUGCCAGUGGGAGUCUCCCCUGCUAUAUGUACCAGCCCACAGUGCUUGCUGCUGCAGAUGAUCGCACCUUGCUUGGCUCAUUCCAAUGCCAAAACGUGUUGGCUCAGUUGCCUGCUCAAGACUCAUGUUGUUGCAUUAGUGUGUGUUGGGCUUACGCAUCAAGACCUUUGCUGCUGAGGCUGUGCUCGUCCUUGUUGAAGGACAAGUGAGUAAACUCGAUGUGUAUUGGGUGGAGGUUGCAUCAAUAAGAUUUUUCCAUGAAUGGCAGCAUAACUAUCAUUCAAUCCCAUGAGAAACCGCAUGACUCUCUCUUUCUCAUCCCUUUCCUUAAGUUUCUCCAACCCUCCACAAGAGCAGGAUAGCACUUCAUGAUAGGAUGAAAGUUCAUCCCAAAAAGCUUUAAGCUUUGUGUAGUAAACCGAAAUUGAUUGCUGCCCCUGCCUAUGUUCCACGAUGUCUCGUUUGAUUUGAUGAAUUCUUGAAUCGUUUCCUUGAGAAAAAUGUUCUUGUAGAUUUGCCUAGAUUUCUGCUGCAGUUUCGACAUAAAUCACCACUUCUGGCUAUGUCUGCAUGAAUGGAAUUCAAUAACCAUGAGAUUACCAUAUCGUUGCAUCGUUGCUAGGAAGGAAAACUAUCAUCUGUUGAAGGAGGUGGUUUAAUGGAACCUGUGAUGAAUCCAAUUUUGUCUUUAGCACUCAAAUUGAUUCUCAUAGCCUGACUCCAUGUGCUGUAGUUAUCUCCUUCAAGUACCUUGGAGACAAGUACCAUACCUGGGUGGUUGGAGUGGAGUAGAGAGAAGGGAUCUAAGGCUUCUAUGGUAGCCUUGGAUGAUGUCAAUCCCAUUUUGUUGAUGUCCAUGGCAGCAGCUGUAACAAGGAAUUAAGUUGCGGAAGCGUUUGGAAUAAUUCAGAGUCACUAGGUUUGGUGCUCUGAUACCAUGUGAAAAAACAGAGUAAAACAGAGUAUUUGGAAAUCUUUAGUAUAUUGAACAUAUCAACUUACGGGGAAGAAGAUACAUAUAUACAAAACAUCGAUUAGCCUAUUCCAGGAAUCUAUGUGCAUACGGAUCAAUUACAAUCAGUCAAAAAUAAUCUCCUAUAUACAAUCAAAUCUCAUCCUGAAAUUAUGGGAUUCUUGAUUCUUUUCCCGUAAUACUGUCCCCUCAACUGUAAGUAGAUCUCUAUUGAACUUAAAAAAAUCCUAUCAUUCUGUUGAAUAAAAUCAUCCAAAGAGUGGUAAGCAACCUACAAUUCCUCCUAAAUCCCUUGGAAAGCCCAAUGCAAGCUAAAUGAUUUAAAAUCACUAUUUUAUUUUCAUUUUUAGUGAAAAGAUGUGACACACGCAUUUUGGAAAAGAUGCAACUUACACCAUUUGUUGCAUGGGUUCAGGUGUUGGUAUAUAUACAUGUCCGAUCCUUAAAGUUCCCAAAUUUUAAGAUAUGAGAAAUAAACUAAAAACUAAAAAGGAUUUCAAUGAAGGACAUAGGUACUUGGGCAUGACUAAAGAUUAUAUAGUUGCAUGAUUAAGGUCUGAUUGGUUUAUGUAGAGUUAUAUUUAUUUUGUCAUUUAUUUUUCAAAUGAUGUAAAAAAAAAUGAGCGAGAGAGAGAGAUCGAGAGAGUCUGCGGGUGAGGGAGUGAGAGAGAUUGACAGCAAUGGAAAAAUGCAUCGCGCGGAGAACAGGCGGAAACGGAAAACAAUCAGUUUCGAAGUGGAGUCCAAGGCAUUCGAGCUGGAAAUGGUGGAGAAGGGAGGGACAACCCUAACCAUAACAGAGAGCAAGAAAGGAGUAUCGUCCUGGGUGCGUAUGGGUUUGAACAGUGUAGGGCUACUCAUGGAAGGUCUCCAACAGUGCAUCGAGGAUAGGAGGGAUGGAAACUGGGAGAAGAGAUGGAAGGAGAAGGGUCGAAGCUUCUCCAUGGUGCGCGUAUACAACAGGGCUGGAUGUUUCCUGCGGGUAGGGGUAGUUGAUGAGGUAUCAAAGAGAUACAGCAUUUGUAUCCCUAAGGGCAAAGGAAGUANNNNNNNNNNNNNNNNNNNNNNNNNNNNNNNNNNNNNNNNNNNNNNNNNNNNNNNNNNNNNNNNNNNNNNNNNNNNNNNNNNNNNNNNNNNNNNNNNNNNCAUGGUGAAAGCUUGGGGGGACAAGGAGCCCAGUCCCAUACGAGUGGAGGUGGGACGGGAGGAGAUUAGCAGAAACAUUAGCAGAUUGAAGAACUGCUUGAUUGGAAACUGGGACCCUAAAAACGAAAUAGGGGAAGAUUUGGAAAAUCUGGGCUGGAAAAUGGCAAAGGCUUGGGGAUUGAAAGGUAAAAUGGGGAUUGCGAGUAUGGGUAAAGGGCGAGCUCCUCUGGAAUUCGAGCUCGUGGAAGAAGCAAGAAAGGUUCAUCUGUCUGGCAACAAGGUGGUGGGAGGUGCUCAAAUGGGACUAGAGAGAUGGAAUCCAAGAUCGGGGUGUAUGGAAGAGGGAGAGAUAAGUAAGGAAGUGUGGGUGAGGAUAUUGGGACUUCCAGUCUCGCUCUGGGUCCCUUCGGUGUUGAGAAAGGUGGGAGACGCCUGUGGUGGAUUCUUAGAUGUGGAUCCAAAGACGGAGAGGAUGGAGGAAUUAGAAUGGGCAAGGAUACUAAUUAAAUCGGACGGCGCGAACACCCCGGGAUCGUUGGUGAUAGGGAUUGAAGAGAUCUCUUACUCCCUAUCACUAUGGUGGGAGUCGGUGCCGGUGCUAAGGCAGGAAGAGGGGAGGAAACGCUGCCUGAGCGAUCGGCUACGAGGGGAGGUUAGUGGAGAUGCAACUCCACGUGCGGGGUCGAGAGUGAAGGAGAAGGUGGGUGUGGGGAUCGAGAUGCAGCGUCAGAUGGGAGACGGGACGUGCCGUCUGUUGCAGAGAGAGGGUACAGCAGAACGGGUCUUUUCGCAUGUGGGCCAGCUGCGGGGGCCCGACUCGUGGGCUGGGUCCGCGGGUCCUAGCAGCUUGAAGAACCAGGCUGCUGGGCCAUCUCUAAGCCCAAUGGGGGACCAGCUUGGGCUGCGGCAAGACCCAAAUUUGGGACGGGCUACAGUUGAUGGACUGGGCCAGCUUCAAAAAGGAAAAUCCAGUCUCAACCAGGCCCACGAUGUGGACAAUGGACCCCUUUUAAAGAUCUUCUCCCCUGGCCUCACUGAUAAGAAUAGAAAUGUCUUCACGGAGAAUGUGUUCAUCGAUUACAGAGUAGAAGAGAUAGGAAGAAGGCAGCAGUCGGUCCCACCAUCCCAGGAUACAGAGAGGAUGCUGGAGGAAGAAGCUGCAAGGUACGGCAUUGAUGUAAAUUUGGGGGGUUUUAGGGUACAAGGGGCUUCUUCCUCUAAUUCUCUUUAUUUUGGUCGGUCUCCGGAAAAGGAGGGUUACGACCAUUCUGGGAUGCAAAGGGAGGGAGCUGUGAUUGGAAGUGGGUUCCGAAAUCCAAAUGUAGAGGACCGAAUAGAGAUAAGGAAUGGCUGUUGGGAUCUGGUUGAAAUAAAUAGUGUUGAGCCUUUGGGAAGAAAAUUGGGAAGGAUGGCAGUCCAGACGGAGCCACAAGAGGGUAGUAAGGAGGACCAACUGAACUGGGAGGAGAGUAGUCUGGUUAGAUUCAGCCAUUUCCUAGGCUUCUCUACGGAAGGAUUGGAGGUGGAAAUCCUGAACUUUUUGGGCAAAAUCAGAAAAAGAAAGGAGAAGAUCAUAGGUAAAGGUUUUCUGGAGGCCUCAAGAUUUGAGAGGGAGCUCAAGAGAUUGGAAAGUUCUGUUAACUAUGAAAAGGAAGCUAAGAAGAAAGGCCCUAUGAAGGGUAGAGGGAACCAGAAAGUAGGUGUCCAAUGAAUUUAAGAAUUUUGAGCUGGAAUGUGAGGGGCGUGAAUGAUAGGCUCAAGAGGAAAAUUAUUAAGUCAGUGAUUAGGAGUCAGAAGGUGGAUCUAUUCUGUCUCCAAGAGACGAAGGUGCAAGUGAUGUCUGAUGAGAUGGUGAGGAGUCUAGGGUCGGGGAGAUACAUUGAUUGGAAGGUGUUGAAUGCUAAGGGGACAGCAGGAGGUGUCAUAAUUUGUUGGGAUAAAAGAUCUUUGGAGAUUCUGGGGGUGGAAGAGGGCCAGUUUUCCAUUUCCUGUAGAUUCAGGAAUGAGGGUGAUGGUGCAAUCUGGGUUUUCACGGGGGUUUAUGGACCUUUUUCUAGAGAAGAUAGGGAGGGUUUAUGGGAGGAACUUGGGGCAAUCAGAGGAUUGUGGGAGGAGCCGUGGUGCUUGGGAGGAGACUUCAACAUAACUCUGUACAUAGAUGAUAGAAAUAGAACUGGGAGAAUUACUUCAGCUAUGAGGAGGUUUGCCCAGAUCAUUGACGAGCUAGGACUCGUUGAUAUCCCUUUGCAAGGGGGUUCCUUCACUUGGAGUGGGGGGCUCAACAAUCAAACGCGGGCUAGACUGGACAGAUUCCUAGCAACCCCUUGUUGGUUAGAUCAAUUUANNNNNNNNNNNNNNNNNNNNNNNNNNNNNNNNNNNNNNNNNNNNNNNNNNNNNNNNNNNNNNNNNNNNNNNNNNNNNNNNNNNNNNNNNNNNNNNNNNNNNNNNNNNNNNNNNNNNNNNNNNNNNNNNNNNNNNNNNNNNNNNNNNNNNNNNNNNNNNNNNNNNNNNNNNNNNNNNNNNNNNNNNNNNNNNNNNNNNNNNNNNNNNNNNNNNNNNNNNNNNNNNNNNNNNNNNNNNNNNNNNNNNNNNNNNNNNNNNNNNNNNNNNNNNNNNNNNNNNNNNNNNNNNNNNNNNNNNNNNNNNNNNNNNNNNNNNNNNNNNNNNNNNNNNNNNNNNNNNNNNNNNNNNNNNNNNNNNNNNNNNNNNNNNNNNNNNNNNNNNNNNNNNNNNNNNNNNNNNNNNNNNNNNNNNNNNNNNNNNNNNNNNNNNNNNNNNNNNNNNNNNNNNNNNNNNNNNNNNNNNNNNNNNNNNNNNNNNNNNNNNNNNNNNNNNNNNNNNNNNNNNNNNNNNNNNNNNNNNNNNNNNNNNNNNNNNNNNNNNNNNNNNNNNNNNNNNNNNNNNNNNNNNNNNNNNNNNNNNNNNNNNNNNNNNNNNNNNNNNNNNNNNNNNNNNNNNNNNNNNNNNNNNNNNNNNNNNNNNNNNNNNNNNNNNNNNNNNNNNNNNNNNNNNNNNNNNNNNNNNNNNNNNNNNNNNNNNNNNNNNNNNNNNNNNNNNNNNNNNNNNNNNNNNNNNNNNNNNNNNNNNNNNNNNNNNNNNNNNNNNNNNNNNNNNNNNNNNNNNNNNNNNNNNNNNNNNNNNNNNNNNNNNNNNNNNNNNNNNNNNNNNNNNNNNNNNNNNNNNNNNNNNNNNNNNNNNNNNNNNNNNNNNNNNNNNNNNNNNNNNNNNNNNNNNNNNNNNNNNNNNNNNNNNNNNNNNNNNNNNNNNNNNNNNNNNNNNNNNNNNNNNNNNNNNNNNNNNNNNNNNNNNNNNNNNNNNNNNNNNNNNNNNNNNNNNNNNNNNNNNNNNNNNNNNNNNNNNNNNNNNNNNNNNNNNNNNNNNNNNNNNNNNNNNNNNNNNNNNNNNNNNNNNNNNNNNNNNNNNNNNNNNNNNNNNNNNNNNNNNNNNNNNNNNNNNNNNNNNNNNNNNNNNNNNNNNNNNNNNNNNNNNNNNNNNNNNNNNNNNNNNNNNNNNNNNNNNNNNNNNNNNNNNNNNNNNNNNNNNNNNNNNNNNNNNNNNNNNNNNNNNNNNNNNNNNNNNNNNNNNNNNNNNNNNNNNNNNNNNNNNNNNNNNNNNNNNNNNNNNNNNNNNNNNNNNNNNNNNNNNNNNNNNNNNNNNNNNNNNNNNNNNNNNNNNNNNNNNNNNNNNNNNNNNNNNNNNNNNNNNNNNNNNNNNNNNNNNNNNNNNNNNNNNNNNNNNNNNNNNNNNNNNNNNNNNNNNNNNNNNNNNNNNNNNNNNNNNNNNNNNNNNNNNNNNNNNNNNNNNNNNNNNNNNNNNNNNNNNNNNNNNNNNNNNNNNNNNNNNNNNNNNNNNNNNNNNNNNNNNNNNNNNNNNNNNNNNNNNNNNNNNNNNNNNNNNNNNNNNNNNNNNNNNNNNNNNNNNNNNNNNNNNNNNNNNNNNNNNNNNNNNNNNNNNNNNNNNNNNNNNNNNNNNNNNNNNNNNNNNNNNNNNNNNNNNNNNNNNNNNNNNNNNNNNNNNNNNNNNNNNNNNNNNNNNNNNNNNNNNNNNNNNNNNNNNNNNNNNNNNNNNNNNNNNNNNNNNNNNNNNNNNNNNNNNNNNNNNNNNNNNNNNNNNNNNNNNNNNNNNNNNNNNNNNNNNNNNNNNNNNNNNNNNNNNNNNNNNNNNNNNNNNNNNNNNNNNNNNNNNNNNNNNNNNNNNNNNNNNNNNNNNNNNNNNNNNNNNNNNNNNNNNNNNNNNNNNNNNNNNNNNNNNNNNNNNNNNNNNNNNNNNNNNNNNNNNNNNNNNNNNNNNNNNNNNNNNNNNNNNNNNNNNNNNNNNNNNNNNNNNNNNNNNNNNNNNNNNNNNNNNNNNNNNNNNNNNNNNNNNNNNNNNNNNNNNNNNNNNNNNNNNNNNNNNNNNNNNNNNNNNNNNNNNNNNNNNNNNNNNNNNNNNNNNNNNNNNNNNNNNNNNNNNNNNNNNNNNNNNNNNNNNNNNNNNNNNNNNNNNNNNNNNNNNNNNNNNNNNNNNNNNNNNNNNNNNNNNNNNNNNNNNNNNNNNNNNNNNNNNNNNNNNNNNNNNNNNNNNNNNNNNNNNNNNNNNNNNNNNNNNNNNNNNNNNNNNNNNNNNNNNNNNNNNNNNNNNNNNNNNNNNNNNNNNNNNNNNNNNNNNNNNNNNNNNNNNNNNNNNNNNNNNNNNNNNNNNNNNNNNNNNNNNNNNNNNNNNNNNNNNNNNNNNNNNNNNNNNNNNNNNNNNNNNNNNNNNNNNNNNNNNNNNNNNNNNNNNNNNNNNNNNNNNNNNNNNNNNNNNNNNNNNNNNNNNNNNNNNNNNNNNNNNNNNNNNNNNNNNNNNNNNNNNNNNNNNNNNNNNNNNNNNNNNNNNNNNNNNNNNNNNNNNNNNNNNNNNNNNNNNNNNNNNNNNNNNNNNNNNNNNNNNNNNNNNNNNNNNNNNNNNNNNNNNNNNNNNNNNNNNNNNNNNNNNNNNNNNNNNNNNNNNNNNNNNNNNNNNNNNNNNNNNNNNNNNNNNNNNNNNNNNNNNNNNNNNNNNNNNNNNNNNNNNNNNNNNNNNNNNNNNNNNNNNNNNNNNNNNNNNNNNNNNNNNNNNNNNNNNNNNNNNNNNNNNNNNNNNNNNNNNNNNNNNNNNNNNNNNNNNNNNNNNNNNNNNNNNNNNNNNNNNNNNNNNNNNNNNNNNNNNNNNNNNNNNNNNNNNNNNNNNNNNNNNNNNNNNNNNNNNNNNNNNNNNNNNNNNNNNNNNNNNNNNNNNNNNNNNNNNNNNNNNNNNNNNNNNNNNNNNNNNNNNNNNNNNNNNNNNNNNNNNNNNNNNNNNNNNNNNNNNNNNNNNNNNNNNNNNNNNNNNNNNNCUUGAAUGAUUGGGAGGUGGGCUUGGUGGGUAAUAUUCUAGCUGUGUUGAGGGAUUAUAGUGUUACUAUUUAAGACGAUGCGGUUUGCUGGAAGAAGGGUGAAGACGGGCUGUUUAAAAUCAAGUAUGCGUAUAAUGUGUUGGCAAACUCUCAUGGGCUGGAUUUCCCUCAUAGCAAUGUUUGGGUAGGCAAAGUCCCAACCAAAAUUGCCUUUUUUGCUUGGGAAGCUACUUGGGGGAAAGUCCUCACGUUGGAUAGGCUGCAAAGAAGAGGGUGGCAUUUACCUAAUCGAUGUUUUUUGUGCGGGUGUGAAGAGGAAACGAUCAACCAUAUAUUAAUUCAUUGUACAGUGGCAAAAGGGUUAUGGAAUAUCAUUCUUGCGUUGGGUGGUGUGCAGUGGGUCUUUCCAAAUUCUGUAAAGGAGGUCCUUAGUAGUUGGAAAGGCUCUUUUGUGGGGAGGAAAAGAAAAGAAGUGUGGAAGGCCAUCCCGUUAUUCAUUUUUUGGAAUAUAUGGAAGGAGAGGAAUAGACUAGCUUUCAAAGGGGGGGUGUUGGAUUGUCAGAAAUUAAAAACGUCUCUUGUAUACAUUAUUUGGGGUUGGGCUAAAGUGUACAUUAAUAUGGAGUCGAAAUCCCUAAUAGGUUUCUUGGAGUGGUUAGCCUCCAAGUAGGGCUUGUUUCGUUUUGUUGUUUUUUGAGGGUUGGUAGCUUUGUAUACUUCCUGUAUGCCUUGAGGCUAUUGGCCGUUUUAUAUAUAUCAUUUGCUUAUCAAAAAAAAAAUUUAUUUUGUCAUUUGUUGCAUGUUUAUAUUUAUUUUGUCAUUUGUUGCAUCCAUAAUAUCAACUUUUUCUAAUGCAAGUGACAUCAUUUCUGAUAAAAAUGCAAGUCAUAUUAUUGUAAGGUGUAAAACAGAUGUAACAGAAUGUUGUCAUGUUAUUUGUCAUAUUUCUAUUUUUGAAAAUUUUGAAUUCUUAUUGAGAUUUUCUUUCUAUAUGUAUUAUUAAUAAUUACUGAAGUUUUGUGUUGCUAGAAAUUUAUGUCUCACCAAUUUAAAAUCCAAAUCAGUUGUUUUGAUCAAAAUAAAUAAUAUUUAUCCUUCUUGUAAGAAGUACACAUAUGGAUAGCAUUAAAUCAUCAAAUUGUGUAUUUGUCUAUUUUGUCUUUUAUCACAUAUCAAUCAACAUUAAAUUUAGGUUGUUGAUCUCUUUAUUUUUACUUUACUGGGAUAGUAUUUUAUCUCAACAAAUAAUUAACAAAAUCAUGCCACUUGGUGAUCAACAAGUAAUGUUUGAUGCCAAAGAGACCUAUUCAAUUGGGUUUAUGUAAUUUUAUCCAUGUCAUGUGGUGUCGACAUGAUGGAAUUAAAGAGUCCAAGUAUCAUAUUUUACACCUAAAAUGAAGUAGGCUUAAUAAAGUUAAGAUUAAUUUUGUUCUCUCUCUCUCUCUCUCUAUGUAUAUAUAUGUGUGUGUGUGUGUGCGUGUGCGUGCGCGCAUGCUGAUUUAGUUGUGUAUUUCAUUUUGGUUUUAAUUGUCAUUUUCCUAUACUUUCUUCUUCUUCUUUAUUUAUUUAGUUAUUACAUUUUUUUUCAUAACUUUCAUAUGUUUUCUCCUAGAAGUUGUGUGGGUCAACCCCUCAGAAGGCUUACAAAGUACAUUUUUCUGACUGCCCACCAGCAAGCUCAAUAUAGUAAAUGUGCAUCAUCUUCACAUAAUAUAAAGAAGGAAGAUGAAUCGCAAGAAAGAACCCUGCAGAAACUUCCAACGUGGCAGGUAUUAACUGUUUCAUUGUUUAGCUAGUGGGGAACCUGCAGAAGAGGGUCCUGGUUUUAGUAUUAAUGAUUGACUCAUCAGGAAUGAUGGAUUUUUUUACUGCUAGGAGUAGAGUCAAUUGAAGCUGCAGUUCUCCCCUUGUGCCCAAAUUAUUUGUUUAUUUUUUCUGAGUUAAGAAAUAAGAUCACUUCCUCCCUGAGAAGCUUAAGUUACUCAGUGCAGCUGUUUUAUCCUUGGCAUGUAUACUGUGGCUGUUCCUUGGUCUAAUCAUGGGAAGGUUCUAUUAGUGAGCUAUUUGUGACUGGCUAUUAUAAAUGCUUCUUUCUUUUAACCAUUUUUGCUACUAAACAACAAUAUUUUGGCUGAAUUUAAUUGAAUGGAUAUUGAAUGACAACAUUUUAUGUUGGACUUGAUAUUCACAAUGCAAUAUAGAUGUGAAUUUGUAAAUUGAUUAUUGAUAUACCUAGAACACUUGUAAUUUGACCCGGGGUUCCAGUCAGUUCCAUCUGUUUAUUUCCGAGUUUUGUGAUCUCGACUGCUUCCUUUGGGAUCUGGAUUCCAUGGUUCAAGGUUUUUUGCUUUUGAGGUUUGAGUUUGGUGUCCAUGGUGGGAAACAUUUGAGACGCCAGCAGGGGUGGAAGUUUUUGGAAAAGCACAGAAACCUUCAAUCUAACUAAUCACUGACUCAAAAUGGUGGACUUUGUCUACUAGUAGCUAGUAUGUUUUAAAAUAUGGUUUGAUUAUAAAAUUGUUUUGCACAAUUACUAUCGGAAUCUGAAUUUAUAAUUUGAUCCAUAAAUUAACUGUAAAGGGAUAUUUCAGCAAGUAUCUUAAGUAUUUAACAGUAACUAGACAUGUUAUGAGACCUAUUGCCCAUUCUAGCAAUAGAAUAUCAACACAUAGUUUGGACAUUGUGGUGGAGAUAGCUGCUGAAAGGAAUUUUUCUUAUAUGGGCUCGUCUUUUAUAAUUAAGGAUCUUAAAGGGGAUUUGGUAUUUUAUCCUGUUGCCUAUUCUAGCAAUAGAAUAUCAACACAUAAUUGAGACAAUGUGGUGGAGAUAGCUGCUGAAAGGAAUUUUUCUUAUAUGGUCUCUUGUCCUUUAUAAUUAAGGAUCUUAAGGGAGAUAUGGUAUUUUAUCACAAAUGGACAACAUUCUUCUAUAUGUCCUGUUAUGUGUUUGAUACAUAAUUUUUAUUGUCUUUUACUUGUACUCAAAGUUUUCGAAAGUGCACUUUAGGUGUGCCUCAAGGCAAGGCUUUCCCAAAAUGCAUCAAGGUGGAAUAAAUUCAGCAAUAACCAUUAAAUGUGUAGACUUUAGGGGUUGAGGCAGUGAUUAGGAGCGCCUCAAGCGUGCUUUUGGCACAUGAGGUGCACUAAUGGAGACAAGUGGCAACCACCUUUAAAAGUUUACCAAAUGUGCAUAGGAAUGGGCUCCAAGGUCUAAGCUUUAAUUUGACAUUCUUUAGAUGAUAAUGGGCUUAGCUGGGAUCUUAUAUAAUUCACUAUGGGUCAACCUAGAAGUACUUUCUAAAAAUCAAAUUACGGGCCUAGUCAAUGGUCAUAAGUUACUAUUUUUUAGUCAUUAAUAUUGUCAUUUUUCAUGAGUCUUUAAUGUGGUUUAGUAGUCAGUCCAAGUUUUCAUUAUUUUCAAGUUGUAGACUAGUUCCAAGGAUUAUGAGUCCCUAAAGAAGUUCUAUAUAGUAGUUGAUUUGUCUUUUUAAGCCUCAAUGAAUGAAUGAUAAAAAUUUCCAACAAUCACUGUUUUCUUUGUGUGAUACAAAGAGCACUUGGGUGUGAAGCCUAAAGGUUUUUGGGAGUGAUUCUUAGAGUUCUUUCAGCUGCACUACUACUCUCCUUGCAUUUCACUUUCUUGACUUGCAUCAAUGUUAGUAUUAGAGCAAGGUUGAGAUCAUGAUUAUAUGAUUUGGAAGGAGUUUUAGGGGAAGAUUAAUUGAUAGCUAGCAUGAUGAAAUACUAAUAUGGAUGGUGGGUCAGCUUGAUCGCUGAAUGUGUUGAGAUCAUGACUACAUGAUUUGGAAGGAGUUCCAGAGGAUGAUUAACUGAUAGCCAGCAUGAUGAGGUACUAAUUUGGAUGGUGGAUUAGCUUGAUAACCUCCACAUCUGGCUAAGUUACAUCAAGACUUGAAAAUCUUUGCCCAUGAAUGAUUUAUCACAUGUUGAGCAAGGGGAAACAUCUUAGGAUAACGAUUAGGAAAAUGCGGAAGAGCAAGAGGUCAUUCAAGCACCACAACACCCUAUGUCUAAAUGGGCUAGAGGAUUACUUGAAAGAAGAUAUGAAGCUUGUGACAUUAUUGGAGAUAUCACAAAAAAAGUGAAAGUGGAGGUUUUUGAUUCUGAACAGAAGGUGGAUCCUACUCAAUUUAUUGAUUGGCUAGCUGAAGAGUGUUUUAUUUGGCAUGACAUGAUUGAUGAUUGAAGAGUGAGGUUUGUUAGAAUGAAACUUGCAGGCUUAGCAAAAGUUUGGUGGACAGGUGUUGAAGGAGAUAUUAAAGGAUGGGCUACUACCAAUCAACGCAUGGCAAGAGAUGGAGGCUAAGCUUCAAGAGAAAUACAUGCUUACAAAUUACUGUGAUAUUUGUGACUGACUCAUUAAUUUGAUGCAGAACAACAUCCUUGUUGAUUAUAUGCAAAAGUUUGAUGAGUUAAAGACAAAGAGUCAAAUAAUAGAAGACCCUCGACAAACACGUGCAAGAUUAAAAGCUGGACUAAGACUUGAAAUAUUAAAGCAGGAGUUGUUGCAUUAGCCAUUGUACGCUUGGAAUAUGCUUUUCAAGUUGCAUUAAAUAUGGAGGAAUACCUGGGAUAUCGAUUCAACUGGAAGUCGGGAGUUACCACUAUGAAAUCUGCAUAUAAGAAGCUUUGUGACACAAGUUGUAGUAUGAGGAGAUCAUCUCAGCCAUUUAAUCUACUUGCAGGUCUAAGCCAUCUUCUUUUCAAAUCGUUGAUCCUAAGGGUAAGGGUAUCAAAUGUUUCAAGUGCCAACAACCAGGUUGCAUAGGGUACCAUUGUCCAAAAAAGAACUUGCUUAUUGGGUUGGAGCAUGAGGAGGUACUAGAAUAACAAAAGGAUGAGUGGAGUGAAAAGUCAUUUGACUAUGGAGUCUGAUCCUGUCGACGUAGAUGAGGAGGAAGUGGACAUUUUAGUAGCUUCUAUUGUGAGAUGUAUUCUUGUAGCCCUUGAAGUUAGAGAAAGAUUGAUGCCGAACAUCUAUUUUUAAAUUGUUGGUCCAAUGAGGAACCAAUCUUAGAAACUCAUUAUUGAUAGUGGCAAUCACAUGAAUGUUUUCUCAACCUCCACAAUUGCGUGUCUUAAACUUCCUGUUGAGCCACACCCACAACCAUACAAAGUAGCAUGGAUAAAUAACAUGUCUAUUCUACUAAAUCAACAGUGUCUUGUCUCUCUUUCUUAUGGUGUUUAUAGAGAUUCCAUUUGGUGUGAUGUGAUCCCUAUGCAAGUAGCACAUAUCAUUCUUGGUCAUCCUUGGCUUUAUGAUCGGGAUGUGCAUUAUCAUGAGAAAGAAAACACAUAGUUUCAUGUUCAUGAACCAAAAGGUUGUGUUGAAAACAAUGACUCUUUCUGAAAUAGGAAAAUGCCAAAUUCAAAAGUCAACAAAAGUAGUUGAGGGCAUGAAGAGUUCUCUUCAUAUUCUUAGUAAGAAGACGUUUCAAUAUGAAAGCAAGGAAAAUGAGGUUUUAUAUGCUGUGGUGAUGAAAGAAGUCAACUUGCUAGAUGCUGGCAACAUUUCCUCUAUACCUAACAAGGCCACUCAACUGUUCAAUGACGUUUCAGAUACAACUAAUAGAGUUGCCUAGUGAACUUCCUCCACUUGGCAACUUCAACAUACUAUAGACUUUAUACUAGGAUAUUAGUUGCAUGAUCUUCCCACCUGUUAUACGAAUCCAAUUGAAUAUGUAGAGCUUAAAAGACAAGUGAAGGAGCUGCUAUCCAAGGGAUUUAUUUGCGAAUAUCUAAGUCCUUGUGCUUACCUUAUUAACCCUAAAAAAAUAUGGUAGUUGGUGCAUGUGUGUAGACAAUUGUGCAAUCAAUAAGAUAACUAUCAAAUAUCGGUUUUCCAUUCCUUGAAUUGAUGAUAUGUCGGAUAUGAUGGCUGGUUCUUGCAUCUUUUCGAAGAUAGAUCUGAAGAGUGGGUACACCAAAUAUGGUUGAGGCUCAAGGAUGAGUGGAAAAUUGCUUUUAAAACAAAGGAUGGUCUUUAUGAGUGGCUGGUCAUGCUUUUUGGCCUCUCAAAUGCUCCUAGUACAUUUAUGCUCAUCAUGAAUCAAGUAUUUCAACCAUUUAUUGAAAAUUUCUAGUUGUUUACUUUGAUGGCAUUUUAAUUUAUAGCAAGAUUAAGGUAGAUCAUGUUUCCCAUUUGCGACUAGUCAUGAGAAUUCUUUGACAAGAGAAGCCCUACCUAAACUUGAAAAUUUUUUCCUUCAUGACCCCAACUAUUGUGUUCCUAGGUUUUGUUGUUUUAGCCAAGGGGUAAGAAGUAGACCCUGAUAAGGUAAAAUCCAUCCUAAAGUGACCAAUUCCUUGCAUAUUGCUAGAGCUAUGAAGUUUUCAUGGGUUGUCAAAAUUUAUCGAUGUUUCAAAACAAGUUUCAGCAUUGUUAUGACUUCUAUGACCGAUUGUAUAAAGAAAAAGCAAUUUGUUUGGACCAAAGCGACAACAAAGGCUUUUGAAGAAAUAAAAAAGAGGUUAACUGAAGCAUCUGUUCUUUAACUUCCUGAUUUUUCAAAAGUAUUCAAAGUAGUUUGCAUUGCAUCAAAUGUGGGAAUUGGAGGUGUACUUAGUCAGGAAGGGCAUCUUGUUGCAUUUUUUAGCAAAAAAUUGAAUGAAGCAAAGAAAAAUACUCACUCUCGAAGAAUUCUAUGCAAUGAUUCAAGCUUUGCACUAUUGGUGUCAUUAUUUGAUUCCAAAGGAGUUUGUUUUAUAUUCUAAUGAACCUUGGCAAGAAUGUUUCUAAAUGCUGCACAUGUCAACUAUCAAAGGGAAAGAAGAAAAAUAUAGGAUUGUACAUGCCACAUGAGCCAUGGCAAGACCUAAGCAUGGACUUUGUCCUUGGUUUGCCAAAAACUUUUAGGCUCCAUGACUCCCUAUUUGUCAUAUUAUAUCAUUUCUCUAAAAUGGUGCACUUUAUCUAGUGUUCAAAGACUUUAGAUGCUGUGUAGCCUAGUUGUUUAUAAUUUCAUGAAUAUAAGAAAUAUAGAAUACCAAAUACUAUUAAAACAAAAAUGAAUUAUAAAUGGUAUAAUAAAAAUAAGAUGUACAUGUAACCAAGUUCAAGCCCUAAAACAAAACCCAAAUAGAUUUAGAAAUGUGUCAAUUUGAGCCCAAUGCAAACAGUUUGGAUUGGUGGGUUUCACUGAUAAGGUCCAAUGGGGCAUGAAGGGAGAUGAUUGAGGAUCUUGGAACUCGCCUUAAUGAAAAGUAGCUGUCAACUGUUAUGCAACAAAUAAAUGUUCAUAUGAGAAGGCAUAAGAGAUUCUCAUAUCUUCUUAGGAAAACUUAAGUCCUCAUUAUUAGAGAAGCCUUCUUGAACUGUCAAUGUUUUGGUUGAAAUAAUAAUAUCUUUGAGAAAUGUUAUAGCAACUCUUCAUUACUUGGCCAACCUUUCUUGUUUUAUUUUGUCCUUUGCAUCUUUUAUGCCCUGUUUGGCAACUAUUUUUUAAAAUAGUUUUUAGUUCUAUAGAAUAAAAAAAAAAACAAGAAAACAUUUUUAAUAACCAAAAAACAAGAAAGAGUUUUUUGUUCUUAGAAACAGAAAACAUGGUGUUUUCAAAGAACAUGUUUUAGUUGUUUUCGCAUGUUUUCUAAGGGUUGUUUUAAAAAACAAUUAUAUGAAUGUGAAGUGUGAUUAAAAAUAAAGCACUAUAGAUAAAAGUUAUUUUAAAACAUAGAAAACUAGUUCAAGUUCCCGAACAAACUUUUGUUUUAUACAACAUCAUAGAAUAGUUUUCAAAAAUUGUUUUUUGGAACUUUUUCGAUAACACUUCCCAAACGGAGCCGUUGUCGUUUUUCCCUUUUAGAAAGGCUCUUCCUUCUCUUUCUUCCUUCUUCAAUACUUUUCAUUAUAUUCUCUUUUAAAAAACAAAUGAUCAUAUUUCAUCAAUACAUUUCUUUGUCAUUAUACUUGUAAAAAAAAAUAAGAGUAAAAAAAAAUAAAAAAAUAAAAAAAUUCCCUUGCCUCUUUGUUAUAAUUUGUUAUUGAGUUUUAUCAUUUAUUAGAAUGAUAAUUGUGUUUUAUGCUGUCUUGCUGCCUUAUCCAUAAAAUGUCUUGAUGCUUUAUUUCUAAUUGCCACAUUGUGCAUUUACUUGUUUUACUUGGAAACAUUUUUGUGAUAUUUUUCUUUUAUUUUUUGAUUUUUACUAUACAUUUUCCAGCUGUCAGUAUGGCGAACGGUGUAAGUUUCUUCACGUGACUCAGCAGCAGCCAAAACCUAAUGUCUCCGGAUUUGGUGCACAAACUAGCUCAAACUUCCAGCACACAAACGUUCAACAGCAAAGGUCUAAUCCUUUUGGAUUUGGUGUCCAGAGCAACUCUUUGCCAAAAGGGACCUCUGAUUUUGGAUCCAAGCAGAACCAUUUCAAGGUUUUUCCUCCUAAACUGAGUUAACAUCAUUAAGAAUGUCACUGGAGGACACCAUGCUCUUUGAGUUUCUUGAAUGAAUGAACUCUAAAAGGUUUUAGUUAUGCGCAUUGCCAUUCAAAAAAAGUGUUGAAGAGUUUAGCUUUGUUGGUCUUAAAAUUUUUUUUGUCGAUCAGCCUUUUGAAAACAAGUGGACCCGCUUCUCCCCUCUGACUACUGGUAGCUCCUCUUCCUCCUCCCGACAAUCUGAUAAUCAGGUGCAGCCUGCUAAUCAUAAGUAAGUGUUUGGUACACAGGCUAGACUUCUCUCUUUUUCUGUUUUAUGGCUUUGGACAUCUUGUUCUUUUACUUCAUCAUGACUUAAGUGAUGUACUUUAUGGAAAUAUUAACUUUGAUGCAUGUGAAGGUGCACAGAUCCUGAGUCAUGCAAACGUCAAAUUGUUGAAGAUUUUGAGCAUGAAAGACCAAUUUGGAAGCUCACAUGUUAUGGUCACUGUAAAAGGUAUGUUGUUGUGUCUUUUUUUAUUUUAUUUUAUUUUUUUAUCAGAAGUAAAAGGUAUGUUCUAUUUACCACAUGAUUCUGGCAUUUGAUGAAUUUGGGACUUUGGACUUGCUUCAUGGCAUAAUUGAUUGGAAUUCGAAUGUCAAUAGAGACGUGAUUGUAAAUAAGCUGGUGAAAAGAAGAAAAAAAUAAAAAAACCAGUUUUAGGCUAUUCUCAAGGAUUCCGAUGGGAUAGCAUUUGAUUCUGUAAUGAGCACAAAAGCAAGCUUUAGUGGAUGGCACAUGCUUCAGUCCAGGAAUUUUAAUAUACACACAGAGAGUUGUGCCAAAUUGGUGGUGGGCAUUAUUAAUGGUGAAACCAAUUUCCACUGGCCAAUUUAAACCUAUCAGUCCUUUUCACUUUUUUUUUGUUCAAUUUGCAAAUCACAUACCAAACAAGCUUGAAAACUUGCCUUUGGAGGGCUCAAAAUAUUUAUGGCUUGUUUGAUUGCUUGAUAUGCUAUUGCUCAGCGAAGGCUCAAGUUUGCAUGCUUUACUUUGUAUGCCCUUGUUUUGCCCUUGCCAGCACAUUCUCUGGUUUGACAUUUGGUUUUCUCUGGUUUGACAUUUGGUUUUCAGCUCCUAUUCUUUUAUCCAAUUAGUUAAAUAUUUUAAAACAUGCGGGGAAAGGCAAUGCAUUUUACUGAAAAGAAGUUGCAUGUUCUAGUGAUUUGUUCAGUAUAGGUUGGAAGUAUCACAUAUAACUCAACAAUUAUUCAUAAUGAUCUUAUGUGGCGGUGAAUAAUCAUGGGUUUUGAAACUAUUUUUAAUAAACUCUAGUCAAAUAUACUCAUUGAUUAGUCGUAAGAAAUUAUGCAAAGAAAAAUGGGCAAUUUUGUUAUAUUUUCAUAAUGAGAGGGAGAAUAAAGGAAUAACCAUCUAUGUUCUUUUAUUCAUUUAUCUCUUCCUUCUUCAAUUGACUCUAUCAUAUUCUGCUUGUUUCUUGUGAUUAUAAGAGUGGAUCAAGCAUAGGAAACUGGUGGCGUUGGUUAUGAGUUUUUUAUCUUUCUAAUUUUGUUUUUGCAGUGCUCCUUGUGACAUUGUUGGCGACAUUAGCUAUGAAGAAUUGAGGUUGGCUGCGUAUGAUGAUGCUGGGCGUGGGUUGAGCUUGCAGUCCAUUGUAAGAUCUGAUUCGCUAAUUUUUAUUUUUUGUUAGCAAACAGAGAAUCUAUUAAAAGAGCGGAUAGAGCGCCAGUGAAAGGGAGCACACUCUUAUGUAUAUAUGAAGUAUAACAGUUGGUAUUUGCCAAGCCUCAAAACCAACUAUAUCCAGCACUAAGACUAUCUAUGAAGGCCAUCAUUGAGAAAUUUCCCAUUUCUAAUGAUACUUUAAACCAAUUAAGGAGGGGUUUAAUGAAGCUCUCCUUUAACUUCUGAUAUGCAAGCACUUCUCCAUUAAAGAUUUUGCGGUGUCUCUCUUUCUAUAUACAGCAGAACAAGCAUAGAGGUACCAUUCUCCUAACAUUGUGACUCUUCUUAUUCGAACUCCUAACUUCCAUUAGAGGAGUAAAUUCCUCAUUGUAGUUGGAAACACCUAUUUCUGACCAAAACUUGAUUUAAAAAAAAAAGUCCACAAUGCCUUUGUCCUUGCACAAUGAUUCAAAAUGUGAUCAGUAGGCUCUCCAUUCUCUUUGCCAAGACUACAUCUAUUAAUCAUUGUCCAUCCUCUUUUUGUUAACGUGUCUAUAGUUGAGAUCUGCCCCCAUACCACUACCUAGUGAAAAAAACGUUAUCUCAUAGGAGCUCAGGAACCCCAAAUUCCUUUGGUUGGGAGGUCCACUCUAGAUUCAAACAUACAAUGAAUGCUAGUAUGAAUUUACACUGAAGAUUCCCUUCCAAUCCUCCCUCCAAACUAAGAUAUCUUCUCCUUCUUCUUGCACUUUCUCUACAUAAAUAAGCUCUAAAAAUUGGGACACUCCCUCUAUUUCCCAAUCUUGGAAAGGCCUUCUGAAAUGCACUAGCUCUUGGCCUUCACAACCUCUCCCUUCCCAUAGGUGAGAAAUAGUAGCAUUCUUAUGAGAAGCUAGUUUGAACAAUCAAGGAAAUGCUUCUUUUAGAUAGAUCUCCCCCAACCACCUAUACCAUCAAAAUUUGUUUGUCUUCCAUUUUUAACAUGGGUAGCUAUCUUUUGGCUAAUUCCCUCCCAACCUUUUCUUAUAUCUUUCCAUAGACUCAUGCCAAAAGUCUCCCUCACAUCACAACUUGACCCAUUCCUCAAAGUUUCCUUGGAUGAUCUUCCUCCACAAGCACUCUUGCUCAAGGGCAAACCCUUAUAACACUUAAUAGUUGUAGAGUUUUAGAGUGGCCACUAUUUUAUUUGGGUCUUCCUUUACAAGGGAAUCCAAAUACAAUAGGAUUUUGGGACCCUAUGGUUGAUAGAGUCUUGAGGAGGUUGGAUGGGUGGAAAAAGACCUUUUUGUAUUUGGGUGGGGGAGGAGUAUAACCUUAAUUCAAUCUUGUUUGUUUCACAUCCCUAGUUAUUUUCUCGCUCUUUUCAAGAUUCAAUUAACCUUAAAGAUUGAGAAAAUGCAAAGGGAUUUCCUUUGGUCAGGGAUUGGGGAGGGAAAGAAAGAUCAUCUUAUCAGUUGGGAUGUAGUGUGUAGGCCAACAGAGUUUGGGGAUUUGGGAAUUGGGAAGACUUGAGAAAUCAUUUCACUUUUAGGGAAGUGACUGUGGAGGUUUCCUAAGGAAAGCUAUGGUCACAUAGAGUUAGAUGGCUUUGGAGGUGCUCUUUGUUGCAAGUUAUUUUGAGCAUUUAUGCAACACAUCUUAAUGGAUGGGAUAACAACAUUUUGGUUAGAUGGUUACAUAGAUGUCCUUUGAAGGUUAUUGCAUAAGUUUUUUAAGACUUUUCCCCAUACACCCGCUUUGUGGUGGGGAAUGGGGAGAGAAUCCGAUUUUGGGAAGAUUUAUGGUGGGGAGAUCAACCUUUGUGUUCACAAUUUUCAGGUUUUUAUAGAGUUGUCUCAGUGAGAAAUCUCACCAUCUCAAUCGUCCUUGGUAAUUCCUAUCCGUCUUGUAAUUUUAACUUUUGAUGCAAUCUUACUGAUUUAGAAAUUGUACUUAUCGAAAAACUCAUGUCUUCACUUACCAUAGUGCACUUAUUCUACCAUAGAUUCAAGAACUUGAUCCUUGUCUUCCUUAGUUUAUUCUUAGUAAAAUCUUUUGUUGAAAUAAUGCCAAAGUUAGGACUUUAAUUUAGGAAUAAAAAAGGAGAGAUCAUUUAGGAUAUUUCCUUAUGAUUUAGUUUCCUAAUUUUAGGAGAGAAUUAAGCUAGAUUGAUUGUUUCUUAUUCAGUCAUUUGUGUAUAUAUAUGUGUAUGGUGUGUACCGAUUCAUUAUCAAUAAAGGAGUUCAGAAAUUCUUCAUGGUAUCAGAGCCAGUUUUCUGAAACCCUAAUCCCUUCUGGCCACCUCUUAUUCAGGCCAUCACUCAUUCCGGCCAAAUCUUUCUGGCCAUAUCUCAAUCCGAUCAUCUCUCUCUCUCUCUCUCAUUCCGGCCAUCAGUCCCUGUUCUCAGAGCCAAGGGAGAAAACACUUUCCAAUCAGUCGAAUAGUCGUCAGAAAACACUCACCGCCGGCAACUUUUCCGGCGAACUUUCCGGCGACGGUUUUUUUUUUUUUUUUUUCUACACCGCAAGGAGCGCCUGGAGGAGAUCUCCAAUUUGUCCCAAAGCACCGGAACCAGAAACCCAUCCACGCGCCGCCCACGCGCGUUUUUCCGGUCGGCGACUGCAUCUCACGCGCCGGCGCGUGAGGGCGCGUGAGCCACUUUCCGGCGACGCGCUUCCUCCUCUAGGCUCGCCUGACGCCGACCAGCCACCCUUCCUACCUGUUUGUGCAAUCCGAGCCCUGCACGUGCCUCUUUUGGGGUUCUUUUGCUUCCGCGGGCCCUCUGAUCAGAUUUUCCGGCGUCCUUCGGCUAUUUUUUCUCAACUCCAGUCCCUGCACGUGCCUUGAAAAGUGUUCUUCUACCUUUCCGGUCCAUGACAAAAUACGGAAUGACAUCAUCACAAGUAUCCAGCGUCACGUCACCAGAAUCAGGGGGCAGAUCUGAAAUUCCAAACCUUGGUGGCAAUGAUUCCUCUCCUAUUCUCAUCACAGGACACAAAUUAAAUGGCCAUAACUAUUUACAGUGGUCACAAUCUGUGUUACUGUUCAUUUGCGGUAAANNNNNNNNNNNNNNNNNNNNNNNNNNNNNNNNNNNNNNNNNNNNNNNNNNNNNNNNNNNNNNNNNNNNNNNNNNNNNNNNNNNNNNNNNNNNNNNNNNNNNNNNNNNNNNNNNNNNNNNNNNNNNNNNNNNNNNNNNNNNNNNNNNNNNNNNNNNNNNNNNNNNNNNNNNNNNNNNNNNNNNNNNNNNNNNNNNNNNNNNNNNNNNNNNNNNNNNNNNNNNNNNNNNNNNNNNNNNNNNNNNNNNNNNNNNNNNNNNNNNNNNNNNNNNNNNNNNNNNNNNNNNNNNNNNNNNNNNNNNNNNNNNNNNNNNNNNNNNNNNNNNNNNNNNNNNNNNNNNNNNNNNNNNNNNNNNNNNNNNNNNNNNNNNNNNNNNNNNNNNNNNNNNNNNNNNNNNNNNNNNNNNNNNNNNNNNNNNNNNNNNNNNNNNNNNNNNNNNNNNNNNNNNNNNNNNNNNNNNNNNNNNNNNNNNNNNNNNNNNNNNNNNNNNNNNNNNNNNNNNNNNNNNNNNNNNNNNNNNNNNNNNNNNNNNNNNNNNNNNNNNNNNNNNNNNNNNNNNNNNNNNNNNNNNNNNNNNNNNNNNNNNNNNNNNNNNNNNNNNNNNNNNNNNNNNNNNNNNNNNNNNNNNNNNNNNNNNNNNNNNNNNNNNNNNNNNNNNNNNNNNNNNNNNNNNNNNNNNNNNNNNNNNNNNNNNNNNNNNNNNNNNNNNNNNNNNNNNNNNNNNNNNNNNNNNNNNNNNNNNNNNNNNNNNNNNNNNNNNNNNNNNNNNNNNNNNNNNNNNNNNNNNNNNNNNNNNNNNNNNNNNNNNNNNNNNNNNNNNNNNNNNNNNNNNNNNNNNNNNNNNNNNNNNNNNNNNNNNNNNNNNNNNNNNNNNNNNNNNNNNNNNNNNNNNNNNNNNNNNNNNNNNNNNNNNNNNNNNNNNNNNNNNNNNNNNNNNNNNNNNNNNNNNNNNNNNNNNNNNNNNNNNNNNNNNNNNNNNNNNNNNNNNNNNNNNNNNNNNNNNNNNNNNNNNNNNNNNNNNNNNNNNNNNNNNNNNNNNNNNNNNNNNNNNNNNNNNNNNNNNNNNNNNNNNNNNNNNNNNNNNNNNNNNNNNNNNNNNNNNNNNNNNNNNNNNNNNNNNNNNNNNNNNNNNNNNNNNNNNNNNNNNNNNNNNNNNNNNNNNNNNNNNNNNNNNNNNNNNNNNNNNNNNNNNNNNNNNNNNNNNNNNNNNNNNNNNNNNNNNNNNNNNNNNNNNNNNNNNNNNNNNNNNNNNNNNNNNNNNNNNNNNNNNNNNNNNNNNNNNNNNNNNNNNNNNNNNNNNNNNNNNNNNNNNNNNNNNNNNNNNNNNNNNNNNNNNNNNNNNNNNNNNNNNNNNNNNNNNNNNNNNNNNNNNNNNNNNNNNNNNNNNNNNNNNNNNNNNNNNNNNNNNNNNNNNNNNNNNNNNNNNNNNNNNNNNNNNNNNNNNNNNNNNNNNNNNNNNNNNNNNNNNNNNNNNNNNNNNNNNNNNNNNNNNNNNNNNNNNNNNNNNNNNNNNNNNNNNNNNNNNNNNNNNNNNNNNNNNNNNNNNNNNNNNNNNNNNNNNNNNNNNNNNNNNNNNNNNNNNNNNNNNNNNNNNNNNNNNNNNNNNNNNNNNNNNNNNNNNNNNNNNNNNNNNNNNNNNNNNNNNNNNNNNNNNNNNNNNNNNNNNNNNNNNNNNNNNNNNNNNNNNNNNNNNNNNNNNNNNNNNNNNNNNNNNNNNNNNNNNNNNNNNNNNNNNNNNNNNNNNNNNNNNNNNNNNNNNNNNNNNNNNNNNNNNNNNNNNNNNNNNNNNNNNNNNNNNNNNNNNNNNNNNNNNNNNNNNNNNNNNNNNNNNNNNNNNNNNNNNNNNNNNNNNNNNNNNNNNNNNNNNNNNNNNNNNNNNNNNNNNNNNNNNNNNNNNNNNNNNNNNNNNNNNNNNNNNNNNNNNNNNNNNNNNNNNNNNNNNNNNNNNNNNNNNNNNNNNNNNNNNNNNNNNNNNNNNNNNNNNNNAGCAAUCAGUUGUAGCCAGAAGUAGUGCAGAAGCUGAGUUACAGAGCUCUGCACAGGGAAUCUGUGAAGGGAUUUGGAUAAAAAGGGUUCUUAGUGAACUGGGACAAACGAGUUCAUCUCCAAUUCUGAUGAUGUGUGAUAAUCAGGCAGCUAUAAGCAUAGCAAAGAACCCCGUGCAUCAUGACAGGACCAAGCAUGUUGAGAUUGACAGACACUUUAUCACAGAGAAGGUGACUAGUGAGACGGUCAAAUUAAACUAUGUUCCUACCAAGCACCAAACCGCAGACAUCCUCACCAAAGCUUUACCUAGGCCUAACUUCGAAGACUUAACUUGCAAGCUGGGAUUAUAUGAUAUAUAUUCUCCAGCUUGAGGGGGAGUGUUGAAAUAAUGCCAAAGUUAGGACUUUAAUUUAGGAAUAAAAAAGGAGAGAUCAUUUAGGAUAUUUCCUUAUGAUUUAGUUUCCUAAUUUUAGGAGAGAAUUAAGCUAGAUUGAUUGUUUCUUAUUCAGUCAUUUGUGUAUAUAUAUGUGUAUGGUGUGUACCGAUUCAUUAUCAAUAAAGGAGUUCAGAAAUUCUUCAUCUUUUUUCACGGUCUUGUCCAAGUCCUUGAAUCUAAUCCCAUUCCUUUUGGCUAAUUUUGAUUGGAAAUCAAAAGCCCCUUCAAAGGUCAAAGCCUUUGCUUGGUUAGUCGUGUGCAAGAAGGUAAAUACCAAUGACAUGCUACAGGUGAGAAGAUCCUACAAGUCUCUAAUUGCUCAUUGGUGCAUUCUUUACCAAGGGAGUGGAGAAUCAAUUGAUCACAUUUUCCUACAUUACCUAAUAAUGCUGGGGCUUUGGCAUAAGCUCUUCACGAUAGCUAAUAUGGAUUGAGUUCCCUCUAGGAGUAUUGGAGAUAGGUUGGUUAUUUUAUUUAGAAGGUUGGGGAAUUUAAUUAGAGGCAAGACUCUUUGGCAUAGCACUUGCCUCACUGUAUUGUGGAUUGUGUGGUAAAAGUGAAAUGCUAAGAUUUUUUAGGCUAAGUACAAAACAGAAGGGAUGUUGUGAGGUCUUCUUCACUUCUACUCCUCCUUUUGAGUCUCUUGUAUUGUUGCUUUUAGAGGAAUCCCACUUAAUGUUAUUCAACUAAGUUGGACAUCGGUUUGUAAUUCAAAAGGGGUGGAUAAUGUUUGAGAGAGUUUGAUUUUGGUUUUUUAAUGAUAUUGUCAUAUGUAGUUAUCAUUAUAUGGUGGAGUAUAUUCUUACUUUGAUCAGGUUUUGUAUUUUAAUCAAGUUUCGUUUUUGAUUAAAAAAAAAAAGCAUUUAAUUCUAAUAAAAAGCCAAACAACUUAAACACUUAAUGACAUUAAGGUCUAUUCUGAUUUAAGUUAAAUGCAGGUCCAUACAUAUUUUAGACAAAAAAAAGAAAAAAAGAAAAACAAACAAACAUGACCUUACUAUGUGUUUUUUUUCAAAAAUAAUUCUCCUUUUUAGGAAGCCAAACUUAAGCCUGGAUUGAAGAAUUAAAGGUGCUAGACAUUUUUUUUCCUUCAAAUAAUUAUCCUUUUUCCUAGUAAGUUAAUUUGGGAAGUCAAGCUUAAGCAUACUGAAGAAUUAAAGGUGCUAAACAUUUUUUCUCCUUCAGAUUAUUCUUCUUUCCUGGUAAGUUAAUUAGGGUAGCCAAACUUAAGCCUGGGCUGAAGAAUUAAAGGUUCUAGACAUUUUUUUCUCUUUCAGAUAAUUCUCCUUUUCAUGGUAAACUAUUAGGGAAAUCAAAGCUCCUCCAGAGGUUAAAAAUUUGGCCUGGACUAAAGAAUUAAAGGUGCUAAACAUUUGUGACCUUCAAAGGCACUUACUAACUGGUCUUUGUUUUCUGUGCUAAACAUUUGUGAGCUUCUGUAAAAGAUGAGGUUUACGGUUCUUCUGGCGUUUGCAUAAUGUGAAAAGUCAGUAAUGAGACAAUUAAUAACUGGUACCUCGCUCAGUAUGCGGUCUUUGUUUUUGGUGGUGGGUACUUGUUGGGUCAACUCUAGGGACAUAAUUGUCUUUUGGUUCUCUAUGUUCAAAAAAUUUGAUGGGCUAAAAUUAGAAUGCUAUGGGAUUGAUUUGGCCAUCAUUUUGAUGUUGUGGGAAAGAACUAUAAAAGAAUUUUUUACAAUGUCUACAGGUCAUAAUAUUCAAUUUAGGAAAGGGUGGCUUCUUUUGCUUUAGUCUCGCCUGAAUCACUUAAGUCAUAUAGGAGCUUUCUUUUCAUGCAUUAACUGAGACUUGACUUUUGUGACUAAUCCUCUCCAUCAUAGUAUCUUCUAUGUGAAUAUCAUUGAUUGGUUGUGUUUGGAUUUAAUUAUGGAGGUAGGGGAGUUCAUCCAUGGAAAGUUGUCUUCAACUGAGCCACAUGGGCAUUUAGUCGGGGCCAAGGUUUGGAACUCUCCUCUUUUGAGAGGCAAGGAAGUUCUGCAAGCUUCGAGUAGGAUUCAAGGUUCAAUAUACAGAGGGAGAUCAUUUUGAAUAGGCAACCCCCACCAACAACAUGUGUCAACAUAAAUACUGAUGGGAGAUCUAAAGGAAAUCCUUGGAUGUCUAGGGCGGGGGCAUGUUGUGAGAUGAAAGCAAAUGGAUUCAAGGACUAACUUUCAAGAUUAAAAGGUACAGGGCUUCUAAAUCUGAGCUGUGGCCAUUCUCCUGGGUAACCUUUGCUUUUGGACCUUGCCCUAACCUUAAAAAAAAAAAAAACGGAAAAAACCAAAGAAAAAUAGGAAGAAGAAGAAAGGAAUGCAAAACUGGGAAUUAUCAAAAUGGAGUGUGUGAUUGCUCUAAUGUCAUCAAUUGGAUAGAGGAGAAGGGGUGUUUGCACAUGCACCCCACAUUUUUAUUAAUUUGAGUGGAGUUAGGAAUAAGGUUUCAUGGGCAUAAGUUUUGGAAGUUAACUAGUUUCUGUGAAAGUUUCACGUUUUGCCCUUUGUGAAAAUUCCCUGCAUCUGGUUUUUGGUAGUUUCCUAUAACUUUCUUCAGGAAUACUAAAGAUAUUGAUGUUUCAGUACAUGUUGAUCUAUUAUUGCUUUCUUAGAUGAUUUGCUGACUAAAUUUAUCUUUAUUCAGGUUGAAAGGGAGAGGAGUUUGCUCAAUUCCAAGUUAAUUGAAUUUGAUAGCCUCCUCCGUAAACCCUAUGCAGCUCCUCCAAAUUCUACUCUAGCCAUCCAAAGUCCUGCUCCCAAUCCAGAUGCAUCCUCAUUAACUGCUCAAAAUAAUACUCCUCCUUCAGCCUCAAGUUUUAGUCAACUGAGCACAUCACCUAAUAUGGGAUUUGGAACGAGGUAAGAUCUCUUCCUAACGUUUGAUUUUCACAUGUUAUCUUUUAGGAAUUCACAGAAUCCUUCCAUUCAAUUGAAGAAAAAAAAGAAGAAAAACUUAAGUUAAUGCUGAUAUUUCAUUAGUCCUAUUCCUGGCAUGCCAUUUGGCCUUUAUUGACCUGUUGAGCAAUUUUUCCUCAGGCCCUCUACACCAUCAAAUAAUGCUUUUGGGCAAUCAAAUUCCAUUCAAUUCUCCAGCCAGACUUCAGGUGCAUUUGGGACAAACAACUUGGCAUUUGGAAAUGCAGGUGUUUUAAAGCUUUUGUGCAAGAACUCUAAGGUUGUAUACUUGUGGACAUAUUGCUUCUGACUUCAAUUAUGUUAUAGGUUCAUUUGGCAGCCAACUUCCUGUACAGAUGCAUGGAAGUCCCCUUCCCUCCAAUACAGCAGGCUUCAGCCAUAAUAACAUGAGUGCUGGAAGUAAAGCAUUUUCUCCUCCAGCAGCAUCUCCGCAGAUUAUCAGUUUUGCAAAUAACCAGUCACCUAUCCUUUCCAGUGGGACUAACUCUAUGUUUAGUGCAGAGUCAACCAUGCAUGCUCAGCUGUAAGUUAAUGGAGAAAUCUUCUAUCUGCAAGCUAUUAGAAAGAGAACCUGUUAAUUAACAAUUUUUGGAUUCAAAAGGUUAGAUGACAAUUAUAAGAUUUGAGUUUUGGUUUCUGGGCUGAAGUUGUUUAUUCAGCUAUCAAUCUAUUUCAAAUCAAACUCUUUCCUUUAUUCUCUUUAACUGAAACAGAGAAGUUUCCGAACUUUGGAUGAUGCAUCUGUGGCCUCUAAUAUUGAAGCUUGACUAAGCACGAUAAAACCUUAAAUCCUGAUUCCUUCAGCUUAGCAAAAUGAACCCUUUUGCUAUUCUGCAUAAUCUAAGGCCAUAUCUCUAGUCAAAUCUUAUACCAUAUGAUGAUGGCUUUUCCCACUACAUGGGUCAAUGUGCUUUUUAACGUUCAUCAUGUUCUUGUGACACCCUUGACUCAAUCAAUUCAUUUUUUUACUCAUUCAUUCAUUGGAUGGUAGUCCUUAAUGGAUAUGUAAUUUUAAAGAAAUUUGUGUUCUUCAUGAUUGAAAAUUUGUGAUUUUCUUAUAGUUUGGUUUUGGUCUGUCUUCUCCAUGCUGCAGAGAGAAAAUGCAGAGAGAUAACUUCUCUGGGGAUAUGAGUAUUUGGUUGAAAGAGGAAUGGAAUCCUGGAGAGGUAAAGAUCUUAAUGUUGGCUAUAUUUUGUGAAUUUUUCUCAUGAUUAGUUUUCUGGCUUUUGUAGCUUUAUGGGAGGAUUGAUAUCCUCAUAAUCUGUUUACAAAGGGCUGAGAAUUGACUGGGAAAUUGAGUUUAUGCCCUUCCUUUGCACAAUAAAAGGAAAAGGAAAAAAAGAAAGAAUAGAAAGAGUAAUGCAUUGUGUUUUAGCAUUUUAAGUCUUCCUUGUCAAUCAACAAAUAAGCAACAAAAACAACAAAAUAAUAAUUGUUAUUAUUAUUUUCUGUCAGUCUUUGUCUUGAAGGCCUCCAAUUAACCAGACAGAAUAUAAAAAUAAAUGGAAAUACCACUUUGCCUACUGUAAAUGUGUCUUUCAGCCUUGAUUUGAUGAUCUUUACCAUAUCUUAUUUCGGUAAAAAAGAAAACCAUUAAGUGCCCGUUUGGAUAUACUUUAUGAUUUGUUUUUAAAAAUAGAGAAUAGCAAAAGGAAAUUGCUAUUUAAAAUAUAAAAUCUUCUAGAGGCUUGCAUUGAAAAGAUAAUUGUUUUUCAAGAUUAAUUAAAAAUCUUGAGGUAUUAAAAUUUUUUUACCUCAAAUCUUAAGAUUUUUUAAAGUAAUUUUAAGGACAUAGGUUAAGUUUAUACAUUUUCCAAAAGAGUUUCUACUUUUUAUAUAAAUGUUUCUAUUUUUAAAAACAAAGAACAAAAGGUAUUAUCCAAAUGAAGCUUAAAUAAACUACUCUGUGUUUUUGUUGUUGUCUUUUUUACUAAUUUUUUUUUGGCUUCCAGAUUCCAGAAGAAGAGCCUCCGGAUGCUUUUGUUUAACAGGUAUACUUGGGUAAUGAAGACUUAUAAAGCAUCAUAGUUGAAAGGCUAGAAGAGCACACAGCUUAUUGGCGUCACUUGCAAGAUUGAUAAAGCUGUCAUGGCCAUGGAGUGGGAAGAAGGGAUGAUUAAUUUUGGUAUGAUAAUUUUCUGGCAUGCUGAAGAAGUCACUUGUUGCUACAAUAGUCAAAUCAUUCUGAUGCCUGGGCCCCUGUUCUUGCUUUAGAGUCUUAAGUUCUCUAGCCGUGGCAAGUGAAAUGUGGGAUUAUCUUUUCCAUUAAUCACAUAUAUCUUGCCAUGUACUAGCCUUUAAAGCGGCAUCUGAAUUGUGGCUAUGCUGCUGUGCAAAUUUUUAGAUUAUCUAUAAAUGCAUUAAUUGAUGCACAUAAUUGCUGAUAUUUUCUAUUGAACAUAUUGCUUUUCAAAUAGGUGCAGAAAUUAAGUGAUCAGUUGAUAUGUAUGCGUAUCUGUUUAAUGCAAAGAGCUUGGUUUUAGUUGUUUUCUGAUUUCUCAGAGGCAAAAAAAAAAAAUUGCAGGAUUGGAAGCUCUUAAAUUGCAUAGAUGGCUGCAAAUCGAGAAUGGAAGAAACAAAUUAUUUCUAGCUUGUCCAUGAUUAGAUGCCAUGCUUCCUACUUGAGGGACAAAUUAAAAUUGGAGUUUUUUUUUUUUUUUUAUAACCGUGGAUGUCUGGGUUAGCUUACGCCCUCUCGACUAAUCCCACGGAGCCCUGAAGCUAACGACGGGGUAAACCUCCAGUGAGGGGACUCUAAGAUGGAUGAAUGGCAUAUAAGAAAAACUAAAAUAAAAACUAAUGCAGUGGAAGGGUGUUGGGUGGUGACAUUUUGUUUAAAUGGUUUGCAUCUGUCAUCUUUCCGUGUAUGUGUGUAUGUGUGUAUGUAUGUAUGUAUCUAGGGCCAAUCCAUAAAUUUAGCACAGCCCCUAUCCUCCUGCUGUUGAUGUGUAUUCACUAUUCAAGCCCAAAACUUGAUUCAAGUUGUACAAACCUCACUGUCAAAACAAAAGUAAGACAAUGGGUGUUGAAUCAUUUGGUUUGGUUUGUUUUGUUUUUCAAAUUGUCAAAUCCAGACAGGCAGAAUGCAUUUUGUGCUUGACAACUCUUAAUUUACUUGUUAUAUUGCCUUUUUGUAGGCUUGAAAUGACAAGUUUACAGCCCACGUUUACCUUUUUUCUUUUAUAAGGGGUCAAGGAAACUUUCUCAUCAGUCGGGGCCGUUGGGCGACUUGGAUGGGUUUUUCUUUGGUUGAAGAUUUUAUUUACCUACAAACAGGAGAAAAUCAGAAAUAAAUUAAUAAUUGUUAAGAGUGAAAAGGAGUUGCAAAGGAUGGGUGCCCAUUUCGAAAAAUAAAAAAAUGCCACUCUGGACCACAUGGGUGAUGAGGAGGGACGGCCAUUUUCCCUUUCCUUUUAAUGGGAACCUGAGUGACUCCUGUCCUUCAAGACUCGGUUGCCCAGAUGGCACAGGUUAAUACUCCUACUCAACCGCGUUUUUUGAAUUUGAUAAUUGAUUGCAAAAGAUUCGAAAUUGAAAAGGUCUCAAAGAUCGUGCAGACAUUGUAUCCGUGGGGCCCGUUUGUCUCCCGGAUGACUAAACUACAGAACUUCCCUGUGGUUUCCCUUUUUCCCCCUCGCAAGUUGAGGUUUUCCCUCUCUGUAACUUAUUUCCUGUAUGGCAUAGCGAGGGAUGCGGUCUAAUUAAAUCCCUCUCUACUCCCUUCCUCCCAAGUGCUUUAAUGUCGUUACUGACACCAACUCAAAAUGAAAGAAAUAUUCUAAUUUGAAUGGUUGGGCUAAAAAGAUCAUUAACUUGUUGAUAUUUAAUUAUAUACAUUUUAACAUAAUGUUGGAAAAAAUUUCAAUGAGCAGAGAAAAUGUGCAGGGCUUCAGGCCGUGGAGUAGUGCAUUUACUUGGAUUAUCCAAUUACUAUGGCCCUAUGGGAGUAGAUGGGCUGAGCUUUUAAUGCCCAAUUCAACACACCUCUGUUUUGUCAAUCCCCGUAGACGUGCCAGCAUGUCAUGACUCAUGGCAGGGACUUGACACCAACACUGCUCUGGUGGUGUGGUUAUGAAAUUGUGAACCCAAGUAAUAAUUUAAGAAAAUAAAAUAUAGGCGUAGUAGAGGUUUAUAAAAAUAAAAGGCAGGAAGGCAAUGAGGGAUGGCCUUGGCCAGCUGCCACACACAUCAAGCACCCCAAACAGGAGUCUAGUCAGGACUGAAGAGGAGAUCGCAGAGGCUUUUGAUAGGGGCAUGUGACUUCUCCACACUCCAUCCAUCCAGUAGUACAAGCAGCAAUGUCUCGCCCACCUGCUGCUCGCCUCUUGCUCUUCAUCUUUUCCUUUUGGUUUGGUGCUUCUUUCAUUCAGAUCUGUUGUGCACAAAGCGUGGUGGUUGAUCCAAAGUUGAAGUUUGAGAAUCCAAGACUUCGGCAAGCCUACAUUGCCCUCCAAGCAUGGAAGACGGCCAUUUUCUCAGACCCCUUCAACUUCACCUCCAACUGGGUUGGUCCUCAAGUCUGCUCCUACAUGGGUGUGUAUUGUGCCCCUUCUCUCUCCAAUCCCUCCCUCAAAGUGGUUGCUGGCAUCGACCUCAACCAUGCCGAUAUCGCCGGUUAUCUGCCCUCUGAGCUGGGCCUCCUCUCCGACUUGGCUCUCUUCCAUCUCAACUCCAACCGCUUCUGCGGCAUUGUUCCCAGCUCUUUGAAGCGCAUGAAGCUCCUCUACGAGCUGGACAUCAGUAACAACCGCUUCGUGGGGAGCUUCCCCAAUGUGGUGUUGUCCAUGCCCUCCCUCAAGUUCCUGGAUCUCCGAUUCAAUGAGUUCGAGGGUCCAGUUCCAUCCCAGCUCUUCAAUAAGGAUCUGGAUGCAGUUUUCCUCAAUGACAACAGAUUCCAAUUCGGCAUCCCUCAGAAUCUGGGCAAUUCACCCGUCUCUGUUCUGGUCUUGGCCAACAACAAUCUUGGGGGUUGCAUUCCAGGCAGCAUUGGUAAGAUGGGAAAAACCCUAAAUGAGAUCAUCCUCAUGAACGACAAUCUCACUUCAUGCUUACCUCCUCAAAUCGGCCUUCUCAAAGAGGUUACCGUGUUUGAUGUGAGCUUCAAUCAUCUCCAAGGCUCACUGCCACCCGCCAUUGGCAAGAUGAAGAGCUUGGAGCAGCUGGAUGUUGCCCACAACAGUUUCACCGGUGCGAUUCCGCCCAGCAUCUGUCAGCUGCCCAGAUUGGAAAACUUCACCUAUUCUUUCAACUAUUUCACCGGAGAGGCUCCUGUUUGUGCUGCCAUUACUGGUGAUGGUCGCCAGAAUUGUAUCCCAGGAAAGACGGACCAGCGGUCCUCUAGUAUGUGUUCCUCUCAAGCUGCACGUCCUGUGGAUUGCAGCAAGUCCAAAUGCGGCGGCGGCAGCACCAACGCUGGUGGUUCCCCUGGAGGGUCACCUCCCAAGAAAACCCCUCCUGUGCCCAGCCCAACAACGCCAGUUGGUCCUUCCCCGCCACCACCACCUUCUUCAAAGUCUUCGCCUUCCACCAGAUCACACCCACCACCACCCCAAUCACAACACUCGUCCGUGCCUCCUCCCGCCAAAUCAUAUCCNNNNNNNNNNNNNNNNNNNNNNNNNNNNNNNNNNNNNNNNNNNNNNNNNNNNNNNNNNNNNNNNNNNNNNNNNNNNNNNNNNNNNNNNNNNNNNNNNNNNNNNNNNNNNNNNNNNNNNNNNNNNNNNNNNNNNNNNNNNNNNNNNNNNNNNNNNNNNNNNNNNNNNNNNNNNNNNNNNNNNNNNNNNNNNNNNNNNNNNNNNNNNNNNNNNNNNNNNNNNNNNNNNNNNNNNNNNNNNNNNNNNNNNNNNNNNNNNNNNNNNNNNNNNNNNNNNNNNNNNNNNNNNNNNNNNNNNNNNNNNNNNNNNNNNNNNNNNNNNNNNNNNNNNNNNNNNNNNNNNNNNNNNNNNNNNNNNNNNNNNNNNNNNNNNNNNNNNNNNNNNNNNNNNNNNNNNNNNNNNNNNNNNNNNNNNNNNNNNNNNNNNNNNNNNNNNNNNNNNNNNNNNNNNNNNNNNNNNNNNNNNNNNNNNNNNNNNNNNNNNNNNNNNNNNNNNNNNNNNNNNNNNNNNNNNNNNNNNNNNNNNNNNNNNNNNNNNNNNNNNNNNNNNNNNNNNNNNNNNNNNNNNNNNNNNNNNNNNNNNNNNNNNNNNNNNNNNNNNNNNNNNNNNNNNNNNNNNNNNNNNNNNNNNNNNNNNNNNNNNNNNNNNNNNNNNNNNNNNNNNNNNNNNNNNNNNNNNNNNNNNNNNNNNNNNNNNNNNNNNNNNNNNNNNNNNNNNNNNNNNNNNNNNNNNNNNNNNNNNNNNNNNNNNNNNNNNNNNNNNNNNNNNNNNNNNNNNNNNNNNNNNNNNNNNNNNNNNNNNNNNNNNNNNNNNNNNNNNNNNNNNNNNNNNNNNNNNNNNNNNNNNNNNNNNNNNNNNNNNNNNNNNNNNNNNNNNNNNNNNNNNNNNNNNNNNNNNNNNNNNNNNNNNNNNNNNNNNNNNNNNNNNNNNNNNNNNNNNNNNNNNNNNNNNNNNNNNNNNNNNNNNNNNNNNNNNNNNNNNNNNNNNNNNNNNNNNNNNNNNNNNNNNNNNNNNNNNNNNNNNNNNNNNNNNNNNNNNNNNNNNNNNNNNNNNNNNNNNNNNNNNNNNNNNNNNNNNNNNNNNNNNNNNNNNNNNNNNNNNNNNNNNNNNNNNNNNNNNNNNNNNNNNNNNNNNNNNNNNNNNNNNNNNNNNNNNNNNNNNNNNNNNNNNNNNNNNNNNNNNNNNNNNNNNNNNNNNNNNNNNNNNNNNNNNNNNNNNNNNNNNNNNNNNNNNNNNNNNNNNNNNNNNNNNNNNNNNNNNNNNNNNNNNNNNNNNNNNNNNNNNNNNNNNNNNNNNNNNNNNNNNNNNNNNNNNNNNNNNNNNNNNNNNNNNNNNNNNNNNNNNNNNNNNNNNNNNNNNNNNNNNNNNNNNNNNNNNNNNNNNNNNNNNNNNNNNNNNNNNNNNNNNNNNNNNNNNNNNNNNNNNNNNNNNNNNNNNNNNACCACCUCCAUCAUCGAAUCAUUACCAUUAUUCAUCACCACCACCGCCAUUAUCCACAACAGGACAUUACAGUUCGCCACCUCCGUCAUCAAACCACUAUCAUUAUUCACCACCACCACCACCACCACAAUCAUCGAGCCAUUAUACUUCCCCACCUCCCCCACCCACCGAAAAAGGAUCACCAAAUGCCCAUUUUGUACCACCACCGCCACCACCUGUCUAUCCACAUAUGACACCGCCAUCCCCACCCCCGCCCUCACCUUCAUCACCAAAUCCGCCCCCAGAGUCUGAGAUGCCUCCGUCACAUCAACAACAGCCUCCAUCACCUGGGCCUUUGCAUCCUCUUCCUCCUUCACCACCAUCUGGAUGUGGCACUCCUGGAUCCCUACUCCCACCACCACCACCGCCACAUUCUCUACCAGUACCAUUGGCACCAGCACCCAGCCAUCACCACUCACAAUCAUACCCACCUCCCUCACAACAUUGGCAUCAUCCACCACCGUUACACCAUCAAAAUUCUCCACCACCCACCAAAAACCCAUAUUCACCCCCUCCACCGCCUCCGGAUAACGUGCCAUUGCCACCAGUUAUCGGGGUAUCGUAUGCAUCUCCUCCUCCCCCAGGAAUCCCCUACUACUGAUCUAUUUGAUAUCCAAUUUUAAAUCUCUUCCAUUCAAUCAUAUCUUUCCUUUGUAUUUGUCUAAAGGACAAAGACACCGAAGCGAGAAUUCUAUGCUGCAACAAAGAGCAAUGAACGAAGGAUCGCAGCAAGGAAGAGUUCCAUCUCGUGUGUUUUUUAUUGUAAUGCUGCUUUGUGUCUUUUUUGAGGGUUGCUUUCCUAGCAAUAAUCUAGCUUCACCUUUCUGCUUCUUGUUAUUUAUGUAUUCUUAUUAAUUUAUAUGAUGAAGAAAAUGAUACAGACAUGGGUUUUGGAAGAGGGGCAUGAAUCAUGAUAUGGGCUUUUGUUGUACUAAGUGUACAAUUUCAUUUCAGUUGGGCAUGAUUUGUGCCUCGGAUUUGGUGCCCUAGAAGUUUAGGUAGAGAUGGGUAUAAGUUUGAGUUCAUGGUGGCUUCUAUGUUGCCUGCAUGAGUUCGAGGUGCCUCAGGCUUGCUUAGGCAUUUCCCCUGUAUAGAUUCACUUAGCUCAGGCUUGCUUAGUGAUUUUCUCUAUGCAAGUUCUCUUUCUCUCCCAAAUUUGAACUUGUUAGCUCUUGCCGCCUUCUACCUUCUCCUCAACCUUUCACGCCCAAAUUCCUCCUAUUGAAAUUUGAGCUUAGAUUGGACCUAAAAAUCUACAACACAAACAUAAAAGCAUCAAAUGUAACUUGCUAAGGCACCAACAACAAGAUUAAGCUUGGAUGAAUUUUAAGCACCUUGAACAAACUAUGAUAGGCUCCUUAGAGUCUAUUGAGGUGUUGAGUUUGGGCCCUUGUUGCAAGUCCCUCAACACCUUUAAAGGGAAAAUAAAAGAGAAGUACACAAACAAAGCUAAACUCUUAUAACCAGCUUGCAUAGGGUUUAAAGGAGUAGAAAUCCAUGAUUAAGGGCCUGUUUGGGAAGUGUUUUCAAGAACUGUAUUUUGUUCCUAAGAACAAAAAACACCAAAAAACAUGUUUGGUAACCUGAGUGAUGUUUUGUUCUAGUGUUCUUCGUGUUCUUAAAAUCCUAUUUUCAGAGAACAUCUUCAACUUGUUUUUCCUGUUUUUUGCACUAUUUAGAGAACUAAAAGAAGGGCUUGUUCUUCGUGUUUUCAUUAGGAGUGUUCUUCGUGUUCUCAAGUGUUCCUUCUCAGUCUACAUCGUGAAUAUCUUCACCAACAUCCAAAAUAGAGAAAAAUCUCUAAAAAAACAUAGAAAAAUCUCAAAGAAAAAUCUAUGAAAAUACCAAGAAAAAUCCUUGAAAAAAUCUCUGGGCGGACAAAAAAUUUUUUGAAAAAAAAAAAGGAAACUAUCUGAGAAAAACAAAGAAAAAUCUCUGAAAAACAUCAAAAAAUCUUUGAAAAAUCAAAGAUUCUCUCAAAAAGGAAAACUUUCAAUACCCAUGAGAUGAAGAUGAAGAAUAAACAAAUCCAAAUAAUUGACCAAUUGAGAACAAUUCCUUUGUUCCAAUGGUGUCGCUGUGGUUACUGGGAUCCAAUUCCUCUUAUCGACGAUAGGAUUGAUGAUCAGUGCAUCCUGUCUUUUCCUUUCUCUCUGUGUGUGGGUGAUCGAUGUACCCAUCUCCUCUUUGCAUCUGGGUUUUGUGGGUAUGCCCUUGUGGUGUUUGUGAAUGGGGAAUGAAAAGCAGGCAAACAACUGAUGAUAUAUAUAAUAAUAGUUUAUAUAUAUAUGUGUGUGUGUGUGUGUGUGUGGAGUGAAUUCUAUAAAUUCUAAUGUAUGGUUUAUUAUAUAAAUUCUAAUGACAUUGUAGGACUUGAAUAAGAAUCAGUAAUAUAUUAUUUUAUAUGUAAAGAUGUAUUAUUUUAUAUGUUAAUGGUAUGAUGUUAUUGAAUAAUGUGAAUUUAAUGAUAUUGUAUCAUGAUGUAAAUUUAAUAAUAUGAUAUAAAUUUAAUGAUUAAACUUAUAUAAUUAUAAUUAUUUUUAAUAAUUUUAAUAAUAUUUUUAUAAUUUGUUGAACUUUUUUAAUUAUCAUAUUCUGCAUUUCACCCUAUAUUAUAGACAUGAAAAAUGAUGCAGUUAAUGAUCAAAACCACGACUUUGAAUAAUGUACUACACCUUGAGAAUAUCCUCACCAACAUAUCUCUAUUAAGACACCUAAUAUACCUUUGAUGUAUUUUCAUUAUUUAUAAUUAUUUAAAAAAAUUGAAAAUGAUGCAAAUAAUUUUUGAAAUUGGUACAAUUUCUUAAAUUUUAAUGAAGAGUAAAUAUAAAAAUUAUUUAUAUUUAUAAAAUCAAAUUAAUAGAAGAAAACAUUUAGUUUAAAAAAACAACUUCCAAACAUGUUUUUUGUUUUACUUGUUCUAUUUUUUUUAUUAACUCAACCAAAUAUGUUUUAUUUAUUUAUUUUUGAGAACAAAAACUUUUUUUAUAGAAUUCAAUUCCCAAACACUAUUUUUUUUUCUUGAAAACAUAAAAAACUAUUCUUAAAAAUUGUUCUUAAAAAUUGUUUUCCAAAACAGUUUUGAAAAAUAGUAACCAAACAAACCCUAAGUUUGCUUCAAAAUCUAUGCUAGAAAUCCCUUAUUCAUCGCCAAGGUCAAAGUCUCCUCAUUAGCUACCCCUAUUAACAUGUAAAACUUAGUUUGAAGGGAUUCUCUAAGUUUCUUGUUUAAGUUAGAAUAUCAUUAGGAUUUCCAUAGACAUCUCUAGUGUUAAUUUGGAGUACUCCUUGCCCUUAAUGUUGCUAAGUUACAUCGUAACUUAGGUGCUUAAGUUUUUAUUGGUUACUUUUUAUUCACUUCCACUUUUUUUUUUUUUAAUGUCUUCUCAUUUUAUUCAUUUUUUCUCUUUUUACUUAUGCCUUCAUUUUUUUUUCUUUUUCUCUAUAUUAUUUAAAUAAUUCAAGUAGUCAUUCUAUCUUGGCUUAUUUGCUUAUAUAAUGACUUUUAGCUUGUGAUUCCCAAGCUAGUUAACCUAAGGCUUCAGGUGAUGAACCACCCUUGGGACUUACUACCAAGCCUCAAAGGACUAAACUAUUGAUAAAGUUGUGCAAACUAUAUUGAUAAGUAAGCAUAAAACAAUAAUAAUCUCCAUACCAAAAUUCUCAAACAAAACUAAUGAAUACAACAAAUAAUCGUACAUUAAGGAUAAUCACCAUGCCAAAACUCUCACCAUGCUAAAAACAUAUGAACAUGCAAUUUAAAGGUGCAAUAAGAGUGUAUUCAUUGAUCGGCUAAUCAAACACCAUAUUUUCCUUAAUUGGAGUUCAAACUUGACCUUUUUCUAUCCCUAAUAAAUUAGUACCAUAUUAUGUGUUAGAAAACUUGGAUUACUUUGUUCCCGUGCUCUGGAUCUCAUAAGGUGCAUGUAUCUAUUCUUAGAGAUCUCUAGAUCUAAUGCAACGGAAAAUAAUAGCUUCAAAAACCAUUACAAAAUAGAGAUUUGGAGAAAAAGGUUGCUAAUUGAUUAAUUAACCAUACAAGGUCGUAAUUAAUCAAUUAGCCAAGUCCAAAGAUACUACUCACUUAUCCUUGCAUAAUUUUACAUAAUUACCAAAAUACCUUUGUACACAAAAGUGAACUAAAAACCCAUCCAACCCUCAUAAACCAUGUCAUCAAGGAAUAUGAGCUUAGAGUAGGAAUCACUAGGACCCAUAGGAGUACUGGUUUUCUCAAAAUCAAAUUCUGAAAUUGACUCAACAUCCCACUAUAGAGAGUUAAUUGCACUCCAAUAUCCUAUGCAUAUUACAACAAGACACCAAGUGUUAAGGUCUGUGACCUACUAUCUAUUAUAUAUAGACUUCCCAUGAAAUGGUAUCUGUAAUAUAACAAGGUAGUGUUAUCAUCUAUCAAGAUUACCUUUUAAAUCUUUGAGUUACAAAUCCUACUUAUUAUGUGAUCAAAUGAUAUACUCUAGCUCCAAAGAGCAUAUGUCAAAUUCCACAAAAGGAGUUACCGUGGCCAUAGAUUCCAUGAUCACAUGUCCUUUGGAUCACCUAAGGGGACACACUGUCUUAGUUUCAUGAGAUAUCAUGGUGCCUUUAUUGAGAAUACUUGUUGCCACCAACCUCCAUCAAUAGUGACCCAAUUCAUAGGGAUAUAUGACCAUUUUAGGGUCUCACUCACAGGUCAAAGCCUCCUAUUCCAUGUAGUAGAUUGGUGAAUCAUGACAAUGAUAGCCUAGCGUUAUGAUUCACCAUAGGUCCUGUCUAGUAUGCAUCGCAUACACUAGUGCACUCACCAUGAGAAACCCAUCCUGACAACCAAGACAAGUCAUCCUUCCAAUUAGGAGGUGGUGCUCUACAAUAUCUACUAGAUUGUCCAAAUCCAUGAAUCGACUGUGGACAACUUAUUUACUUACAAUGAACCCAUGACUUGUAUCUUUUAUGCAAUUCUUAAUGCAUCAAAGUCAUGUACAAUAUAAGAGACAUGAGCUGAAUGCUCAAAUCAAUGUCAAUACACCAAAAAGGAUAGCAAGGGAAUAGUUAUGUAUUUAAAACUAAGUCAAAUGAAUGUAUUUAAAAAGAUAUGAAUGUAGCCCACAUCAAUAUACAUGAAUUAAUCCACAACUUUUCUUCAAAUGAUCAUAAAGGGAAGCUCAUAAAAGGAUAAAGAGUAUUCCUUUGUUUUGGAAUUGCAAGAUUCAUUCAUGUAAUUAAAUUUGAGAAAAAAAAAAUCCUUAAAAUCAAAGAAAACUAGGAAUAGUGCAUGUCGUAGGAAAAUGGUAGCAUCUAGGAUUGAAAGCAAAAUUUUAUCAACCUAGGGGGUUUAAGGAUCAAAUGUGAAAAGGAAAAGAGAGUUAGAAAUCAAUUUAAAAAUCAUGAAAAGAACAUAAAAAACAGAAAUUGUACCUAAAGAAAAAAACACAAAAGAAAAUAUAGUACACUAUGCGCAUGGGCAUUGAGCAUGCGGAGAAAAAAUGUAGUUAGGAAAAGUGCACUUAAAAUAUGAGGGAUUAAGUGCACAAAGGUUGUGCUCCAGAGUGUGGACCAGAGAAAGGAUGAAAAAACAUGUGCAAAUGAAUUACCCAUUGAAGGGGGUUGUGCAUUGAGUGUGCGCAAGGGAAAAGGUGCACAAUAGCAUAACAAAGAGGAUUAUGCACCUAGGUGUGCACAUUGAACAACAAGGUUGCAUAGGAAAUGUACAUUGAGGAAUACAAGUGCACGCAAGAUUGCACAUCAGAGAUGAAGGAAAAAGUGUGCAUAAAGAUUGUGCACUAAGAAGCUAUAAUAAUGUACGUAAUAGUGCAUUGAAGGGAACUUGACUACACACUAAAGAGGGUGCAAUGCACAUUGAAGGGAGUUAGAUCAAGCAUUAUGCAUUGAAUAAGGGGAAGGUCAUGAAAGGGGUAUUGUGUGGGCAAAGUUUGUGCACUAGAGUGUGUAGGGAAUUAAACCGAAUUCCCAACCCGUGAGAAACAAAAAUUAGAGAAAAACACAAUCCAAAGAAAAACAAUCACACACACAAGACAGUAUUUACGUGGUUCGGCAAUUUGCCUACGUCCACGGAGUUGCAGGGAUCUCACUAUUAUCAGGGAAGAAUACAGAGUACAACCUAGCGGCUACAAUAUUCUCUAUAUAUAUAUAGCACGGCAACCCUACCAUACUAAAAAACCCUAAUUAAAAAAGGGUGGUUCCACAAUGGGCUAAACGAGCCCAAUAGGCCUCAAUAAAUCUCCCAUUAAAAAAGCCAUGCAAUAUUAUUCGGGUCGGGUCGUCAAACCGGAUCAAACAAAACUAGGCUCCACAAAGCCCAACAAAUCUCCCACUUGGAGACUAGUCCAAUCACCAACAUCAAACCGCUAUCCUCCAAGAAACGAUCCCUCAUCCCUACAACUCAUCCUCCUGUCCUCAAGCUAGAAGACCAAUUGAAGCUGCGCACAGCUUCAACUUCUCAAUAGUGACACCCUUAGUCAACAUGUCUGCAGGGUUCUUAGAUCCACAAAUCUUCUCAAGUAUUACCAGUUUAUCCUCAACAAGAUAACGGAUAAAGUGAUAUUUUGUUUGUAUAUGUUUCGACUUUGAAUGAAAAGCCGAAUUUUUGGCAAGAAAAAUUGCACUCUGACUGUCACUGUGUAGAAUGCCCAUCUCUUGCUUCUUACCCAAUUCAUCUAAGAAACCAUGUAGCCAAAUCAUCUCAUUUCCAGCUUCAGUUGCUGCAACAUACUCAGCUUCUGUAGUAGACAAAGUAACAAUCUUCUGUAGAUUUGAAGUCCAUGAUAUAGCUGUACCACCUAGAGUAAAAACAAACCCAGUAGUACUCUUUCUACUAUCAAUAUCACCAGCAAAAUCAGCAUCUAUAUAACCCUGCAGUUUCAAACUUGCACCUGUGAAGCAAAGACAUGUAUCUAAUGAACCCUUCAGAUAUCUUAAAAUCCACUUGACUGCCUCCCAAUGCUGCUUUCCAGGCCUACUCAUGAAUCUGCUCACAACUCCCACUGCAUGUGCAAUGUCUGGCCUUGUACACACCAUAGCAUACAUCAAGCUGCCAAUAGCUAAGGCAUAGGGCACCUUGCUCAUAUGGUCCCUUUCUUCUUCUGUCUUUGGUGACUGUUCUUUGCUUAGUUUGAAAUGACUACCCAAGGGUGUGCUCACUGGUUUAGCUUCAUUCAUGUUGAACCUGCUGAGAACUUUCUUCACAUACUCUGACUGUGAAAGCUUCAAUGUACCAUUAGCUUUGUCUCUAAUGAUUCUCGUACCAAGGAUUUGCUUUGCAGCUCCCAAAUCCUUCAUUGCAAACUGUUUGGACAAUUGCUUCUUCAGAUUAUUAAUCUUCUCAAUGUCAGACCCUACAAUAAGCAUAUCAUCCACAUACAACAGUAAUAUGAUGUAAGAGUUGUCAAAGGACUUAACAUAGCAACAAUGAUCAGCUUCACAUCUCUUGAACCCAAUUCUAUGCAUAAAAUUGUCAAACUUCUUGUACCACUGUCUAAGAGCUUGUUUAAGGCCAUACAAGCUCUUUCUUAGUUUGCAGACUAGAUUCUCUUGUCCCUGAACAAUGAACCCUUCUGGCUGAAUCAUGUAAAGGUCUUCCUCCAAGUCACCAUGAAGGAAUGCAGUCUUCACAUCUAACUGCUCAAGAUGUAAGUUUUCUGCAGCCACCAUUCCAAGUACAAGUCUAAUUGUUGACAUCUUCACAACUGGAGAAAAUAUCUCUGUGUAGUCAAUGCCCUCCUUCUGUUGGAACCCUUUAACAACUAAUCUGGCCUUGUAACGUUUGCUACCAUCAUGCUCAUUCUUUAUUCUGUAUACCUACUUGUUGUGCAAAGCCUUCUUUCCUACUGGCAAUUCAGUCAGUUCCCAUGUCUGAUUCCCCAACAGGGAAUCCAUCUCAUCCUUCAUGGCUAACUCCCACUUGCUUGAAUUCUCAUCUUGCAAGGCUUCAUCAUAACACUCUGGCUCACCACCAUCAGUCAACAGGAGAUAAUUUAAAACAGGUGAAUAACGCUGCGGAGGUCUAGUGUUCCUAGAAGAUCUGCGAACUUCAACUACAGGUGUACUCAGAUCUACCUGUGAAUUUACAUUCUCCUUAUCUUCUUCACCCCCUUUUUGGACAGUACUUUUAGUCAAUUCAUCUAAGUUGACAAACUCAGAUUUCUUUUGAUCUAUCUCUGUAACAUCUGACACUACAGAUGACCUGUCUUUGUACAUAACCUGUUCAUUAAAUAUCACAUUUCUACUUCUGAUGAUUUUCCUGUUUUGUUCAUCCCAAAACCUAUAGCCAAAUUUCUCAUCACCAUAGCCAAUGAAAAAACAUAUUUUUGACUUUGCAUCAAGUUUACUACGAGCAUCAGAAUCAAUAUGAACAUAAGAAAUACAACAAAAAACUUUUAAAUGUGAAAACUUCACCUCUUUACCGCUCCAAACCUCCUCAGGAAGUCUGAACUCUAUGGGAACUGAUGGUCCUCGGUUUAUCAGGUAAGCUGCAGUGCUAACAGCAUCAGCCCAAAAAGUUUUUGGUAGUCCAGCAUGCAACCUCAUACUUCUAGCACGCUCAUUGAGAGUUCUGUUCAUGCGCUCAGCCACACCAUUCUGCUGUGGUGUCCCAGGAAUGGUCUUCUCCAUCCUAAUUCCCUGUGCAGCACAAUACUCAUUGAAUCCUCCAUCUAUGUACUCUCCUCCAUUAUCUGACCUCAAACAUUUUACUUUCAAACUUGUUUCUGUCUCAACCAUGGCCUUCCACUUCUUAAAAGUUACAAAUACAUCAGAUUUAUUUUUUAGAAAAUAAACCCAUACCUUUCUACUUGAGUCAUCAAUAAAGGUGAUGUAGUACCUUGAACCUCCUAGGGAUGCAACCGGAGAAGGCCCCCACAAAUCAGUGUGUACUAGUUCCAAUUUUUCAGCCUUCGGUGUCCUGCCAGUUUUCAAGAAGCUCACCUUUUUUUGCUUUCCUAAGAUGCAACUUUCACACAUGUCAAAAUCAAUGGACUUCAAUUCUGGUAGUUUUCCUUUUGACAGCAACAUCUUUAUCCCUUUCUCACUCAUGUGACCAAGUCUGCGGUGCCAUAGGCUUGUAUCAGUACUUGCAUCAGCAACUGCAAUUGUGUCUCUUGGACAUGAGGUCAUAUACAGAGUGCCAGUCUUCUUUCCACGAGCCAAUACCCUAGCUCCCUUUGUAACCUUCCAAGUACCACCAACAAAUAGUAUUGCAUGUCCUUCAUCAUCAAGUUGUCCAACAGAAAUCAGAUUCCUUCUCAGGUCAGGAAUAUGUCAAACCUUCUCCAGUAACCAAACAGACCCAUUGGGCAACGAUAUCCGGACAUCUCCCAGACCCACAACAUCCAAGGCUGAACCAUCAGCCAAAUACACCUUACCAAAAUCACAUGCAACAUAAUUCUGUAUGAUUUCUCGGUGUGGAGUGGUAUGAAACGAAGCUCCUGAAUCCAAAACCCAAUCAUCAAGUGGACUGUCUACUGCAAGAAGUAAUGCAUCCUGUACCUCUUCUAUUACAGCAUUAGCAGAAUCAUCUUCAUUCUUCUUCUUAGGGCUUUUGCAUUGCCUUUUAAAGUGACCUGUUUUCCCACAAUUCCAGCAUUGUACUUGUUGGCCUGAUCUAGAUUUGCUUCUGUUCCGAUUAGAAUUUCUGGAAUUUGAUCUACCUUGAUUUGAAUUUCUGUUAUUACUUCUACCUCUUGUCUCAAGGUUUAGGGCAGAACCAGAUCCUGAGGUUUCACCUGCAUCUCUUCGGCGAAUCUCCUCAGCCAGAAUUAAAUCUCGUAUAUCAUUGUACUUGAGCUUUUCCUUUCCAGUAGAAUUGCUUACUGCCAUCCUCAUUGCCUCCCAACUAUUUGGCAAAGAAGCCAAGACGAUCAGAGCACGAAUCUCAUCAUCAAAAUCAAUUUCUACAGACGACAAUUGAUUUGUGAUUGUAUUAAAUUCAUUCAGAUGUUGUGCUACUGAUGCAUUCUCUGCCAUCUUCAAAUUGAACAAUUUCUUCAUCAGAUGCACCUUAUUGUUUGCGGACGGCUUUUCAUACAUACCGGACAAAGCCUUCAUCAGAUCUGCUGUGGUCUUCUCCUUUACAACAUUGUGUGCAACAGACCUAGACAGAGUUAACCUAAUAACUCCUAGAACCUGUCUGUCAAGAAGCGCCCAUUCCUCAGCCUUCAUACUCUCAGGUUUUGUCCCCAAAAGAGGCAGGGAUCUCACUAUUAUCAGGGAAGAAUACAGAGUACAACCUAGCGGCUACAAUAUUCUCUAUAUAUAUAUAGCACGGCAACCCUACCAUACUAAAAAAUCCUAAUUAAAAAAGGGUGGUUCCACAAUGGGCUAAACGAGCCCAACAGGCCUCAAUAAAUCUCCCAUUAAAAAAGCCAUGCAAUAUUAUUCGGGUCGGGUCGUCAAACCGGAUCAAACAAAACUAGGCUCUACAAAGCCCAACAGAGUGUGCAUUAGAGAGAGAGAGAGGAGUGUGUGUAGGAGGAUUGCAUACUAAAGUAGCUUGCAUGCUUGGGAAAUAGCAUGGCUAAGAUGCAUUAUCAAGAAGAAAAAAAUGCACUAAAUAAAGUACAUCGGAAGGGAAAGCAGCAUGCACAUUGAGAAUGUGCAUUGAAGAGUGUACACUUUGAAAAGUGCACUAAGAGCACUAUGCAGGUAAAUUGCGGGAUUGAAGAACCGUAGAACAAAAAGUGUACCAACAAAAUGUACAAAAACAAGAUUGCAUAUAAAAAAAGACACCAAACUUGUGCAACUCAUGUUUGCGUAGACUAGAGUACAUACAUAAGUAGUGCAUGAACCUACAGUGGAAUGCACACUAAACAUUAUGUGAACAAAGAUAGGAAACUACUAAUGCACAAACAUGGUGCAUAAACUAAAAAUGAGCAUUAACAAAAUGGAGAGACAUGCAUGAAUAUAUGUUGCAUACUUGAACGAUGCAUAAACUCUACACACCUGAGCAAUGCACUAACUCAACUCACAAUGUGUAAACCAUUUGCUCAAACGAAAGGACUGGAACGAAGAGGCAUACAAACAAAAACAAUGUACAAUAGUGCACAAGAGAUGCAUAAACCUACACGUAAAACACUAGUGGGAGCUAGACGCACACUAACUAGUGUGCAAAAAAACAACAAUCACAAAAAAUAAAAACGUAUUAACUGUUGCACAAACAAGAGCAUCCUUAAGAGGAGAUGCAUAAUUUGAUGCCCAAUGAGAAACAAACACUAGAAACAUAGAAAAAACCCAACAAAUAUAAAGCACAACUAAAGAGAACAAAUAAACAAACAAGCCAUUGAACGAAGCCCCAUUUUAUGUUUUAUCAAUGAGUUAAGAACAAGUGAGAGAGCUAAAGUGGUUUUGAAACCAAAAUGAAAAUAAGAUUUAUAGAUAUCAAACAGUGAAGAUGAAACAAUAAUAACAAAUCUAUAGACUAACUCGGAAAUCAAGAGAACAACAUGUGGCCUCUAAUAUCCACACUCAACCAACAAGCAAUCUUCAAUAAGAGCAGAUGAAAGAGAAAGAAAACAACACUAAGUAUGGGUUUCAUAGUAAAAAGAACUUACUUGAGAAGAGAUUGUUGGCGAACCCUUUUUUCUCUUCAUUUGGCUCUUUACUUUUCUCCUAUUUUUUCCUUUCCAAGCUUUCUCUCUCUACCCAAAAAUUUCCAACCACAAAAUAUUCUCUUUUUCCUCUCUUUCUCACACACAACAAUGUUGAAUGUUCUCUCACCCCAUCCUAAAAAAGAGAAAAAGAUCAUUCAUAAAAGACCAAAAUGGUUUUUUUUAAAGGGUCAAGGAUGGAUAAUCCAAGCAUAAAAAGCUCUCUAAAAACCUUAAAAAGAAACCCCCUAAAUGAAACCAAAAAAAAAAACUAAAUAAGGGUCCUAAGCUAAGGCUCAUGUCCAAAUGAAUGAAUCUAAGCUAAACCUAAGGGGCAAUUAAAAUCCAUGCUAGGAUCCACAAAAAUCUCCCUAAUGGUCUUCAAAAUUGGCUCGAGAAUCAAUAACAAGUCAAGUAAUUGCGGACUACCAAGGGACAUGAUGAAUGACUAAACAAAAAGAUCCUAGGCAUGCAUUACAAGGGAACACAAAGUGAGAGAAAAAUGAAUAUGAAAUGACAUGUGCUAAUAGAAAAAUAAAGGGUCUACAACUAUACCCCUCUUCGGUGUAGAUCAUAAGUAUAAUGAAUAUGAACAAUGAAAUGUGAGUGAUGAAUGGAAUGAAGUGAUUUAUACUGAAGAAUAAAAAAGACCAACAAUUUUGUCCUAGCACAUGACAUGAUAAGCUCUAAGAUUAGUCAGGCAAUAGAAAAGAAACUUGAGAUGAAGAUGAUGACAGAGUGGAGAGCAUAUACAAAAUAAAGUAAAGAGAACAGUGGAUGUGAAACCAUGAGAGCAAGAUAUAGAAAGCUAGUAACCAUGAAUGUUGAAAGCCAUGACUUUCAAUGCUAAAAAUGGGUAAAGGUGGAUUUGAAUGCCCAAAAAAAAAAAGACUCUUAACGUCGAAAUUAAAAAAAAAAAAAAGGCCUUGAACACCAAACUGAAAAAAUGUGGCUCUAAAUGCCAAAUUGAAAGAUAAGGACCCUGAAUGCUAAUACUAUGGCUCUAGAUGCUUGAACUAAAAAAAAAGGCUCUGGAUGCCAAAAUUGAAAAAGUGGCUUUGAAUACCAAUACUAUGGCUUUAAACACCAAAAUCGACCAAAAAGGGAGAUCUAGUCUAUGACUCUAGGUUGAACCUCUCAAAGGUGACCAAAAUGAUGUAGGCUCUAAAUGUGUAUAUUGUAGCUCUAAACACCAAACUAAAAAAUAAUGGCUUUGAAUGCCAAAUUAAAAAUGAUGACUCUGAAUGCUUGACUGAAAAACAGUGGCUCUUAACACCAAACUAUGAAAAAAAAAACUCUAAAUUCUACUAAUAUAGGUUUAAACAUUAAUAAUAUGGCUUUGAACACUUGAACUUUGGCUCUGAACACCUAAAACAUGGCUCUUAAUGCCAAAAUCAGUUGAAGAGGGAGAUGAAAUCUACUACUCUAGGUCAAACCUCUUAAGGGUGACCAAAAUGAUGUAGGCUCUAAACACUUAUACCAUCACUUUAAAUGAAAAACUGAAAAAGAACGAUUUUGACUGCUAAAAUAGAAGAAUGACUUUAAAUGCCAAAAUUGAAAAAGAAUGGCUCUGAACGCCAAUACUACAACUUUGAACUCCUGAAAUGUAGUUUUGAAUGCCAAAUCUAUGGCUUUGCAUGCCAAAACUAUGACUCUAAAUGCCUAAAAUAAAAAUGGGAAUGGGGGGAAUAUGCCCCAAUAUAUAGGAUCCUCACACUACUAAUGAUCCAAUGGAAAACACUAUCAACCGAAAGCAGCUACCCUUUAAAAGGGUGAAAACAAGACUCCACGUGUCUCAAAAGAUGUUUUGCUAACGAUUUGAAAUGAUCCAAUCGACUGAGGGGCUUAGUCAUCACAACUCAUUUGACUAGCUCCAAACACUCCAUUGGGGAAUCAUGAUAGCUUAGACAUCUCUGAAUUAGAGUACUCCAUUAAGAAGUCAGAAUGGUACAAUCAACAAUAUCUAGGAAAGUACUCUAUUGGGAGUUGUCUCUAUUGCAAUGAAUAAUCCAUUGAGAACUAAGAUAGCAAAUUUAUCCAUCUCAAAAUUGAUCUACUAAAGAAACUGUCACUAUGUCAAAACACUCGACUAAUAGUUGUCUCUGUAUCUUAAAAUAUACUUCACUAGGGAUUGUCUCUAUCUCAUGAGAUACUCCUUUAGAGAUCGGGGUAACAAAGUAGUCAAACGGAUCUAUCACAAAAGUACUUCUCUGGAGAACUACAAUUGCAUUGAAACAUACCCACUGAAAACCAUUUACAUCUCAACAUACACUCCAUUGGGGAAACUAUCACUAUCUUUAAGAAAUACUCCACUGGGUACUUUAGAUAGUGAAAAUAUCAAAGCUCAAGGAAAGUGCUCCAUGGAAAGCUUUGAGCGACAAAAAUAUCAAAAUUAUGACUAGCAAUGUGAAUGAAAAUCUUUCAAUCGACUAAAGGGGCCGUUGAAACUAAGUGAAAAGCCUACCAUCUCAACAAGAGAAUGGGGAAUAUGCCUAGAAGAGUAGCCAAUGCAAGGUCGUGUAUGCAACCAAAUGACGCUAGCUAAUCAUCUUAGUGCCAAGAUCUUAAAGAUCAACAACUAAGAGAGUAAAGACGUAAUGGUUUGUCAUGCUAACUUGAUGGAACCUUAACAAGGAUUGAGAUAAUCAGACUGAACUACUCUAUUAGGAUCAAUGAAUGAGAGCCCAUCCAUCAUUGGCUCAAGAGUACUCCAUUAGGAACAAUGAACAAGAGCUUAUCCAUUACUGGCUCAAGAGUACUCCACUAGGGAUGCGUAGUAAUCAACAUCAUUACAAACAUGAGACUAUGCAAAUCAAUGAAGAGCUAACAAUCUUAAUGAUAAGGGGGUAUGCCUCAAUGUAACAUCUAAUGCAUGGUAAGUCAAACAAUAUCCACUAUUUACCUCCCAAUAGGAAAUCAAUCGUCAUCUAUAUCCACUACUGAACUAGAUCCAAGGAUUAAAGAGGUGUGUCCCAAAAGAGAAAGCAUGAUGGACAUCUAUACAUCUACCAAGUCCCCAAGCAUCCACCCAAGUAGAGACUGUCAAAGAUGACAUUUGAUCCUAUGGCCCCAGAGUGGCCUUAAGACACAUGAUGUAAUGUAGGCUAAGGGCGAUAAGGUAAGAGAAAUGAAGGAAAACUAGGCUUAAAUACCCAAUAAUCAAACCCAUACCCUCAUGUAUAAGAUGCAAUAUGUAGAGAGAAUCUCAUAAACAAUGGACCUAAAUCUGUCCAAUGCGAAAAUACUAAUGAGAAGAAGGAAAAAAAGAAGAUUGAAUUGAUAAUGAGAUGUGUAAGAACAAUGUGAAGGAUAUAUUAGGCCUCAAAUAGAUCAAUGUGAGAGAAAAACAAGAAGGUGAAAUGAAUGGGAUAAGUAAAAAAUAAUAAUGAGAGUAAAUGAAAUGAUGAAAGGAAUGAUGAUCAACUCAUAUCAUUGCAUAGAGAAAAGUCACAUUAUCAAUGGAUGGAAUAGAGAGGAUAAUGGUUCAGUGCCCCCAGGAAAAGCCACUCAUCUCUUACACUAAAAAAAAUAUGAGAAGUUAGACACAAGGAGAAGAGGGUUUCAGAGAGCUCACAUAUGAGCUCUCAUCAAUAAAUAAACUCAAUUAAGUAACCUUAAAUGCUAGUAUACAUGUUUAAUGGAGAAGGGUACUAUAUACAUACACACAUGCACUUACUUUUUAAAUUUAUUUAUUUAUUUAUAAAUGCACAUACUUUAAACACAAACUGAAGAGCUAUAGUGAGAAAGACAUGAUGAAUGAAUACACUCUUAGAAUUUGAUGUAAUACAAACUCUCUCUCUGAUGAGACGACCCUCUUAAAUUGAGGGUCUCCAAAUCAAUGUCCAUGGAAUAGAGUAGAGGAGAUGAUUUGACCAUUCUUCAUAUAAUGAAAUGUGAAGGAUCACCACUCGGGGUGAAUGAGAAGAUGAAGUGAAACAAGUAGUAAUACAAACAAAUAAGGGGAUGAAGAAUACAAACAAUGAGAUGUGAUGAAAUGCAAUAGUUUGAUGACAACAAAUGAUAAGAAAAUUAUGCAUGUAGGUCCAAAGCUCAUGAGACUCCUAAAAAAAUUGUGAGAGUCCUAAACAAAGUGUACAUACACUAAAAGGGGCCCCUGUCUUGGUGUAGAUAUGUGAGCAAGGCAAUGAGAAAGAAAAAUGUUAUGAUGCUCAUGCAAGGCUUAAAGGGCUAGCAACAAUCUGUAUGUCAAUAAAAGAUGAUAAGGUAUAAGGCUAACCAAAACAAAUGCCACCUAUCCUGUGACCAUGGUCUCAAACAUAUUACUUCUUCAAUAGAUCUACAUUGGUCAACUAUAAGAAUUGGUUUCCAUCUAGAUCCAUAAACCAUGCAACCCCCUAUAGGGUCAACUCUCUAAUGGGAUAAGGUCCGCUCCAAAAAGGUCUAAACUACUAUCUAGGAUCUCCAACCAACCUCUAAGGGCUCUCAAAACUAAAUCACCUCUUUCUAGGUUUAGACUUAACCUGCUUUUUGAAAGCAUGGACCAUCUUCCUUUGAUAAGCAUGAACAUGAUCUACCAUCUCAAUUUCUUCUCAUAUAAAAGGCUAAGCUUAUCAAAUCAAGCUUAACCAUACUCAGUCUCAGAGAUCUGUUGCUCUAGUGCUACUCUUAAUGAUCCUAUCUCUAUCUUAACAGGUAACACGACCUCCAUAUGAUACACCAAAGAGUAUAGUGUAGAUUCUAUAAAGGUAUGAAAAGAACUACGACAAGCCUAUAAUGCAAAGGGAAGCUUCUUUAACCAAUCUUAAGAAGUUUGAACCAUCUUCCACAUAAUCGUUUUAAUGUUCUUAUUUGUGGCCUCUAUUGCCUCAUUAGUCUCUGACCUAUAUGCAGACGAUCUAUGAUGCUGGAUGCCAUAUCCCUGAAGCAAAGUAUUAACCUCAACUUUGAAAUGCACACCUUUGUCUAAAAUCGACUCAUGAGGUACUCCAUAAUGAUAGAUGAUAUGUGAUCUAAUAAAACUAACAACUCUAGUUACAGUCAAUCUCGCAUAUGAGUUAGCCUCCACCCACUUGGUGAAGUAAUUAAUGGCAACAAGGAUGAACUCGUAACUACUAGAAGAUUUCGAUGAAAUCCUCCCAAUAACAUCAAUCCAAACAAAAAAAUGGUCAUCAUGAGGUUAAUGCAUGUAACUCUGAUGGUGGCACAUGGACUAGAUCACCGUGUGUCUGGUACUCUAGACAUCUCUAAGCGAACUACCAACAAUCUGUUUCCAUAGUCAACCAAAAAUAGCUAGUCUUCAUGAUCUUUUGAGCCAGCAUUUAUACUCCUAUAUGUGGUCCACAUACUCUCUCAAGAAACUUUCUUAUUGCUUGAUUAGUAAAGGUGCGGUCUAAGCAUAAUAAUAACAUACCAUCAACUGAGCAUCUGUAUAAUGACCCCACAAAUCAUAAAUCUAGUAGCUAACUGCCUCAAUGCUCUCUUAUCCUUGGCUAUCAUAACCUUAGGAUGUGUCAGAUAUGAGAAGAUGAUAGAUAUCAUGGUACCAAGGCAAAUCAUCCUAGACCUUGGUCUUUCCAAUCAAGCAACAGUAAGUAGGAACAAUUCUUGACUCAAUUAGUAAAGAAUGAACAACAACAUUAGUAGGAAUAUCAAUCAUGGAAGCUAGAGUAACUAAGGCAUAAACAAAUUGGUUCUACGCUCUAGGUAGAUGUGUAUAUCUCGAAUCAUUAAAUCUCUUAACUAAUAUCUUUAAAUAAGCAUAGUAAGAUCUAAGCUUCAUAUUUUUAGUCCUCCAAUCACCGUGAAUCUAUUUAAGUAUCAAAUUGGAGUCAUUAAACACCUUCAGUUGUCUAAUUCCAAGAUCAAGAGCAAUCUCUAAACCAAGGAUCGAUGCAUGCCUCAUACUUAACAAUGUUGUUUGUAGUAGAAUGAUGGUUAGAAACUUCCAAACAAACUAAUCUUGGGAUGUGACCACCAUGAGAGGAUAUCAAUAAAACACUUAUCCCAUAUCCGGAAUGGUUAGUUGUACCAUCAAAAUACAUGUACUAACCUGACAAACUAGUCACUAAAACAAUAUUCUUAUCUGGAAAAUCAUUAUCAAUCACUCUACCAUCUAAUAUUGGAAGUGAAGCCAAAUUAUUCGCAAAAAUACACCAUUUGAUAGACUUCUGAGGGCCAUAUUGGAUAUCAAACUUGAUCAAUAACACUAAGCAUCUCAUUAGUCUACUAGUCAAUGAAGGCCUAUCAAACAAAUAUCUCAAUGGAUCUAAACCGGAAAUUAGAUGUAUAGAAUACUCAAUCACAUAGUGUCUCAAUCUCCUAGUAGCCCAAACUAAUGCUAAGCAAGGGCAUUCAAUCAUGACAUAUAUUAUCUCAUACUUUGCAAUCCUUUUAUUUAAGCAGUAAAUAACUUGUUUUUUUCUCAAAUCAUCAAGCUAAGCUAACAUGCUAUAGGAUUAAAUAGCUUGUAUAAGGCAAUGUAUGAAAUUGAUAGGUAUAGGAGUAGAGGACGACCUAGGGUAGGAGACACCAAAAUUGGAGGAGACAACAAAUACUCUUUAAUCAUUUCAAAUGCAUGUUGACAAUACUCACCCCAAACAAUAAGAUGAUUCUUCCUGAUUAAAGCUUUAAGCGGAUGUCAAACAUAUACUCAAAUAUCUUUGGAGAACAAUGGAUUAUAUGUUUGUGAGUCUUUGCGAUGAGUUUGUACUCCUUUUAUACUAGGAAUUAGACUUUCAGUCUGAUAAGGACUCUCACAAGUCUACCUUUGGGUAUGUAUACACUCUAAGUGGUUUUUGUUGCUUCUAUAGCAACAAAUGAAACCUUUUGGCUUAUGGAUAGUUCCCUUGGUAUAUGGUCUAAGAUCUUGUUAUGUGAUAAUAGUAGAACGGUGGCAUGGUCUAAAAAUCUAGAAUACCACCAGAAAAGAAAACAUAUAAAGAGAAAGUACUACCAUACUUAGUGAGAUAGUACAGAGAUGUGUUAUGACUGUGGAACAAAUUCUUUUUGCAAUGCCCAGUCUACUUUUGUAUUGGAUUCUAAGGGAGCUAAUACUCCUAUGAGUCCCAUUAGUCCCUACUCUGAGCACAUAUACCAUCAUUGCACGAUUUAUGAAGGUCGGAUUAGCUCUAAGUUCACUCCUAUACAUAAGGGCAUUUUGGUAAUUAUGCAAGGAUGGUAUAUCAAAUAUGGCAUUAGACGGAUCAGAAGAUCAAGUGUCUUAUGCUUGGAUCUUUAGGUAAUGUGUUGCAAUAGAAAUAGAUGUCUAUUACUAAAGACUUUAAUAUUCUAUUUCUCAUUUGCAAAAAUUAUUUGGUGAUAAGUAUAGGUCAACUUUGACAAGCUACCCUUAAGACUAUUAUGAACAUCAGUAUUGAUAUGCUCUUAGAGAUAUUGUCAUUUCCUUUGGGAUGGCUAAGGGGAUUCUCAUAGAUUAUUAGGUGUUUAUAUGGAAAUCAAAGGCUCUUCAAGUUCUUCUGCCAAGAAGAAGAACAAACAACACCAAAUAAGGAAAGUUAAAAAAAAAGAAUAAGAGAGCAAACUCAGGGGCAAGUGAUUUAUUUGUGACUUUUUAGGACACUAGAAAAGGAAUGCCCAUUUUAACUAAGGGAAAAGAAAAGUAUACAUUAUUUUCUCAUUUUUGAAUAUUUAAUGGUGGAUUUCACCAUUUAUGGUGGAUAGAUUCUAGGCCCACUAUCUAUAAGUCCUUACAAGGUAUUCAAUAAGUGAGAAGGUUAAAUGAUGGGAUUACAUUUUCCUUGGCUUCAAGUGCAAGGAUAGUUAUGUAUGGUAGUGGAGGUAAUAUCUUCAUCUUUUAUAUGUAUUUUGUUAUCACUUUGCCAAGGGAUGAAAAUAGUCAAAUCUCAAGAUUAAACCUAGCAUUAAUUAAACAUUUGGUAUCUAGACUUAGGUCAUAUUAAUCUAAAUAGGAUCCAAAGACUGAUCAAGUCUAGACUCUUUGAUUCUAGUAUGGAAAUCUUGUAUAGAUGAUAAAAUGACCAAGGAGACUAAAACCAAGGAAUGUUUGGAGUUAGCGCAUAUUGACAUGUAUGAAACUUUUAGUGUCCAUGCAUGGGAAGGGUAUGAGUAUUUCAUCACUUUUAGUGAUGAUUACUCUAGGUUUGGAUAUGUACAUUUGGAAUAUCAUGCAUUGGAUAGAUUCUUUGAAUUUAAGGCAAGAUUAGAUAAUCUAUUUGGUAUACAUACCAAGUCACUUCGAUUAAAUCGUACUAGUAUGCCUAGUAAGUUUGAUUCUUUCCAUUAUAGCACAAGAUUAUAUCCCAGCUAUGUGCACUAGGGACUCCAUUGCAAAAUGGAGAAGUGGAAAGAAGAUAUCAAACUAGGAUAGACAUAGUGAGAUUGAUAAUUAUUUUCUUAUCACUUCCUAUUUUCUUUUAUAGAUAUGUCUUAGAGACUUUGUUAUACAUUUUUUUAAUGUUUUUUUUUUAUAUUAAGAGGUAUAUCAGUUUAUAAGAUAUCUAAGAGGAUUUUUGGGUUAUUACCUUUAUAGUCAAAAUCAUUAGAAGAUGUUUGUUGGCAUAAAUGUUAGAUUUAUGAUGAAGACUAUAUGAUAAGGAAUAAAGCAAAGAGUGGUAUAGAUUGGAGGAUACAUUAGAAAAUAGUUCCACUCUUGCACAUUAUACUAUAGAUCUAGAAGGUUAGAGACAUACCAUUCCUAUGAUUUUUAAUACACCAGUACCUCAUCAUAGUAGGAGGCUUAUAUUUCAUGGAUUAUGAUGAAGCAAUGAGCAGUGUUUGUGCUUACUUGAGAUAACAAGCUACGAAGACGUUGUUAGAAUCUUUGUAUUCUAACAUAGUUUCAACUCCUGUAGAAACACUUAAAAGAAUAAAACCCAUAGGUAUAAGUUGGUUUACACAAGGAACAAAGGAGUAGAUGGAAAACUUGAGUUUUAUAUGACUAGUUUGUAGCUAAUGGUUAUAAUUUGAAACUUUGUUUCAACUAUAGAAAACCUUUUCAACAUUGGUCAUACUCAAAUCCAUUAGAGUACUCUUAUAUAUUACGGUAUGUCUCAUUUAUGAGAUACAACAACUAAACAUUUUCAUAACAAAGGCCUUUUGUAUGCAAGAAGGCACAUGGAAGCGUAGUGAUGCUCGAAUAUCUUGUAAGUAGAUGACAUAUGAUGUAGGGAUAUUAUCAUCAAUCAAGAUCUAAUAGUCUACCCAAUUCUAAAUGAAAAUCUAGGAGGCGCAAUAUAUAUUCUUGGGUUUAAGGCCUUUUGGGACUAAGAAUAGGAAAAUUGUGCUAUAUCACCUACAUUGAUAAGCAUUUGGUCAAAUGCAUGAUGCAAAACUUCAAAAAGGGUUUUCUACCCUUUGGGUUUGGAGUUAUCUUUCUCAGGAUUAAUGUCCUUGGACAUCUAAGGAGAGAUGUUGCAUUAACGUGAUAUCCUAUACUUUUGUAAUGGGUAGCCAUAAGUAUGCGAUGUUAUGUUUAAGACUAGAUAUUUGUUUUGUUAUAGGAAUAAUGGGUGGAUAUCAGUCCAUUUCUUGAUUAGAAAUUUGGGUGGAUAUCAAACAUAUACUCAAGUAUAUUUGGAGAAUGGGGAAUUAUAUGUUUGUGAGUCUUUGUGAUGAGUUGGUACUCAUUUCGUACCGGGAAUUAGACUUUCAGUUUGAUAAGGACUCUCGUAGGUCUACCUUUGGGUAUGUGUACACUCUAAGUGGUUUUUGUUGCAUCUAUAGCAACAAAGGAAGCCUUUUGGCUUAUGGGUAGCUCCCUUGGCUAUUAGUCUAAGAUCCUGUAAUGUGAUAAUAGUGGGGCAGUAGCAUGGUCUAAAGAACUAGAGUAUCAUUAAAAGAGAAAACACAUAGAGAGGAAGUACUAAUAGACUUAGUGAGAUAGUAUAGAGAUGUGAUGUGACCAUGAAGAAUAUUAUUUCUUUAGUGCCCAAUCUGCUUUUAAGGCUAGUGGGAGUUUGUUGGGAUUGAGUCCCUAAAAGAAAAACAUGAUGUAACAAAGUUAAACUUGAUUAUCCAUUUUCUAUCCCUUUUAUGAAUUGAGAUUGAUUUGAGCAUGCAACCUAUAUCUUUUACACUGUACAUGAAUUGGUCACACUUGAAGUUGGACUAAGGAUAUAAGUCAUGGGUUCCUUAUAAGUAGAUAAGUUGUCCACAGUUAGUUUAUGGAUUUGGGCAAUCCAAUAGAGACUAUAGUGUACCACCUCCCAAUUGGAGGGAUGACUUUUCUUGGCCGUUGGGAUGGUUUUCCCAUGGUGAAUGUACUAUGUGAUGCACACUAGAUAGGACCUAUGGUGAAUCAUAAGGCAAGGCUAUCAAUUGGCAUGAUUCAGCAAGCUACUAUAUUACAUGAAUUCUUAACUUUCAGAGGAUAUUGAGCUUGUACCAAAAUUAAUAGGAGGUUUUGACCUAUAGGUGAGAUCUUAAAGUGGUCAUAUAUCCCUAUGGAUUGGGUCACUAUUGAUGGAGGUUGGUGACAAUAAGUAUUCUUAAUAAAGACACCAUAAUAUCUCAUGGAUUGAGACAAUGUGUGCCCUUGGGUGAUCCAAGGGACAUAUGAUCAUGAAAUCUUUGGCUACAAUAAUUCUUUUAGUGGAAUUUGACAUAUGCUCAUUGGAGCUACAAUAUGUUAGUUGAUCACAUAAUUAGUGGGAUUUGUGACUCAAGGACUUGAGAGGUGAUAACACUAUCUUGUUAUAUGAUAGACACCUGUUCAUUAGGAGUCUGCAUGUAGUGAAUAGUAAGUCACAAACCCAAGCUUACUCUCGUUGUUAUUUACAUAUGGUAUUAGAAUGUAGUUGAUUCUCUUUAGUAGAAUGUUGAUCAACUUCAUAAUUGAUUUUGAGGAAGUUAGUACUCUUAUGUGUCCCAAUGAUCCCUACUUUGAGCUCAUAUACCAUGAUGACAUGAUUUAUGAGGGUUGUAUUGACUCUAAAUUCACUCUUAUGCAUAAGGGCAUUUUGAUAAUUACAUAAGGUUGCACAGUUGAACAAGGUCUUUGGAUUAGGCUAAUUGAUUAAUUAGCUGGUCCUAUGUGGUUAAUUAAUCAAUUAUGACCCAUUUUGAGCUAAAUUAAGUGACCCAAGCCUUAGUGGGCUCAAGUCAUUUAAUCCUAGUAGGGGAAUCCUAUAAAUACCCAUCUUAGGGAUUAGGGUUUCUAUCGCUUUUUGGUGAGAGUUGUCUUCCACCUCCAAAGAAAGAAAGAAUCAUAACUUCCUUCCUUCCAAAGCCCACACUUUAAAGUGUUAAGAUCGUGGUUUGAGUCAUCGAGUGGAAGAUCUUGGGUAUGAGACCUCUGGACUUUUCAGGCUUCAUUUUCAUCAGAUGGAUUUUGAUAUGGGAACAUCCAAAUCGAAGUAUGAGUUUCAAAUAUCUAAAUCUUUAUUCUAAAAUGGUUUUGAAGCCAUCAUUUUAUGUUGUGAUAGAUUUAGAGAUGUCUAAAGAUAGAUGCAUGUACCCUACGAGAUCUAAGGCAUAGGAAUAGAGUAAUUUGGGCUCCCCAACAUAUAUCUCGUGAUCCUCUAAAAAAAAACUCUAAAGCUACCAAGUGAUCUGCUCUACCUCAAGAUUUCACUAUCAUAUCAUCAACAUAAACCUCAACAUCCCGAUGCAUCAUGUCAUGGAAUAGCGUGGUCGUUGCUCGCUGGUAGGUAGCUCAUGUAUUCUUUAGCCCAAAUGGCAUCACUUUAUAGUAGUAAGUACCCCACCUAGUAAUAAAAAAUGUCUUCUCCAUGUCCUUUGUAGCCAUUAAAAUAUGAUUAUAACUAGAAAAACCAUCUAUGAAGGACAAUAUCGAAUGACUUGUAAUAUUGUUAACCAAUAAAUUGAUAUGAGAAAGAGAAAAGUCAUCCUUAGUGUUGGUCUUGUUGAGAUCUUGAAAGUUAACACACGCUCUAACUCUGCUUUCAAUUGUUGGGAAUAAGGGCAACAUUGACCAGUCUCUUGGAACACUCGACCAUUGAUAUCCACCAACAUUGAGCUACUUCUGAAUCUCCUCUUUCACCUGCAAACUCCAUCGAGGGUUCAACUACCUUAACUUUUGCUUAACUAGUCUAGCAUGAGAUAGCAGUAGUAGGCAAUGCUAAACUAUAGAAGGAUUAAGACUCGACAUGUCCACAUAAGACCAUGCAAAAACAUCCAGAUAUGAUUUUAGCAAUUGAAGAAGUCCAUUUCUCUCAUUUGUAGACAAGACUAAUCCAAUCCUCAACUCUUUAGGUUAAUCCCUUGUACCAAGGUCAACAAUCUUAACCUCUCCUUGAGCAAGUGCAAUUCUCUAAUAUGUGGAACUUGGAUUAGAAUAAAAGGCAUCCUCAUUUGAAUCAUAUUGUAUGGGCUCAUCAUAUAUGCCAAAUACAUGUAAUGUGUGUGAACGUGAUGCACAUAAGGAAACAUCAUCAUUAUGAGAGCUAGACAAAUACUAAAAAAAAAUGCUUAAAUCCAUAUAUGAAAAUGCAAGUACAUAUUCAAAAUGGGAGACAAAUACUGAUAGUACAUCAAAAGAAAUUGUGGGUCCACAUGAUUGAACUCUACCACAACUGGGCUAAUAGUGACCUUAAGUACAUCAUCAUAAAAAACAACAUUCUUCGGUAGCUCAAGGGUGAGAGGAAGUUGAAUAUCUUCUAAAAUCUCGAUACCCAAAACUCCAAAUAAAUCAAAUGAAGAAGCAAACUUUGGGUGAAUAGUAUUGACAACUUGACCCAUGUCCGUUAUGAACAUCUCAUCAUCAUACUCAUCAUGUGGAACCAUAUCAUCCAUGAUGUUUGCAAGCUUUGGAAAUAUCUCAUGACUAUCAGUCUCUUAAGGGAAGAAGAGUGUCAGCAAGCUAGUAUGAUCUAAGAACGGAAAAACAACCAUCACAGAAGUGAAAGUGACUAGAGGUUCAUCACUUAACUAUAGUUGGUGGAAGAGAUAUUGAAGCUCAAUCUCCUAAUCAACAUUGAGUCCAUUAGUAAUCCUCUUCAAACACAAUUGCACCUCCAGUCUUAUCAUAGAGUGAUCAACUAAGUUCGUCUUGUAUGGGUGAAUAAAAUAAUCAAAUGAAAUAUGAAGCAGGCAAACCUUAAGCCUCUCCUUGUGAAAAAACACCAUGUAUAUGUAAUCAAACACUAUGAGAACAAAACCAAGGCUAAAAGGAGUGUCUUGAUCAAUAGUGGCUAUGAAAUCUUCUGGCCCAUGUUGAUGACGUCCUAAACCCAAACCAGGGAAAAAAGACAUUGAUCUUAUCAUAUCUAGAGCAACUAUGUUGUCAUGCUUAUCAAAUGGGAGUGUCACAAAAUCUCUAGAAAAUUGUUCAAUCUCCACAAACCUACCUCAUCAAAGGUGAAACAAGUCAUAAAAAAAAUCCUCAUCACUAUGAUUGAUUUGAAACAUUGGCUUUGAGGAAGUAAAAACAUCUCCUAUGGACCGUACUGUAAUGACCCAAUCCUUAUGAAUAAACUUCACCUUCUAAUGAAGGGAAGAAGGGAUAGCUCCAGCUCUAUGGGUCCAAGGCCGGCCUAAUAACAUGUUAAAGGAUGUAAGAAUCUGUAAAAUUUGAAAUAAAGUAGGAAACAUGAUCGGGCCUUGAUUGGAGCCAAAAUAUGUUCUCUAAUGGCACAUAUUCAAUAUGAUUUGUGCACCAAAGGAUACUCAAAUAACCCAAAUUGACCUAAAUUGAUGCUAAGGCCCUAGACAUGAGUUUAACUUGUAUUUUGGAGAUUUAUCUCAAGUUCAAGGGAAGAAAAGGGUACAAGUUGGAUCAUUUUAGAUUUUGAAAUAUCAAGAAAGGGUUCAAUGAGGAAAUAAGCGAGUCAUGACUCAUGGACCAUGAGAAAAGGCAAGACGAGGAUAUCAUUAGUUUGGGAGAUGAGAAAUAACCAUUAUGGAGUAAGAAAGAAGGCAAGAAAACAUGGAAAAUGAGGCAUGAAGCAAGAUUCAGCUGCACGGAAAUUUAGAACUCAAAAUCUGGUGGCAACAUAUACUUAAGACUUUGAGGACAAAUUUGGAGCACUUCCCAAACUUUAUUUUAGGAAUACAAUACAUUGUUUCGAAGCUCUAGAAGUCAGGAGUCAAUACUUGAAACGGUGUACAUAUCAGAGCUGAAAUGAACAAGUUCUGACCAUUUGAAGACAAAUGCGCAAAGCUAAAGGACCAUUUCGAAAUGAUUUCAAAAUUCAACUUAUGAAUUUGAAAUCCAAGUCAAAAUGACCCCAAUUUCGAUUUCAUCCACUACCACUUUGAUGUUUUCCUUCUUUACCUCGGGAAUUGCAUCUAAGGUACUCCAUCUACCCUAAGUGGGCACCACACUGUGGACCUGCAUUUUUCACGUGCGUCCCCACUCAAUCGAUGAGACUCGCUUUUAGUUGGUGAAAAAUUAGUUUUGGAAAAGUUAGAGUCGACACUUAUUUUAUUUUAUUUUAAAGAGAAAAUAAAACGAGAAAGAAAACCCUAAAAAAAAAGUGACUCCACAAUUUUGGAAAAAACAUGUCUUUGAAAAACCCGAGUGUGGGUCCGGGGAUCAGGUUACUUACUGGGAAGGUAUCUCUAGGAGGUAACACCCCUCUAAGCCCUAUAAAGGUCUCUACUAACUAAAUUGAGGGAAAUACGACAAUUAAUUGGUUAAUUAGAGAUACCUAAGUAUGUUAGGUGAUUUAAAAAAUAGCAUGCCUAAUAAGAAAGCCAAGCACAAUCAUAAAGAAGAUUUGGGGUGCAUACUUGGACCACAUCUUAAGCGUUGUCACAAGACAUUAGAGUUAGUUCAAAUAAUAUAUCAUCCAACAUGCACUUUAUUAGAAAUAAUAGAACAAUGAAACAUAUAUAUAUAUCAAGACACUCAAACACUAUCAAGUAUAGAUGCAGUUCACAUUGAUAAGCAUAUUUACAGAAUUUAGAAGGUGGGUGAUAGAGGACGUACCAGGACAACAUAAAUAACUUAUAAUGCGUUUCCACAAGACAUGAGGGGUUAGAUAAUAAUAAAAUAAAGAAAUCCUAGCAUGCUUGUUAUCUAAUUAGCAUAACAAAAAUAAUCAAAGUAUACGAAAUCAUCAAUUAUCGCACACAUCUUGUAUAUAAUUCCUAAAAAAAAAAAAAAGAUACGAUUUCAAUAAAUGGCAAGAGUGGCAACAAAGAUGAGUUUAGAAAAGAUGAUUUUAUGUAGGGGUCUCACCAAUUCCCCAAUUGAUAUACACAAAUCUAGCCUAGAAUUAUCCCAUUUUAUUUGGGACCACAAGCUUGGAUUCGUGUCUUAGUCAAAACUGUAGUUUUUAUCGAAAACUAAGUAGGAUGCGAACUGAAAAAAAUGGUUGCAUAUUAUUUAAAAAAAAAAAUGAGAUUUUGAUUUUAAGGACUCUAAAUGAAUUAUUUUUAACACAAAUUUUUCAAAGGUAUCUUUUGAGAAAAACAUUUGAUUUAAAAAUAAAGGGAAUUAAUAUGAAAACAACAAAACACAAGAAAUAAAAUAUUGAGCAAAACAUAGGAAAAUGAAUUCAUAAAGUGAAAUUUUUUUACAAUCCAAGCAAACUAAAGUGGUGAGAAUGGAGGCCAAUCUUCAUUAUUUUCCGAUGACCUCUAAAAAUUAAAGAUAAAAUUAUUAUAGCAACCAAUCAGAGAUUUUUAGAUCAAGUAAAUUAACAUUUUAACAAAUCUAACUUUCAAUUUAGCACCAAAAAUUACAAGCUAACAUUGUAAAAAUCUAACUUUCAUUCUAUUACUAAGAACUAUGGAAAACAAGUGUUUAAAAAAAAUCUAUCUUUUAGAUGAUCAUCAAGAAUAAGAAAAAAAAAAACAAUUAAAGACUUCAAGAAAAUCUUAAACUAGCAUAGAUAAUCAAGAACUAAUUGUUGGAAUUUUAAAUGCAUCUAAACUUAAGAUAAAUCAAUCAAGCGCUUAUAAAUGAGUUUUAAAAUGAAACUAAUAAUACGGGAUUAUCACAAUUAUCAACUUAGUUUCAAAGAAAUAAUAAACGUCAUUGAGCAUCAGGAUCACCAAAACAACAUCUAAUAAUUUAAAGAACAACAUAUAAUGGCAUAGAUCAUAAAAAAUCAGUAACUUAUUGCUUAGAAAUGAAUAUAAAUUAACAUGGGUUUUUAAAAUUAACUACUAAGGAUUUUGGGAAAUAUAAAAAUCAAUAUGGAUCAAUAUAGAAAAGAAUUCAUAAGUAUGCACUAAGGUGAUUGAAUUAUUAAAUUGAUUAAAAAAAAAAACAGUAGUUUGAUUUCCACAAUAUGACACAUUUUCGAAAGAUUUCAUGAGUGUUAAUUUAUAAAGAAAACAGUUAAUUUCCAAUUUGAUAGUUUUAAUGAAUUUUAUUUAUAAAAGAAAGUUUUGAUUUAAACAAAAUGCUUUUAAAAAAUUUAUUUACAAGAAAAUAAAUGUUAUUACUUUUGUAAAAGAAAUAUUUCAUGAAUAUUAAAAAAAUAGUUGAUUUCCAAUUCGAUGGUUUUAAUGAAUUUUAUUUACAAAAGAAAGUUUUGAUUUAAAAAAUGCUUUAACUUCAUUUAAAGAAAAUGAUUUUAAAAAAUUUAUUUACAAGAAAAUAAAGGUUAUUACUUUUGUAAAAGAAAUAUUUCAUGAGUAUACAAAAAAGAAAGUAGUUGAUUUCCAAUUCAAUAGUUUUAAUGAUUUUUAUUUAUAAAAGAAUGUUUUGAUUAAUUAAAAUAAAAAAUGCUUUGAUUUCAUUUAAAGAAAAUGCUUUCAAAAAAUUUAUUUACAAAAAAUAAAAUAAAAUCCCAUGACUCCCAUGUGAAAUAGUUUAGUGUUAAAACCUCAUGUAAAAAAAUACCAUGAAUGAUUCUACUUCAUUUACAAAGGAAAUAAUAAUAAUAAUAAUAAUAAUAAUAAUAAUAAUAAUAAUAAUAAUAAUAAUAAUAAUAAUAAAAAGAAAAGAAAAAAAAUGUUGAAAAUAAUUUAAAUAUUACGAUUUUUUUAUUUGAAGAAAAGAAAAAAAAUGUUGAAAAUAAUUUAAAUAUUACGAUUUUUUUAUUUGAACAAAGCUAUCAUAAAUGGUAUCAUUAUUAAAAGUUAUAUAUAUUUAUGCACUCACUUUGCCAUCACUUGAGAACUUUUGGGAGAGGAGCUUAAUUACAGGAUAUGACAAAUGAAUCAACCUAAAAAAAAAAACAUUUCAAAACACUUGUUACAAAAGAAAUUGAUGUUUCAUUUUUUUUAGUUUAAAAAAAAAAACGUGGUUUCACAGUCAUCCACUACUCAAACUCCUCAUGGCUGCCAUGUUUCCACACACUCAUUCCAUUUCAUUUUUUUUUCUUUAUUCAAUAAACACCCAAACUUCCAAACACAUACUCCAUAGCCGGCUGCACCUCCAUUGAUUUUUCUGGUUUUUGUUUUUCCAUCCAAACACUUAAAAAAACAUGGUUUCAUAAUCAUCCACUACACAAACUCCCCAUGGCUGCCAUGUUUCCACACGAUCAUUUCAUUUCAUUUUUUCUUCAUUCAAUAAACACCCAAACUUCCAAACACAUACUCCAUAGCCGGCUGCACCUCCAUUGAUUUUUCUGGUUUUUGUUUUUCCAUCCAAACACACGCCACUAAUCUUUAUAUCUCCAUGAACACUCACAUGAAACUCUACUUUAAAUCCCAUUAUCACUGACCAUAUAUUCACAUUCUUGUUUGGAUUUCAGAAAAAUUAAACUCAAAACCCACUGACGAAAUUCAUAGACAACCACCCACUUUCACAUUCAUUUGUUUUUUUAAAUCAAACAAAACAAAAUCAAAGAACAAUAACCUUGCUUGCGGCUACCCUAUUUCACGACUGUGACACUUUUCCUUCCGAUUUGGCUUGUGUGUGUUCCUCCCCCACAAAGAAUCCCUGAAUUAGCUUGUGCGUCCUCCAAAAGUUUCCCCUAGAAACAUGUUCUCCAUGUUUAUAAUUUUCUUUUGAAUCUCAUUCAAAAAUCAACCAAAAUUCCUCCAAAACCAUGUUCAGAAUCUCCCUAAGACAUCCUUGAAUCUCUUUUCAAGCCCUUGCUAAAAAAAAAAAAAAAAACUUUUCUCUAACGUGCCCAGAAUCAUCUUGCUCUCUUCCCUCAUUGGAAUGGUAAGUCUUCUUUUCAUGUAAUGCUCAUUAUUUCCUUCAUCCAUGCGUGUGAUGUUCUCCCAACUGUCCCUUGUAUUUUUCCAUAAAACUGACUUCAUUCAUUCACCAGAACGCUGGAGAUCCCUCUUUCGCAUGCUGCUGAAUCACCUUUUACCCUCAUGGUGAAUACGUGCUGUCCAUUUUUAAGUCCCCCACAUCACUUUCCAAUGGUGGUUGCGUGUGGACCUUCCUUGUAGAUUUCCUCUAGCUCUCCCAAAUCCAUAGAUGCCUUUAAAAGACACUCUUCUUUCCAUCCUGAUUUUUCAUUCCAAAAAAUAUAUAACUCAUUGACCUUCUUUUUCCUUAAAAAAAAAUCUGACCUUGAUUCCCCAUUCCCAAAUAUGUAAUCGUUUCCUCAUGCAAACCAAACUAAAAUAAACUUAAAAAAGUAAAAAAAAAAAAACUAAUGAAAAUCUUGAGAUUAAUAAAUAAAAUAAAAGAAGACUAAAAAAAAAAAGACUAAAUUACGUAAUUCUAUGAUUUAAUAAUGCAACCACAUGCAUAUUUAAAGUCAAAGCAAUUCAAGCAAUUUUCUAUUAAAUAAGCAAAUAAAUAAAAAAAAAGUAAACAAAAUAAGUAUAAUUAUUAAAUGCAUGCAAUAAUAAUAAAAAGAUUAAAAGAAUAAAAAUAAAAAUAAAAAUAAAAUAAUAAAAAUAAAGUCACAAUGGGCCUAGGGUGCCUAAAUGGGCCUAGGGUGCCUAAGUGAGCCUGAGGUGCCUAAGUGAUCCUAAGUCUAAAUAGGGAUGCUAAAAGUCACAAUGGGGUUAGGUAAAUCCCUUAACCAAAGUCUCCAAGGUGGCUACUCCACAAUCAGUAGUCUCCUCUAGAAAGCACAAAGAUAAGAAGUUGGCUUGAUCUGGUGACGAAUGAGCAAUCAUCACUGAAACUGGUGCGCUAGAAGUCUCAUCUCCCAACUGUAACUGGUGAAACUGAUGCUGAAGCUCAUCCAUUCCCUCUAUAUCAGUCACAACGCCAAAAUCCCCCAUAUACGGAUGAACCUCUGAUUCUCUGACAAAGUAGUCUGCCAAACUCAUCCUAUAAGGACGAACAGAAUAAUCGAAUGGUGUGCAAGUCAGAUGGGCUCUCACUCUCUCCCGGUGCAGACGCGCCAUAUACAUAUAGUCAGCCUCUGUAGGAAAAGACCCAAGCCCAAAUGGUGUAUCAUGAUCGACAGUAGCCACAAACUCCAUGGGUCCAUGCUGACGCCGUCCCGACCCCAAACCAGGCAUAAAAGACAUACCCCUCAUCAUGUCGAGUACCACCCUACUACUAUGUUGAUCAAAUGACAUAGCUAUGAGAUCUCUGUAGAAGUCCCCAACCUUGAGAGUCUGCACCUCAUCAAAUGUAAACCCAAUAAAAAAUAGGUCAUCCUCACUAUGACUAAUCUGAAGCACCGGCUCGGAGGAGGUAAACAUAUCUCUAGGAGACUAUACUGUGAUGACCUGCCUGUCAUGUAUAAACUUCACCUUCUGAUGAAGGAAAGAUGGAAUAGCCCCAGCCCUAUGAAUCUAAGGUCGACCUAGAAGUAGGUUAAAGGAUGUAGGAAUCCUCAAAACCUGGAAUAGGAUGGGGAAUGUAGUCGGACCAAUCAACAACUCUAUCAUCAAAGUACCCAUGACCUCCCUUUUAGUACUGUCAUACGCUCUGAUCGUUUGUGUAGAGGGACCGAAGUCUGAAGGUGCAUAACCAAGGGCAAUAUCAGUAGCCAAUGGACAGACAUUUAAGGCCGAGCCAUUAUCCAACAGGAAGGAUGGAACUCUAUGGCCUGAACAACCAACUAUAAUAUAUAAAGGGCGUGUAUGAUCUGAACCCUUUGGUGGCAAGUCAUCAUCUAAAAACACAAAACAUGUGGCCCUGUCGACCGUCAUCAUAUGAAUCAACCCCUCCGGGGUAGUGGUGGUCUCCACACGGAUUUAGCUCAAAGCCCGAAUCAAUGCAUCUAUAUGAGUACUAGAAGAUGCUAGCAAACUCCAGAUAGAUAUGCGGGCCUGUGUACUCUGUAACUGCCUCAGUAUCUCAUCAUCCUCUCUCUUGACCUCCUCAUGAGAGUCUACACCAUCAAAUGGCCUACCUACUAGAGGUGGGGGCUAAGCUACUCUCCCACUACGGGUCACAAUCUGUACAUCUCUCCCCUCCAAAUCAUCAUCAUCUGGUCGUAGGAUAAAUGGGACGGAUGGACCCUAACGUGUCGUAGCCAACGAUGCAGUAGGAGUUAACUCAAACGGUACCCAAUCUGAAAUCAAACUGAACGGAGUAGAAGUCUGAGAACCCACUGUGUUAACCUCAUAACCAUCAUCCAAAACAAUCAGCUUUGACAAUCCAUCAUCCCAACUUAUCAUGUGUAUGUUGUCUUCCUUUACAAAAUCUAUGUGAUGGAUACUGCCCGGGGGUGGUGGCACUUCAUGCGUAGAGUGAGUCGAUAGAGGGUUCAUGGUUACACUUGGCUGCCCCAAGUUAACCAGAUCCUGAUCUAUCAAGUCCUGUAUAGCAUGUUUUAAGGCGGCGCAAUGAUCCGUGUCAUGCCUUGGACCCUGAUGGUAGGAACAAUGCAGAUCCAUCUUGAAGCCCGGUGGCACGGGCUGGGGUAUAGGCCUAGGUGCCAAUUGAGUCAACAAACCACCCUCCAUGAGCUUCUGGAAAGCUCGACUCAAAGGCAUACCUAGCUGGGAGAACUGUCACGUCGGCUUCUGUACAAGAGGAAUAGUAGUCUGUGGGGCUCGGGGUCGAGGUUAUAAGGUAAAAGGCCUCUCUGAGACCUGUGUAGCAAAAACAACCUCUAGGGUCUGGUGUAGGUAUGUAGGAGCCAUGAGCUUGGGCAGUCUAUAUUGAACAUAACGUUGUGGGUAAUAGGCUCCUGAAGUCUGCCCAAAUGUCUGAUAGCGCCUGGGAGAUCUCGAUCCUACUGAACUGAUAGUACCCACAUCUCCUAGUUUCUGUCCUUCUGAGGGCUUCUUCUCCUUUAGAUCAGAAGGGGAAGAAUUGGGCCACAAUCCUCUAGCAAUGCCCUCCUCUAUACCAUACAGAGACUGUACCAAGGAUCCAAAAUCCGUAUGAGGAAAUCCCAUCAAAUGUCUAGCAAAUCUAGGCUGUAAGAUCCUCAAAAUCAUACUAAUCUGGUCUUUCUCUGAAGGACGAUCAAUAAUAUGGGCAAUCUUCUCCCUCCAUCGGGAGAUAAAUGAAGUCACUGACUCCUCUAGUCCCUGUCUCAAGGCCUCUAACUCUCUCCUUGAGACAUCAAUGACAAUAUUAAACGCGAAUUGUCUCAAAAACUCUUGGGCCAAAUCAUCCCAAGUCCUAUGGCGUGAAGCAUCUAAAGAAGCAAACCAACGUUGUGUUGCACCACUCAAGGACAUGGGAAAAAACAUAAUCAAGUGGGCUUCAUCCAACCCAUGGGCCCUCAUCACACUACUGUAUAGCCUCAAAUGAAUCUUAGGGCAACCUAUGCCUGUAUACCUCUCAAUCUUUGGCAUCUUGAACUAGGUCGAUAAACUGGCCACCGAUGCUCUGUCAAAAUCAUCCUAACUGAUAGCUCCAUCUGAAACCCUCAUCUAUCUCAUCCUCUGCUCGAGUCUAUCCAUACGGGCAUGUGCAUCCUCUAAGGCUUGAAUGAGUGCUACGAUAGGAAGUGGGGUAGCCUCAGUCUGACUAUGUAAAACAUACAGUGCAGGGUGUGGAAAUGACGGACUGAGUGGAGGGGGUGGUGGUGUCGUAGAGUCAUAUUGUGCGCUAUCCUGAGGCGGGGCCUGCUACCCAUUUAUUCUCUGGCCGAGGCCAGCUAUAGCCUCCUGAAUCGAAGCCAUGGCCGUGGAACUGGUCAACAGUGACUACCUGAGAGUCCAUAUUUCUCUUAUCUACUCUCUGGUCUGGCUGAUCUGAUGCUCUGGUCAACCUGCCUCUAACUCUAGUCCACGAAGGCCAAUCCAGAUUGGGCACAAAAAUACUCCUAUAAACACGGAAACAUUGGAUGAGACGUUGUACAGGGGUAGCUUUGUAGGAACUGACUAAAAGGUAAUCAAGCAUACAACCCAUGUAUACUCAAACUGAUACUCGUAUCUGAUCAUACCAAAAUGAAACUAUAGAGAGGGUAACCGAACCCAACUGUAACCAAGGCAGCUCUGAAGGUCCACAUAUGCAUCCACAUGUAGGAAUGAAAUCUUAAUUGGGUAUAGGCUAACCUACAGUGGCUCUAUAAAAUAAAAUGGGUGGGUUAAAAGAUCCCUAGCAGAAGCGAUCGUACCCUCUGGUGGUACGCAACCCUUUGCAUGCCUCUAAGGAGAUGGGAUGCUUCCAUGCAAGGUGGUCAUCACUUCCACACAUGCACUUCCUCGCAUUCCCAGGGGGUUUCUUAAUGGCGAAGGCGCUCUCAUCUCUCAAUGCUCAGGGAUAAUCUAAAGUGCAUAGUGAAGGAUGUGGGUGCAUUCGAAAAACCUAAGGUCUAAAGUGAGAUAGUGAACAAAGACAAGUAAUCAUGCAAUCAUGAAAGAGCGAGGGUUUUCAUGCAACAAACAGUCAUACCAAGCAGAUAAAUAUCAAACAAUCAAAGUCCUAUCUAACAUAUGUGAGAGUGAAUCAUGCUAAAGUGAACAAAGUAGUCAAGUGAUCAUUCAAGGUAAUCAAACAUGUUAAGAUAGCAAAGCAAUCAAGCCAGCUAACUAAAUUACCUUGCCUAAAAAUGAUGAGGUACCCUCUAAUCGACUAAUUAAACGCCACAUUUUCCUCAACUAGUGUUCAAGCUUGAUUCUCAAAAUCCCCAGCAGAGUCGCCAAUUUGUGGACCCGCAUUUUUCACGUGAGCCCCCACUCAAUCGGCAAGACUCGCUUUUAUUUGGUGAAAAAUUAGUUUUGAAAAAGUUGGAGUCACUACUUUUUUAUUUUAUUUUAAAGGGAAAAUAAAAAAAGAAAGAAAACCCUAAAAAAAUGACUCCAUAAUUUUGGAAAAAACAUGUCUUUGAAAAACUCGAGUCUGGGUUUGGGGAUUAGGUUACUUAUUGGGAAGGUAUCUCUAGGAGGUAGCACCCCUCUAAGCCCUAUAAAGGUCUCGACUAACUAAAUUGAGGGAAAUGCGGCAAUUAAUUGGUUAAUUAUAGAUACCUAAGCAGGCUAGGUGAUUUCAAAAAUAGUAUGCCUAACAAGAAAGUGAAGCACAAUCAUAAAGAAGAUUUAGGGUGCGUACCUGGACCACAUCUUAAGCGUUGUCACAAGACAUCAGAGUUAGUUCAAAUAAUAUAUCAUCCAACAUGUGCUUUAUUAGAAAUAAUAGGACAAUGAAACAUAUAUAUAUCAAGACCCUCAAACACUAUCAAGUAUAGAUGCAGUUCAUAGUGACAAGAAUAUUUACAGAAUUUAGAAGGUGGGUCAUAGAGGAUGUACCGGGACAACAUAAAUAACUUAUAAUGUGUUUCCAUAGGACAUGAGGGGUUAGAUAAUAAUAAAAUAAAGAAAUCAUAGCAUGCUUGUUAUCUAAUUAGCAUAACAAAAAUAAUCAAAGUAUACGAAAUCAUCAAUUAUCGCACACAUCUUGUAUAUAAUUCCUAAAAAAAAAAAAAAGAUACGAUUUCAAUAAAUGGCAAGAGUGGCAGCAAAGAUGAGUUUAGAAAAGAUGAUUUUAUGUAGGGGUCUCACCAAUCCCCCAAUUGAUAUACACAAAUCUAGCCUAGAAUUAUCCCAUUUAUUUGGGACCACAAGCUUGGAUUCGUGUCUUAGUCAAAACUGUAGUUUUUAUUGAAAACUAAGUAGGAUGCGAACUGAAAAAAAUGGUUGCAUAUUAUUUAAAAAAAAAAAAUGAGAUUUUGAUUCUAAGGACUCUAAAUGAAUUAUUUUUAACACAAAUUUUUCAAAGGUAUCUUUUGAGAAAAGCAUUUGAUUUAAAAAUAAAGGAAAUUAAUAUGAAAACAACAAAACACAAGAAAUUAAAUACCGAGCAAAACAUAGGAAAACAAAUUCACAAAGUGAAAUUUUUGACAAUUCGAGCAAACUAAAGUGGUGAGAAUGGAGGUCAAUCUUCACUAUUUUCUGAUGACCUCUAAAAAUUAAAGAUAAAAUUAUUAUAGCAACCAACUAGAGAUUUUUAGAUCAAGUAAACUAACAUUUUAACAAAUCUAACUUUCAAUUUACCACCAAGAAUUACAAGCUAACAUUUUAAAAAUCUAACUUUCAUUCUAUUGCUAGGAACUAUGGAAAACAAGUGUCUAAAAAAUGUUAAACUAGCAUAGAUAAUCAAGAACUAGCAUAGAUAAUCAAGAAUAAGAAAAAAAAAACAAUUAAAAACUUCAAGAAAAUCUUAAACUAGCAUAGAUAAUCAAGAACUAAUUGUUGGAAUUUUAAAUGCAUCUAAAGUUAAGAUAAAUCAAUCAAGCGCUUAUAAAUGAGUUUUAAAUGAAACUAAUAAUACGGGAUUAUCACAAUUAUAAACUUAGUUUCAAAGAAAUAAUAAACGUCAUUGGGCAUUAGGAUCACCAAAACAACAUCUAAUAACUUAAAGAACAACAUAUGAUGGCAUAGAUCAUAAAAAAUCAGUAACUUAUUGCUUAGAAACGAAUAUAAAUUAACAUGGGUUUUUAAAAUUAACUACUAAGGAUUCUGGGAAAAAUAAAAAUCAACAUGGAUCAAUAUAGAAAUGAAUUCAUAAGUAUGCACUAAGGUGAUCGAAUUAUUAAAUUGACUAAAAAAAAAAAGUAGUUUGAUUUCCACAAUAUGACACAUUUUUCGAAAGAUUUCAUGAGUGUUGAUUUAUAAAGAAAACAACUAAUUUCCAAUUCCAUAGUUUUAAUGAAUUUUAUUUAUAAAAGAAAAUUUUGAUUUAAACAAAAUGCUUUAACUUCAUUUAAAGAAAACGCUUUUAAAAAAUUUAUUUACAAGAAAAUAAAUGUUAUUACUUUUGUAAAAGAAAUAUUUCAUGAGUAUUAAAAAAAUAGUUGAUUUCCAAUUUGAUAGUUUUAAUGAAUUUUAUUUACAAAAGAAAGUUUUGAUUUAAAAAAAUGCUUUAACUUCAUUUAAAGAAAAUGACUUUAAAAAAUUUAUUUACAAGAAAAUAAAUGUUAUUACUUUUGUAAAAGAAAUAUUUAAUGAGUACAAAAAAAAUAGUUGAUUUCCAAUUCGAUAAUUUUAAUGAAUUUUAUUUAUAAAAGAACGUUUUGAUUAAUUUAACUAAAAAAUGCUUUGAUUUCAUUUAAAGAAAAUGCUUUCAAAAAAUUUAUUUACAAAAAAAAAAAAAAACCAUGAUUCUCACGUGAAAUAGUUCAGUGUUAAAACCUCAUAUAAAUAAAUACCAUGAAUGAUUCUACUUCAUUUACAAAGGAAAUAAUUUCCUAGGAAGAAAAUACCAAUAAAAUAAUAAUAAUAAUAAUAAUAAUAAUAAUAAUAUUUAUUUAUAAUAAUAAUAAUAAUAACAAUAAUAAAACCUCAUAUAAAAAAUUAUUCCACCAUUUAAAAAUAUUUUAUAAAUGUAAAAAUAUCUUUUAUAAUUUAAAUUUUUCUUUAAUAAGUUUUUUUAGACUUUAUUUUAUUUACAAAAGGAUGAUUUCCACAACUUUUUAUUUAGAAAGCAAAGAAAUUAUUAUUCUUAUUUUUUAAAACACAAUCAAUUUUAUAAAUAAGAUAAACAAUUAUUUUAUAUUUUAAUCCAAGAAAAAAAAAAGAAACAAGAAGUUUAAAAUAAUAUAAAUAUUUCUAUUUUUUUUAUUUGAACAAAGCUAUCAUAAAUGGUAUCAAUAUUAAAAGUUAUAUAUAUUUAUGCACUCACUCUGCCAUCACUUGAGAACUUUUGGGAAAUGAGCUUAAUUACAGGAUAUGACAAAUGAAUCAACCUAAAAAAAAAACAUUUCAAAACACUUGUUACAAAAGAAAUUGAUGUUUCAUUUUUUUUAGUUAAAAAAAAAAAAUGUGGUUUCACAAUCAUCCACUACUCAAACUCCUCAUGGCUGCCUUGUUUCCACACUUAUUUCAUUUCUUUUUUUUUUCUUUAUUCAAUAAACACCCAAACUUCCAAACACAUACUCCAUAGCCAACUGCACCUCCAUUGAUUUUUCCCGUUUUUGUUUUUCCAUCCAAACACUUAAAAAAACAUUGUUUCAUAAUCAUCCACUACACAAACUCCCUCAUGGCUGCCAUGUUUCCACAUGAUAAUUUCAUUUCAUUUUUUCUUUAUUCAAUAAACACCCAAACUUCUAAACACAUACUCCAUAGCCGACUGCACUUCCAUUGAUUUUUCCCGUUUUUGUUUUUCCAUUCAAACACACUACCACUAAUCUUUAUAUCUCCACGAACACUCACAUGAAACUCUACUUUAAAUCCCAUUAUAGCCGGCCAUAUAUUCACAUGCAUGUUUGGAUUUCAGAAAAAUUAAACUCAAAACCCACUAACAAAAUUCAUAGUCAACCACCCACUUUCACAUUCAUUUGCUUUUUUAAAUCAAACAAAACAAAAUCAAAGAACAUUAACCUUGCUUGCGGCUACCCUAUUAAAUGGGUGUGUCACUUUUCCUUCCGAUCUGGCUUAUGUGUGUUCCUCCCCCACAAAGAAUCCCUGAAUUAGCUUGUGCGUCCUCCAAAAGCUCCCCUCGGAAACAUGUUCUCCAUGUCCAUAAUUUUCUUUUGAAUCUCGUUCAAAAAUAAACCAAAAUUCCUCCAGAAUCGUGUUCAGAAUCUCCCUAAGACGUCCUUGAAUCUCUCUUCAAGCUCUCGCUAAAAAAAAAAAAAAAAAAAAAAAAAAAAAAUCCCUACUCUAAUGUGCCCGAAAUUGUCUUGCUCUCCCUCCCUCCCCCCUCCCCCCCUGGAAUAGUAAGUCUUCUUUUCAUGUAACGCUCACUAUUUCCUUCAUCCAUGCGCGUGAUGUUCUCUCAACUGUCCCUUGUAUUUUUCCAUAAAAUCGACUUCAUUCGUUCACCAGAACGCUGGGGAUCCCUCUUUCGCGUGUUGCUGAAUCACCUUUUACCCUCAUGGUGAAUACGUGAUGUCCAUUUUUAAGUCCCCCAUAUCACUUUCCAACGGUGGUUGCAUGUGGACCUUCCUUGAAGAUUUCCUCCAGCUCUCCUAAAUCCGUAGAUGCCUUUAAAAGACACUCUUCUUCCCAUCCUGAUUUUUCAUUCCAAAAAAUAUAUAGCCCAUGGACCUUUUUUUCCUUAAAAAAAAAAAAAUCUAACCUUGAUUCCCCAUUCCCAAAUAUGUAAUCAUUUCCUCAUGCAAAACAAAAUAAAAUAAACUUAAAAAAGUAAAAAAAAAAAAAAAAAAAAAAAAGCUAAUAAAAAUCGUGAGAUUGAUAAAUAAAAUAAAAAAAGACUAAAAAAAAUACUAAAUUACGUAAUUCUAUGAUUUAAUAAUGCAACCACAUGCAUAUGUAAAGUCAAAGCAAUUCAAGCAAUUUUCUAUUAAAUAAGCAAAUAAAAAAAAUAAACAAAAUAAAUAUAAUUAUUAAAUGCAUGCAAUAAUAAUAAAAAGAUUAAAAAAAUAAAAAUAAAAAUAAAAUAAUAAAAAUAAAUAAAUAAAUAAAGCACGUGCUAGUCAUACAAGCCAUGCAACCCUAUUUGCCAUGCAAACCAUGCAUCCAUGCAAAAAAAAUGAUCUAAAUGGGCCUAGGGUGCUUAAGUGGGCCUAAGGUGCCUAAGUGGACCUAGAGUGGUGCCUAAUGGGCCUAGGGUGCCUAAAUGGGCUUAGGGUGCCUAAGUGGGCCUAGGCUGCCUAAGUGGGCUUAGGGUGUCUAAAUGGGCCUAGGGUGCCUAAAUGGGCUUAGAGUGGUGCCUAAUGGGACUAGGGUGCUUAAAUGGGUCUAGGGUGCCUGAGUGGGCCUAGGGUGCCUAAAUGGGCAUAAUGAUCUAAAUGGGCCUAGGGUGCUUAAGUGAGCCUAAGGUGCCUAAGUGGACCUAGAGUGGUGCCUAAUGGGCCUAGGGUGCCUAAAUGGGCUUAGGGUGCCUAAGUGGGCUUAGGGUGCCUAAUGGGCCUAGGGUGCCUAAAUGGGCUUAGGGUGCCUAAGUGGGCCUAGGGUGCCUAAGUGGGCCUAAGGUGCCUAGGGUGCCUAAGUGAGCCUAGGGUGCCUAAGUGGACCUAAGGUGCCUAAGUGGGCCUAGGGUGCCUAAGUGGGCCUAGGGUGCCUAAAUGGGCUUAAAGUGGUGCCUAAAUGGGCCUAGGGUGCCUAAGUGGGCCUAUUAUCACCGACUUAGUUGUUCACUAAGCUCGUGCGACACUUAGGCAAGUCAAAACGCUUGAUCUUGCUAAGUCAGCCUUGCUCCCCAAUGUUUAGCUUGCUAGGCUAAGACGCUCACGACUCGAAAACUUAAGAAGCUUAGUAGGCAACUCUUUAAAGAAUGGAAGCUCUUAUUAACUCAAGGAAACCUUUACAAGUGCUUGGAAGCUCACUUGCUUGGUUAAGAAGUGAUUUGGGUGGUGCCUUGGCCAAAUGAGGGCCUCACCUAUUUAUAGGCACCAAUCGAACUCUUUGGAACCUUGGAGGGUUCCUUACAAAUCAAGAAUAUUCUAGAACUCCCUACACUAAUCUAUGUACAACCCUAUGUACAAGAAUAUACAAGAGAUCUCUAGAAUUCUCUAGAAAGCCUUGGACUCCUCUCAUGCCUUCCACCAUAGUGUAGAGAUGUGUUGACAUCUCUAGGCAUUUCUAGAACCUUCCACACUCUUCCCACCAAUGUCUUAGUGUAGUUGGCUCCAGGAGUCUCCAGAAGCUUCCCUCCUCCUAUAUAAGCCCAUGGGGAGGGUCAUUUGAAGCAUCUUGUGACAUUAUGGUGCCUAAGUGGGCCUAGGGUGCCUAAAUGGGCCUAGGGUGCCUAAGUGGGCCUAGGUUACCUAAAUGGGCCUAGGGUGCCUAAUUGGGCCUAGAGUGCCUAAAUGGGCUUAGGGUGCCUAAAUGGGCCUAAGUUGCCUAAGUGGGCCUAAGGUGCCUAAGUGAGGCUAAGGUGCCUAAGUGAGGCUAAGGUACCUAAGUGAUCCUAAGUCUAAAUAGGGCUACCAAGAGUCACAAUGGGGUUAGGUAAAUCCCUCAACCAAAGUCUCCAAGGUGGCUUAGAAAAGAUAGGCUACACAAGUAGCAAUGGGCCACUAGGUAAUUGUUGUAAAGUAUCGAACAAUUACCUAAUAGGACAUGUGCUAGGAGAACAAAAUGGAGGGUCUACACACACGACUAGAAAUCACCAUUUUAUUAUUUUUUAGCCAUUUUUAGGUAAUUAUUUUGUAAUAAGUGGCCAAUGAGAGUGUGCCACAUGUUAGGUAAUUGAUGAUAUUAUAUAAACUCUCUUAUUUAUAGGGUUUAGGAAUUUUAGAUCAUUUUUUGGGAGUUUGAUAACUUUCUUGGGAAGAAAAUGAGAACUUUGGUUUGUUUUCUUUUCUUCUUUAUUAAACAUAUCGUUUUUAGUUUAUUUUGACUCAAAUUAUGGAUUUGUACCCUAUUAUGGAUUGUGAAUGUGACAUCACCCCCAUGAGAGGCUAAAACACCAACUUGGGGCUUAAAGCAUGAAAACCUAAGGGUUUGGAAACCUAUAGGGACAAUAGGUAAAUCAUUAUAACAAUGAGAUUAAUUAUUGGUUGAAUUACAAUUUAUCAAUUUUUUAUCCUAUCCUUGGAAGUUAGUUUAGAGAAUGAUACAGUAAGUUAGUACUCGAUACUAGUAAUUCUUGGUAACUCUUGAUCAUUAGUUAUCUCGGUCUUCUCUAUCAUUAUUUGCCCCAAAGCAAAGCUAUAAGGAGUAAGAAGGGUUAAAAAGCCAAACCUUAAACUAGUAAUCGAUAUCAUUCAUUUGAUGGUUUUAAGAAUCAAUUUUAAAAAUAAAAAUUUAGGUUUCAGAUGUAAUUUUGAGUUAUAAAACUCAAUAUUGAUCGCGAAUGGCUAAAGACCCUAAAACCCUAAGAUCACUUUACUUAAGAAACUCUUGUUCUCUCUAUUUCUAUACCUUAAGUUAGAUUGUGGAAAUCCCCAGACGUGAAUGAAUUAAAUUAAAAAUCAAUAUUCAUUUGUUAUUAAUUUAGUUUCUUUUACUUAGUUUCACUUCAUAAAAGUUACUUCACAUAUUGUAUUUCACUUUAGGAUUCAAACAAAAGCAAUUUAUUUAUCCUAGUAUUGACAAUUUCCAUAAGCCAUUCCUUGAGGAUGGUACCCGAAGUACUACAAAAGUCGUAGUGACUCUUUCUCUAGUUUUCCUUUACUAGAGUUGCUACAUAAAAGGCUUAGUAUUUUGAACAAUAAAUAAGAUUAGUCAAGAAAUUGACGCCGUUGUUGGGGAUUAGCAAUCACCAUAACUAGGAUAUGGUGCAUUGCUUUGUUAUAGUUCUUUGAAUUUUAUUUUUCUUUAUAUGUGUUUUUCUUCUAUUUUAUGCUUGGUUGGGAAAGAGAUCUUUUAGGUAGACUUCAAAGAAUAACGGAGGAAUCUCAACCAAAUAUGGACACUAAAGAAUCUAACAACAACAAUUAUAAGCCACAACCAUCUAUCCAGGACCAAAAAACUAUGAGAGAGUUUUUAAAUCCUCUCAAGUUGAGCACACCAUCGUGUUUUAUGCUACCUCCAAGUCAGGAUCAUGUUACCAUUCAACCUUAAGUGGUAUCUCAAUUACCCAUUUUUAGGGGGAUGGAAAUGAAAACCCAUACUCUCACAUCAAGGAAUUCAAGGAAAUUGUUUCAAUUUUUUGAGAAGCUAAUACUCCUUUGGAGAUCUUCCACAUGAAACUAUUCCCCUUGUCAUUGAAGGAUAAAGCUAAGACUUGGUUAUACAGUCUUAGACCCUAUAAUAUCAUAAAUUAGGGUGAUCUAUAAUUAGUGUUUCUGUAGAAAUUCUUUCCAACACAUAAGACUAGUGCAUUGAAAAAGGAAAUCUCAAAUUUAAAUGCUAUGAAGGAUGAUAAAUUUUUUACAUGCUGGGAAAGAUUUAGGGAGAUGAUCGCAACAUGCUCCCAUCAUAGAUUUGACAACAUGAUGCUAGUAUCGUAUUUGUAUGAAGGCAUGUCACAGCCAAUGAAACAACUUCUUGAGACUAUGUGUGGAGGAUUUCAUGAAUAAAAACCCCGAUGAAGCAUUUCAAUUCCUUGAUUAUGUUGUCGAGGUAUCUAGAAGUUAGGAAGAACCAAUUGUCAAGGAACCACCUAGAGAUAGAAUAGUGAACAAGGCAAGAUCUAGUGGAGUGUAUGCAAUACUAGAGGGUUUAGAAAUCCAAGAAAAGAUUGCCACUAUUAUAAGGAGGUUAGAUGGUUUGGAAGCUAAGAAAGUUCAAAGGUUCAAAUAGCCAAUGAGGAAAGAAUGCAACUGUGCUUGAUAUGUAAGUCCAUGGAACAUGAUGUGCAUUCCAACCCUAUAUUACCUAUAGUAUAAGACAUGUUCUCUGAGCAAGCUAAUGCUAUUGGAACCCAUAAACAACCAAUGAACAACUCUCCAUACUUUAACACUUAUAAUUUGGGUUGGAAAAAUCAUUCAAAUAUGUCAUGGGGAGGUAACAAUAAUGAUAAGUUCCAGUAUCAAGGCAAUCAAUAUCAAGGUUAUCAGAGUAAUGAACAAUAAGAAUUUGCACCUCAAGUAAUAACAUCACAAGGUUUUCAACAACAAGGACAAAUUUUAUCAUCUAUAUCAAGCUUGGAAAACAUGAUGAAGUAGAUCAUCUAACACCAAGGUAAAAUCAAUAAGGAUCAAGUGAGGACUAAUGCUCAAACAUCACAAGCAAUCUCAAACAUUCAAGCCACUUUCAAUCAAAUCACCAUAAGUAUAUCUCAAGAGAAAGGUAAGUUCCUUGCUUAGCCACAACAAAAUCUGAGAGGUGUAUGCGAAAUUUUAGAAGUAAGGAAUGAAGAAUGCAAGACAUUGAUCACACUUAGAAGUGGAAAAGGAUAUGAAGGACCUAAGAAUCUAAUGGUUGAAGACAAUGGCACCAAAGAGAACGGUCCAAAUUUGGGAAGAAAGAUGGAACUUGAAAAAGAAUCAGAGACACUUGAAGAAAUCAUUGUGAGUAAGGAAAAUGAUAAAUAUGUUAAUCCUUUGCCAUUUCCCACAACACAUGAAAAGCAGAGAGUAGGAGACAAGACCUUAGAAAUAUUGGAAGUAUUGAAGCAAGUUAAGAUAUAUAUCCCUCUCUUAGAUAAGAUCAAGCAAGUUCCCACUUAUGAAAAUUCCUUAAGGACUUAUGCAUAGUAAAAAGAAGGAUUAAGUUAAGUAAGAAGACAUUCCUCACCAAAUAAGUAAAGCUCCAGUGAAGUACAAAGAUCCAGGGUGCCCCACUAUUUCAAUGCAAAUAGGGGAUACAUAUGUGAAGAAAGUUUUACUUGAUUUGGGAGCCAAUGUGAAUCUCUUACCAUACUCUAUCUACAAGCAACUAGGGUUAGGAGAGCUCAAGGCCACUACUAUGACUUUGUCUUUGGUUGAUCGAUCUAUCAAAGUACCUAGAGGAAUAGUAGAGGAUGUGUUAGUAUGAGUUGACAAGUUCUACUAUCCUAUAGAUUUCGUGGUAUUAGACACUGAGCCAUUAUAUAAGUGAGUAAAUUUUGUGCCUAUCAUUCUUAGAAGACCUUUUCUAGCAACAACAAAUGCCCUUAUCAAUUGUCGAAAUGGAGUAAUGCAACUUUCUUUUGGCAAUAUGACAUUGGAGCUUAAUGUAUUUAACUUAAGUCAUCAACAAUGAGGAAGAAGAGAGUGAAGAAGCAUGUUGAAUUGAAACUCUUAUUCAAAGGACCACUAACCAAAUCUUGCAAAAUAUGGAACCAAUGGUUGAUUUAAUUUCAUCAAUUGAAGGAGUGCAGAGAAGAAAGUUGUUGAAAAUUCCCAAGGAAUGUAAAAAAACAUGGAAUGAAUAGGAAGAUUAACUUAGGUGUUUUGGAGGAAGAACUAUAUGAAAAGUGGAUGAAAGCAAGAGAUAAGUUGAAUUUCAUCAUGGUAAAGAGAAUAAGAGGAGAAAGUUCAAACCAAAUAUGAGCUAAGUUCCUAUUUUUGGCCCCAUCACUCUACUCAAUCCCAAAAUUGGCCAUAAGUUCAAGGAGAAAGACCAUUGCCUCAAGUCCCUUAGAGAGCAAGUGUGGCCAUGGGAGAAAACUUUCCAUCUUGUUGAUGGAGAUAUUCCAAAUGGAUGAUGCAUUUUCCUUUAUCUAGUAGGUAAAAUUAGGUUUAGGUUGUUUUUUGGUUUUUGUUUUUGUUUUCAUUUCUUUUUCAUUUAUUCAUGUUUAGGUAUUUCUAGUUUAUUUCUCCCUUAAGACUUUUAGGAGUUGAAUAGUUAUGCUAUGUUUACUUGUCUUUUCUUUUCUUAUUUAGGAUAUUUUAAUAAUUUUUAUCUCUUGGUAGCUUUCUUAUAUUGUUUCCCAGAUGGUUGGUUGAUAUAGGAUUUGGUUUUCUGAUUUGCCAUUCCGAUUCUAUGAUCAUGAGGUAACACUUCCACCUUAUUCUUUUCACUUGUUCCACACAUUAGGGACAUUGUGUAAUUUAGGUUGGGGGGGAAGGUAUAUUAGCCCUAAUUUUUUUCAAAAGUUUACAUGCUAUCUUUGGUUAAUUAAUGAGAUUCUUGAUUUGCCUCAGUGACUCAUGGUUUAUUUUGCAUAAGAAUGCUUUAAAUAGCAUUAUUUCUUUAGAAUUUGAGAAGAAAUGCAGUUAGAGCAAGAAUAUUAUUUCACUUACCUUAUCUUUCUAUACUUUUAAGUGCAAAAAUAGUUAGGUUGAAUCCUCGGAAUACCUUCUAUUUUUCUUUGAUGGUUAUUUUCUAUUUAAGACUCAAAGCACACACAAAGCAUGUGUACCCUUAUGACAUCUUGAUUAUGAUAAUUUAUUUAGCUUAAAAGAAGUUGGUCUUAAGAAACAAGAGGAGGAAACAAAAAAAUAAAAAUGAUUGAUUUAAGCUUUAGCAAUUAUCUGAGAGGGUAAUGGCCUUAUGUCUUCAAGCUCUAGUGCCCAAAACUAACUGGUUAGGAGUCAUCGGUAUCUUGCUCGUUACACAAGCUAAACUCAGUUUUGAAAAAAAAAAAAGGAUAAAUGUUUGGGAAAUUCGACCUUGUUCUACCUUGAACUAGGGUGAUACCUAAGGGGUAAGUGGCCUAUAAAGGUCCUUAAUGCCUGGUACCUUGGGUGAAAACUCGAGAGUUGCAGGUGGAUCCCUAUUGAGCCAUAUCAAAGGAGAUUUCCUAAACUAAGAAAAAAAAUCAAAAUAAAUUUUCUUCCAUCUUUAACUUAAAGAAUGAUGAAAUUUGAGUUUAAGAAAAAGUCUUUAGAAGAAUACUAUGAGGGGAUACCAAAAUUAAGCACAUGAGAUUUAGAUAGAAAGAACCGAUCAAGGGAAACUCAAGAGACACGAAGGGGAAUGCUAAACAUGGAUGCAUGUUUAUGUAUACAAAGAUAAGGUGAGAAAACUAAUAGAUUGCAUAUUUUUUGUCCUCUUACUCAAUUCUAGGAAAUUUGACUACUUAUGUUGAGUCACUAUGGAUUCAUGAAUCCCAUUACAUAUUUUUUAUUCUUUUUUACUCUUUUCAUUUGCUAGGGGCUAGCAAAGUUCAGGUUGAGAGGGAAUGGAGCCAAAAUAUGUGCUUUAAUAGCACAUAUUCGAUAUGAUUUGUGCACCAAAGGACACUCAAAUCACCCAAAUUGACCUAAAUUGAGGCUAGGGCCCUAGCCAUGAGUUUAACUUGUAUCUUGGAUAUUUACUCAAGUUCAAGGAAAAAAAAAAGGGUGCAAGUUGAAUCACUUUCGAUUUUGAAAGAUCAAGAAAGGGUUAAAUAAGGAAAUAAGCGAGUCAAGACUCAUGGACCAUGAGGAAAGGCAAGACGAGGAUAUCAUAAGUUUGGGAGAUGAGAAGUGACUAUUAUUGAAUAAGAAAGAAGGCAAGAAAACAUGAUAAAUGAAUCAUGAAGCAAGAUUCAGUUGCAUGGAAAUUUAGAACUCAAAAUCUGGUGGCAACAUAUACUUUGAUUUUAAGGACAAAUUUGGAGUACUUUCCGAAGUCCAUUUUAGUCAUACUAUAUAUUGUUUCGAAGCUCUAGAAGUUAGGAAUCCAAUUCUUCAAAUACUAUACAUAUAGGAGUUGAAAUGAAGAAGUUAUGGCCAUUUGAAUACAACUGCACAAAUUUGAAGGACCAUUUCGAAAUGAUUUCGAAAUUCAACUUAUGAAUUCGAAAUCUAAUUCGAAAUGACCCCAAUUUCGAAUUCACCCACUUCCACAUUGAUGUUUCACCUCCUCUACCUCGGGAAUUGCAUCUAGGGCACUCCAUCCACCCUAAGUGGGUCCCACACGACUAGAAAUCACCAUUUUAUUAUUAUUUUAGUCAUUUUUAGGUAAUUAUUUUGUAAUAAGUGAUCAAUAAGAGUGUGCCACGUAUUAGGUAAUUGAUGAUAUUAUAUAAACUCUCUAAUUUCUAGGCCUUAGGAAUCUUGGAUCAUCUUCCAGGAGUUUGACAACUUCAUGGGGAAGAAGACGUGAAUUUUGGUUUGUUUUAUUUUCUUCUUUAUUAAAUAUAUUGUUUUUAGUUUCUUUUGAUUCAAAUUAUGGAUUUUUACCUUGAGAAAAUAAAGGCUAAUCUUAAAUGAAAAAAAAAAAACACCCAAGAAGGGAGUGAAUUGGGUUUUUCAAAAUCUUUUUCAACACAACAAAUUCAAGCAUAAUUGAAGCAAAUAUAAAGAGAUAGAGUUAAAGAAAACAAACUCAUAUUUUAUAGUGGUUCAGCACUUCCUUGACUACAUCCACUCUCCUCAAGCUCCUAACCGAGUAAGGGUUCCACUAACUUGAAGCUUCAACCAAGCUUCUAAUCUCCAUUAUACUUGGAUUCCGACUCCAAUGAGCUCUUACACAAUCUCUUCAAGAUUCAACUCACUUGAAGGCUUUAACACUCAAUUUUACAAUAAUGAAUCCCUCAACCUAGCUCAAUGAUAGCUCAAAUACAAAUCAAAGCUAGGAUGAAACACAAAGGUGCACUAAAGGAUAUGCAAGUGAAGAUUUAAUGCACGAAGAAAGAAAUGAGAGCUUUUAAGGCAAGAACAAGUGGGUAGACAAAUAAAUGCAAGUAUUCUCUAUAUCAUAAAUGAAGUGGAACUCUCAAUUUAUAGGUUUCUAACCUCGAGAGCCAAGAAAAACAAAGAGCAGUCUCAAUCGGUCGAGUUGGGGAUCGACCGGUUCACUAACAUUAAGUUGCUUCAACUGGACUCGACCGGGAAGGAAGAUACCUCCACCAAGAAAGGAAGGCUACUAUAUGAAAGAGAGUGUUUUUAGCACUCCUCGAUUGGAUCUCAACCGAGCAAGGGGAACCAAUCGACCGGUACCCUGGCUGGUUGAGUCGGUUGGCCAAUACCUCGACUGGUUCAACCUUUUGGCCCCGAAAACCUAUCUUUUUCUGUUCUUUUCUUUUCUAACACUUAGGCUUGGCCUUUAGGUAAAUUAAUUUGACAAUUUUGAAACAUUUUUCCUAAGGUACAUUUGAUCAAACUCAAGUUUUAAUGAAAUUGUAACUUUAAAUAAUAAACCGAGUUUUCCAAAUAUGCAUGAAAUGAUAUGUAAAACCUAAGUGCACCCAUGCAUUCAUCUUACAUUUGUUUCCUAUGAUUAAAGGUCUUCCAAAUGUCUUGAUCUUGUAUCUAUUAGAUCCUUUGAUGAAUUUCCAAAUUUAUACCUAAGAUUCUUUACAAUUCAAACCAAUUAGUAACUUAACCAUGGUUUGUUAUCAUCAAAACUUGAUUAGGAGAACCCUUGGGCUAACAAUCUCCCUUUUUUUAUGAUGACAAACCUUGGUUAUAUAGGAAAAGAAAAAUCUCCCCUUCAAACCAAUCAUGGAUCAAUCAAUCAAAAUUUAUGAAGUUAAAACUAAGAAAAUCAAGACAUGUUAGAGAGAAUGAAUUUUGAAUAAGAAACACUGUAAGUCAUGAAACAUAUAACAUAUCAUAUAUAAGUAAAAAGUACAUGAAACAUUUAAGUCUAUCAUAUAUACGAUCCAAACAAAUGAUAUGGCAAUGAUAUGCUUGUAAGUCUCCUAGAUCCUAAAUAUCUCUCCUUUUUGGCAACAUAAAAAAGAAACGAAGUGGGUCUCUAUGAAAGCAAGGCUGAUGGGGUGGAGGUGGAAACACGAAGAGUAGGUAAGCCAUUCUCUCUUCAUACUGACUCUCUUGACAACCCUCAAUGCACUCAAUCCUCUGUUGGAGAUGUUUAAACGCAACUUGAUACUGAUCCAUGCGAGCCUCGAGACUCUCAAACCAUGAGGUGAAACCAGUCUGAUAUUGAUCCAUGUGAUCCUUCAUGGAGUAGAAUCAAGUAUCAUUGACUAUUACAAGCUCCUCCAUGCGAGUGCCGAGAAAGCUAUUAUGAGCAAAUAAAUCCAUCCAAGGCGCAUGAUCAAGAGCGUGAGGUGCCUAAUGAGGUGGUAUCUCUGUGUGAGGAGGCUCAGUGAAUGAUGGUUAAGAAGAUGGUCCUACUAUGUAAGUCAACUCAAACAUCAUCAGCUCAGAAAAUGUGGCCCCAAACUGAACACCCUCUGACUGAAGUGGAGGAAUGUCAAGCUUGGGCUCACUCUGCUUAAAGCCUCUCUAAGGGUCUACUCCACUCUCCAUUUCUCGUAUCUCGGUCUUCUUCUCUACUCCAGGAUGCACCUAUCCCUGUCCCCAGGCCUGUGCUAGUGGUCUCUCUACUCUCCUAAUCCAAGAACCAUCGGGGGCCUUUUCAAAUUUCAUCUGCCCCAAAGAUUGCUCAUCAUAUGUAUCAUAAAUGCUGGGGGCCUCAAAAUCUGUCUUUCUACUCAAAUCAACUUUGACAUCCUUGAACACUCUAGUGAGGAAGCGGGCAUAGGGGAGUAUGCAGGUUGUGCUCUCACAACAUGAGAUCAUGUGCAUCGUCGUCAAAUACCCCAAGUGAAUUCGUCUCCCCGUCAGAAUAGAGUCCACGAGGAAUGCCUCAUAAUAGGAGACCUCGUCUUGGUAUUCGCCUCGUGGUAGCAGGAUAGAGCAAAUCAUGUGGUGUAGUACUCUACUGAUCACGGUCAAGCUGUGGGUCGAUGGUUUGCCCAUCCUAUAGGCUCUACAAGUCCACACAUCCUCUGAAUGACCUCUAUAGGCUCGAAACCCGAGACAGUGAGCCAAAUCUUGGGCUUGUACACCUUGAGUCCAACUGGAGCAAUAUCGAAAAUGCAAAAGAUGCUUUUCGGGUCUAGCCGAAUCUCGGCUCCUCUAACGGUGGAAAUAAUUAGGCCACCAAUGCCAUAUAUCACCCUUGAAUAGAACACUCGCACCAAUGUUAAAAAAUCAGCUUCAAAAUUGUCACCAUGGGCAGUCAACCCAUCCUAUUGAGCAGCCCCUCAAAUCUGAAAUGCUGGAGUUUGGAAAAUUGAUACUUCUCCUUGGAACUACUUUUCUCUGAGCAAACUUUUGCUUGUACCGUUGGUAGUCCUCCACAGAGCUGAAAAUUGUAGUGCCAAACCUCGCCUUUCGACGAGCCUCCAACUGAGGGAGCUAAGACACCACAGCUGGGCGCUUGCCCUGUGCCCUAAGAUAGCCAACUCUCUCCUAUGAGCCAUGAGAAAAACAAAAAUAAAGGAUACGAGGCUGGUAGAGAGAAAAACACUCACAACCAAAACCCUAGGUGCACGGGAAAUGAGAAAACCUUGGUUGUGGCGCGCGGGAGGAAGAAAGUAUCGUCCAAAACCGAAACCCUAGCCUCCAAAAAAUCCAAUCAAAAGCCUUUAAUCGGUCCAAACUUUGCUUAAACUAGUCUUUGGAAUCCGAAAUGUGAAAAGCCCUAAAGAAAUGGAGAAGAAUAGUGGAGAAAACAACGUGUGGGAGUCUCUUUAAAUCCCUAGUCCCGACGAACCGAUUGACCAGUCCUGAUCUGAUCGACCGCCUGGUCAACGCGAUUAAUGGGUUUAACUUUUCAGCUUUUGUGCAUUUUCUCAUUUUCUGAUCCCCCUGCCUUUUUUAGUUGAAAUCCCCAAUUUUUUAUGCCCAAUGCCAAGAGAACUUCGACUUUUGGUCAAAAUUUGACCAUUUAUCUAAGUAUACGUUUAUAUGAUGCAUAUGACAUGAAAUUCAUGCAAUCAAAAGGUAUAUUCAUCAAGAAUUCAUUAAGCAAUCAUUAGAUCAUAAAGAAAUCACCCCUAGUUGUCUUCUAAUAUCAAUAAAUUGUUCUUCACUUAGAGGUUUUGUAAAGAUAUUGACAAGUUGAUCUUUUAUGCUUAUAAAUUCAAGUGUUAUGUUACCAUUUUGUGCAUGGUCUCUAAGAAAAUGAUGUCUAAUCUCUAUAUGCUUAGUCCUAGAGUGUUGCAUGGGGUUUUUUUGAUAUAUUUAUGGCACUAGUAUUAUCACAUUUAAUAAGAACAUGCUCAAAAGAUAAAUCAAAAUCACUAAGUGUUUGUUUUAUCCAAAGAAUUUGUGCACAACAUAAACCAGCUGCUAUGUAUUCAGCUUCUUCCGUUGACAAAGCUACCGAAUUUUUGUUUUUACUAUGCCAUGAAACAAGUGAGUGUCCUAGGAAAUGACAAGUGCCACUAGUGUUUUUUUCUUUCAACCCUACAACCGGCAAAAUUGGCAUCCGAAAAUCCAAUUAAUUCAAAGUUAUCACUCUUAGGACACCAUAAGCCUAUGUCUAUUAUCCCUUUCAAAUAUCUAAGAAUUCGUUUUACUGCACUUAAAUGAGAUUCUUUAAGACGAGAUUGAAAUCUAACACACAAGCAUACACUAUACAUAAUGUCGAGUCUACUAGCGGUCAAAUAUAGAAAAAAACCUAUUAUGCCUCUAUACAUAGUUGAGUCAAUGGAUUUACCUUUCUCAUCCUUAUCAAGCUUGAUGGAUGAGAUCAUUGGAGUCUUCAUUGUUUUGGCUUCUUCCAUGUUGAACCUUUUGAGAAGAUCUCUUAUAUACUUUUCUUGAUUGAUGAAGGUUCCUUCCUUUAGUUGCUUGAUUUGAAGUCCAAGGAAGAAGUUGAGUUCUCCCAUCAUGCUCAUUUCAAACUCACUAUGCAUACACUUAGAAAAUUCUUCACAAAGAGAGACACUAGUAGCUCCAAAAAUAAUAUCAUCAACAUGUAUUUGAACUAAGAGCAUAUCCUUUUCUUUGGUCUUUAUGAAAAGAGUUGUGUCAAUUUUUUCCAUUUUAAAACCCUUUUUCAAAAUAAAUUUACUCAAUCUUUCAUACCAUGCUCUAAGUGCUUGUUUCAAACCAUAAAGUACCUUUUUAAGUUUAAAAACAUGGUUAGGAAAGUUAAAACUUUAAAAACCAGGUGGUUGUUCAACAUAUACUUCUUCAUUUAUAAAUCCAUUUAAAAAAGCACUUUUCGCAUCCAUUUGAUAUAAAACAAAGUCUUUAAAACAUGCAAAGACAAGUAGCAUCCUAAUGGCUUCCAACCUAGCUACGGGGGCAAAGGUUUCUUCAUAAUCUAUCCCUUCUUCUUGAUUAAAACCUUAGACUACCAAUCUUGAUUUAUUUCUAACAAUUAUGCCAUUUUCAUCCAUUUUAUUUCUAACGACCCAUCUAGUUCCAAUAACACUUUGAUUUGAAGGUCUUGGUACUAAUUCCCAUACUUCACUUAUUUCAAAUUGAUUUAACUCAUCUUGCAUAGCAAUCAUCCAAUUUUCAUCAACUAAAGCAUCAUUUAUAUUUUUAGGCUCAAUUUGAGAGAUAAAAGCAAGAUUAUUGCAAAUAUUUCUAAGAGAUGAUCUGGUUCUUACCCCACUAGAUGGAUUACCUAUAAUUUGAUCUUGUGGGUGAUUGAUGACAAACUUUCAAUCUUUAGGAAGGUCUUGACUUGAUUCACCUUGCACUUCUUGAGGAGGGGGUAGUGCCAAUGGUGAUUCUUCUUUCUUGGGAUCCACUCCAAUUUCUUCUUGUUGCCCUCUAUCUUCAAUUUGCAAUUUUCCCAUGAAGGUCUCCAAACCUAAAUCAUCAUCAAAACUCUCUCUUUCUUGGAGAGAAUUGUUAGAUUCAUAAAAAAUAACAUGGAUGGACUCCUCUACAACCAUGGUUCUUUUGUUAAAAACUCUAAAGGAUUUACUUGAAGUUGAGUAACCAAGGAAAAUUUCAACAUCCGAUUUUGCAUCAAAUUUUCCAAGAUUGUCUUUGGUGUUUAAUAUAAAACAUUUGCACCCAAAGACUUUGAAAUAGCUAAUGUUGGGUUUCUUGUUUUUCCAAAGCUCAUAGGGAGUUUUCUUAAGAAUGGACCUCAAUAAUAUUCUAUUUAAAACAUAACAAGAAGUGUUAACCGCUUCGACCCAAAAACAUUUUGGUAAAUUGUUUUUAUUUAGCAUGGUUCUAGCCAUUUCUUGAAAAAUUCUAUUUUUCCUUUCAACUGCCCAUUUUGUUGAGGAAUUCUAGGAGCUGAAAAUUUGUGGUUAAUUCCAUGCUCAUUGCAAUAUUCUUCAAAAUCAAUAUUUUCAAAUUCUCUCCCAUGAUCACUCCUUAUACAAGUAAUUGUAAAACCUUUUUCAUUUUGAACCUUAUUACAAAACUUUGAAAACUCAUAAAAGGCUUCAUUCUUUUGACUUAAAAACAAGACCCAUGUGUAUCAAGAGAAGUCAUCCACUAUAACAUAUGCAUAAGAUUUUCCUCCAAGACUUGGUAUCCUAGAGGGACCAAAUAAAUCCAUAUGCAACAACUCAAGAGGCCUAGAUGUGGAAAUGAAAUUUUUGUUUUUGAAAUAGUUUUUUAUUUGCUUUCCCACUUGACAAGCUUCACAAACUUUGUAUUUUUGAAAAUUUAUUUUGGGAAGGCCUCUAACAAGUUCAUCUUUGUUGAGUUGAGAAAUGAGGUCCAUGUUAGCAUGUCCCAACCUCCUAUGCCACAACCAACUUUAGUCAUGCAUGCUUGAAAAGCAUCUAUCAUGGCCAUCAUAUUUUGAUAUAUUUUUAGCAUAAACAUUAUCACAUCUAUGGCCCAUGAAGAUGGUUUUAUCAUUUUGAAUAUCUUUGAUGAUGCAAUGAGAUGCUUCAAAAAUCACUUUAAAACCUUUGUCACAAAGUUGACUAAUGCUUAAAAGGUUAUGUUUUAAAUCAUCUACAAAUAUAACACUUUCAAUAAGAGAGGAUGUGCCAUUACCAAUGUUGCCUUGACCAAUGAUUCUUCAUUUUGCAUUGUCUCCAAAGUUAACAUAUCCUCCCUUUUUCUUUGUAAGGAAAGCAAACUUGGACUCAUCUCUGGUCAUGUGUCUUGAGCAUCUACUAUUCAAGAACCACUUAUCCUUCUUUGAACCCUACAAUAUAAAACUCAAUUUGAUUUAGGUACCCAUAUCCUUUUGGGUCCUUGAGGGUUAGUGACCUUGGAAUUUUCAAUCCAAACCUUUUUAGCUUUUGCAUUUGAAUUCUUUUGAGAACCAUUUCUUAAAGGACAUGUACUACUAAUGUGUCCUCCUUUUCCACAAAAGUUGCAAAUAGUGGAGGGACUUGCACUUGUGGAUUCUUUUACAAAAUAAUUUUUAAAAUACUUUUGAUUUUUUGAAGAUUUGAAUCCUAGCCCUUGUUUGUCAAAAUCACAUUUUUGGAUAGCUAGAAUCAUUUCAAAAGAUUUUUGUCCACAAGAAAAUAAUGAAAGAGAGGAGGUCAACUAUUCAUUUUUCUUUCUCAAAAUCUCAUUUUCUUUUUCAAUAUGAGUUUUAGAAAUUUCAACAAUUGAAAAUUUUUCUUUUACUUCUUCAAGUUCUUUUUCAAGUUGUUGAAUUUUCUUCUUAAGAGAAAUAUUUUUUAAACUAACUUUUUCAAAAUCCUCAUACAAUUCUUCAAAAACAUCAUGCAUAUUUUCAUCACUAAAGUUAGAGUUUACCUUAUCAAGUUCACCUAUUGCCAUGAAGCACAUGUUUGCCACUUCUUUCUCCUUUUCUUCUUCGGAGGAUUCUUCACUUUCGCUCUAAGUGGCCAUCAUUGCCUUCUUCAUUCUCCUCUUGGCUUCACUUUUGUAGAGAGGACAAUCAUAUUUAAUGUGUCCCAAUUUCUUGCAUUUGAAAUACACCAAAUGUAUUUUCUCUUCCCAUUUCUCCUUGUCACCAUGAGAUGAAGAUUCCUUUUUAGAAAGGUUUCUUCUAGAGGUGAACCUUCUUCCUUUAAACCUUUCACCCCUCAUGUAUUUGUUAAGCUUUCUUGUGAUGAGGGCUAAAUCAUCAUCUUUUUCACUUUGUUUUCUUCUUCAACAUCUUCUUUUUCCUUAAUUGUAGCUUUGAGAGCUAUGCUCUUCUUUUUUUUGUCUUCACCUUUUUGUAGUUUCUUUGCCAAAUUGAUCUCAUAUGUCAUUAAUGACCAUAUGAGCUCCUCCAUAGGUAGCUUGGUCAAGUCUUUUGCUUCUUGAAUUGCAGUGACCUUUGUAUGCCGCUUUGAUGGGAGUGACCUCAAGAUCUUCAUCACCUUUUCGGAUUCCUUGUAGGUUUUUCCCAAUGCUUCAAGACCAUUGACAAUGUCAGUGAACCUAAUGAUCAUCUCAACAAUAGUUCAUUUUCUUUCAUAAAAAAGAAUUCAUAGCUAUGAACAAGUAAAUUGAUUUUUGACUCUUUCACUUGAUUUGUUCCUUCAUGAGUUAUUUCAAGCAAUCUCCAAAUUUCUUUAGCUGAUUUGCAUUGACAUAUUCUAUUAUAUUCAUUUCUAUCCAUAGCACAUUGCAAAGUGAAAACAACCUUAGCAUUUAAUUGAAAAUUUCUUCUAUCAAGCUCAUUCCAUUCUUGAUUGGGUUUUGGAACCAUGACUCCAUCAACUAGUUUUGUAGGAAAAGUUGGGCCAUCUUCAAUAAUGUCCCAUAUGUCUAAAUGGGUUGAUUAUAAAUACUAAGUCAUUUUAUUUUUCUAAUAGGGAUAGUCGGUUCCCAUAAAAUAUGGAGCUCUAUUUUUUGCAAAAAAUUCAGUGUGAGAUGAGCUUGAUGGAAUAGCCAUUUCCUCUUAGCCAAUUAAGUCUUAAACAAGAGGCCUAGCUCAUAUACCAAUUGAGAAAAUAAAGGCUAAUCUUAAAUGAGAAAAAAAAAACACCUAAGAGGGGGGUGAAUUGGGUUUUUCAAAAUUUUUUUCAACACAACAAAUUCAAGCACAAUAGAAGCAAAUAUAAAGAGAUAGAGUUAGAGAAAUCAAACUCAGAUUUUAUAGCGGUUCAACACUUCUUUACUUAUGUCCACUCUUCUCAAGCUCCUAAUCGAGUGAAGGUUCCACUAACUUGAAACUUCAACCAAACCUCUAAUCUCCUUUACACUUGGAUUUCAACUCCAAUGGGCUCUUACACAAUCUCUUAAAGAUUCAACUCACUUGAAGACUUUAACACUCAAUUUUACAAGAAUGAAUCCCUCAACCUAGCUCAAUGAUAGCUCAAAUACAAAUCAAAGCUAGGAUGAAACACAAAGGUGCACUAAAGGAUAUGCAAGUGAAGAUUUAAUGCACGAAGAAAGAAAUGAGAGCUUUUAAGGCAAGAACAAGUGGGUAGACAAAUAAAUGCAAGUGUUCUCUAUAUCAUAAAUGAAGUGGAACUCUCAAUUUAUAGGUUUCUAACCUCGAGAGCCAAGAAAAACAAAAAGCAACCUUAAUCGGUCAAGUUGGGGGUCGACCGAUUCACUAACCGUUGGAGCAUUUAAUGCUUCGGCAGGUUACCGUUGCUUCAACCAGACCUCGACCGAGAAGGAGGAUACCUCGACUGGGAAGGGAAGGCUACUGGAUGAGAGAGAGUGUUUUUAAAACUCCUCGAUCAGACCUCGACCGGGUAAGGGGAACCGGUCGACCAGUACCCUGGUCGGUUGAGCCGAUUGGCCAGUGCCUCGACCAAUUCAACCUUUUGGCCCCGAAAACCUAUCUUUUUCUGUUCUUUUCUUUUCUACCACUUAGGCAAGGUCUUUAGGUAAAUUAAUUUGACAAUUUUGAAACGUUUUGCCUAAGGUACGUUUGAUAAAAACUCGGGUUUUAAUUAAAUUGUAACUUUAAAUAAUAAACCAAGUUUUCCAAAGAUGCAUGAAAUGAUAUGUAAAACCUAAGUGCACCUAUGCAUUCAUCUUACAUUUGUUUCCUAUGAUUAAAGGUCUUCCAAUGUCUUGAUCUUGUAUCCAUUAGAUCCUUUGAUGAAUUUUCAAAUUAAUACUUAAGAUUCUUUACAAUUCAAACCAAUUAGUAACUUAAUCAUGGUUUGUUAUCGUCAAAACAUGAUUAGGAGAACCCUUGGGCUAACAUACCCUAUUAUGGAUUGUGGAUGUGACAUCACCCCUAUGAGAGGCUAAAAAUCCAACUUGGGGCUUAAAGCAUGAAAAUCUAAGGGUUUGGAAACCUAUAGGGACAAUGGGUGAAUCAUUAUAACAAUGAGAUUAAUUAUUGGUUGAAUUACAAUUUAUCAAUUUUUUUAUCCUACCCUUAGAAGUUAGUUUAGGGAAUGAUACGGUAGGUUAUUACUUGAUACUAGUGAUUCUUGGUAACUCUUGAUCAUUAGUUAUCUCGAUCUUCUCUAUUGUUAUUUGCCCAAAAACAAAGCUAUAAGGAGUAGGAAGGGUUAAAAAGUCAAACCUUAAACCAAUAAUCAAUAUCAUUCAUUUGAUGGUUUUAGGAAUCUAUUUUAAAAAUGAAAAAUUAGGUUUUGGAUGCAGUUUGAGUUAUAGAACUCAAGAUUGAUCGCGAACGACCAAAGACCCUAAAACCUUAAGAUCAUUUUACUUAAGAAACUCUUGUUCUCUCUAUUUCUAUACCUUAAGUUAGAUUGUGAAAAACCCCAGACUUGAAUGAAUUGAAUUAAAAAUCAAUAUUUAUUUUGUUAUUAAUUUAGUUUCUUUUAGUUAGUUUCACUUCAUAAAAGUUACUUCACAUAUUGAUUUUCACAUUACGUUUAAGCAAAAGCAAUUCAUUUAUCUUAGUAUUGAUAAUUUCCAUAAGACAAUCCUUUAGGAUGAUAUCCAGAGUACUACAAAAGUCGUAGUAACUCUUUCUCCAGUUUUUCUUAAACAGAGUUGCUACAUAAAAGGCUUAGUAUUUUAGACAAUAGAGAAGAUCGAUCAAGCCUAUCUACAAGUUUAGCAUUAAUAUACCCAAAACCUCCUUGCAAAUACUGUCAUAGGUUCUAACUAUUUGAGUAAAUGGCUUAAAGUCUGAAGGUUUGAAUCCAAGAGCAAUUGCAAUAGCUAAUGGGCAAACAUUCAGGAUAAAACCAUUGUCCAAAAGGACAAAUGAGACUCAAUGCCUGAAGCAAACAACUGAGAUAUAGAGAAAAAGAGUGUGGUUUAGGCCCCUAGGGGUAAAAUCAUCAAUAGAGAAAACAACACAUGUGGUCUUGUUAGCUAUCAACAUAUGGAUCAGUCCAUCAAAAGAUAUGGCAAUCUCUACUUGAAGUUGGUUUGGUGCCAUAAUCAACGUCUCUUAGUAGGAUGUAGAUGAUGUUAGCAAACUCCAAAUAGAGAUGUGGGCCUAAGUGCUCUAAAGCUGCCUCAAAUUCUUAUCAUCCUCUCAAGAAGUAAUACCCUUAAAUGUUUUAGUCACCAUAGGUGGUGAUUGAGUCAUUCUCCUACCACGUGUCACAAUCUAGACAUCCUGAGCAUCCAUCUCAUUAAUAUCGGGCCUCAAAAUAAACAAAUUUGGAACAUCAUGGCAUGCAAGGGUUAAUGGCAAAGUUGGAGUCAAUUGAAAUGGCAUUACUUUAAGAAUCAAAUUGAAUAGUGCAAAAGUCAAUGAACUCACAGUAACUCCAUCUACCUUAGCAAAAUUGUCAUUAAACAUUGUGGGUAUUGGCUCACCAUCAUCCCAACUCAACAUAUGGAUACCAUCAUUAGGCUUGACAAAAUCCACAAAAUGUAUGCCACUUGCUAGAAAAAGAAAUAUAUGUAUAAAAUAAGUGUGUAGAGGGUUAGUGGUUACACUCAGCAAACCCCAAGUUAACCAAACCUUAAUCAAUCAAAUCUUGAAUGGCAUGUCUCAAGGCAGUGCACCAAUCGGUGUCAUGACCUGGCCCCUAAUGAUAUGAACAGUGCAAAUCCAUCCUAAAAUAUGGAGGAACAAUUUGAGGCAAUGGCCUAGGAGCUAAAGGUGUCAAUAGACCAACAUUCGCGAGCUUUCAAAAAGCCUAGCUCAAUGGCAUACCCAAUUGUGAAAGAUAUCAUAGUGUCUUCAAAGCAAAUGAAGCAAAUGUCUACGAAGCUCUAGGUCUAGGGUAUAAGGAUGGAGGUUUCUUUAUGACUUGGGCAACAUAACAUGAUUGUAUUGGCAUGGGUGGCAAAUAAGUUUGAGCAAAGGGUUGAAGAGGCACUUGUAAUCUAUACUAAUGUUAAGAAUAAGGAAGAUAGGCCUUUACGAGUUGACACUGGCUGGUGAUGCCUAGGAGGUCUCUGACUUAUAGAAGAAAUGCUACUGACAUCUCUCAACGUUUGUUCUCUAGAUGGUUUCUUCCUUUUAGAAUUAGUAAGGGAAGAAUCAUACCAUAAGCCUCUAGAAAUACCUUCCUCUCUGCUAAAAAGGGCUAAAACCAAGGAUCCAAAAUUUGUAAAAGGUACCCCUAAUCAAAUGUCUAGUGAUCCUAGGCUGCAAACUCCUCAUAACCAUUUGCAUUUGAUCUCUCUCUACAGGCAAGUCUAUAAUCUCUACAAUCUUUCCCCGCCAAUGAGAAAUGAUCCCUAGCGAAGUUACCAUUUUAUGGACCCACAUUUUUCACAAUGCAUCCCCACUUGAUGGUAAGACUCAUUUUUUAAUGAAAGAUUGAUUUUUGAAAAAGAGUUAAAGUUGCCACUUAUUUUUAUUUAUUUUUAAAGGGAAAACAAAAUAAGAAGGAAAACUCUAAGUGAGACUUAUUUUAAGGGAAAUGUUUAGCUAUGAAACUAAGUUUAGGUAUGAGGGUCUAUGAAAAUUAAUCAGUAAAUCAUGGAUACAAAGGAUCAAGAAAUAUAGAAUAAGGCAAUGAUGAUAACUAAUGGAAACAUAGCAAACAACUAAUUUAAACAAAACAUGUGUAUCAAUAGAAACAAAUGAAUGAGGAGGAGUGGAAGCAUACCUUGGUAGCAAACAAAGUGCUUUCAUGAGAAACAAGGUUUGCUAACAAGCAAUAAUAAAGAAUAUAGAUCACAUGCAUAAUUCAAGUCACAAAGCAAAGCAAUGACAAUUAGAGCUAAACAAGUUCUGUAUUUAAAACUGACUCGUAAAUGAAUGUAUUUAGAAAGACAUGGAUGUAGGGUUUCAACAAUACCCACAUCAAUAUACAUGAAUUAAUCCACAACUCUCCUUCUGACGAUCAUAAAGAGAAGCUCAUAAAAGGACAUGGAGUAUUCCAUUAUUUUGGAGUUGUAAAAUUCAUUCAUGUAAUUAAAAUCAAGAAAAUCGAAAAUUCCUUAAAAUCAAAGAAAAUUAGGAAUAGUGCAUGCUAUAGGAAAAUGACAACAUUUGGGAUUGAAAAUUUUUUAUCAACCCAGGGGGGUUUAAGGAUUAGACGUGGAGAAUAAAAGAGAGUUGGAAAUCAAUUUGAAAAUAAUGGAAAAAGCAUAAGAAAUACAAACUGUACUUGGAGAAGAGAGCAUAGGAGAAAAAAGUGUGCACUAUGCGCAUAGGCAUUGCACAUGACAGAAAAAGUGUAGCUGGGAAAAACGCAUUGAGGAGCUAAGGGAUUACAUGCAUAAAAGUUGUGUGAUCGAGUGUGCACUAGAGAAAAGAUGGAAAAGUGUGCACACUAACCAAUGCACAAAAGGAGUAAUAGACAUAGAAAAAUUGAAAACGUAUCAACUAGUGCGCAAACAAGACCAUCUUCAAGAGGAAAUGCACAAUGAGAAGUAGACACUAGAAAUAGAGAAAAAAACAACAAAAACAGAGCAUAAUCAAAGGGAAUAAAUAAACAAACAAGCCUUUGAAUGAAGCCUCAAUUCAUGCUUUAUCAACAGGCUAAAAACAAGUGAGAGAACCAAAGUGGUUUUGAAGCAUGAUAUCAAACAAUGAGGAUGAAACAUAGUGAAACUAAAGAUGAAACAACAAUAGCAAGUCUAUAGACAACUUGAAAAUCAAUAGAAACAACAUGUGGCCUCUAAUAUCCACACAUAACCAACAAGCAUUCAUCAACAAGAGUAGAUGAAAGAGAAAGAAAGCAAUCAUAAUUAAGAGGACUCACUUGAGAAGAGAUUGUUGGUGGACCCUCUCUUCUCUUCCUCUGGCUCUUUGUUUUUCUUUUUUUUUCUUCCUUUCCAUGCUUUCUUUCUACCCAACAAACUCUAACAUCAGAAUAUUGUCCUCUACCUCUCUCUCCCACACACAACAAUGUCGAACGUUGUCUCACUCCUACAACCACAAAAGAGAGAAAAAGGUCCUUCACAAAAGGCUAAAAGGGCCUUUUUAAAAGGCUAAGGACAAAUGAGAUGAGGACACUCCAUCCAAACCUAAAAAACUCUCUAAAACCCUAAAAAGAAACCCCCUAGUUGAAAUCAAAUAAAAAAAAAACUGAGUAAGGGUCCUAAUUUAAGGCUCACAACCAAAUUAACGAGUUUAGGCUAAACCUAAAGGGCAACUAAAAGCCAUGCUAGUAUCCAUGAAAAUCUCCCUAAUGGUUUCCAAAACUAGCUCGACAAUCAAUAACAAGUUUGAGUAAUAACAAACCACCAAGGAACAUGAUGAAUGACUAAACAAAAGGAUCCUAGGCAUGCACUACAAGGGAACACAAAGCGAGAGAAAAAUGAAUAUGAAUUGAUGUGCUAAAAGACAAAAUGGAAGGUCUACAAUAAGAUGAAGCAAAGAUGAAUUUUUUUUAUUCAUUAAAUUUAAGGGAGCUUUAUCAAUUUCAAUUACUGGUACAUUUCAAAAUUUUGGAAAGUGAAACCUAGGGCUUCAAUUUGGGAUAUCCAAUUUUAUGCCUUCAAAAAACAAAUUUGAGUAUUUCCAAUUAUAGACCUUCAAAAAAGAACAAAUUUGGGGAUUUAAGCCUAUUUAGGCUCCACCUAACUAUUUCCAACAUUGACUUUUGUUUUUUUUAUAUAUAUAUAUUUUUAACAUUAAGGGUAUUUUAGACUUUAUUUGUUAAUAAUAUCCUUCAAAACACGGGUCUUCUGUGAACUUUGGGUCAAUUAGAAGCUCCUUUCUACACCUAAGCAUGAUUGUCCUUUAAUUGAACUGUAAUCCAUGACUAUGCCUUCAAAACAUAGAAAAAUCUAACAAGCUUCAACAAAACAUAACUACAACCACUAAUACAAUCACAUGUGCCUUAUUAACUAAAGAGAGGUCGGAAUAAUUCUAACAACUUAACCACCUACCCUACUAGCUCUCUGAACGAAGGCUGCAACUCUGCUGAUUUUUUUCACUCGUAAGCUACUUGCUAAUUGACAAGCCAACAACUCUCCCUAGUCCCCUUUUCACUCCCAUACAAUAAUUGAUAAGCUAAAUACAUGUUUGGAUAGAUUUUCUAUUUAAAUAAAAAAAAAUUAUAAAGAAAUUCUAAUAAAAACCUUCUAAAAAUUUAAAAAUUUAAGAAAGUUUCACAAAUCUUGAAGAAGUUAUGAACACAGAUUCCAUUUCAUUCAUAAAAAUUCUUAGAUUUUAUACAGGAUUUUUAUUUCUAAAAAUGAAAAAUAGAGAAGCAUUCAAUCACCACAUGAGUGAUGUGUGUAGACCAUAGCAAAGCGAAAUUGGGAAAAAAAAAAUUGUCCUAAAAUUCUCAGGGAAAACUCUCCACCUCCAUGGUUUUGAAAUUUCUGAAUCACUCUCAAACAAAUACAUUCAUAUAUAUAUUAUGUAUGUCCACAACUGUAUACGCACAUCCAGAAUGAAUUAUCUAUGUUGAGACCAUUGAAGUUAAGAAAUUAUCUAUGCAACACACCGCUAUCUCUACCAAGUAUCACUUAUCGGCACUACAAGAAAAGCUAUUACUACAUACAUAUAAAUCUUUACACAACCCAAAUAACAUUUCAAUUUCCACCUUCCCCAAGCAACCAAUCAGCUCAGAAUUCCACAAGCAGCAAAGCUAGCCAAAAAUGGUGUUGGUUUCAAUGGUGGUGGUGGUGGUGCUCCCCGUCCCAGCAAUCAUCCGAAACGGAUCACGAUGCACGAUAUAUCAUCUUUGCUCUUUCUUUCCAAUGCUUCUGUUGUUAGACGUUUGGCUGCUACUUGAGGAUCUUUAAUGGAUUUCACCAUAUCAACUGCCUCCUGGUUUUUCAUAACCUGUCCACCAGAGCAAACAAAGUAUUUCACCAUAUAAGAUCUUCCGACAUGUUUAAGUGAGACUCAUUAAUCAUGUCACAAAUCAAUCAAAACAAAAGAAAAUACCGGUCCAUGAAAUAGACGCUUUGAAGCAAUUUCACCUAUAAACUUCCAUAAAUGCCAAUCAUCUUACAAUAGGAUUCUACCUAUAAAUUUCCCAUACCACUUUAUCAAGGGUAUACUGAUGCUCAGUUUCACCCUUAGUUUUAAAAGGCGCGCUUAAAGUGUGCCUGGGCUCAAGGCACAACCACUCCCUAGCUAUAGCACCUUUUACCAAGACAUGCGUCUUGUUAAAGAAGCACGGCUGGUCUAUUUUACUUCUUAUUUUUAAACACUUUUAUUCUUAAAAUUUCUAAUUGUAUAUUGAAAUUAAUAUAAUUUCAUUACAUUUUUUUUGUUGAAUGUUUCUUUUUAAAAUCGUAAUUUUUUUAUUGAUUGGAUUGGAUUUUGGAUCAUAUUUUAUAAAAUUGAUAUGUAUACUAGGUCAAGUUUCACUUCACUUAAAUGUGUGCCUUGUGUUGUGCCUUGCGCCUAAGUUAUAUGAUACUUUUACACCUUAGGUGCAUCUUGUGCCUUUUAAAACUAUGGUUUCAUCUUUAGAAGAAUAUGGGUUUGUGGCCUAUUCAAACCUCCAUGAUACUUUAUCUUAUCAAUUCUUUAAUUUAUCCAUAAUAAUAGCUUUCGUGAGUGUUGACAACAUUUUAAUUAGGGAUAUCAGUGCAUAUGAUUUAGUAUAGAUUUUAUUUUGUAUGGGAACAGUAUAACACCAUAUGCCUCGGGUAUUAUAUGAUGACAAAACAGAAGCUCCUAAACACAUCCUCACAUGCCCCAUGGCUACUAAAAGUCCCAAUAUAAACCCAAUGGCUCCAAGGACUAAAAUAUCAUAUUUACAAUGUAUCAGCCCAUUAAAAACAUGGAAAUAUCAAUAAAAAUAUCAACAAAAUAUUUUAUUACAGAAAUUUUAUAAAAGAAAUUAUAGGAAUUACCAUUAAAACAUAAAAAUUUAAAACAACACGUUCGAGAUUGUUAAUUUGUACAACAAUGCAACAUUCGAGUAAAAGCAUUUUCAAAAUAUUAUAAAGAUGACAAAUUUGUAAUGUAAAGGUGGGAUUAAGCACAUGAACCAUUAUGUAUAAGUUGUAUAUAGAUUAGGCAAUCUCGUGAUCAAAGAGAUUUGUUGUAAUUGAGUUAGGAAAGUUCUUAAUUUAGAUGCUAGGAUUUUUUGUGUAUAUAUAUAUGUGUGAGUCUCUGUACAACUCAAUUGGCUUUUCUUGCUUGAGAAUUGGUUUUAAACCCAGGACUGAAAAUUUUGAAAUAUCCCUAAUAAAGACAUAAGAAGACUUUAUCAUUUUGUUAUACUAUUUUCUCAUAUUCUCAAUAAUUCCAUGACGUUGUCGAUAUUCCCCAUGUUCCCAUUAUUUUUAUCCUAACAAUGUUUUUAGCUAGAAAUUCAUGAAAUAUCUCCAAUAUAUCUUCAAAAGUUAUAUAAUUUAUCUCAAAAUUUUGUAAUUUCUUUCCAUACAACUAGUGAAUAUUGAUUUGAUCUAUGUUAUUUAACAAUAGUCUAAGAAAUAAACAUUUCAUAACACUAGUGUGAAAUUGCUUAAACCUUUGGUGAAUAUAUCUGCAAGUUGGCAAUCAGUAAAUACAUAAGGAGUACAGAUCAACCCACUAUCUAAUUUCUCCUUAAUAAAAUGUAUGUCUAUCCCCAUGUGCUUCGUUCGAUCAUGUUGCACUAGAUUAUGUGCAAUAUUGAUUGCAAAUUAAUUGUCGCAAUAAAGUCUCAUUAGGUCAUCCCAAUCUUCAACCAUAGGAAUUCACAAACUUCUUGGGCCAUUGUGGGAAAUUCUACUUCUGCGCUAGACCUCAUCUCUAAACUUUGUUUCUUGCUUCUCCAUGUCACCAGAUUCCCACAAAAAAAGGUGCAAUACCCAGUAGUUGAUCUUCUAUCAACCAUGGAUCCAACAUAAUUUGCAUUUGUAUAUGUUUCAAGUACUAGUCUCGAGCUUUGUUUAAAUAAGAUGCUCUUUCCUAGAGACCCCUUAAGGUAUUGUAACACUUAAUUAGUAGCUUGUAGAUGAACCGCUUUUAGACUGUGCAUGAACUAGCUAAUCACACUCACAACAUAUGCUAUAUUCGGUCUCGUGUGAGAGAUAAAUGAGUCUUCUUACUAAACAUUGAUACAUCUCCCUAUCUACCGCAAUAUCUUCGUCAACCUCUCCAAGCUUAUGAGUAGGAUCUAUUAGUAUGCUUGCUUGUUUACACACCAACUUCCCUAUUUCCUUGAGGAGGUCCGUUGCAUAUUUCUACUAAGAAAUAAAUUCCCUGCUUAGAAUGUGCAACUUCAAUUCCUAGGAAGUAUUUCAACCAUCCUAACUCUUUAAUAUCAAAUUCCUUGGUCAAGCAUUGCCUCAAAGCUUGUCUCUCCUUUUCAUCAUUUCUUGUCACAAUGAUGUCGUCUACAUAUACCAGAAGAGUUGUAACUCCCCUUGAAUCUAAAUGCUUAAUGAACAACAUAUAAUCUCCCCGACUUUGUGUAUUCCAUGUUUUUCAUCACUUUAGCAAAUCUUAUAAACCACACCCUUGUAGAUUGUUUCAACCCAUAUAGAGCUUUCUUCAAGUCACACACUUUUUUAAUAGCUAGGUCACUUCCAAAUCCAAGAGGGACUUUCAUAUAAAUCUCUUCUUCUAAAUCUUCAUUUAAAAAUGCAUUUUUGACAUCAAACUGAUGCAAAUCCCAAUUAUAAUUUUUGCUACCAAUGAUAACAAAAUUCUCACUGUGUUCAUCUCGGCAACAAGAGCAAGUGUCUCAAGAUAAUCCAUGCCAUAUGUCUAAGUAUAUCCUUUAGCCAUCAAUCCUACCUUGUACCUCUCUAAUGUCACAUCUCAUCUAUACUUAACAGUAUAGACCCAUUUACAUCCCAGUAGUCUUUUUCCUGUAGGCAAAUCUACCAACUCCCUAGUUUUAUUUUUCUCCAAGGCCUCCAUUUUUGCAUUCAUGGCUUGUCUCCAAUUUUCAUUAGAUAAGACUUAGGAUAGAGUGAUAGGAAUAUGAAUAUUAUUCAAACUUGUAAGAAAACUCUUAUGGGAUGGAGACAGCUUUACAAAUGAUACAACAUGGGAAAGUAGAUACAAAGAAUGUUUAGUGCAUUCCUUCGUUCCCUUCUUGAUGGCAAUAGGGAGGUUUUGGUCUAUAGGUUUUUCAGACUAAAGUUUUAACUUAGUUUGUAAGGGAGAAUAAGAGAUUGUUACCUCAUUUCUAGAAGCCAGUUCAAAUUCUUGGACUUGUAUAAGUUGAGGAACUACAGCUUUCUUCCUCAAGUACACUUUGCUAGUCAUUCGAUUCUCAGGAGCAGGCUUAAUGGAUGACUCGGGUUUAGAGGAGGGUAUAGAUACUGAAUCAGACACUUUUAAGAGGGUCAAUAGGAUUUAUGAGAGGUACAAAUACUGGAUCACACACUUUAAGAGGGUCAAUAGGGUCAAUGAGAAAAGGAUCAUUGGAACAGAAGUCUUGAUCCUUGUUUUCCUCAAUGAAAUUCUACCUCCCAUAAAGAUAAGGAGUGGGAAAAUAAGACUCAUUUUCGUUGAAAGUAAAGGUGGGACAAAAAAAAAAUUUAGAUGAUGGAUGGUACACUUAUAUCCCUUUUGAGUUGACACAUAUCCCACAAAAAUACAUUUGAUUGCAUUUUCGUUGAAAGUAAAGGUGAGACAAAAAAAAAAUUAGAUGAUGGAUGGUAACACUUAUAUCCCUUUUGAGUUGUCAUAUAUCCCAAAAAAAUACAUUUGACUACUCUUCUAUCCAAUUUUCCCCUAUUUGGAUUGUGAACGUUCACAAAGGGCACACACUCAAAUAUCUUAGGAAUGACUUAAAAGUUUUAAAUGAUGGUUGUUCAAGCAUAAGAUGAUGGAGCCAAAUUUUUUCUUCAUUAAAAAGGUGGUGCUCAGAAAUAAGAGAUAGGGAUGAUUUGCUUAGUGUCUCAAAGUAGUAUAGUCCAUUCCAUUCUUUAGUAAGUCCAAUCAUCUUCCACAAAUUUUGGUCCUAAAAUACACAGUGAGUAUGGGAAAAAAUCACAUUACAACCCAAAUAUUUUAUAAGCUUUUGUACAGAGACAAGAUUAGUAGACAACUUUGGACAUGAAACACAUUUCUAAGUGUAAGUGUAGGACUAAUUUGGAUAUCUCCUACACCUGCAACGGUGGUUAAUGAACCAUUAGCUAUUUUCCCAUUGCUUGAAGAAGGGUUAUAAUUGUGAAAUUAGUGUGAUGAAUGAGUCGUGUGAUUUGUGUCACCUGAAUAUAUAACCCAUGAAUUGACAAACGUUUCAUCUGAGACUUUUAAUCCAAUGGAAAUAGGAAACUUACCUGAAAGUGUUAGUGAGGAGGUAUCUAAAGGUUUUUCAAGAGUUCUCAACAAAGUUCUCAGUUUUUCAAUCUCCUCCUGAUCGAGUCCGCCUUGUUCCAGGGAUCUUUCUUCAAUUGGUUGAAUAGAAGAUAAGUGUAAUUGUGCAUUAUCCUUUUGUUGCCUUCCAUUGUAAGUGGUUAUCAUUCCUUCAAAUUGAGUAUGGAAACCUACCUACAACGAUCGGAGAUGACGGGGACAAGGAGAUGACAACAAGGUGCAAGGAUGGUAGCAAUGGCACAGCGGCGAGGGGUCCUUUUUGCAACCUUUAUAGGUUGUGCAAGCUAUGCCUAAGAUGGCCCGAAGAUGAUGGCGACAUGAUCUUAGUGGCAAUGUGAUCUCAAUGUAAGGGUGGGGAUGAAAGCAACACUGUGAUUUCUCUUGCACUAGUGGCAUGAUGACAUGACGACUUCGGUUGUUUUGUCGUGUUCACGAUCUGGGUUUACUGCAACGAUUUGACUCAGACAAGAGGGAACUUUAAGGUUGACAAUGAAGGUUGACUCUAGCCUUCAACUCGACAAUGAAGGCAGAAAAAAAAUUCUUUCUUUUCCCAAAUUUACGAACCUAAGCUCUAAUACCAUGUAGAAGAAAGAUGGAAGGAAUAAAAGGUAUUAAAUUCUUUUUCCUUAAUCUUUUGCCUAUACAAAGACUCACAUAUAUACACAAAAAGUCCUAGCACCUAAAUUAAGAACUUUCCUAACUCAAUUACAACAAAUCCCUUUGAUCACAGGAUUGCCUAAUUCUCUCUACAAAUCAUAACUUCCCUAAUUUCAUUCUUCCACAGUUUGUGAUAAGGGGAAAUCAGUGAAUGUCCAUCUAUCAAAUUUAGUGGUGAAAUAACACUGUUUAACUGUGUAUUUAGCAAUGGAACCCACUAGGAUGCUGCUAUCCCCAACAGCUCAUGAAUUAUUAGUGUAAAUUAGGUGGACAACUACAAAACUUUCCAUGUUAUGGAACAGGCAUUUAACAACAUUUUUUUUUCAAUAACAAGGGUCCUAAAGUAUUCUGGUUACACGUGAAACAUUUCAAGUGAUGGAGAUGUGUAAUUAGGGGGAUCUUGUUAACAAAAUUAUGCAAUAAAAAAUGAACAUGAUCAGAUGAUUUCACACCAUAUAAUUUUCAAAAUUAUUAGGACCAUUAAAUGGAACACACUUUCAAAAACAGUCCUAUUAUUGUAACUGAAAGUGAAACAGACAAUUAGUUGUUAGUACAAUUUGUUGUCCAAUGACUAUAUAUAUGACAAGAAACAAAUAUAUGACAAGUUAUUCUUUAGCAGCAUUUUUUUUUAAUAUCCUGGCACCAACCUAAAUACACAACAAAAAUUGACGUCUUGAUUGCAUGGACAACUCUUUGACUAAAGAAUUCCCACCACUCUACAUACUAUGUUCAAUAACAAGAUCCAUACAUCCAGAAUCACUGGAGUUUUAUCUACAUGGUAAAGGGAGAGUAAGGCUCUCCUGCAGGUAUCUGAUGCCGUUGAGAGUGAAAGGGUAAACUAUAUUGACUUCCCUUGAUGUUUUAUUUCCUAUUUUCCUUUCUCCCUUUCAGCUUUAGCUCUAUUAAAAUUUCAAGCUUUGGGAUCUGAUCAUAAUCACCACCAUCUAUGGUAGAUACAGUCAAUUGUAGCCAAAGAACUCAACUAGUAGAAAGUAUAAGCAUUUGAAUGUGAGGAAAUCUAUGGUCUCCUCUGCCAGAAAAUAUCAAAAUUGCACUUUCUGUAAGAGCACAGAAAAUCUAAGCCCCAUAAUGGGACAAUCCACUUCUUGAUUCCAGCAAAGAUCCUAACACACAAUCCUCAAAAAUGUUUCUGCAUAAGAUUAAGCAUGAAGCAGUUGUUCACUCAAUUCAAGAUGUAUGAGUGGAUCCCUCCACCAUGUCAAAAGACGAUGAUGAUGAUCGUCAUGCUUGACACUCAUGAUUUUGAUAUGUUUAGCUGAAUAUGAGUACUGCUUGUUGGACUUACCUUUCCGCAGAGGCUUGAUAAACUAUUGACACCAUCACAAAGCAGAAGAAGAGAAGAGAUGGCCAGGAUACAGAUGAGAAGAGCUUGUUUUGUCACUUUCAUGGGGUUUCUUUCUGGUGAAUUCUAGAAGAGAGAAGUAGGCCAAAGUGAAAAAAUGCAGCCAAAUAACAUGGAGCAAUGUUGGAGUUUAGGGGAUUGGACCUAAUGAGUUUGUUGAAUGAAAGUUCUAAGUUGAAUAUUUCUUAUUCUUCAUUGUGGUUCUGGAGAUUUUAACAAAUGCACUAGAACUAAAAUGAUAAGAGAAUCUGGGGGGUUCAUAAAGUGGAAAUUUCUGGGUUUGUACUUAAGUUCAAUUUUUCUUUCAAGUAGCUGAACCAGAUCAAACCCCUUUGAAGGAGGAGUUCACUCAUCAGAAAUUCAAAUUCAAAAUCAAAUUAUACCAAACUGCUAAUGAGUUUUAUUUCUUCACCAUAGCAAUGGCCCAAGUAUGUUGUUGGAUGUUCCAUUGAAAAGUACUCACUGCCUUCUUUAAACCUUGAGCAAUAGAAGGGUGGGUAAGUUUCCAUAAAAUUCCUCAAAUAAGUAAUGUUUUAUGUACAUAGAUGCAGUGGCAGAGCCACGUUGCGCCCAGGAUGGGCAAAUGGCCCCCCUGAAAUUUUGGAAGAAAUAUGAGUAGGAAAUAGAUUUGAUCCCUUGACCUGAGAUUUUGAGAAAAUUGAAUGGCUAUCAUUAGAUUAUGCAAACAAUUUGGUAUCAUUUUGCCCCCCCACCCCCCUCAACUUUCUUUCUGGUUUUGCCACUGCUUGGAUGAUUUCUUAAGUAAGCCAAAGUAAGAAUUUUAGCAUUUUUGAAAUACAAGGGCAGGAAGUUAGCAAGUUUCCACCUAAUAUUUCAUGCAUAAAGAAGAGGUCAGUAUUAGUGGUCGGCGAGCCAGAGUUAUUUCAAAAAUCCUAAGGAAGAUCCCUUUAAAUGUGAGGAACCUCCAGAAAGGCUAGUGAAAUUCACACAAAUCAACUACAUCAAGAGUUUAAUAUCAACUAGGGAUAUCAAUUUUUUACAUGACUACUUAACAAUUAAGUUUGAACCAAGUAGUGUUCAUAUCAUAGUUGUACUGAACUACCUAACCCCUUCCUUGCUUAAUUCAUGAAGGAAAUAGAUUGUGUUUAAGUAGUUGUUUAAACCAAUUAGCUAAAUUCUCACAUUGGCAUAGUCAUAACACUACUUGCAUAUGAUCCCAUUCAAUUCUCAUAAGUUUGCUGCAAAUUUUUUUUAUCAUUUUUUAAUUUGACGCAGGAGCAAUAAAAAACUAUGCAACCAUCCACUUUCUGUAAACAAGAUAGAAUUGUGUUACAAUUAGAAAUUCAUCUAGAUUAGGUUACCACAUAUUUAGGUUCUAUAUUUUGUUUAAGCUUUUAUUAUUCUAGUUUUCUACUUUAUUUUCCCCAUCAGGAAUGAUUCAACUAUGAUUUGGAUUGUUGUUUUAUUAUAUGUAGGAUUAGGAUUAAAUCUAUAAAGACCUAGGUUGUAGAAAAUUAUUCAUUCAUUAAUAAAAAUAGUUAUUAGAAACUUUCUCUUUUCAACUUAUUCUAAGAGUUCUUUUUACUUUUUUUAUCCCUUCUUCCCUUGAUUGGACAUGGUAGAGAUUGUAGUGGAAAAGACAGCAAACAAAGAUGGCUAAGAUAAGGCAAGUGAUUGAGGAUUUUUAAGAGGCUGUGCAACUGUUUCAAUAACAUGAACUAAAGGAAGCCAUAUGCAGAGUCUGGAAGACAAUUGUAACCUUUUGGACAAACUGGAAGGUAGUCAUUAAAAUGAAACUUUUGAAGUAGAAGCCCUUUUCAUGAUGCUGGACAAGAGAUAGCAUAGAGCAUAGCAGAUUGGAAAAAAUAUCGGUUUGUGCAAUUGAUUUGAACUAAGGAGGAAUUAAAAUUGAAGUUAUUGAUUUCUUUUGGGAAGAUGCAUGCUGAAGAUUAUUUGGAUUGGCAAGCAAUUUUGAAGACCUACUUUUGAGUGGAAACCCAAGAAAGAAAAUUGUUAUUCGCAAAGAUUAAGUUAAAGGGUACUACAUGUCAAUAGUGGGAGAGAGUUGAAGAGCAGUGUAGACCGACAAGUCAAAUUGAAAAUCAGCACAUGGGAAAACAUGGAAACAAAGACUGGAAAAUAAUUCUUCUUGGUUGAUUAUGCUAUGAAGCUGUAUAAGCAGUUCCACUCCUUAAAAACAGAGGCAUUUCAGUUGCAGAAUACAUGUUUUGAGUUUCAUAAUCUCUCUAUUAAAGAGGAUGGUUCAAAUAAAAGUAAUGAACAAAUGUCAUGUUAUUACCUUGCAGGCUUGAAUUCAUCAAUAAGAGAUGAGAUGGUGGUGGUUUAUUUGUUCAACUUAGAAGAUUCAUCAAUAAGAGACGAGAUGGUGGUGGUUUAUUUGCUCAACUUAGAAGAUGUUUUACAUAUGCCUUAAUGGCUAGAAAGAAGUUAUGGUGUUGUAGUACAAUAAAACCUAUAUAUAGGCGCUUUGGUGCUAUGUCACAUAAGAAUAUAGCUGUUUUGGCGUUUUGAGUGAACAAACAGCUAGAAAGGAGUGGGGGCCACCAUAAUUAGUCGAACUAGUGAUAGUAUUAUUUGAGUUGACAGGAGUGGAAAAGGGAAAGAAAUACAUAGGUUUAAAAUGCAAACAGCCUUGCCACAAGCACUUCAAAUGGAACAACACAUCACAAACUCAUUGUUUCACUAAUGGAGAUAUGCAUGUUUACAACCAAGGGUAAACCUAACACUAUGAAGAUGAUGAAGAGCUACCGGAGCCAAUAUACAAAGAAUAUGAGGAAAAAGAAGAAGAUGUUGAUAGUUUUCUAGUACAAGCAGAAUCCUUGGUGGUGGGCCAAUUAACGACAACAACAACAAAAAUUGAAGAUUGGAGGCAACAUAAUAUUUUUCACACUUCAUGGUUUUAGUGGUGGUAAGGUGCAAUUUUCUCUUAUUUAUUUAUUUUUUAUUUAUUAUUUAUUUAUUUUUUGUUUCUUUUGUAGUGGUAGUAGUGAACACAUUGUUUAAAAAAAAGAAAAAGAAAAGAAAAGGCCCUAUUGAGAAGUUGUAGUUGCCCAUUGAGAAGCACCCCUCGCAAAAUUGCACAGUUUCAAAAGGGGGAACAAGGUGCCAAUUACUUCCCCCAUUAUUUAGUGAAGUUCAAUACAGGAGAAUGUCAAUGGGGGCUUGAUGUAAUGUUGUGUCCAUGGAUGCUUGUCACAUCUAUUGGGAAGACCAUGAUUCUAUGACAAAGACAAGACCCAUUUAUUAACCCUAUAUUGUCCUUGGUUAUGGAUAAUACCCCCUUAGAGUUCAAGUGAACCUAUUGAAAGUUAUUUCCACUCAGCUUGCUUCUCCAUAACUCGCCUCUUGAGAAAACAGGGAAGGUUCCAAUCUAGCCUGAAUAAGCUCAAAGGAUACACGCAAAGGCCUUGGUAGCAAAAGCUUAAAGAGAUCAGAAGAAAUAUAUCAUGUCCCAUGCAAACUCUAUAAUUCCCCCUUUAUUCUCAAAAAUCUUGAUAUUCCUCUUUGACUAUAUAACUUAAAUCAAUAUGAGACUAGGCACCUGCUAAAGAACCAUACCUCUAGAAAGUCCUUCAAAGCUAAUAAAGAAGAUGAUCAUAUUAAUCAUGUUCUUGGGAGGAUCCUUGUCAAUCCCUGUAAGCAAGCAAGUUGUGCUUAGGCCCAACACUUUUUUUUUUUUUUUUAAUAACCAAGGAACCUCCCAUGGCUGAACCUUUUCAACUCUCAGUGAGGACCCAAGCCUUAGGGUGUUGACCACACCCACCACAACCAACACCAGGUAAUUCAGGGCAUUCAACCAAUGGUAGGAAUCGAACUCGACUGUAUGGCUCUACCACACAUCCAGCAUUCACCCUAACCAACUGAACACCCUGAUGGGCUUUAAACCCAACACUACUGAGCAGUGCAAAAAUAAAUCAUUAGCCAGUUCACCACAUCCUGAAUGCAGACUGCAUAGACAUGAAAUGAGGCUUUGAUAUGGCCCUAUCAACCAUAAAUAUGACUUUUUUUAUCAGCCACAAGACAUACAAAGGCCUUCAUCUUAGGUGCAACUUGCUAGAUUUCCAAAUAAGGUUAGCUAGAAUGGAAAUGACAGCAUGAACAUGUGCCAAAAAACACUCUAUUUGAAAUCUUUUUGUAUUCCCUUUCUUCAAGCAGCUUUUCAAUGUUUCUAUAAGGAAGUUUUGGGUUUGAUGACUCCUUUAAUCGUUAGUUUCUUUGUUUAAGAGGUUGUUCAACAGAGGAUUUUGAUGAGUGGUUAGUCUUUUGUCAACCAAUAUAACUUUUGUUGAAUGUGGAAGGAAUCAGCUAAUUACAUCCUAAUCCAUUGUGGGAAGGUUUGCAUUCUAUGGUGUUGAGGAUAUUAUGCUAAUUCUAUUGAGAAGAUUAUGCUAAUUCUAAAUGAGAAUUAAGUGUAGAUAUUUUUGAAUGUACUCCUAGAAAUCAGAAUGUAAUUAGGAUAGGUCAGUUGUUUUUCCUUAUUUAGCUCCACUCAGUCAAACUAUAUUGUAUCAUUUAAAGUAUUGUACUCAUUCAGAAAAGCAAGAAAAACAUUUACCAAAGCUUUCUUCCUUGUAUCAGAACCCAUCUAGGGUUUUUGGAAUUUUUUCGUAACUUCAAUUUUUUUUUUUGUCUCCUUUUCAAAAUGUUUAAAAUAACUUUUGAGCUAUCUGAAACUUCAGUCAGGCAAUUCACAAUCCCUAAUGAUAGCCAUAAAAUUCAAAUCACCUUUCAUAAACUCAAUGAACAUAACUUCCUGUGAUGGUCUCAAUCUGUGAAGUUCUUUUGCCAAAGGCAAAGAGAAGAUAGGACUACUAGAUGGCUCUUAGAAGAUGCCCAAUCCAAAAGACUUAAGUUUCAAGGCUUGGGAUGCAGAGAACUCAAUGGUCAUGUCUUGGUUGAUCAACACAACGGAGCCUGAUGUCAAUCAAGGUUAUGUAUUCUUUUCUACAGCAAAAGAGAUAUAAGAAGCAGUGGCACUCACCUACUUUAAUCAGUAUAAUGACUCUCAGGAUCAUAUGAUGUGAGAAAUAAAGUGCAUGAGAGUAAAGGAGGAGGAAGAACAAUGACAGCCUACUAUAAUGCCCUUCAUCGACUAUGAUAAGAGUCAAAUAUCUAUCAGGACUAUGUUUGGAAAUGUCCAGAAGAUAGUGUGAAGUUCAAGCAGAAACUUGAAAAGGAGAGGGCAUUUGAUUUUUUGGUGGGUCUAAAUCCAAACUUGAUCGAGUCCAUAGUUGAAUUCUUGGGGAAAAAACACCACCAUAUGUCAAACAAGUAUAAAAUGAGGUUGGAAGGGAAGAGAGUAGAUAAUCAGUCAUGAUGGAUAGCCCCAACAUUGAAAAUUCAGCAUUAGUUAACAUCAAACCUGUGUCCACCCUAACAAGUGGGCAACAAAGUAGUGGAAAAAACAUCAAUGACAAAUAUAAGCUAUGGUGUAAUAAUUGCCACAAGUCCCAUCAUACAAGAGACGUGUACUGAAGGUUACAUGGAAAGCCUCAAGGGUGGAGCAAAGGAAACAAAAUUCCAAGUAAUAACGAAUGCGGUCUACAAGUCACAACUCAACCAAUUAAGAAUCAUGCGGUUGUAUUAUGAUAAGAAAGCAGCUAUUAACAUAACUCACAACCCAGUUCAGCAGAAUAUAAAAAAAAAAACACGUUGAGAUAGAUUGACAUUUCAUCAAGGAAAAGCUAGAUAAUGAUUUGUAUAUCAUUUAUCUCAACAAAAGAACAAUUGGUAUUUCACUAAAGGCCUUCCAAGACAAUUAUUUCAAUCUAUAAUUAGCAGGUUGGGAAUGAUACAUAUUUGAAUGAACUUAACGAUGAUAUUAUUUUGAUUCUAUUGAGAAGAUAAUGUUAGUUCUUCCUGUAAAUGAGAAUUAAUUGUAGUUAUUUUUGUAAUGUAACCUUAGAAAUCAAAAUGUAAUUAGGAUAGGCUAGUUGCUUUUCCUUAUUUAGUUCUACUCGGUCAAACUAUUUUCUAUUAUUUAAAGUAUCGUACUCAUUCAAAAAAGUAAGAAAGAAAUUUUCCAAAGCUUUCUUCACAUGAUAUAUGUUGUUCUUUUUUCUCGCAUUUUAUUGGGUGAUUCCUUGUUGGAUGAAAGACUUGUGGUCCGGUUCGCAUGGUAGUUUUAUAGGGAAUGAGCAUUCACGUCUGAACAGUGGCUCUUUUGUGCUUGUUUGGAUGCAUAUGAAAGGAGUAUAACCAAAGUUCCAUACAUGUGUGUGUGUGUGCGCACACAACAAUUUUCCCAUUACAAGUUACAUACUACACAACCUAAUCUCCUACUAAGAGAAGAAUCUACUUGACCACAUCUUGGUUUACUUCUAAAAGGAAAUGAAUGUUCAUCCCUUCUCCAAGCAUGUAUUGCCAUUAAACAUUCAUAAAACAUUGAAAAAUCUAAAUAUUGUAUCUCAAGCUUCAUUCUUUCAUUUCACAAAUGUAACACUAUCCACAACACCCAAAAGUUUUUAUUGCUCAACUGUGUGUUUCCUAUUCAUACAAUGUCAGAGACUAAAUUUUAAUUUAUGAUUUUUAUCUGUUUCUUGGCAGAUCACAUAAUGAUAAAAUAUAUAGUCCAAUGCUGCUAUAGUACUAACAAGCAAAACAAAGAAAAAGAAAAGGAAGCACUAGCUAUGAACUUUACUUCUUACAAACUGUUAUCUUCAUGAUACAGCAACAAAAAGAAGUCAAGAAACUAAUGAGUCUAAGGAUAUUCUGAACCACAUGGCAAUUCCAUCAUUCCAAAGUGGAACGACACAUUACCAUCACAUCUUUAACAAUCAUUAUGGUUCCUUAAUCUGCUUUCCCUAAAACAUUUCUUUUAUCCAUACAUUUAACUGAGGAUUCCUUUGGAAUUUUCAUUACAGUUGUCCAUAAAAAUUAGGACAUUGUGCUAGUUUUUCUCCUCUAUUUCUUAUGUACAUUUUGCUUAGAUUUAUUUUAAUCUAAUUUGGAUUUGAUUUUUUUUUUCUAUAAAAUCUUCCCACCAUCAGUGCAUAAAUUUAUCACUAGGAUAAGGUCCAGAAAAAAAAAUCAAAAAAAUAAUAAUAAUAAUUAUUGCAACAAAAUGCUAAAUUUAUAUCUCAAUUAUAAAACAUAAUUAAAUAUCAAUCAACUCUUGCAGAAAUAAACUUUCAGUUCAAAUGAUAUUAAGAAAAAAUAAACCAAUAUUGAGCACUUUGGACACUGGAAUGGUUUCAUUCACAUAUUGUUUCAAAAAGAACAGUAAAUCCAUAAUCUUGCUUAUUCCAAUGCGAACAUAGAAUAUAACAUGGACAGCUGAGAAAAAAGAUGAAUGAACAGAGAGGAAACAAAAGACUGUCAUCAAUAAGUUAGCAUAACAACUGACCUUCCAUAAGCCAUCACUUGCUAAUAUAACAAACUCUAUAGUUGAGUCUAUAGGCACAUGUCUUACAUCAGGCUCCGAACUUAAAUGUGCUUUAAGGCUUUGAUCCCCAAAAGCACGUGCAACUGCCAAUUGGCCAUUAACUCGAGGCACAUCUCCUGAAAUAUGAAUUAUUUGGUAUACAAUUGCCUUGAAUAAAUAACCUUAUUAUCAAUCAAAUAUGGUCCUAAUUAUUUAAAUUAAAGAAAUGACCCAGUUGAACAUGUACAUUGUGCACUAAGAUCUACACAAAGAAGUCAUUAGCUAAAAUUGAAUUGAUGAGUGGAAGAUAUUUACCAGCAAGAUUAGUCACAAAGCCACCUUGUUUCUCAAUUCUUCUUCGUUCACUGUCUGGCUCAUGGUCAACAGUUAGCUGAUUGGCAGCGCCCCUUUCACAGACGACAGCUCUGGAGUCACCAAUGUUUGCUACCCAUAAGUCUUUGCCAUCAAUAACUAUUGCAGUUACUGCCGUUGAGCCACCAGGACCUAAUUUCAUGGAGUUCUCCAGAAUAUAUUUAUCAGUGGCACGAUAUGCAUUUUUUAUUGCAAUCUUGGGGUCAUUCCAGAAGUUCGGCUGAGUCAAAUGGGUAAAACAAAAAUCCAAGAUUAGUUUAUGAUACAAAUGAUACAAAAUACAUUGUAAAGAAAGGGAGCUGAUACACACAAAGAAAGAACCAAAGUAUCCAUAACAGUUGUCAUCGACAGCAGAAUCAGCUAGAACUUAUUCUGAGUAGAUAAGAACCCUUGCUGCAUGGGCAAGGACACAAAGGGAUAAAUAAAUAUAUUUUCAUGCAAAACAUACACAGUAAUAGUUGCAUGAAGAUUCCAAUUUCCUCCCCCUUCUCCAAUUUCUUUUGAAUUUGGGGGCAAUACAAUCUUCAUUGUAAGGGUACCACCAAAACUGAUAGAACCGACACUUCUGAACUCAUUUUUCCUAUCAUUAUCUAUCUACCAAACUUUAAAAUACACACACACACACACACACAAUAUAGGUGUAAAAAUGACAGUUUGUCUGCAUGCACAAUUGUUUCUUUUAAGAAAACAAUAUUUUGCCUAGUAGAAAGAGUAAUCAUAGUUUGCUAGUGCAAGUGCAUGUAUGUGGGUUAAAACUGGGCCUCCAACCAAAUUCAUGGUAUGUGCAAACCCAACAUGACCAAAGCUCCCUUUAGGGAACUUUGUCAUACUAGGCAAGCAGCCACCUGGGUAAUUAAUCAUCUACAAAGUCUAGCUCCCAAAAUAAAGAAAAAGGGAUGCUCUACUGCUAGGUCACAUCCAAACCACUGUAUCCUACACAUCCUUUCAAUAGACUUUCCCUGAAUCCUUAAGAUUUUAAAAGUCUAGCUCCCAAUCAUUCAAAUGUCUAAUGAAACGAGAAUUCCAAUGUCCCUGUCCCCUAACCCCCCCAAUCAUCCCAAACAUCUACCACCCAAGCCUCCUUUGACGAACCUAAGGCAUACAAUGAAGGGAAAAAGCACUAGCUAAGGAUUCAUCCCACACUACUUAUCCUUCCAAAACUUCACCCUCCUCCCAUCUCUCACUUCAAAGGAUACUCUACUGCUAACUAAAUCCCAACCCUUCCUAAUGGUUUUCCAAACACCAACCUUUUACCCUCUCCUUACUUCAUAAGAGCACCAACCCCUCUCCUCCUACCCAAACUUUCCUUGGAUGACCAUUUUUCAAAAAGCCUCUGUCUUACACAUAUCUCCAACUCCAUUUUCCUAGACACUUCCUUUAGGUAGGAAGGGCUUUAGAUAAAAAUUCCUCUUACCAGAUGGGCCCGCCCCCCACACCUAAAGUCUUUUUGAAGUUUCUCAAUCCUCAAUCUAACCUUUCUAAGCAUGCUAAACAGGGACAUGAAGUAUAUAAGCAAACUAGACAAAGUUCUUUGAAUUAAGGCUAGCCUCCCUCGUUUUCCACAUGCAAGUCUUUGAAUGGAACCCCUAUUGGCAAUCCUAAAUAAGUAGUUGGAAGAUUCCCUACCUUACAUCCCAACUCAAGAGCCAAUUCCUCAACAUUAGCCACCCUCCUAAUUGGGAUCAAUUCACUUUUCUCCAAUUUAAUUUUCAUCUUUGAAAUAGCUUCAAGCUACAUGAGCAACCAACUUAAAUGAACCACAUAUCGUUGAGAGGCCUCACAAAAAAUUGUCAUCAACAAACAAUAGAUGGGACACCUCACCUCCUCUUGCCCUUACCUUAAAAACCAACUAACCACAACAACCCACUCCCCCCCCCCCCCCCCCCAACCCCUUCCUCCUUCUCUCUGGCCUUCUCCAACAAACAAUUAAACACCUCCAUCACCAAAACAAACAAAUAAGGAGAGAAGGAUCUCCUUGCCUCAAUCCUCUUGAGCUUUGAAAAAGCUAGGGAAGGUUGUUAACAAAAAUAGAAAACUUUGCUAUUGAGAUGCAACAUCCAUACUUUUAAAAGGCACGAUUUAGGCAUGCUAGGCAACACGCCACAAAGCUCCGGUGCCUCACCUUACUAUAGGCACAGCCCAUUGAAAAAGGCACUGCUUAGGCGUCUUUACACCUCACCUCCCCUUGUCCAUACCUUAAAACCCAAAAAAACACACAUUCUCUAACCUUCUCCAACAAACAAAUAAGGAGAGAAAGGAUCUCCUUGCCUUAAUCCUCUUGAACUUAAAAAAAAACCAUGAAGGGGCUUCGUUAACAAGAAUAGAAAACUUUGCUAUCAAGAUGCAUCAUUCAUACUUUUAAAAGGUGUGAUUUGGGCGUGCCAAACGCCGCGAAGUUUUGGCGCCUCACCUUACUCCAGGCACAACCUAUUGAAGAAAGCAUUGUUUAGACUUGAUAGGCACUCGCUUUUGACCAAGUGCAAAGCUUCGCAGAGGUGCGCUUAUUCCAAUUUUUUUUUUCUCCCUUUUUCUUUGCACUCGCCUUCAACUAAGCUUAACACUCUGCAAAGAUGAAUUCUUCCAUUUUUUUCUCCCUUCUUCUCCUUCACGCUCACCAUUUUUUCUCUCCCUUUUUCUUAAUGCUCGCCUUUGGCUAAGCACAAAGCUUUGCAAAGGUGCACUCCUUCUUAUUCUUUGGCCUCACAAUCGAGUUGCAACCUAGAUUAGGGCCUUUUUUUUAUUUUGCUUCACCCCAAAAUGUUGUAUCUUGGAUUCGUUGGGUUUAUAAGAAAAAACAAGGGUCAAAAUGGCAUCAUUUUGCCUUGUUUUUUCUUUAAAACCAAACUAGUCCAAAACACAACAUUUUGGACUAAAAUAAAAUAAAUAAAUAAAUCCCUAAUUUGAGCUACAACUAGAUCAUGAGGCCGAAGAGGAGAAUUGAGAAAAAGAAGAACUGAAGAAGAAGAAAAUGAGGAGGAGUCUGAAUUUCUUUGACAGCUCUUUGGUAUUUUUCUUUUUUUUUUUUCUUUUUUUCCUUAUCCAGCCUCCUGGUUUUCUCAUUUGCAUUUUUCUUACAAAUAAAUAUUGGUAUGAAGACUUUGUUUAAUAGGAAAAAAAUUUUAAAACACUCUUAUAUGCAUUUUUUUGCCAAAUAUAAUAUGGCUUGUUUAUUUAGUUUUUUUUUUUUACUUUUCAAUUUUUUCUUUUCUUAAUUAUAAUUAUUUUAUUUUAGUAUAGAUAAUUUGUUUGCAAGGAUGAAUACUAAAAGUGAAAUUCUAGUAGACUUUAAUGCAAGUGGAAGGAAAGAUCCUAGAUGAAAAUAUGCUCGUUUAUCAAAAUGAAAAUGAAUUAAACACUCAUGUGUGUUUUCUAUGACAAAGUAACAAAAGGAGGCAUAUCUACAAACAUCUUGUUGGUAGAUUUAGAAAUGCUAAAAAUUGUACAAAAUGUUUAGAACAUGUUAAAUAAGAAAUUGAAGAUUAUAUAAGUGCAAAAAAAAGUCAAAAAGAACGUAUGAAUAUGGAGUGCCAAAAUGUGAAUGAAGAUUUGUUUGGUUUUCAAGAUGAAGAUUUUGAUAAGAAAAUUAAUAGUAUAAUGGGUGUCACUAAUAUUUCUAGUGGAGGUAGUAACCAAGGGGGAAAUAGUGGUAGGACAAUGCAAUCUUCAUUGAAAAGACCAAGACAAAAAGGUCCCAUGGAUCAUUUUUUUCACUUCUAAUGUAGAGGUGGUUGUUCAAAAUCAAAAGAGUGGAAGGAUGAAUCAAACUACCAUUCAAUGAAGAGAAAAAGCUCAUAUGCUUAUCACAAGGUGGAUGUACAAGGUUGUUAUUUUAUUUAAUGUAGUAACUUAUCCGAGAUUUGAACCAAUGAUUGAGGCUAUUGACCAAUAUGAUGGAGGAAUGAAGGGACCAAAUCUUCAUGAGGUAAGAGUUACUAACCUCAAGAAAGACUUAGUUCUUACAAAGGAUUUGAUGAAUCUAUAUGGUGGGAUGGAAAAAAAAUAGAUGUUCAAUUAUGUCAAAUGGAUGGACUGACAUGAAAGAAAGAACUUUGGGGAACUUUUUGAUUAAUUGUUCAUGGGGAACCAUGUUUAUAGAAUCUAUUGAUGCUUCUUCGAUGAUUAAGAUGAGAAAAAAAUGUUUGAAUUAUUUGACAAAUAAGUAGAGUGAAUCGGUAAAGAAAAUGUAAUUCAAGUUACAAUAGAUAAUCACUCAAGUUAUGUGAUGGUAAGUAAGAAAUCCUACUUCUUGAAACUUUCAUUUAAUUUUUAAAAUUUUAAAUUAUUUAUCUUAGAACAUAUAUGAAUUUGUUAUGUGCAAUGUCACAUAAGGAAGUUGUUGGAAUUAAAGCAGCCACAUUUGUAUUAGAAACCAUGUGCCUCACAUUACCUUGACUUGAUGUUGGAGGAUAUUAGAAAACUACCAAACAUCAAGAGGACAUUGGAGAGGGCUAUAACAAUAAAUGACUAUAUUAAUAACCACUCAAAGCUACUCAAAAUUCAUCAGCCUUUGCAAGUGGUAGGAACUUUUUGAACCCAAAAUUCUUCGGUGAUAAACCAAAAAUGUAGCAUGAUGCAAAUAUUAUUAGUGAUUUAUAUAAAUGCAUCUUAAGGCUAGCAAAAGACCCUCUUAAGCAAGAAAAAAAUAGUAGGAGACUUUAGUUUGCACACAAACGCCCAAGAACUAUUCAGUAAUGAAUUAACUAUUAAGACAAGGAAGAGUGAUAGUUUUAUUUAUUUAAAUGAUUAUAUUGUAUUUUUUUUCUAAACUAGGCAAACUGUUUCACUAAAUUAUUAAUAUCUACACUACAACUGAAUGGUGGGCUGCAUAUGGAACCUCAACUCCAAAUUUGCAAAGGUUUGCGAUAAAAGUCCUCAACCUAACAUGUAGUGCAUUAGCUUGUGAACGGAAUUGGAGUAUCUAUGAAAAUGUAAGUGACUAAAAUAAUAACAAGUAAUAAAGCCUUGAAUGUAACUUAAAACUUUAAAAUAUAUUUAUGCACUUAUAAAUUUUUGUAUAUUCAUAGCAAGAGGAUAAAUAGAUUAGUUCAUCAACGUUUGAAUGAUUUGAUGUACAUUAAGUAUAACCAAGCCUUGAAGAGAAGAUACAAUUAACAUGAUACCAUUGACCCAAUUUUCUUGAAAGAUAUUGACGAUAGCAAUGAAUGGUCAAUAUGAAGAAUGGAAGAUGGAGAUCCUCAUGGCAGUACACAAGAUGAUAUUGUAUUUAAUGAUGACAAUUUGACAUGGGAUGAUGUUGCUAGAGCUACUAGAACUAAGGAGGGUAGGUUUGAUAUUAGAGCUAGAGCAAGCUCAAGCACAAUAUCAACACCAAAAGGAAGAGCUUCAAGCUCUAAAACCAUGUCUAUUCUUUCAUUAAUAGAUGAAGAUGAAGAAAUGGCUUAAUCAACAGAGAAGGAAGAUAGAGAAGGCAACACAUGUGAUGAUAGAAAUGAUGCUUAGUUUAUAUGCUUAGAGGUGCCUUGCACCUUUUAAAACUAUGGCAUCAUUUAAUCUACUCCGACUAUUUCUUACCAAACCCCAUCUUUCUAAGAAAAGCAAUCAAGAAGUCCCAAUUAACAUAACAAUACACAUUCUUGAUGUUAAGCUUACAAAUAAUGCCACUUGAUCCAGUCUUCAAAAAAGAAUCAAUAGCUUCAUUGGCUAUUAAGUGUCGCAUCAAGGAACUAUCUUCCCUCCACAAACUAAUUUUGGAACUCGAACACCACCCUUCCCACCAGCCUCUUCAACCUAUUAACCAAGACUUCAACAACAAGCUUGUACAAACCUCCCACCAAACUCAUAAGCUUAAAGUCUUUCUGAUAUUCAGCGCCCCCUUCCUUGGAAUUAACAUAAAAACAUAGCAUUCAAACAUUUUUGAAACUUCUGUUGGUGAUAAAACUCCCUAAAAGGUCCUAACACGUCAUAUUUUAAAAAAUCCCAACUAAAUUGUCAAAAAGCCAUGGGAAAACCAUCUAGGCCUACAGCCUUGUCCUUAUUCAAGUUUGACAAGGCCCUAAACACCUCCUCCUCAUAGAAAAGUGCAUUCAAUCCUUCAACUUCUAGAUUGUUAAAGGAUUUGAAGGACAUCCAACUAAUGUUAGGCAUCUAUUCCCCUGGGUCAACCAACAAAAAAUUAAAAGCCUAGCCUACCCCAUCCUUAAUCUCCUACUCCUCAACAAGUCAUGCCCCAUUGAUUUUGAUUUUGGCCAAAUAAUUCCUUCUCUUAUACGCAUUAGCCAUUUCAUGAAAAAAUUUAAUGUCCCUCAACCGAAUCUCUCUCAACCUCUAUCUCUAAGAGACUUCUUCCAAGGAGGCCCACUUGCAAUACUCUUCCUUGCUAUCCUUCUAGCUUAUGCAUCUUCUUUGGAAAGAAAGCUUCUCUUUCCUUGGAAUCCCAAAGGCUCAACUAAAAAAGAGUCAUCUCCUUCUUUACUAAUUGAUACAUUACCAAAAACCUCUUUGUUCCAAACUUUCAAGUCUGACUUCUACACUUUUAAUUUGGAGGCCAAAAUGAAGUUGUAAGAACCACUAAAAUUAUAACUCGUUCACCAUCCCUUAAGCAAAUCUUUGAAUCCCUCCCCCUUCAACCACAUAUUUUCAAACUUGAAAGGGAUACUCAUUUCCUUUCACCUUCAACCACAUAUUUUCAAACUUGAGAGGAAUACUCCUUCCACAAAUUCUACUACUACUACUACUACAACCACCACCACCACCACCACUACUCUACUACUACCAACACCACCACCAUUACUACAUUUUAUUAUUGUUAUUAUUAUUAUUAUCAUCAUCAUCAUAUUUUACUUUCAUACUUAUCUCUAGUAAUGAAGACAAUUAAUCAAAAGAACCAUUUUCCUAUUAUUUCUAAAACCAAGAACAAAUCUAGCUAGGAGUUGUAUUUUUGAGUUUGUUUUUAUUUUCUAAUUCAACUUAGUUGAUUCACUUAUUUUAUGUUGAGAAUUAUAUUCCCUUGGUAAGGCAACACCAAAAUGUUAGGUAGUUAAGAAGCAACAAUUUUAUUUAUUUAAUUUUUUGAAAAAAAAAAUUACCAAAAUGAGGAUGUUAUGAAAGAUGAAUGUGGAAACAAGAAAUAAUAGAAUAAGAAAUUAAAACAUUCAUGCAAUGAUAGGUAGCAAUUUGUCAUUAAUAAGAAACAAGGUAAAUAGAGAUCUUUUAAUAACUUUCUUUUUCUUUUUCAUUUUUUUUUUUUUUUUUUUUUGUUCUUGAUUUUUUUCAUAUACAAAUGAUGGUUCUUGCAUAAGCACCACACAAGAAGUAAAUCCUAGCACAAGAAAAGCAUACACGGUGAAGCUUAAUAAGCAAGAAAAGAAAAGCACAAAAGUCAAGAUAGGAAAGACAACACAAGGCCAACUACAAGCAAUCAAAAUCUUUAUUUCUCAGUUGUUAAGCCAAGCUAACUUUAUAUCCCCUUCCAAACAAAAGACAAGCCACCUCCCCUAAGGAUUUAUAAGACCAAGUUAACGAACAUGGAUGAUUUUUUGCAACUUGACAUUGAGUUGAGAAGGAGAUAUAAGCCCAAGUACAUGAUUUCCAAAAGAUUGACAAAGAGUACCUGCUUGAAAUUGGAAUUUGGGAAAUUUUGGUUUAAUUUGAAAGUUAAAAACAACAAGUUGUGAAGUCUAGAUUACAUCCAUUAAGACAUUAUUAAGUAGUUAGGUACUUUUAAGUCUUGUUAUUAAUUUUAGUACUUUUGAAUAAGUUAAAAAUAUUAAAUUAGCUAUUUUUUUAGAAGCCUCAAAGGUCAAUUGAGGUUAAGCUUAAAAAAUAUUUGGAUGUUUGUUGAGUCUACGAAUCUAUUGAUUAGUUAUAUAAAUAAUUAGUGCAUGAGUUUACUGGGAGGACAAGUUCUUCCAAGAGCCUUUAGAAUCUUUAAGGCUAUUAAGAUGUUCAAUGCAAGGUUUAGCUAAGUUAUCUAAAGGGAGUUGAUUUAUAGCGGGUUUUUGAAAUGGAGUGAGGUUUUGAAGAAAGAUGUCUUGGAUUGGAGUGCCCCUAUAGGCAGAUAUCCCUAAGUUUUUAGUAUUCUAUCUAAUAAGGGUCUAGAUAGUUUAAGGAUUUUGAAUGUAAGGAGAAGCAUGGGAUUUGUAGCUUUUAGGAGUUUCCAAAAUCAGGAAGCAGUCAAAUUCUUUUUUGAUAAAUUGUAUUGAGCAAUGAAAGAUUUUUUUUUAGAUGGCACAAGUGUGGAAAAUUCAAUUGAGAGGUUCUAAAUAAAUCCUAUUUUGUUUGCCUAUAUUGUUCCAAGAAUAUGUGGGGCUCUAUGGAUCUCUGUAUGUUCUCAAUGUGAACAGUAAUGAGAGAUAAAUACCUAAAGCUAAACCAUUUACUAAAAAGUGGGUGCAGCCAAAAUGGUGUUUCAUAUGUGCAAGAGGAAUGACAAAUCAGAGAAUCACUUAGAGUGUGUUUGGUAGUGAUUUUACGAAAUGUUUCAAACCUGUUUAACACUUGAAUGAUAAAAAAUUUUAAGUAUUAAAAAGGUUAGAAAUGCUUCCUAGAAUCACUAUCAAAUGGGCUCUUAGACUUAUUGAUGAACUUGAUUUUAAAAGCUAAACCAUUUACUGAAAAGUGGGUGCAUCCAAAUUGGUGUUUCAUAUGUGCAAGAGGAAUAGCAAAUCUGAGAAUCACUUAGACUUAUUGAUGAACUUGAUUUUACACGCUGAUCAACUUAGUAGAUGUUAUACCUCUCGUGUGUGCCUGUCUUCACAAUGUAGUAACUAAAAAUGUGAAUGAAAGAUAAAUAAUAUUCAACAACGAAGUAGGAAAAACCAACCAUUAUAAAUAAAUAAAUAAUAGAAAAAAUAAAAGGAAGAAAAAUAAGGUGGGGUAAGGGUACCUCCUCAAGUAUAUUAUUGAAAAGGUUAUCUUUCAAAUAACUUGGCACACUGUUACCAAGAUGGCCAUCAAAGAUGGCAAAUAAUCCAAGUACAUGGCUCUUCUUAUUUCUGUAUUCUGCAACAUGGUAGUCCUCCAUAUCAUGACCUGAUUUCCCUUCUACCAAGUGGAAUCCGUGAGCAACAAUGUUACUACAUGAUUUACAUUUCCCUUUUCCAGAGUCUGGAGUAGAUGAGUCUAGGCAUGUGGCCUUCUGUAAUACCAACAAACACAAAAAUAAGAAGAAAUCAUCAUGAUAAAAAUCCAAAAACAUUCAAAUAUUCUUUUCAAACAAUUCCAAAUCAUAGAACUCAUACAUAAACUAGGCAUAAAAAUUAGAAAGAAACAAGCGAGCAGUCGUUUGCAAAAAUAAAACACCUUGAUCUUGUUAAGGAAACUGGUCUUCUUAUCCAUAUCUCAAACAUAAACAACAAACUCUGCUUUCUCCUCUUCUUCAGACUUCUUACUUCAGAUAUCAAGCGAAGAAAAAGAGAAAAUACAUACACACCCAAGAUGGAAACUGUCAGGGACAACCACCCUAAAAUUCAAAAUAAUAAACGAAAUACAGAUUUUCCUCAGUAUGAACUCUGGAAGAACUUAUAAUCAAUAACAAAGAGUAGACGACGAUCAAAGCCAGCAAUCAAUUAAGGGAACGCGGAUUGUAAUUUUCUAUUGCAGGAAAAGAAUUGAAGGACAAAAGAAGGGUUUUAGUUGACAUAGUCAUAUAGAGAUGGCGGCAGAGUGGAACAAUUCCCUGUGGGCUCCACCAACGAACCGACCUUCUUUCUCUUCCCUGCCAAGCUCAUUCCUUGAAACUUCCGUCGUUUGUGACUGCAGCCGGUGACGUUGACAAGUUCCAGGUCCACACGCCAUAGCCUUUCCAAUCAAAAUUGGUGACUCAACCACCAAUUUAUAACUCCUUUUAAUCAUUUUAUUAGAUGGAAAUUAUGAGAAAUUUGCUGUCACUAUAUUUAAUAUUACAAUGGGUAUGGGCAAAGGCCACCAUGGUAUAUGUGAAAGUGAGGGAUCCAUGUAACAUACUAACAUCUAAAGCUCUUCAAAAAAAAUAAUUAAUUAAAUAAUUAUUAAUUAUUAAUUAAGGAAAUCAAGUUAUUUUGUUCUUGGAAGAAAAAUGCUAGUCAUAUAAUUACUUUUAUUAUAAUUCUCACUAUUUUGUUAAGUGUUACAUGACGAUGAUUGGAUUUUACCAAAUUUUUAAAUUUAAUAUAUGAGGACUUUUAAUCAUAUCAAAUCAUCCCACAUCAUAUAAAUCAUAUAGUAUAUUUAUAUUUUUGGAAAUGUGGACAUAUAAGAUCAAUCUUUUGUCUUUCCUUCCUUUGGCACAAAGAGAUAGAGUUUCUCACCUUGCAAUGGCGUGUUUUUGUAAAACUAAAAACUAGAGUUUCUUGCAAAGAGGUGUUCUUUGUAGAAUUUAUAACCGGAGUUCACAUUCUCAUCAAAUGGUGAUAUAGGGAAGUUGGAAGUUGACGAAGUGUUCAUCAACAUUUUUUUCAAAAAUUGCUCUUAAUCAAUUGGACAAUUCAAUAGAGCCUAAACAAUCUAAUAAAGUCUAGCCCAAUCCUAACCCUAAUAUAACCUAACAACUUACCUAACCCAAAACCAUCAAGCCUAAUAAGACAACCUAGCCCCAAACUAAAUGUCAUUCAAAUAAAAUUCAAUCCAGCCUAACAAAUGUACAUCAGACUUUUGCGAAAAAAAGGCACCAUCGCAUGUGAGAGCAACUCUCCAACUCUUGGCACCAUCAGCCUAAUCAUAUAUAUUAUUUAUAAUCAGUACUAAAUGCAUGAUGAAACUCUCUUUCUGUUCACAGAGUUAUACUCACUUUAUAGUUCUUUGAAUUGUUUAGAUGAGGAUCUAGUUGAACUAGAUAAUGAGCAAGUUUUGGAGGACAGACCAUAAGGAAUGUAGCCAUUGUUAUGUUUGUACUAGGUUUGUAAGUGGGCCCUAAGGCUACUUUUGUGUACUAAAUUUUUUUUUACCUUAGAAGGGUAAUGAAUAUGUAACUCCGUUAAUAUACUUCCUUGUGUUGUUUUGACAUAUUAUAUCUUGUUACACUCUAAUUUUUCUUUCAUAGGAUAGUAUCUCCACCUCAAUCUUUGAAUUAGAGAGGAGACAUUGUCUCACAUGGAUGGCAUCAAUAAGUGCGGGUUGCCACAUGCCUCGCAUGUUGUUGAAUCAACAACUUACAUUAAAGAUGUUACCCCAUUUUUUAUCAUCAUGUGCUAGACAAAAAUUGAGUAAUUCCAUGUUUUGAUGAUAACAAAAUGAGGUUCAAAUUUAAAGAUUUAUCUCAAGUGUGAUAGGUAAAGAAUAUUUUCUUUAAGUAAUCAAAAAGAAUAUCAUCAAGAUUAAAGGAGAUCAAAGUGCAUUUCAAAGUCUUUCAAGAUUUAUAUUUAAGAUAUAUAUGUAAGAUUAUGGGUACACUAAAUUAGAAUGACAUGAAUGCAUUUAAAUCUCUUAAACACUCUUGAUAUUAUUUUAGAUGGACAUAAUUGCACUUUUCAUAGAAAAUAUCAUUUCAAAGUAUCCAUCAUAAAAAUAUUUGAAAACCAUAUAAUUUAAGUGUUCUUCAACUUAAAAUGGUUUUUAAAUAUAUGUAAUAUCAAGUGUCUUAAUAUUAAAACUUAUAAAAUUGUGUAAAGUGUCAAGACUUGCAAAAUAGAAGGCAUUUGAAGGCCCAUCUAUAAAGCAAUUGAGCAAACGACUUAACCAACCAGUUGACCGGAGUGUCAUGGUGGUGUCCCCUUGUGUCUUUCAUUUGGCUUCAAUUAGAAGUGAGUUAUGGAUAGUAAAAUGCUUUAACCAGGAGUUAAUCGAAUGUGUAGUUUUAUUUCCCAAUGGUCGCCCAUAGUGUAUUUAAUACUAAUAACUAGUGAAGUGAUCAAGUAGGCAAUUGGUUGGGACUUUGAGAAAUUGUUAGUUAGGCUUUCAUUUCUUACAAAAAGACUCCUUAACUCUCAUUUUUAACUCUCUAACAACCCUACAUUAAUAAUCAUUUAUUGUGAGAGUACCUUUAGUGCACCUUAAUUAAUGAACUUACAUGUCCAUUUGGUGCACUUCAAUCCUAUAGUUUCAUUUUUAUUCCUUAAGCCAAAUUGUAAAAUAGGAAUUUGUACAAAUUUAUUAUAUCCUUGUGAGGAAAGAAUCUAAGUAUGAGGUAUCAUUUAGGGAUUUUCAAGAGUGGUGCCACUUGAGUAGUUGUUCAAAAGUGAGACAUCUUUUGUGGAAUUGAAGGUCCCUUAAAACCAAGAAUUCAAGUGUAAAGUUUGAAAGCUUAAUUUGAAAGUGUUGAUAUAGUGAAACCUCAAGGUGGAAUCAAAGCAAGUGGAAAAUGAAUAUAGGUUAGGAUUAGGCCAAACAAAUAUAUUUCAUUAUUUGCAAUUUCUCUUCCUUUCUCCUUUUAUUUUGUUGUCUAAAUUUUUUACGGUAUUUGCUUGAAUUGUCACUUGCAUUCAUCUAAGUUAAAAUUUGUUCAAAUCUUAAAAAAAAAAUGACUGACACCCAAUUCAUUCCCUCUCUUAGGUGUUUACCUUAUAUUGGAUUAGAUUAAAUCUAAAUACCAUGGCCCACAAUUAAAGUUAUUUUACCAUUGAAUCUUGUCACUAAUUAAAUCAUUAAUUAAUUAAUUAUUCUAUUUUCGCAUUUUUUUCUUCUAUUUCCUUUAAAAUUCUUUAAGAACAUUGAUUCUAUAUUAAGAUCAUUUAAGUAAAAUCAAUGCUAAACUUUAAUAAAUUAGGGCUAUUACAAUACCUAUUGCAAUGUAAGGAAUUGUGUCUAUCACAAUAGCGAUCUAAUCCUCAACUUCAUUUAUCUCCAUAUCCAUGAGUUUGUAAGGAUGUGACAUUUACUUUAGGUAGACACAAACAUAAUAGGACAUGAUUGAUGACUUUUUAGCAAAAGUUUACUAUUUUUCUCACAUGAUAUUAAUUCAAGAUAUUAGGUAAAUUGACACACUCAAUAUGGUUUUUGUUGCAACACAUUUAGGUUAUAUUUGGUAUGUUAGAAUGAGGAGUAAGAAUGAAUAUCUCAUUCCUUUUCUCAUCGAUUUCCAUAUUUAGAUAACUCUAGAAAUAUAAUAAAAAAUGAUUCUAACAUAAAUAAAAUCUCAUUUAUAAAUGGGAUUUGAUUCAUCUCUAAUAAAAGUUAUUUUUAUUCCCGUGUCACAAGUUAUUUUUAAAGUCACUUUUCAAAAAGUAAAAAACCAAAAACUUGGAUAGGUUACCUUCUUUUUUUUUUUUUUUAAUAAAAAAAACAUUAUUUUGAUGUCCAAAAAAUUUAUAAAUUCAAUUUAUAUAAUUUAAUUCAAGUUUUAUUAAAAAUAAAAAUAAUUUUUUAAUUACAAAUAAAUUUAAAAAAUAAUUUUUUAAUAAAAUAUGAAUAGUUAUAUUAUAAUAAAAUCAUAAAUUAUAUAUAUUUUUUUGCAUAUAAAUAUUAUAAAAAUAUGCAUAUUAAUAUCCUCAAAAUAGCAUAAUUGAUUCAUUUUAUUAAAAAUAAAUAAUAAUAAUUUAAAAUUAAUAAUUGUGGAUACUAUUUCAUUAUAAAUGAAUUUAAAAAUAAAUAAACUUUAGUUUUCUAAGGUAUAAAUGAGUUGAGUUUUUCUUUAAAUACAUACAUUUAUAUUCAAUUAUGGAGAGAGUAUUCUGAUUUUUUUUUUUAAAAAAAAUAUAAUAUGUAAUCAAUUAAUCAAUUUUUUGAAUUCAAAAUUAUUCUUAAAAAUUAGAAGAUUUAUCAAAUAAUUUAAAGUAUUAAUUAUGUCUCACUUAAUUAUUUUUAACAUUUUUUUUCUUAUUUCUCUAUGUUUUUCUUUUAUUUUUAAAACUGUGAAAACAAUUUUUACUUAUUAUUUAAAAAAUAAUUUUUAAAGAAUCAUUUCUAGAGAACAACAAUCAAACAUUGCUAUAAAUCUUUCAAAAUAAUUUAUUAUUUUUACCAAUAGAACAUUGUUUUUAAAUCUCACAGCCAAAGACACUUUUAUUAUUUAGUUAAAGAAAGUCUCAAAAAUGUUUUUUUUUUUAAUGAAAAUAAAAAAUCAUUUUAAACUAUAUAAUUUGAUAUUUAUAUAUAAAAAAAUUAUUUUAAAUUAUGUGUACGAAUAUUAUUGUCAAUUAUUUUUUUUUUCCAUUUUCAUUCUUACCUAAUAUUGAAAUAAAACAAAUAAUCAUUUCAAUAUUAUAUUUUUAGGUGCAUCCAAAUAUAAGAAUUGAAAUCACCAAAUGCAUUUCUAUUUAAAAAGAAAUGAGAAUGAAAAUAAAAUAUUCAUUUUCAUUCCCAUUCUCAUAUACCAAACAUGGUCUUAAGAUAUGAAAAGUAGUAAAUGUAAUAACAAGCAUAUAUUCUUUAUUGACUCUUUCUCCUCAUAGCUUCAAUUGUGAACCAAUUUUAAAUACUAUUGAGUUGUGCACUAAUAAAUUAAAAAUCUUGUAAUUUCAAGUGCAUCCAAUCAUAUCGUGUUCAGUAGAACAAUGGGUCUUGACUAUGAGAUAUUCACCUUUUAAUGACAAAGAAAUAUUAAAGCUUUGACACGAUCCUACUAAGAUGCAUCAUUUUCUUUCUUAAUGGUUUGUCUAAAGUUCAUUGCCUUUAAGUAAAUUUCAACAUUUAGAACCCAAGAUAAGUAAUUUUUUAUCUGAAAUGUCAAUGACAACAAGCUAAAACUGUAUUAUCUUAAAACUAUAUAUUGAAAAAUUUAAUUUUAAUCUUAUUUCAAAUUAUUAAAACAAACUUUCUAUAAAAAUUUGUAAAAAAAAUGAGAAUUUUUGGAGUUAAAAUAAACAAAUUAUUUGAUACUAUUUCAUGAAGUAAAUAAAAUAUAAUAUUCUAAUUAUGCUACAAAUGCAACAUAUUUUAUUAUUACAAAAUCAUUUGAAAUAUGCAAAAAAAUUAUAAUAAUUUGGUAAGGUUAAUAUUAUAAUAGAAAUUUGAUAAAUUAAUAAUUUUUGUAGAUUAUUGUAACAUUCAAAACACUAAAAAUGUAUUUGGGAGUGAUUUUAGGAAGUGUUUCUAAUAUUUCUAACACUUGAAUGAUAAAAAUUUUCAAGUAUUAGAAAUAUUAAAAACGCUUCCUAUAAUCACUACCAAACGGACUCUAAAUUUCCUAAUUUCUUAUUAUAAAAAUAAUAUCAAUAUUCUUGUUUUCAUAUCGUCGAUAUGAAGUAUUUUCAUAAUUAUAUUAAAACAAAAUGUAAAAAAAUGAUGUUUACAUAACUUUAGGCUAUGAAAUAUUCUAAGGACGACUAUGACUAUACCACCUUUAAAAGAUUGUUAAUUGACAACUUUAUUUUGCUUAACUUUUUAUUAUAGAACAUAAAUAAGAAGAAUUAAAAAUUGUCUGCACAACUUCUAACUAUAAGAUAAUGUAAUACAAUUUCCGUUAAUAAGAUAAUAAUUGACAAAUUAUAAACAUCAUAAAAACAAAAUAUGAUGAAAUACCACUUCUUGAUAGAUCUCGAGAAUAAGAAUGUCUAAAGAACGCCUUCUUUUUAUUAAUAGGUAUAAUGGAGUGAUUAAGGUAAGCAAUAAUUCUCGUUAUAAACUCCCUAUUUUCAACUAAACCUUCAUAUUAAUAACACUUUGUAAAAUAAAAUUUAACAAAGAAAAUUAAAAGAAAAAGGGAAGAAAGGUGAGAGAAAAAGAAGAAAGUUUAUUUAUUUCUGAAAUUCAUUAGCCCAUAUAUCCUUUUUUAUACACGAGAGAUAGUAAAUUAUAGUAAAUUACUUUGUGAGAAAAUUCAGAAAAAAAAUCGUUUAAUAGAAAUUUAAUCAAAAUUUACAGAAAUUCUAGAAAAGAAACUUCGUGAAAUAAUAAGAUAAGCAAUAAUACUCAUAGUUUUUUUUUUAAAAAAAACAAUGUAUAUUAUAAAAUUUAUAAUGCUGGAUAAUAAUCUUGCAUUUUAAAGAAACAUUUAAUUCUAAAAUGAUAUAUAAAAGAAAUGAUGAUAUAUUUACAAUUAUUUUUAUUUAAAAAUUUAUGUUUUUCUUACAUUUAAUUAAUAUAUAAACCGUAUAAAAAUAACUUGUUCAAAAGAUUAUUGUGAGUUUUUUUUUUGUUUUAUGUUUUGAACAAUUAAAUUAUUGGAAUCUAAAAAAAAUAAUUAAAAUAAUUUAUUUACUAAAGUUUAUAAAAUUAAUGUUUUACACAAAGAUUAAAAUAUCGAUUUUUGUGAAUAUAUCGAUAACAUGAUUUUACAAAUAUAUAAGGAUAUAUUAAAAAAUAUCAAUGAAUAUUUUGAUAUAAAAUAUUUUUAUUAAAAAAUAUUAAUAAUUUUAUUUAUGAAUUAAUAUUUAUCUUUAUAUUCUAAAUGCAUAUUUAACACAAUAAUAUUGAAUAAAUAAAAGCACAAUUCCAUAUCAAAACUUGGAAAGAAAACAAAGGUAUAUAACCUCUAUUUAAAAUGGUGUCUUGUACAAUCAUAAGAUUUGAUUCAAUUGCAUAACCCAUCUAUUAUAAAUCUAUCCUUUCUUUUUUUCCCCUCAGAAGUACAAAUAAAGACAAUCCAACAUUGAAACUUUGAAAGAAAACAAAGUUCUGUAACCUCUUUUUAAAAUGGUGGCUGGUAGAAUCAUAUCUACCAUGAAUGGGAUGGUUGAUCUGGUUGGGCUUAAUCCAACUCUUGAUCUAUUAGACAAAACUGAAAAAUCAUUCAUGCCAUGUGUCAUGUGUCAUGUGACUUAUGUCAAGACUGGCUUGGAUUUAGACUUAGAAGACACACAGACAGAAUGAGGUGUGUACAUGAUUAUAUCAAAGGUCAAAUUUGUUUGGUGGGUAACAAGGAACACCUUGCUUGCUGGAGCCAAAGUUCAAACCCCAGCUCCCGUCUUGCCCCUUUUUCAAUAAAAUAGGUUGCUGUCGGCCGCCAUGAAUUGGUUUCCAUGACUACCGACGUCUGACAUUUUGGUUUAAUUUCACGCAACUGGCGAUCUUUCACUCCUUGAUUCGGAACAAGAUAGACUCUGACAUAAAUGAGAAGUCUCUUUAUGGAUAAAAAUUAUAAACAAACCAUACCUGAAACCAGUCCUGUCCGGUCGAUCCAUCACAUUCUGUUUCUGUAAUAGAUUAAAUGUUCAUUUUAGAGCCCAAAAUGCAGCAUCUAUGAGACUCUCCUUCUGUCAUCAUUUAACGUCCUUUUAUUGCCAAAAACGAACACAAGUAUGGUGCACUUUUACCAUCCACUGUACAUGGGAAACUUUUCAAGACUUGGGCACUAAACCCAUAUGCUAUGAAGAAGGAAACAAGUAGAGGUUGAAAAUACCCACUUCUAUUAAAAAACAUCAUUAGAAAAGAAUGCUCACUUCAGGCCUUGCCAUUAGCAGCAAGGCUCUCAUAAAACAGUAUGUAUCCAUGAUCCGUAUUACUGGAAUACUCUUGAGCGGAUCCGAAGAAAGUCUGAACUGCAGACUCAUCAAUCAUCUCAACAUUUUCAUCAUCAAAGAACAACCAGUGGUUGUGGCUCUUCACAAGGCUGACGUAGUGCCCAUGGUUGGGACCACUUCCCACAUGAACAACAACAGCAAAUAAGGUAUACUCGGAGUCCACAUCCUCCAUGGAGUUAGCUAGUUUGAGCUCCAGAGGAAAGACAACACGGUAUGACAGCUUCUUGUGCCGGCCAAGCUGCUCCAUAUACUUGAAACGUUUCAGAUGAAUAACCAGGAUGUGAGGUGGCUUCUUUAUCUUCAUCCUCUUCUGGGCUUCUUGCAAACUGCAUUCAAGGAUGAGAUAAACUUGGGAAACUUGGAGGUUUGACUAAAGAAAGCCAUUGAACUAAGAGUGAUGUAGACUUCUUUCAUCAAGCCUUGAUAAAUGACUACAAAGUCCUACAGACUAAAUCAGCUAAAUCCCAUUACUGUCAGCCAGGUGAUCUUGAAUUUUAAAAAACCAGAGAGAGAUUCCCCUAGUCUAGCCAAUUUAAACUGUACAGAAGAACAGAAUGUACUGAAACUAUAAAUGACGCUUCCUAUUCAUGUUGCAUUGUGGCUGCUCCUAAUGUCUAAUCAGCCUAUUAUUCCUGAAAUAAUUGAUGCAGUUAUAAAGCAAACUAAAGGUAUGAGAGUUAUUUAUACAACAUAAAAAUGCCAAAAGCCUGGAAAUAGAGAUGAAAAUUGAUAUUCUGCGGCAAAUAGAUUGUCAUAGAAAUCAUUUGAAGCUAUAAAUAAAUAAAUAAACAAAUAAAUUUGAGUCAGGUGGAUUUAGUUAGAAGACAAACUAAAAUGCACUCCAUUUCACAAAAAUGAUGCAAGCAAUAGUAAAUUCCAGCACAUUUGAGGGAAGAAUGACAGUUAAUUGAAACAAGCCUCCUGGACAAAUCAUCUACUAGAUAUGGUAAAAUGCUGUAUAUAAACAUGAAAGCCUAGGUUUCUUUUUUUUCUAUUUUCCCCCUAGAAUACCCAAGCAUCUCUUUGUAGAGAAGUGGGAGUGUAAUGUCACUUUCUCACUUUCUGUACAAGAAAAAAAAAAGACUGUUAGAAAUGUAUUCUAGAGUUUAGCUAAUUCUAUAUUAGGAUAAGUUAGGACUGCAGUAUUAGGGCCUACUUUAUAGGCUGAUUUAUAAUAAUUAUUUCUGUAUAGUUAACUUCCUAAUAUAGGACUCUUGUAUUUAUAUACAUCAGCUAGGAUGAAACCUAAAAUAACCUACAGAAUAUAGGAGUGAAUUUUCUGUCCUGUUUCACUAUUGUGAACAUGGUAUCAGAGGAGGUUCAACUCUAACCCUAGCCGCCUCUUAGUCUUGGUGAUCCUUUCUUUUCUUUUUCAGUCCUAGUUUGUUUGUUGUGAGGAUAGAUCGAUCCCCUCUUGUGUGAUUGAUCACUUUGUGCCUCUGAGUUUGAGGUUGUGUGCCUUGUGGUAAUUGUGUUUGUGAUUCAAGAUGAUGGAUAACAUGUCUACUUCAGAUUUGCGUGUUUCUGUUGGUACAACAGUGAAGUUUAAUGGAAGAAAUUAUGCUCUUUGGUCCCAAGCUUUUCGUACUUUCUUGGGUUCCCAAGGUCAUGACCAUCAUCUUGUUGAUAAAAUGUCAGAUCCUAAGGAUUCCAAGUAUGCAGCAUGGCGUCAGUCUGACUGUAUAGUCAACACAUGGAUGUUGAAUUCCUUGGAACCUGAGAUUGCUGCCUCUGUUGGUCUGACAUCAACUGCUAAAGAGAUGUGGGAUGCUAUCAAAGAGAUGUUUUCUAAUGAUGGUAAUAAUUCUCGUUCAUUCUCUUUGUUUCAACUUGUUGAUCAUAAACAAGGUGAGAGGUCCCUUCCAGAAUUCUUUGCUGCCUAUAGAGGGCUUAUCAAUGAAUUUCACGAGCUUCUGCCUCUUUUCUAUAGAUUUAGAGACUUAGAAGCGUCAAUGGGAAAACCUAUUUGUAUGUGGUUUCUUAAUGAAUCUAAAUGAGUAGUAUAACACUCUUAGGAGUCAAUUGCUUGGGGAUGGUACCAUGCCUACGCUUCAGUCUGCUUUCUCUUACCUACAAUUUGCUUCUCUAACCUUGUUCUCCCCUAGUGUGGAUCUUGAGCAUUCUGACAUGGUUGCACAUGGCCAUGUGCGUGACACUAGAAAGGGCAAAAGUUGUGAUCGAUUAUGUGAGUUUUGUCGUAAAUGAGGGUACACCAUGGAUUGAUGUUAGGAUAAGCAUGGUAAGCCUGAUUGGGCUACCAAAGGUGCUAAGUUGUCCAAUGUCCCUAAAGCAGCAGCAGUUACACUUGCUUCUAAUGGAUCUACUUCUUCUUUGGUUGUUCCUGAAGAUGUUAUUCAGAUCUCUACGGAGGAGUAUGAUAGGUUGCUUCACUCUCAACCAAGUUCUAUUGCCUCCUAUGCCCUCUAAUCAGGUACUAGGGCACUUGCUGCCUUCUUUGGUAAUUCUUGGUUAAUAAAUUCAAGUGCAUCAAAUCAUAUGAUUGGCAACUAGUGUCAAUUCAACAACUUUACACCUUGCCAGUCUUUUUCACCAAUUAUUGUUGCUGAUGGUUCUGUUUCUAAUGUGUCUGGUUUUGGUACUGUUCAUACCUCCUCUCUUGAGCUCAACUAAGUCUUACAUGUCCCAAAAUUGUCAUUUAAUAUUCUUUCUGUUAAUCAAAUUACAAAAUCUUUGAAUUGUUCUGUAUACCUUUCUUUUCUACUCAUUGUAUUUUUUAGGAUCUCCAAACAAAUACAGUGAUUAGACAUGGCUCUGAGUCAGGGGGAGUCUACUAUCUUUCUCAUGAUUCUUCGUCUGUUGCUGUUGCUGCUGGAGGUGUGUCUCUUUAUUAUUGGCAUUGUCGGUUGGGUCAUCCUAACCUUUCUAGGUUAAAAAAAGUUGUCUUUUAGUGAGUUUGUUUCUGAAAUAAAUUGUGAUGUGUGCCAAUUAGGAAAACAUCAUAGUGUCUUUUCCUUCUAAAGAAAGUCAAAGUUUACAUCCUUUUGAUUUAGUGCAUUUAGAUGUGUGGGGUCCUUGUCGUUAUUCUACUGUGUUAGGUUAUAGGUAUUUUAUUACCUUUGUGGAUGAUCAUUCUAGGAUGACAUGGAUUUACUUGUUAAAAGAUAGGUCAUCUGUUCUUGAUGUAUUUCAAACCUUUCAUAGUGAAAUAAAGACUCAAUUUUCUUCUAAUAUUCGUGUGUUAAGAUCUGAUAAUGCUUUAGAAUAUAUGAAAUAUGAUUUCUCUAAUUUUUGUUCUUCUAAUGGAAUUAUUCAUCAAACAUCCUGUGCUUAUACCCCACAGUAGAAUGGUGUGGUAGAGUGUAAAAACAGACAUCUUGAGGUUGCUCACACCAUUAUGCUUCAAAUGAUUAUGCCCAAAUCUUUUUGGAAUGAUGUUGUACUUACUACAGGAUUUCUUAUUAAUAGGAUGCCAUCUUCUACUCUUGAAGGUGGCAUUCCUUUUAAAUGUCUUUUUUCUUGACUCUCCACUUUUUCCUCUUAGUCCUCAUUUUUUUGGGUGUGUGCUUUGUUCAUCUUUUUGAGACCGGUAUGGAUAAGCUUUCUCCUAAAGCUGUUUGUUGUAUUUUCUUAGGGUAUUCUCGCAUACAAAAAGGGUAUAGAUGUUAUGAUCCAAUGGCUAAAAAGAUAUUUGUUUCUACAAAUGUCACCUUUUUUGAGUUUGAAUUGUUUUUCAAAGUUUCUGACAAACUGUCUGUCCCUCUUCCUACUCCUAUGUAUACAUCUAUUCCACCUUCAAAACCCUUGCAGGUUUACACUAGGCAAAAAGCUUUGCAAACCCCUUGUGCUCCCAAGCCAUCUCCUACUCCCAUGUAUUCUGCUAGUGAUUCUAUUGAUUUGCCAAUUGCUCUCUAAAAAGGCAAACAUUCUUGCACUCAAAAUUCCAUUGCUAGUGUUGUUUCCUUUUAUCAUCUUGGUUCUUCUUUUUGUUGUUUUGCUUUGUCUUUGUCAUUUGUAUCUAUUCUUAAGGAUUACCAAGAGGCUAUUCAAAAUCAUAAUUGGAAAAAGGCUAUGAAUGAGAAGUCAGCUCUUCUUACUAGAGACACCUAGGAUUUGGUACCGUUACUUGAGGGGGUUUGUUCAGUUGCAUGUAGAUGGGUUUUUAUUGUAGAGUACCAUCCCAAUGGUUCUAUUGAGAGGUAUAAAGCACGGCUGGUUGCUAAAGGGUACACACAGACAUAGGGUAUUGACUUCUUUAAAACUCUCUCUUGUUGCUUUGCUAAGCUCUGUUCGUGUACUUAUAUUUGUGACAGUCAAUAAAGAUUAGCAUGUAUCAACUAGAUAUAAAGAAUGCAUUUCUUUAUGGAGAUUUGAUUGAGGAGGUGUAUAUGGAGCAACUACCUGGAUUUGUUGCUCAGGGGGAGCCUCAUUUGGUGUGUAAACUAGCAGAGUCCUAGAGCCUGGUUUGACAAAUUCAACCAUGUAGUUUUUGCUAGAGGAUUUAGGCGAAGUCAGGCUGAUCAUUCAGUCUUUGUGCGACAUAGUUCCUCUGGCAUUGUGGUACUUAUUGUAUAUGUUGAUGACAUACUCUUAUCAGGUAGUGAUGUGACUGGUAUUGAAGAAACCAAGAAAUACUUGUGGCAAUAAUUUGUUGCAAAAGACCUUGGUAAUUUGAGGUUUUUUCUUGGUAUCGAGGUUGCUCAUGGUAAACAGGGUCUAGUGCUAUCUCAAAGAAAGUAUGCGACUGAUCUUCUACAAGAAACAGGCCUAUUAGGGGCAAAACCAGCAGAUGUUCCAAUGGAACCUAACCUGGACAUGUGGAAGGAGGAUGAUGACUUUGAGGACAGUGCACAGUACAGACGGCUUGUUGGGAAGCUUAUUUAUCUAACAGUGACCAGACCAGAUAUUGUGCAUGUCAUGCGACUAAUUAGCCAGUUUAUGGAAAAACCUAAGAAGUGUCACCAGGAGGCUGAUUGCAAUAUUUUGAGAUAUAUUAAAAAAUCUCCAGGAAAAGGGCUAUGGUUCAAAAAGAACAAACAUAAGAAUUUAGUAGGUUUUUCAUAUGCCAAUUAUGCUAGUGACAAAGGGGAUAGAUAAUCCACAUGAAGUUAUUGUACUUUUGUAGGAGGUAAUCUAGUAACUUGGAAGAGCAAGAUGCAGAAAGUUGUGUCUAGGUUUAGUGCUGAAGACAAAUAUCGCGCCAUGGCUCAUACCACAUGUGAACUGAUAUGGUUAAAGGCACUUCUUGAAGAUUUCAGUAUCACAUAUACAGAUCCUUUUCCUAUGCAUUGUGAUAAUCAAGCAACAAUUCAUAUUGCGAGUAAUCCUGUCUUCCAUGAAUGGACAAAGCAUAUUGAAGUUGAUUGUCACUUUGUAAGAAAUGUUGUCGCCAGUAAAAAGAUUUGUACUCCAUUUACACCUUCAAAGGACCAGGUUGCUGAUAUGUUCACCAAGGCCCUUAAGAAGGAUGACUUCACUAGAUUGAGUGACAAGCUUCACAUGAUGGACAUUUAUGCUCCAGCUUGAGGGGGGAGUAUUAAUAAUGUAUUCUAGAGCUUAACUAAGUCUAUAUUAGGAUAAGUUAGGACUGCAGUAUUAGUGCCUACUUUAUAAGCUGUUUUAUAGUAAUUAUUUCUGUAUGGUUAACUUCCUAAUAUAGGACUCUUGAAUAUAUAUAUAUAUAUCUCAGUUAGGAUGUAACCUAAAAUAACUUACAGAAUAUAUGAGUGAAUUUCUUGUCCUGUUUCACUAUUGUGAACAAAGACAAACAAUGACAAUGCCUAAACAAGUUGUAUUGAUGCUUUACAUUUAUUUUGCCAAUGAUCAAGAGGUCCAGCACUAACUCAGUAGUUGGAUUUCUUUGCGACAGAAAGAGAAUCACGUCAUUAGAGUUUUAGAAGUUUUUUCCCUGACAUCAACCAUCAGCAGGACACCUAGUUCAGUUUUUGGUUGACUUUGUAUGGAGAUUCCCAAUAUGUGGUGUUAUCCAUCAAUAUGAGGGCAUCCAAUGAAUUGAACAGUUCUUUGUCUAGCUGUAAAUGGUACCUGAAAAAGCUUCUCUUGCUGAUUAAAUAUGGCAUACCACUAUCAUCAAACAACAUAUAGGUAAUCAUUGAACAUUCUUCACCCUUUCCUGUCUUCUCCAGAGUAAAACAUUCAAGGCUUUCUGGGAAACUCUUCAUUAUGUGACAACCAGACCUGUUGAUGAUGUUUGUAACAAGAACAGGCAGGCCAUAAACUGUCAAGGUUUUCAAACUCAUGUCAGAAAUCUACUCCAAAGGCCCCCCUAGCUAUCCUUCUCUAAUGCAAUGGAUUUCUGUUUCAAAAUGCUCAUGUAUCAACUUUCACUUAAUUUUUCCUUUAAUCAAGUACUAUACCCUUUAAGAAAAAAUUGUCAAACUAAGUCUUAGGCCACAUAAGAUCCUAAAGACUAGUUUCUCUUUCAAAGGUACAUCUACCUAAGAUUUCUAUAGAUAUACUUUUGCUAAUGGAUUGACUGAUCAUGACUGCACUCCCUCAUUGUUUAGUAUAUUCAUUUAGUGUCUCCUUUUUACCCAAGUUUGUCAAACUGGGAAGUUGAUUGGCCUAACCAUACUUUUGUUGGGCUUUACAUGAACCAUUUUCAUUUUGGUGUUUUCUGCCACUUCCAAUAUUUUUGGAGGAUUGUCUUAACUGUUAAGAUAAUCAAUAUUGCCAUGUACUGGGGCAUUAUCAAUACAAGGACCAUUUUCCUGAACAUUAAACUGUCACUAAAUUUUAAAUCUAAAUAAUUAACAUGGUUUGCAAUCUCACAAACCAUUUGACUAUAUCCUUUCAUCCAAUGUAAACAUUUAUACCUAAAAUUUUAAAUAAAAACAAAAAGGUAAAGGAAAAACAAAUUGUCAAUACUAAUGAAGAUGAAAAGAAAAAGGAAGAAAUUCAUCUACAUAAAAAAUAAAAGUAAAUAGUACUACCAUUAAUGCUUACAUUUGAAAGUGUAGACCCUUAAAAAUUUCUAAGUUCAUAAACACACACAAAUGUCAGUGGAGAAUUUCACUACGGAUAUUCUACAACUUUAGCAGAACAACAAGCAAUUCUUAGCAACAAGGAACAUAGUGUAGUACCACAGACACCUCAUUUUGCCCAUAGCUAAAUGACCAAUAACCACAUGUUAAAUCCUGAUAAUAAGAACCAAAAAUGGCCUUUCAGUUUUGACUCUCUCAUGAAGUGUUCUUUGCCUAACUAAUCUAUGGAAUGGAAGCCAGCUUGAAGCAUGAAAAUCCCUAAAAUGGUUAAGAUUAAGGUUUAGAUGCUCUUAACAAUUUUUCCAAUUAAGUAUCCACCAUUAUAUUGUUCUACAUAGAUAACUUGUCUUUUAUGGCUUCUAGAUGGUUUUAAGUUACUGUCUCAAGUUCAAAGUUGAGCCAUCAUUAUUUGAUCUGAGAAAAAAAAAAAAAAGCUUUGGUGAAAAAUGUCUAAGAUGUGUAUGUGCUGGACAGCCAAGUUUUGAGGCCUAUAUCCUUUUAAUCGGAAUAAGUUAAUUGUCUGCUUAGAAUUGAAAGGAUCAUUGGAAGAAUUUUCAUGACCAUCUGGAACCCAAUUUAGAUUUAUACUCCUGCGAUUAAGCAAUGUACAUAACUGUGCUGAAGCUGACAUACAUACUAUUAAUAUUUUAUUAUAUAGUAUUCUCCAGACAAAAUGAGAAAAGAUAUCCCUUUUCAUAGGCAAACAAAAAUUAUAUGGAAAACAUCAAUGAAAAAAAAGGCACACCUAAGUGCUCUGGAUGUAUACAAGUGUGCCAAAUGGAAAAAGAAAAAAAGGAGAAAGAAACCAAAAUUUUCCCUCCCCAUAUUUCAAUACUAAUCAGUCAAAUAGAUCUAGAAAAGACAUGGAAUUCACAUGCAUGGACCUCUUAGCAUACAGUAGAAGAAGUGCAAAAACAUUUAAAUAGCCUCAUUACUGUUCCAGAUUUUCAGAAGACUCUAUCUCUGUAUGGUCACAAAUAAGCACACAAUGGAUCAGCCCUCUACACCUACCUCCACUUUUUCUCCACAAACCUCCCUUUCCAGCUCAGCAGAGUCUCUUUUACUGAAGAUGACAAUACCCAUUCCACCCUAAAAGCGAAAAUAGUAGGUGCCACAAGUCCCUUGUUUUAACACAAUGAAGAAGGAGGUGACUGAGUAUUUCUUCUUCCAUUUUGCAGAGAAAGCAAUAACUUGCCCAUAACUUCCCUCAUACCACCUCCCAUCCAAAGAACCCCAUUUUUGUAGGAACCCAAGAUUCCAAGCCACUUUCAUAGGAAAAUCACCUUCUUCCUCUGGCUUUAGAAAAAGUAUAGAAAGAUUUGACUGAAAAUUUUUCCUUCCCUUGAGUCGUUCCAAACCAGACUAUCCAAUACCUCAUCACUGUAUAUUCUUUGAUCCUUGUGAGAAAAUCCCCAACCACUUCCGAUGGCCAAUCACGGAACUGAUGAGAAAAGAGAUCAAAUAUGGUAGAAAAAGAAAAAGAAAAUGAGCAGUAGAGAUUCUUGAUCAUAGACUAACACCAAACUUGAUUCACAAGGGGCUCAACCUUAACAUCAAGUACUUAGGACUUUUUGAGGCUCUUGGUUUGCAAGAAUAGAUUGUACGUGUAUCAAAGCCAUCUUACUUGUUCUGAGAGGAAAGGAUGAACUACCAACAUUCAGGGGAAAUGUAUCAACACUAGUGCAUUUAAUGUCUCACUGAUGAUGAUGGUCACUAAGAGUCCCUACAAAAGAGAAUCCAUUCUCCAUUCUCAAAGGAUAAUCAAGAAAUCACUACACAAAGAAAGCCUCAUGUUCGUUAUUACAAGAUUCUCCUUGGAAUGAUUAUUAGACUUUCAAAACAGCCUUCCUACUCCUGAGGUGGCUCUAUCCACCCCUCAAACUCAGACAUCUCACCAUCCAUGUGACUACCCCCUCUUUAAUUAAGAACCUUCCAUCAACAAUAGGAUCUCAUUAAAAUACAAUUUCAAUAGAAGUUUAUUUAUUGGAUAACUAAAUUUUGAUAAUGUUUGGUAAAUCAACUAAAUUUAAACAAUUUCAGCUUACUGACAAUUGACAAAGGAGGCAAGGAAGACCGUGGUGCAAUCACUGCAGAAAACCAGGACACACCAAGGAGACUUGCUGGAAAAUACAUGGCAAACCAGCAGAUUGGAAACCAUCUCAUUGUCAGAAUGAUAGAGAGAGUAGAGGGAAUCUUGUCUCAGAUGAAGAUAAUUCAGCACCCUCUGAAAUGAGUCCCUUCAACAAGGAACAAUUGGAACUCCUACAAUAAAUGAUCAAUCAAUCAUAACAGGGUGUGACUACCUCCAAUUCUCUCAUUGGGUCUGGAACCUUAGCCCAAAAAGGUAAUUUUCUUAACGCUUUAAAUUUGAGAAGAAAGAAUCCAAGCACAUGGAUUGUGAACUCAGGAACUUCAGAGCAUAUGACAGGAGAUGCUUCAAGUUUUCAUAAAUAUAACCCCUGUUAUGAUAACUUUACUGUUCGAAUCGCUGAUCGAUCUCUCUCAAAAGUUGCUGGUACAGGAUCUGUUGUUAUUUCAAAGAACCUAACUCUCGAUUCAGUUCUUCUUGUCCCAAAUUUAGAUUGCAAUCUAUUGUCAGUUGGUAAACUCACACAUGAAAAGAAUUGUCUUACUAAAUUCUUCCCAAACAAUUGUGAAUUUCAGGAUUUGGAUUUGGGGAAGAUGAUUGGCAGUGCUGAGGUGUGUUCGAGACUCUAUAUUCCCAAUGUCAGCGAUUAUCCUGAAGAACAACCUCAAAAGGCAGGCUGUUAGAAACGUUCUCUUUCAGUUUCCAGUUCAAAUAACAAUAGUGUUAUCAUGCUAUGGCACUAUCGUCUAGGUCAUCCAAGUUUUAUGUAUCUCAAAUGCUUUUUCCUUCAUUAUUCAAUAAAGAUUCUAAGUGCCACGGACUUAGGUUCUUCCUAAGCUUACGUGCGGCACUUAGACAAGCCAAGACACUUGAACUUGCUAAGUCAGUCUUACCCUCGAUGCUUAACUUGCUAGGCUAAAAUGCACACGAUUCGAAAGCUAGAAGGCACACAUAGGCAGCACUUAAAAAAUGAAAUCUUUAUUACUCUCAAAGGAUGUUUACAAGGCUUUUGGAAGCUCACUUGCUUGGUGCCUUAGCCAAAUGAAGGUCUCACCUAUUUAUAGGCACCUUAGGAAGUCUUUGGAAUCUUGGAUGGUUCCUUACAAAUCAAGAAUAUUCUAAAAACUUCUACAUAAGUCUAUGUACAAGCCUAUGUACAAGUGUAUACAUGAGACCUCUAGAACUCUUUAGAAUGGCUUAGACUCUUCCCAUGCCUUCCACCUUAAUGUAGAGAAGUGUGGGUUGUCUCUAGCCAUCUCUAGAACCUUCCACACUCUUCCCACCAAUGGCGAAGUGUAUGUGGCUCUAGGAGUCUCCAAAAGCUUCCCACCCCCUAUAUAAGCUUAUGGGGAGGGUCAUUUGGAGCAUGUAGUGACACUACACUUUGAUACCAUGUAGAAGAGAGAUUGAAGAAUAAAAGGUUGAAAAUUCUUCUUCUUAAUUCUUAUGUACAGAGACACAUAUACAUACAUAUAUAUAUAUAUAUAUAUAUAUACACACACACACAAAAAUCUUAGAACCCAAAUUAGGGACUUUCCUAACUUAGUUACAACAAAAUCCCUUUGAUUACAAGAUUGUUUAAUUCUCUAUUUAGAAUAACAUCUUUCCUAAUUUCAAUCUUCCACACCUACUAUUAUCAAUUACCAUUUUGCAAAUUCCACCACUCAAUGAGAAAAAAGGUCCAAAAAAUAAUGGAAGAUCAUCUGUUGGCUUUUUCAACCUUUUUUUCAACAGUGAAUGAUAAUUGACUACUAAAGAGUUAAUUUUUAUCAUGACAUCAUCUGACCCCACUAUCACUUCCUUCUCGUCUUUUUGAUCUUUAUGAUCAGAAUCUUCUUUUCUUUUUAUACUUUUUCAAUUAGAAUACUAACAGCUUGCAUGUUAGAAACAUAGAAUUCCAUUGUGGACACUCAUUAUGCCCACAUCCUUCUCUAUUGCAUUUGGACUAUGCAACCACCAUUUUUUCAAGUUCCAAUAUUUGUUUGACCUUUAAUCAUAUCAUAAAAUAAGCUUCUCCCAUGCUUUACCUCCAUCAAGUAUUCAUCCUUCACCAACAAAAAGAGUAUGUAAGGAAGUCUCAUCUUGAAUCAGCCCCUUAAGACUGUUGCUGUAAUGAGAAGCUGUCUAAUAAUCAAUUUAUAAGAAAUUUAUAGCUGAAAGGUGAUAAAUUAAUCCCUGUACUCUAUUAGAAAAUUAUCCAAAAAUUAUCCUUGUAAAGAUGAUUAUGAAAUUUUGAAAAUGAGUCUCCACAUUAUCAUAUGAUGGAAAAGCUUUUCACCCCAUUCUUGGAUCUUCUCUCAACCACAAAAUCAGGUUAAUUUCCCUUUUCAAAUGCUUGAUACCAUCAAGCUGUACCACACCUAGUCAAGAAAUUCUUCAAGAUUUAGAUUUUUUCUUUUAAUCUGAAAGUUCCUCAAGAAUUAGAAGUUCAUUAAAAUCAAGAACAUCAAUCUUCAAUUCAAAAUCAGUAUAGGAUGACUCUCCGGAGCUUUAACUGGCCAUUCCAUAAGUUUUUCAGGUACGUCUUCAUCAAAAUCAUUCACUCCCUAAGAUGGACACGGCCUAAUUUGCUUGACCAGCAUCAAGUUGUUUAAAUAUUGGAUGAGUUACAAAAGAAGCUGUGGUUCUUGCUCCAAGGGUACAGUUUGAGGAUCAACCAACUCACAUCAGCUGCUCAAGUAUUAUCUCUCUAAUGCAAACAACUCUAACGCUUAUAUAUCUUGGGCUCUUUAACUGGCAAGACUAACUUCAUCCAUUGCUUUGGCACUAAAGCAAUGGAACAAGAAAAAACUUAGGAAAUUGUUAGGAAAAUAAUAAAAGAAAGAGAAAUCAUUCUCUUCUAACACAAAUUGUCAAAAUCCAAAAGCACUUCUGUAUAAACCAUUCUCCCUUUUUAAAAGAAAGCCUAACCUUAAAAAGACACAUUUACUAAUAUUCAAAUCACUAAGAAUGCUAUAAGAAGGCCUCAUAUUCUACAGGUUAUACAUUUUGGACCAAUAAAAAAAUCUGCACAAACCCCUGAUCCUUGACAAAAUAAACCUGAUCUUUAAAAGAUCCCAAUAAUAGACAAUCAUUGGACAUGAUUUCCAAUUAGACAGCAGUAUGAUCCAUGAUGCCAGAACAAAUCAAAAUUAUAUAUGAAAGAAGCACAAGACAACUACCUGCAGCACUUGUCACAAAAGAAUUUAUCCUCAGCAUUUAAAGUUUCUGUAGAACUGAAAUUUUUGAGGCAGCUUGUAAUUGAACUGUUCUGCUCAAUAUCAAGGCUUAAAUCUAAGAAUGUUUCAUCCCUUGCUGUGACUGUUUCACAUCUUAGGCACCUUGUUUCAUUGGUUAAUAAACCCUGCAUAUGUACCAGCACCUUUGUUAAUAUGUAUCACGUAGCAUGACAAAAAUAGUAAAAGUGUUCCUGUAGGAACAAAUUUGAUGCUCCUCCGAGUUAAAAACCUCCAGUGAGCUUAGCCUAUACAGCAUCACCGAAUCAUCACAAAAUAACUCAACAAAAUAAAAAAAUGCAUUACACAUUGGUAUUACUGAUAAUGGGGUGUAUUUAUCAGACAAAUGUCAUGAGAUCAGUACAAUCUUUCUUCCAGCAAUCAUAUUUGAAUCCAGGGGAACCUAGUCUUGAGUUAACAUGUUCAAGCACACUGGUGCAGAGGAUUGUCAACCUUGAGAAGGCUUGUAGUGAAGAGGAUGCUUCAGAUGCCAUGCACACUCUAGUGGGGGUAAGGCUCCUAGCCUAGAUGACCUAUCAAAAAAAAAAAAACAAAGCUCCUAGCCUAGAUGGAUUUUCUUUUGCAUUAUUUGAACAUAAUGAAGGCAUUAUUAAGGGGGCUAUGAUGAAUUUUAUGAGGGAGGUUCCUGCUGCUGGAUCAUCUGAGCAGAGAUUUAAAUGCUACUCUUUUGGUUAUUGUACUGAAGAAAGGUGGAGCAAAGGAUAAUACGAAUUUUAGAGCCAUUAGUUUAGUAGGGGGUCUCUAUAAGCUAUUGACUGAAAUUCUUGCUGAUAGAUGAAGAGACUGGAAGGUCUCAAAAUGUGUAUGUAGAUGGAAGACAAAUUCCUGAUGCUGCUCCAGUAGGUUAUAGUUGCAGGAAUUGAUCAUAGACUGAAGAGCUCUAAGGUGAGGCUUGUGUACAAAUUAGACAUACCAAAAACCUGCCACAACAUGGAUUAGAAUUUUUCUUAUCCUCUUUGAAAAUGAUGGGAUUUGGGAGACUACUUGAAUUAAAUAUGUCUACUGUAAAAUUCCAGUUACACAACUAGGUAAACUAGUUUGGGUCUUUCUCAAAUCAUAACCUAGGACCAUUUCCUCCAUUUCACCAAAGGUAUUUGAUUGCUCAGCCUUUGUUCACAUUCCCCAAAAGCAUCAAAGUAAGCUUGAUCCCAAUGCCAAUAAGUGUAUUUUCCUAGGAUACUCUCUAAACUAGAAAGGCUUUAUGUUAAAAGCUUAGGGGUGGGGAGAUUCUUAGACUGGAGAACUCUUGAAGCUGCUGGAGCAGCUGGAGGUGUGCUGAUUUGUUGGGACAAAAGGUCCUUGGAAAUGUUGGAGUGGGAGGAGGGCCAAUUCUCAAUUUCUUGUAAAUUCAGAACUGUGGAAAAUGGGGUAGUCUGGGUGUUCACGGGUGUUUAUGGCCCUUUCACCAAAGAGGAUAGGGAGUGUCUUUGGGAUGAAUUUGGAGCAAUCAGAGAUCUUUGGGGUGACCCAUGGUGUGUAGGGGGAGAUUUUAAUGUUAUUCUCGCUCAAGGAGAAAGAAGCAGGCAAGGGAGGGUGACCUCAGCUAUGAGGAGGUUUGCUCAGGUUAUGGAUGACCUUAAGCUAAUUAACCUUCCCCUCCAAGGGGGCUCUUUCACUUGGAGUGGGGGGCUUCAUAAUCAUGCCUGGGCCAGGCUGGAUAGAUUUUUGGUUUCUCCCAGCUGGCUUGAUCAGUUCAGCAGUGUGACUCAGAAGAGAUUAUCUCGGCCUAUAUCAGAUCAUUUUCCAAUCAUAAUCGAGGGGGGUGGCAAAAGAAGAGGCCCUUCACUGUUCAGGUUCGAGAACAUGUGGCUAAAAGUGGAAGGGUUUAAAGACCUUUUGAGGAGUUGGUGGCAGGGGAUGUCGGUCAGUGGUAGGGCUAGCUAUAAGCUGGCUACAAAACUAAAGGGGAUUAAACAAAACUUAAAAGUUUGGAACAGGGAGGUGUUUGGGAACUUGGAGAGUAAUAAAUUGGCUACCUUACAGCAAGUGGACUAUUGGGAUCAAGUGGAAAGUGAGAGGAGCCUGUCUGAGGAGGAAUUUUCCAGAAAAAAAGAAGUGAAAGAAGAUUAUGCUAAGUGGGUUAAGCUGGAGGAGAUACACUGGCGGCAGCUCUCAAGGGAGCUGUGGCUAAGAGAAGGGGAUAAAAAUAUGGGGUAUUUCCAUCGAAUGGCAAACGCGCACCAAAGAAGGCAUACAAUGGAAAGAAUAAAAAUCAGUGGGGUCUGGCUGUCAGAGGAGCAUGAAGUUAGGACCGGAAUAGUAGACACCUUUCAUCGGUUAUUAACGGAAGACUCGGAGUGGAAGGCAUAUAUAGGGGGGUUAAAUCUGAAUCAGAUUAGCCAACAAGAGGCGGACAUCUUGGAGCUGCCAUUCAUGGAAGAGGAGGUCCAUUCGGCCCUAAUGGACAUGAAUGGGGACAAGGCUCCAGGUCCGGAUGGCUUUACGGGGGCCUUUUGGCAAUUCUGCUGGGAGUUUAUGAAGGAGGAGGUUUUGGAGAUGUUCAAGGAAUUCCAUGAGCAUAAUGCUUUUCUCAAGAGCCUCAAUACCACAUUCUUGGUUCUGAUCCCCAAAAAAGGAGGAGCGGAGGAGCUGAGGGACUUCAGGCCGAUCAGUCUCUUGGGCAGGUUAUAUAAACUUUUGGCUAAGGUGCUGGCCAAUAGGAUUAAAAAUGUGAUUGGUAGAGUGGUCUCUUCAGACCAGAACGCUUUUGUCAUGGGUAGGCAGAUUUUGGAUGCGUCUCUAAUCGCAAAUGAGGUGAUUGACUCAUGGAAAAAAGAAGGAAAGAAAGGCCUGAUCUGCAAACUAGAUAUUGAAAAGGCGUACGACAGUGUCAAUUGGCAGUUCUUGAUGAGGGUUAUGGAAAAAAUGGGUUUUGGGACUAAGUGGAAGGAGUGGAUAUGGAGCUACAUCUCGACUGCUAAAUUCUCAGUGUUAGUAAAUGGGGAGCCAGCUGGGUUCUUCUCUAGCUCUAAGGGGCUUCGGCAAGGCGACCCUCUAUCCCCAUAUUUGUUUAUCAUGGGAAUGGAGGUGCUGAGUGCCCUUAUUCGGAGGGCAGUGGAAGGGGGCUGCAUCUCUGGAUGUAGAAUCCAGAGGGGUAGGGGGCAGGCUGUUAUUAUCUCUCACCUUCUCUUUGCGGAUGAUGCCAUAGUUUUCUGUGAGGCUAGGAAAGAUGAUAUGACAUUUUUGAGCUGGAUUUUAUGUUGGUUUGAAGCCGCUUCAGGGCUGAGGAUCAAUUUGGCUAAAAGCGAAAUUAUUCCAGUAGGGGAGGUGGAGGAGAUCCUUGAGAUGGCUGUGGAGUUGGGUUGCAAGGUAGGUCAGCUGCCUUCAACCUACCUGGGGUUGCCUCUGGGCGCGCCCAAUAAAGCUGGUUACGUGUGGGAUGGGGUGGAAGAAAGGAUGAGGUGGAAAUUAGCCCUUUGGAAGCGGCAAUACAUCUCCAAGGGUGGUAGAAUCACCCUCAUAAAGAGUACGCUGGCUAGCAUGCCAUUAUAUCAACUGUCCCUCUUCCGUAUACCUAAGGUAGUGGCAAGAAGACUAGAAAAAUUGCAAAGAGAUUUCUUGUGGGGAGGGGGAAGUACGGAAAGAAAAGCACACCUAGUCAAUUGGGAGAGGGUGUGUGUGGGCAAGGAGAAGGGGGGGCUU
RNAcentral lists this long non-coding RNA (273858 nucleotides) under Vitis vinifera (wine grape). RNAcentral's name for it is "long non-coding RNA (VVIN_LNC002914)". Lineage: Eukaryota; Viridiplantae; Streptophyta; Magnoliopsida; Vitales; Vitaceae. The record is from RNAcentral.